Molecule: long non-coding RNA, 265188 nt
Filed under: Malus domestica (apple)
Lineage: Eukaryota; Viridiplantae; Streptophyta; Magnoliopsida; Rosales; Rosaceae
Source: RNAcentral
CUGCAUUUCGAUAUCAAGCCCCAUAAUGUGUUGCUAGACCAAAACUUCACUCCAAAAAUUUCUGAUUUUGGUUUGGCCAAGUUAUGUUCCAAGGAUCAAAGCUUGGUGUCCAUAACUACAGCUAGGGGGACCAUGGGCUAUAUUGCACCUGAAGUGUUCUCCAGGAAUUUCGGAAAUGUGUCUUACAAGGCAGAUGUCUACAGCUUUGGAAUGCUGCUGCUUGAGAUGGUAGGAGGAAGGAAGAAUAUUGGUUCAACCACGGAGAACACUACAAAUGAAAUCUACUAUCCACAGUGGAUUUACAAUCUUCUAGAGGAAGGGGAUGACCUACGAAUCCGUAUUGGGCAAGAAGAAGAUGGUAAAAUUCCAAAGAAACUUGCUAUUAUAGGGUUAUGGUGUAUCCAAUGGCACCCGUCGGAUCGUCUUUCCAUGAAAACAGCCGUUCAGAUGUUAGAAGGAGGAGGAGGAGAAAGCUUGACCAUGCCGCCUAAUCCCUUCAUGCCUACAGGUCCUACAACUAGAAAUGCAAGACGCCUAGAGCGAGAAGCAAUUGCUGAAUUAGAGUAAAACGUAUAUGACAGAUAUGUAGAUUCGUAUUGAAUGUGUAAUGAUUCAAACCUAAAGGGAUAUUUUGAUAACCAUUUCAUUUUGGCACCAAACAAAAGAAAUUUGUUUCCACUCCAUGUUUAAGCAAUAGAUGCCGAUUAUUGUUUAUCAUUUAUUAAAUUUUAUUUUUGGUUACGGUAGAAGCCUAGAAGGCAAUCGAGCACCGGACUUACCAAAUUCUAACUCAUUUCUACACACCAAGAGCUUGAUUUCGGUUCUUAUUUUUACUAUUUAAGCUAUAAGCCGUGAUAAUAAUUAGAGCACUAUCAUUUGUUGUGAGCUUCAACUGGUUAUUUUGUAUGUUUUAAACUUUUAAUUAGAAUUUAUUUUUCACUUAGACUUAUCUUUCCGUAUGGCAUGCCAUCCCAACCCUAGUUUUUCUCCUCGCUUGGAGUUUGGGAUACGAAAACUUGCCAAACAAAGUAGAUUGAUUAGUAACCGAAGCUAAUUAUUCGACUGAAUAUUGUUUAGAAUUUUAAUUAACAGAAACAAUAUGAAUCUUUUUUGUUUGUUUUGAAAACUAGAGAUUAAAUUGUUACUUGUUAGAAGUAGAGUGAUUGGUAGACAUCGAAUCCUUACAUAAGUGCAUAGGCAUUAUUGCGUGAGGAUGACGUGAGGGCAAGGGAAGUAGCAGCAGACCGUGUGGGCUGCUGUGGUUCAUCUGCUCGGGUGACAGGAUAGCCUUUUUGACGAAAUUAUAAAGCGCAUAAACUUUUUGACCAAGAGAGUGGUCAACUAGGGGUGGGCACUUGAAAUCGAAAACCGAAACCGAAACAUGAACCAAAUCGGACCGCACCGAACGAUUUGGUUUUGCGGUUUUGAAACCGAACCGCAUUGUAGGAAACGGUUUGGUUUUGGUUUUGGCUUUUGAAAACCGCACCGAAACCGAAACCGUAUCUCAAAUUAUAUGCCAUGUUUUAAUUAGUUGUUUGUUAGAGUCCAUACAUUUAGUAUGUACAUGUCAUAAUAAUGAUUAUUUUUUCCAAGUUAUAUCCCUCAUCAAGCUUGGCAUCUCAAUGUUUCUUUACAGGAAAAGAAGAAAACUUUGUCACAGUUAUAUCCUUAGAACCCUAAUUUUCAAGUUUAGAAUGAUAGCCUAUAUAAUAUAUUAAUCAGAAAUGCAAAUGAAAACUCAAAAGGAACAAUGAGCAUCAAAUAAGAGUAGUCACAGAAGGAGAGAUACAAGACCGAAUCUCUAAUCAAGUAAUAAGUUGCAGCACUUCAUUUGGGUACUUUUUCCUGCUCACAGAGUUUAUCACUUGUGCAAGAGUUUAUCAUCUGUGCAAUUAGCUAGCUAGAGUAAAGAAAAGAAUUCUCAUGUGGGUGGUUAAUUAAUGUAUGUGUGGAAAAUGAGACUGUGGUAUGUGUAAAUAAGUAUAAAUUUUAAAUUGUAGAUUUUUUUUUCUAAAAAGCCAAACUUAAACCGUUUGAAACCGCACCGAACCGAUCGGUUUUGACUUUAAAACCGCACCGAACCGCACCACAAAAAGUUGUGAUUUCGGUUUUGGUUUCACUCAAAACCACACCGAACCAAACCGUGCCCACCCCUAUGGUCAACAAAUGGGACAUGGAUUCGUCGAAUCCAAAUCCUAAGAAUUCAUUAAUCUAUAUUAUUGAAAUUUGAUCAAAAGAUUAAAAUUAUUAUAAUUUUAAAAUAAGCUCGUAUUUGUAACUGUUGAAUCAACCUUUAAUGAUCCAGAUUGAUAAAUCCUUAAGAUUAGGAUGUAUGAAUCCGAAAAGGAUCAAUGUCCCAAAAAAUAUGCAACGUUUUGCAAGGGUAUUAAAUUUAUGAGUGGGAUAGACACAAAUAGCAGACCGUGUGGGGUGCUGUGGUUGAUCCACUAGGGUGGCAGGAUAGCCUUUUUGACCAAAUUAUAAAGCAGACUUUUUGACCAAGAGGGUGGCCAACAAAUAUGCAACGUUUUACACGGUAUUAAAUUUAUGACUGAGGAUUUGGAUCCUCUCCUGAGCUAAUGGAGAUGAUCUUCCUGACCAACCAUUAUGGGUUGUUGGAUUUUUAUCCAACGGUUAUAAUUAUUAUAACUUUAAAGGAACUCCCUUUUUAUAACCGUUGGAUAAAAAUCUAACAGUCCAUAAUGGUUGGUCAGGAUGAUCCUCUCCAUUGGCUCAGGAGAGGAUCCAAAUCAGAUGGACACAAGUAGCAGACCGUGUGGGGUGCUGUGGUUCCUCCACUAGGGUGGCAGGGUAACCUUUUUGACCAAAUUAUAAAGCAGACCUUUUUGACCAAGAGCGUGGCCAAUAAAUAUGCAACGUCUUGCACGGGUAUUAAAUUUAUGACUGGGAUGCACACUCAUCUUCUUCCUCAUUCGUUGUUUAUGUAAAAAAAUGUAAUAAAUUGUAAUAAUGAUCUUUCAACUUUAAUUAAAUUGAAACAAUAGUUUUUUAAUUAAAAUUCAUUAUUAUUAGUCUAUUAACUCAUUAAAACGUGUAGCUAUAGUCAUUUUCGUCAACUCCUUCAGAAUUCUGUCAAAAUAAGUUAUGUUGAAAGGACCAUUGCUAUAAUUGGGUUAAAGUUAGGGACCAUUGCUAUAAUUGGGUUAAAGUUAGGGACCAUUGCUCUAAUUGAGUUAAAUUUGAGGAAUCAUUUCUCUAGUUGGAUUACAGUUGAUGGAUCAUUGAUACAAUUUUUCUUAUUUGAUUUUUCAUUGUGCCCCUUGAUUUAGCCUCAAGUGCAUGACAUGUGACUAUUUUGACGGAAGUUCUAAUGGAGUUGACGAAAAUAAUCAUAGUUGCACGUUUUGAUGAGUUAAGAGACCAAUGAUAAUGAAUUUUUAGUUGAGGGAUCAUUGCUCCACUUAGAUUAAAAUUAAGAGAUCAUUACUAUAAUUUACUCUGAAAACUAAAGGCCUCCUAUUUUAGUUAUGUUUGUACCAUACUUGACCAAUCCCAAAACUACUGAGCACCGGUCAACGUUAUACCAUCAAGGAUCCAGAAGAGUUUCUCUCAAACCAGGAGGCCAAUCACAACACGACACAUGUCGAUAUCAAAAGCCAAUCAUAGCGCGACACGUGUCAACAUCAGAAGCCAAUCACAACACGACACGUGUCAAUGUCAGAACAAAACUAAAAACUCUCUUCUAUAAAAGGAGAUCAUUCUCCCUCAAUAUUUCCUAAUGUUCUUUGUACUAAAUCAUUCACUAGUACUGACUAAAUGAGAGUUUGAACCUAUGUACUUGUGUAAACCCUUCACAAUUAAUGAGAACUCCUCUACUCCGUGGACGUAGCCAAUCUAGGUAAACCACGUAUAUCUUGUGUUUGCUUCCCUGUCUCUAUCCAUUUACAUACUUAUCCACACUAGUGACCGAAGCAAUCUAACGAAGGUCACAAACUUAACACUUUCUGUUAUACCAAAGUCCUCACUGAUUUUGUGCAUCAACAAGUUGCAUUGGAGAAUCCUUUCAACCAUCCAAAUCCAAAACAUGGAUCUAAGGAGCCAAGAAACAAAGAGGAGUUCGUCCAUAUUCAUGGAUACAAGAAGCUAUGAGCAAGGGAAUGAGGACCUCACUUUGGGUGACUAUCAUUUACUUCUGCAAAGAGGACCUACAAAAAUAUAAAGUCAACUCACUUUGCUUUGAAUUUGAGUUGAGUCUUUGACUAACUACUAGACUCUGAAUUUCAUGAGUUAAGUUUUGUUUUUGAAUGCAUAUAAGCAUGCUAGAGCCUUUAAUUGUUAAUUACAUGUAUAUGUGUUGCUCAAAUGAACUUAGUUUAUCAAAUUUUUCUCUCAAGACCAAGGUAUUAAAUAUCGAUGAUAUCGGAAAUAUCGGUAGUCCAAAAACACGGAAAUAUCGAUGGAAAUAUCGAUGGAAAUAUCGGGAUAUUAUCGAUAUCGAUAAAAAUAAUAUGGAAACCACGGAAAUUGUAAGAAAAACUUGGAAAUUUUUAUUGAAACUUUGCAGAAUGUUUAUUUAGUCAAUUAUCUAUUAGUUUAUCACAAAAAUUUGGAAGGAAAUGCAUUGCAUGAUGGAUUUAACUGAUUUAAGUUGAUUAUAUAGCGAGCUGGCAAACAUUGUGAGUGUAGAAAAUAUGUAGUAAUUAAUGAAAGAAGUUUAAACACACCAUAAUCAUUUAUAUAUAAUGAAUUAGUACAAUAUUUUACACUUUAUACAUUGCAUGGUAAGAUACAUGAGUGACUAAGUACCACAUAGAGUUCCUAUGAGGUUCAAAAUUUUCACUAUCUUCAUCAUCUCUAUGUGUAGAGUAAGUGUAUUGUGAAGAGUAGUCAGCAACCAUGGCAAUGGCUUUCAAGAACCGAAAUCCAAAAGUCAAUAGGAAACCGAAUACUUCGGUAUUUUUCGGGAUUUCGGGAUUACCAAACAAAUGGGAUUUGGAAACCAAUCCCAUAUCGAAAAUUUCGGUAUUUUUCGGGAUGGGAUUCCCGAACUUCGGGAUGGUUUUGGUUUGGGAUUUUUCGGUUUGGGUUUGGGACUUUUUCGGUUUGGUUUGGGAUUUUCGGGAAUUUUUUCCAACCCUACAUGUAAGUGACCAAAUAAAAAAUAGAAAAAUUAAAAACCACAUGCCAUUGACUAAGUAAUUAAUUGACACAAUUUAAAAUAUAAUACCACAAAAAAUUUGGAAUAUGUGCAAAUUUGUUUCUUGCAAAAAGAAUUCAAAACAAAACCAUAUAUAUAAAUAUUUUAGCAUGUUUUCACAAAAACAUAAGUGGUAUAGUGGUCAAGGCGCUGAAGGAGUUAGAUGGGAGGGGUUUGAAUCCCUCUAUGUGCAUGUUUGAGACUUUUCAGAAAUUUUCAAAUAUUUUUAGGUUCAUCUCGCGAUAAUAUCGAUAUUAUCGCGAUAUAUUAGCGAUAAUUAAAGGAAUACUCGUGAAAUAUCGUUAUAUGAAAAAAACGAUAAUAUCGGCGAUGUUUCGCUGAUAUUAUCGAUAUUUUCUUCUAUGUUCAAGACCAACUUCUAUGGCAUGCGUGGUGUGUUUGAGACUUUUCAGAAAUUUUCAAAUAUUUUUAGGUUCAUCUCGCGAUAAUAUCGAUAUUAUCGCGAUAUAUUAGCGAUGAUUAAAGGAAUACUCGUGAAAUAUCGUUAUAUGAAAAAAAACGAUAAUAUCGGCGAUAUUUCGCUGAUAUUAUCGAUAUUUUCUUCUAUGUUCAAGACCAACUUCUAUGGCAUGCGUGGUGUCUCAUGCCAAUCACACAAAUGUUAUGUAAAAAGAAUUUACACGUUGUGUUGCAUGAUUGACAAUUAACGACACAAUAGUGUUAUAACCGUGUCAAUGUUAUGAAAGUUUUUAUGCAAAGUCACUUGAUAUGCCGCAACAAUUAGUAAACAAUAUUAGAAAGACCUAGAGGAACCCACAAUUAAUUCCAAUUCAUUAAGUAGCUCAUGUGCAAGCAAAGUAUGGGCUUCCCAUGGGCAGGAGCUGGAAUUUACCCAUAUUUGGUAGUUAUGUAGCAUUAUACGAGGAGCCUGCUCAGCAUUCAAUAUGUUCACCCACAUGAUGUUGAGUGUAAUCCUUCUUAAGGUUCAACGAUAUUGUUUCUAUUAACAAAUAUAAAUAAAAAAAUAAGCGAAAUACUAGAGAGAUUACACGUUUAUAUUACAUUGUUGUACCAUAUUGUGAUAUGGCUGUGUACAUACCACGUCUUGUAAUGAGUUUAUCUCAUUAGAUGUUAGACUGUUGGUUAUUUGUAUUACUUAUUACAUCAUAUGGUACAUCAAUGUGGUAUAAAUAUGCAAUCUCUCCAACAUUACCCUUAGGAAAAUUUUAUUUGAACCCAUCUAACCUCUUUCUACACCCAACUUAAAUUCUAAAUGUGAAUUGUCUAUUUUAUCCUAAUGCAUAAUUACCAUCAAGUACAAGAUGAAAUUAAGAAUAAAACUAAAAUUUAUCAAUAAACCCAUACUCAAUAAUUAAGUUCUACCAUCACACAAUUUUUAUCCUACAUUCAUUUUGAAUAAAUUCCUAAGGGCUGCAAUAAAACCCUACGAUCACCUAAUAAUCAAAUCCGGUUGCUUUUUGUUUCCUCUCUAGCUUCAUGUUAACUCGAUCAGUAAAAACAAAGUAUUCAAAGUAUUCAUGUAUAAAAUAAGCCAACUUGGACUGGACUUGCUAUAAACCUAAAAACAUAAGCAGAAUCCCAGUUGCUAAUUCCACAAGAACUCGACUUGCGACCAUUCAAAACCCAAUAAAAAUUCAAGAAAACCAGAACUUACCAAGUGAACGUUGACGGCUGAGCCAGAGCAGCAACGACGAAAGGAAGCAUUGCAGAUAAGACCUGAGACGACGAGCCGUCGGAAGCCCCUUUGGAUAUUUCAGCUGAUGGGUUUAUCCCAAACGACAGCAUCAACGCGUUGCCUUCCUUCCUCUGCGACCCGACUCUGCUGAUGUGCAAUGUGCUUACUCUUGUAAUCACUCCAUGUGCCAUGUGCAAACAAUCGAAGCACAUCGAGGUAGACAUAAUUUUCAGUUCCUUCAAGCUGCACAUAUUCCACAGUAAAAAAACAAAUGCAUAUGAAACAAGACCCUAUAACAAUCAACAAUUUUAUUUUGACUUUGGCUGCAACAAAAUUCUGAUUAUACAUCCUUUGCUCAAAUCCAGAAACUACACCACCAAAAUAUACACAGAAAAAUGAAACUUCCACAAUAAAUAAAUAGAAACAUGGGAACCUGAAGAACAUUAGGGACAUCGAUAAUUUCCGAAAAGGCAAAAAGGGCAGGGUGGGAGGUGACUUCUGCGACGAGGGGGCCGAGGGCGGAGCCAUCGAGUGAUGAGGCUUGCUUCACGAAGUGAUCAAAGGCCUCCUCUUGCUUUUGCUUUCUAAAAGGGUGUAAAGAUGAAUUUUUAUAUAUUGAAUUGAGUUUGUGAGGGUAGUUUAGAUAGUAAUUUGGGUUUAGAGAGAAAUUGAUUCUUUAAUUAAAAAUAAUAUGGGUGUAAAGAAUAAGUUAGGUGUAGCAAGAAGUUGUAUGGGUUCAAAUAAAAUUUCCCUUACCCUUAUCAGAAACCCUAAAAGACAAGAAAUGCUCUAUACUAAGACGUGUUUAUCAAACCGGAAUGAAAGUGUAGGAAAUGGAAUUGCACGAACUCCAAGUCAUUUUAGUGUUUACUAAACCAGAGGGAAUCAACAUUCAGGUGGGACCCACCCAAAAUCCGGAAUACAAUUCCUUAAAUACCCGGAAAUGGAUUCUUGACUUGGGAGGUGGGAAUUGAGUUCCUGAAAAUAGAUUCAUCAGGGAUCCAAGUUUUCUACCCAUACUAUCCUCAUGCUUUUUUGGUAAACCCAAAUAUCCCUCACAAUUUCACCUCCCCAGUUCCAUGACCAGUGUAUAGACCCAUCUCUCUUCUCCCCAAUCCCACCAUUUCCUAACAGAGGAGCUUCGACUCCAGUGAAAUCCCGACCCCUUUCUCCUUGCCCCGUCGCCGCAGACUAUCCAAAAUACAUGCAUGAACGCACAAAGAGAGGGGAAAAUGUAUGGCGUGGCCGCAUGGUCAUCUAAAAACAGGGGGUGGGGACGGUUGUGAUAGGUGGUGAGGAGCUGGGUUUGGGGAUGUAGGGGGGAGAAGAUGGCAUCGCAGCUUUUUGUGUUUUGGGUUUUUUUAUGUUAUUUUAUAUUUUUAAUAAAUUUGUUAAUUAUUUAUUUUGCUGAAUAGUUAUGUUUUCAUGUAGCUAAUUGGAUUUUAUGAGCAUAUGUGGUUAUCAAAAUUAACCAUUAACUAGCAUAUAAAAAUAUAAUUUAUAACAAGGGCAAUUUAGUAAUCAAAUAGGUUUCAAUUCCGAUUCAUGUGAGUGAGUAAAUAAUUUUUAUGUAAUCAAUAUCAUUUUUAUUCCGAUUCCAGAUAGUUUAGUAAACAGAUUCAACAUGAAUCCAAUUCUAAUUCCACUUCAUUCCAUCUUCUUCUCAAUUCAAUUCAAUUCCUCAUACUCUGAUUACGGAUUAGUAAACGGGUCAUAAAACGGAAAGAGAAAAACAUUGUUCAUAACCAACAGUGUUUUUACUUUUUUGCCCUCAUUUUUAAUGUUUCUGUGUUCCCACUUUUAUGCCUCUAUACAGUGAAAUCCCCAAUUGCCCUAUGGGCAUAGGUGUGUAAAAAAAUUGUUUUGCACACGUGGCAUGCUAGGGAGAUUUCUCUGCUGCACCGUUUCCUUCCAGCUCCACUCCGAAUCGAUACUGAAUACUGCUCAACCAAAUUUUUUCAUCAUUUCAUUCCGUCCUUGUCAACCUCUUCAUUCUUGCUCCACCAUGAAUCGAAACAAAAAAUUGCUCAUCCAAAUCAAUUUCAGUUAACUCAAAUCCCUAAAACCCAAAUUUCUCCAGAUCUUUGGAUUUAGUUUACUUUUUGUUGUUGCGUAAAGCUUAAAUUUACGUACAAUUUUUUUAUUUUCUUGAUUGGAAUUUGGAAAGAAUCAAUUGUUCUUUGAAGGAAUUACAGAAAAUUGGAAAGGGGAAAUGGGAAAUGGGAAAGCGAGGAAAUGCGGGCAAAUGGGUUUUGGGAAAAUGACUUUUUUUUUUGGCAUUCGCUUUUGGCUUUCAUCCUUUCUGCGUUUGCUUUUCCUCAUUUUUUUUCUCAAGAACCAAACAUAAAAUAAAAAGAACCUAGAAAAAAGAAAAGGAAAAUCACAAGAUUAAGAAUCUGGGAUUGCAACAAUGGAGCUUCUGUGCCGAAAUAUCAAUUGGGUUCCGUUUGAUCUUCGGUGCUUCUUCUGCAUUCAAAAAGUUGGGGUUUUUUUGCGUGAUGGGAACACAUUUCCAAAUUCGACCUCAAUCCCAAAGGAACCAUCCACCAAAUAACCCUUCCUCCCUUUCUAUUUCUCUCUCUGUAAUUUCCCCUGACCGAAUCACACAAUCCAACCAACUCUCUGUGUAAGGCUGCCUCACAAAUUCCAUGGAUUUCAUGGACUUACCCUCUCUAUGAGCCUCCCUCGCCGAAUCCAACUAAUUUCCUUAGGCCCGUUUGGGAUUGAGGUGAUUUUAAAAAAAGCAAUUGUGAAAAAAAGCUGAGGGUCAUUUUUGUGUUUGGUAAACUGAAAAAAAAUGGCUUAUUUUGAAAGCUGCUGUGAGAAUAAGCUGAAAAUCAAAGGAAAAGCUGAAGCUGCUAUUUGCUGCUUUGAAAAAAAGCCAGUUUUUUCAAAGCACACGGAGCUACAAUGCUCCUUUAAUGAAAAGACACACUAUCAUCCUGCUUUUUUUUCCAAAAGCACUUUCACAAAAAAGUUUACCAAACACUCUACUGGCUUUAUUUCACAGCCGCUUAUUCUCACAGCAGCUUUUUUUCAAAGCACAGCAAUACCAAACCAGCCCUAAUUCCAUCGAUAGCCACACCCACCCCUCCCAACUGAAAAUGACAAUAAUGCCCACCCAACUUUUAUUCUCUGCCUUUAGAUCUCAAAUUAAAAUGGGUAAUAAAGUCCUUUUCACACCAAUACCCGCUAUUUAACAGCUCAAAUGUACACAACCCAAACAAACACAUGGCCUAAAGGGCCUACCCCAGACCCCCGGCCCAAAAAUAUAAAGGAAAACUAAUGAAAAUUGCUUGAAAACUUUGAGUUUUAAUGAUAAGGACAAAAUAAAGGGUAAAGUGAAUAGUACCAGGAUUGACUUUUUAGUGUAAAAAUGUGGUUUUUCGUUAAAGUGAACAGUACCGGGUGCUUUUCGUUAAAGUUCCCAAAAAAUAAUUGGAAAAAGAAGUGGCAAUUUGGUAAAUAAAAUGUUACCUUUUCCAUUGCCCAUUCCUUUUGGAAAAAGAAAUGAAAUUAAAACUCUUCAUUUAAAAUGGUCUUAAGCCAAAUUGUAUUGAAUGUGAAGCAGAGGGUAAGAGGUGUAGAUUGUAGAACAAUUACACCUAGAGCGAAAUUGAAUUUGUUGACAGGAGGAAACCAAGUAAGGAUAACGCGUCUAAAUCUUAUUUCGCAUCUAUUCUGCUCAUGAUUUUUCUGCUUUCAUGUAAUUAGCGGCUUAUAUUUGUGGUAACGAUAUUGAUUAAUUUCGAGAAAUGACAGUCUAAUUUUCGCAACUGUCUUUUGCAGGUAAAACAAAGACGGUCUAAUUUUCGCAACUGUCUUUUGCAGGCAAAACAAUGACAGUCUAAUAUUCGCAACUGCCUCCUACAGUUAGAAGCAAUUGUUGAAUUAGAGUAACACUAGAAAAUGCACCCGCGCUUUGCUGCAAGCAUUGAAUAAUUAGUCACAACAUUCAUGAAUAGCAUUCCAAUAAAGCAACUAAAAAGACGUCGUAAUACGUAAGAACCAUCGAAGUCAAAUUUUGCUUGCUAUAUAUGGAUAUGCAUGCUAUAAGAAACAUCUAUUUAUAGAUUGUAUUGUGUCAUCAAUAUCAUAGUUGCAAGUAAUCAGCCUACUACAUGGAAGAAAAACACAGAAAAGGGAAAGUAGAAAAGUAGAAACAUAAUACUUGAGUACCUGGCAAGAAUAGUAAGUUCUUGAAAAAAUUGCUAAACCGUCUAACAAAUUCAAUCGUUAAACGUUAUACUGUAACCCAAGACAAAAAUAAAGUAUAUUGUUUGUUUACAAAUCAAAACGAAGUGCUGCUACAAUCCUCAACAGCUAUGAAUCAUUUUCAAAUAAAGAUACUCAGAUUUGACGGCACAUCAAAUAACCACCAAGCGAAGCAAAUUACGCCAUGUGCUAAUAAGAAACUAAAACAAAAGCAAGAUUAAAUAUCGAAAUUUUUUUAUAAGGCAUCAAUUGACAAAAUGCUUCUUAAUGUGGUCUUCCAAGAAAUGAAUGCAGCUCACAAACAACUUAGAAAUCAUUGUCACCUCAAUCUUACUAAAUAGAAGCAUAAAUGGACAUGAUAGCUCCCUAAUUUUGUAAUAGAAACUCUAACAAAGAAUAUCAGGCUCCAAAGGCCCUAACUUUUCCUAGGCAUAAAUCUAUACAUUGCAAGUUUAAUUCCAACGAAGCAAAUAUGCGUGCAAAGUAAAAGGCAUCAACACUACAUGUACUGCUUACAAUCGUCUCAAGUUGCUGACAACAACAACAACAACAACAACAACAAAGCUUUUUCCCACUAAGUGGGGUCAGCUAUAUGAAUCCUAGAACGCCAUUGCGCUCGGUUUUGUGUCAUGUCCUCCGUUAGAACGCCAUUGCGCUCGUCUCAAGUUGCUGACACAAUGUUUAAAAUAUUCCAAGACUCAAAGAUUUUCACACAAAUAGAGCACCUUACCAAAACAAUAACCGAGGUUGUCGUAUUUGAAUCAAGCAGAUGCUUUGCAAGGCCUUCUUCAAUAUCGUCUCAUAUUCCCUUUUCAUUUUUCGUAUAUGAUACAAUAAACUAUUCAAAUCUAGACAUAAAUAAGAGAAUCUGCUACACCCUACUAUCACAAUUGUCAGUCCUGAACAAUAAUGCAAGUCUAGUGGCAAAAACCACCUCAAUGAACAACUCACACACACUGAUCAUACAUCUCUAACUCUCUUUUUCAAAUAACACACACUCUGAUCCAAAACAGGGUAAAUAAAAUGCACAUCCUUAUACAUUUCUAACUUUCUUUUUCGAAAUCCAAAAUAGGGUAUUCUAACUCUCUUUUUCAUUCAUUUCUUACAAACCAAUCAUACAUUUAAAAUAGGCUUUGAAUAAAAAUAGGGUAUAUAAUUAUAUACCUCAAAAUGCCUAGGAACCAACUUCCCCCUCCAACGAUUCAAAUUCUUGAAAUUGCCAACACAGUAAAUCCAUUAGUACUAUAUAAAUGAAAACACAAUUGAAACCCAUCAAACAAAACAAUCCCACAAUUUAAAUGAUUCAAUCCUACUACAAUUGAAAUUCACAGAAAGAAUGAAAAACCAGAACAAAACUGCAGCACCUAAAAAGUUGUCAUACAAAAAAACAUGGAAUGUAAAAAUAUGUUAAGAAAUCUAGUUCGUUAAUUUCCAGCUGCUAAGUGGCAUUAUGUAACUUUAGUAGUAUAACUAAUUAACUACUUAUCUGGUGGGUUGCACUUCUAUCCAAUUGGUAAGGAAAGGAAAAUAAAAAUCAACCCCUUGGUCUUAGUUGUGGCUGCAAAGUGCAGGCCACCACCAAGUCUCAGUGUUUGUGUUUUAGCAAAACACUUAAAUAAAUUAAAUUCUGAAAUGUAAAUUAUAUUCCUAUAACUUUAAGAUGCACAUAUAGUAUUGUUGAAGUCGAACUGAAAGCACUGACAAUUCCAAGCAACAGAGCAGCAAUUAUUAAGAGCCAAAACUCAUUCCUAGUCUCCUCAUCCUGGUACUCAACUCUAAUCUUCGGUCAGCAUCAUUGACUGAAAUUAGGAGAGAAAAAGAAAAGGAAUUUCAGAAAUUGUCUAUGAAGCAAAGGAUACUGCAGUUACUUCAAGACAUGUAAAUUGCAUAUGUAUAAAGUAAUUUUCUACAUAAAGGAAUGAGGCAUAACUUUCUCUCUCCUCUUCAAACCCUAAACAGUGCAAAGCCACAAACUUUACAGAGAUUAGAAUGAGAACUGGAAUUAAUAGAACAAUGACUGAAAAGUAACAUACUUGAGGAGUGAAUGAUUUAGUGUUUCCAUCAUCGGAACGCCGGAGUAAGUCGCUAAGAGAGGUCGCAAACAGCCCAAAGGGACAAACCCAGACCCCCGGCCCCGAUCCAUACCCUUCCCCCUCAAAUCCCGACGGCCCCCAUACUUUUCUCUGACUGUACACCCUCUCCCACUCAUGAAAUCGAGGAUCUGCAGCAAUGGUACUGAGAUCCCCACUCCUCCCUCUCCCUUUCUCUCUGUCGCUCUGUCUCCCUCUCCCACUGUCUGUCUAUCUUUAUCCCAGAGCGGCAUGGUCUCCCAUCCCUGAAACCCUCACCGAAAGGUGGCAAUUUUGUAAAUAACUUGAAAUCCACCAACAGCAGGAGCAGAGAAUUGAAACAAACAUUUAGGCUCGUUCGAUAACCAUUUAGGCCAAAACUGAGCACACCUAAACCAUUCCUACUCGUGCCAAAUGUUAGUGGGGAAGCAAGAUGAUGACUUUAUUGUUCAAAACCAAAAGAAAAAAAGAGAGAAAACAAAAUAACAAAUCUAAUGGUUGUAGUGUAAAAGCUGAGAACGUAAAUAAACAUGCAGAGAAAAAAAUUGAAGAUACAAAGUAGCUGCAUCAUGAAACACUUACUCCAAUUAGACGCAAAAAGUGAUGGUGAUGAGAAGAGAGAGAAAAUGCAAUCGUUUUGAUUUUUCUGGCUUUUAAAGGGAGCAGCUUUCUUCGACCACCCAAAAAAGGAAGCUGCUUCGUAUGGUUGUGAUUUCCUGAGUGUAUGUGAGCGGGUCUAUGGCACUUGCACUUUUUGUGUCGGUUACGGUAACCGGGCGAGCUGAACACGGCGGCAUGGGACUGAAUUCGGAGAGGUGAGAAAAAUUAAAAACACAAAAAGAAGGUGUUCAUUUUGUCACAUUUUUAUUACUAAAAAUUCAAUAAAGUACAUUCAUUAGUAUGGUAACUUAACUAUUUAAUUCCAUCUCAUUAAACUAAAAAAAACAAUUACAAAAAAAUAAGGGAAACCUUGUCCAAAGAGACCUGAGAGAAAGUGACGACUUCUCCUCUCAUUCCACUCCAUACUUGAUCUCUAAAGUCCAUUUGGCAUGUAAUUGAUGUUCAAUUUCAAAUUUAGUGGUAGCAAUUAGCAAAGCUAAUGAAAGAAUCAAAUAAAAUGAAAGAAAAAGCAUCAUGAAAUAAAUCAAGAUGAAGAAUGAAAUUUUGGCAACUCCCCAUUCUCUUCUUUUAUAUAAAAGAUACAUCCUAUUUGUAGUGAAAACAGGUCCCGACAAGCCCAUUUAUCCUCAAGAAGUAUUUUCUAUGACUUUAAAAACAUAAUCUGUGAAAUUAUCUCUUGGCAGAGAACAACAACAAAUCUUCAUGCAUAGCUUGUAGAGAAAGACAUCAGGCAUACAAAAGAACACGCAAGCAUAAAAUAAACGACGCAGGGAAAACAAAAAAUACAAUUAAAUACGCUGUCAAAAGAACAUGAAUAAAUGAAAAUUACAAAACAAAGAAGUGAUGAGAAACCAAAGUACCCAUUUCAUAAUCUAAUUGUUUUUUAGUUUGCUGCCAGCCAUCCCUGAGUAAUGCAUUCACUUCUGAACCCCAAACACACUGAAACAAAAAUUCACACACAUGAACUACAACUCCGCUAUGUAACAAGAAUUAAAAGCAUCUCAAAACAAAAUGGCAAACUAUAAGAGCACUGUAAAAGUAAAAUUGCAAGAAAUCUAAUACUUGGAGGGCAAGUACUAAUCAGACGAAAAUGAAAGAUUGAACUACUUCGCGUGGAACUGUGCCUUGGUUUUUUCCCAUGCUUACAGGAAGCUUUGCACUGAGCCCUUAUAGCCCAAAUUUUCUCUGAAGGAAAAAAAAACACAAUUUUGAAAUAAGAUUUUCAUAUUAUACCUUAAAGAGAAGAAUUAGACAACAAAAAAGAGAAGAAUUAGACAACAAAAAAGAGAAGAAUGAGUACUAUUCAUCAUAUAUUGUUAGAGUAUGUGGUCCUCUGGUCCAAUGGUCCUGCAGCCAUAUUUACUUUAUAACUCUUUCUUUUAGUCUUAAAAACAUCUUGGAUCUCAAAUUAACAUGUUAGCUAUGCGUUAGAACAUAUUGGGUUCAAUCCAUUGUCUUGAAUAUCACCCCCAGUCACAGCUGUCUCUUCGGGGCAUACAGAAGGCCUGAGAGGCAUUUGCAGACAUUCAAUAUCUGCUCCAAGCAUUUCGACAACUUUGGACAACGAAGGGCAAUCACUUGGUUUCAUUUGAAUACACACAAGGCGGUUAUAACCAUCUUUCUUAUCACUUUCUUUUCAUCCUCUGUAACAUUGUCUAUUUCCAAGUCAUUUCCCACAAUAUAUUGAUCAUAUACCCAUAACGGGAAAUAGAUUUGGCUUGGAUGCUCUACCGUUGCAUUCAAAUUCUUCCUUCUGCUUGCCAUUUCCAUCAACAACAUUCCAAAACUAUAGACAUCGGCCUUGUAUGAGACACCUCUAAUAUUUUUGUAGAACAACUCAGGAGCAAUAUAUCUCAUUGUACCCCGUGCUGCCGUCAAAGAGACAAUGCUAUUAUCUACUGGAUACAAUUUUGCAAGCCCAAAGUCAGAAACCUUUGUGUUUGCACUCAAAAUAUACCCAUUUUUACUUAUUUGGGCAAUUUGGGUAAAAUAUGGUAUUUGAAGGAUUAAUAUGCAAGAAAACUAACUUGGAAAGAUAUUUGGCUGCAAGUGGGGGGGGUUUGGCACUAUAAUAUUGUUUUUCCCAUUUGUUUAGGUGGUGGAGGUUUGUCAAGCCUUUGUUUAAUCAAGAUACAUGCAUGUAUUGCAAGUGGAUGGGAGAGCUUUCGGGCAAGAACGUGUAGUGAAAGAAGCUAGUUUGCUUCUUUUAAUUAUUUUAUUGCAAGUGGGAAAAUACAUGUGGUGGAGAUGCAACUUGCUUCUUUUUUAAUUGUUAGUUUAUUACAAGUGGGGAAACAUGUGCUAAAAACAUGUGGUGGAGAUGCAAGUUUCCCUUUUAAUAUUGUUUCUACAUGCAAGUUGGCAAAUGCAAAUGCAAGCUGCCCAAGCUUCUUUCGGGCAGGUACAAAGAUCUUAGCAAGGGGGCUCUUCCAGACCUCUAUAUAAAGAAGCAGAUGGAGAAGGAUUAUGGACACUCAAAACAACCAAUCAAAACUCUACUCAAAUUAGCUCAUCAGCUUCCUUGUAGACAUUUAUUUUUAGCCAAGCAUCCUUUGCUUUUCUUGUUUAUUAGCUCUGCUACUCACUUGUAGUAUCGAUCUUAUUUGUAGCUUUUAUGUACAACCCUCUUUCAGUCAUUUAAUCUACAAGCAAUCUGCAAUAUUAGUCACUUUCCUCUGUCAUUUAUAUUUCCAAGCAACCUUGUCAUUUACAUAUUGUUCUAUCUCUCCAUAUAAGUAAAGUCCUUAUUUUUAAGGCAAACAAAGAACCUUAAUUUGAGUAACUCUCACUCAAUGGCACAAUCUCUUGGUUCGAAGUCAAUCUCAGGCGCAACCUCAAUCAUUCAGAAUCUGUCUACUAACGGUAUCUAGUAGUGGCAUGCCCGCACCCCACCAAUCUCGUAUGUGAAGUAAAUCCCCGGCUUGCCCGCAAGGCGCCAUGGCGAAUUUAGGGAGCAAACAUAUUUUGGCACACCCGGUGGGAUACCUUAAAUAGAGUUAUAUUAUGAGCAAUCCUUAUGUUCAUGAUUUUUCUCAAUAUGCUUUUUCGGAGUAUGAGGAGGAUGACGGUGUUGAAGAGCGCCCAAGCUAUGGCUAUCACAUAGAGCCAACCUAUGAGUUGUCAACUUAUGGGUACAUGGCUGAAAAGUACUCAAGUCCCAUGGAACAUGAUUGUCGGCCAACUAAUGGCCAUCAAAUAAAUAAUAAUCUUGAAGAUUGGCCAACUUAUGGCUAUGAUGAAGGUUAUUAUUCUUUUGAAGACAAUCAUAUUCAUGAAUACUAUGAUAGGCCAACAAAUGGCUUUGAGUAUCAAAAUGCUUCCAAUGAGUACAUAGAGCCAAUAUAUGAGAUACCAACUCAUGAUCAUCCAGAUGAAAAGCUCUACAAAGAGGAUGUGGGCAAAUUAGAGAAGGUGUCCAAACUCCAUGUGGCAAGCAUCGAUAUGGUGAAGAGGUGACCAAGUGUUUUAGAAAGGUGGAGGAAAGCUAUACCACUUUUGGAGAAACUUUGAGAAAGUUGAUAGAUCAAAUGUGUCAAAUCCCCUCUACAAAGCACACUCACCCUACUACAACCAAGGAAGAACAAAUCAUACACGUUGAUGAAGGCCAAACAAUGGCCCCACCCAAUGAAAAAUCCAUGAAAAUGGAUAUGGUUGUAGAAGGCCAAGCCGACAUAUUGAAACCGAUAACGGCUAAGAUGGAGCUUAUGGCUAUUGUAGGCCAAACACCAACGCUCGGGGGGCUCGAACUCACACCUCAUGUGGAGCCCGAAGAAGAAGAAAAUAUUUCCCACUCUCUUCUCCGCCAACACAAGCAUGUCAUCCAUACCAAGAUCUCAAGAAGGGCAAAGCUUGGGAUCAAACAUAAAUGGCCACCUCCUAUUGUUUCCAAGCUAUAUGGUAUGGCUAAUUUAAAUGGUGGAUCUAAUCUCUCUACACUCAAUUUUAAAAAGAGAAAAAGAUUUGAGUGUUAAGAGAUAUCUGGGCAAUCAAGGGGCUUAACCAAUAUGCCCAAGUGGGGCUUAUUUUGUUGUUUCCUCUUUUGCCUGAAGUUGAACUCCCAGUCUUCCUUUUCUUCUUUCCUUCUCUCUUUCCUUUUCUUUCUCUCCUGUUUCCUUUUGCCCGAAAGUAGGUGCCAAAUCCCUCCUCUAUUCCUUUUUCUUUAUUUCUUUCUCUUUGUCUUAUCUUGUCUUUCACUUUUCCCAAAAGGGCUAUAUAUAUACAGAGAGCUUAAGGGGAGGGAUCCCCAUUUUUUGAAAAAAAUGGGGAUUAGGUGUGGGGCCCACUUCACAUUGAACUUCAACAAUCCGAACCGUCUAUUUUGUUAGUCUCGAUUCAUAGAUCAUCCUUGCAAAAAUUCAAUUCAAUCCGAAACCAUUUGCCUAUUUAAUUAUCAAGAUCAAAUUUCAUUUUUUCUUAUAUAACAAAGUAUUCGUUUAUUUCAUUGAACCCAAUUAGAUGUCUUAAACAUUUCCAAUUUAGCUAAUAUUUUGCAAGGAUGAUCUAUGAAUCGAGACUAACAAAAUAGAUAGUUCGGAUCGUUGAAAUUCGAUGUGAAGUGGGCCCCACACCUAAUCCCUAUUUUUUUCAAAAAAUGGGGAUCCCUCCCCUUAAGCUCUAUAUAUAUAUAUAUAUAUAUAUAUAUAUAUAUUAUAUGUGAAAAGAGGGGAAUGGAAGUACUUUGCCCGAGUGGGCUUGUUAUAUAUAUUAUUUUAUAUAUUAUAUUAUAUUAUAGUUUUGAAAGUCAUUCAAAAAAAAAAAAAAAAAAAAAUCUGAGCAGUUUGCCCGAUUCCCUUUUCUUCAAAAUUUGCCCAAAUUGGUUCUUUCUUUUACUUUGGUCUGUGUUACCCGAGAGGGCUUUGUCCCUUUUUGUUUCUCUUGCUUUGGUUGCCUGACAGUCUUCCCUUUUAUUUGUUCUUUCACUUUUUCCAGCCAACCCAACAGGGCCUUUAAUUUCCUUUUUCUGUUUGCCCGAAAGGGCUCUGUUUUUUUGUGUGUUUCUUGUGCUGUUACAAAGAAAAAGAUAUAAAAAUUAAAAAUUCCAAAAAUCACAAAAACAUUUUGCUUUCUUGCUUUUGUUUUUUCUUGCUUUCUUUCCUUUUUUGUUUUCUUGCUGGGGAACUUUACAGAAAAUAUCAAAAAGUUGGGCAGCUUGUGAGUAGCCAUUUUUACCUUUCUUUCCACUUUUCUCUUAUCCAAUGAGUGUAUUUAGCCCGAACCCAAAAGUUGAAAUUAGAAAACCAUCUAGUGGCUGUACCCAAAUUCAUGGAAUGAGGAGUUUCAUAAAAAGCCGAAUCUAUGGCUUUCUUGCUGAAAAGCAUGUCAUCUGUGUCUCAAUGGCUAUUGCAAGAAAGCAUGGGGCUAUCUUGCCCAACUGGUGGUGCCCGAUGGAACCAUAACCAUGCCUGACGGUAAUGACGUCUUCCCUACUCACCACCAACAGACUCUGCAUGUCUCCCUAACGCUCACCAGUUCCUACAACCAAGGGUCGGGCUACUUUGACGACUACCAUUAGAGGCUACAGUAAGAGCUUUUGAUGUGGCUACUAUUAAUCACUGGAGACUAGUUUUCAUGGGUAAGAAAAUAGAAAAAUGGAGCUGCAUCUAAAUGUGAAAUCCGAAAGCUGGAGGAAGAUGACAGAAAAUUAUGUUGCUGUUGCCCGAGGAUGCUACAAUCUUGCCCGAUGAGCAUGACAUCUUCUCUGUUGCAAUUUGUUUAGAUGUUGUCAAUCAUAUAUGGGGCCCCAUGCUUGAUCUGGCAAACGUAUUUGAAGUGUUCAUGCCACUACAACCAGCAAUAAAUCAAGACCAGAUCUCUGAAGGAUUCUGCAGAUCGGUCGGUUCACUCAGACAUAACCACCUCCCUCCGAGCGGAACAAAAGCAACAGUGCAAAGUAGACAGCAUUACCUUGAUUUGGGAAGCAGAAUUCUGAACCUCAAGCAGGAUCUCUUGAUACGCAGGAGUUGGAGUAAGGAAACAAUGGCAGCCAACAUAAUAGCCGCAGCUUCGAAGCCAGACCUACCCGGCCUUCGGUCGUCAUCUUUAACCCCUUGGAGCUUCACCACUGGUUGAAGGAAGUAUGCAGAAAUUUACCUUUGCAGACGGAGCUUGGUUUACAUUUGCCCAGUUAAAAAGGAGGAGGAAGGGAUUGGAUCUCCAACAAACACUAAUAGCUUUCCGUUCUUUCUGCAACAAUCAAUUUUCAUGAUCCGUGGACUUGGGUUAUUUUCUUCACGCACGCACAAGGCAUACCCUUUCAUAGCUCCAGGAAAAAUCACCACUCUCUUCUCAUUUGACCAGCAGCUCUCUCUCUCUCUCUCAGACUUGGAUUAUGGUUGCCGCACCUUGAUCUUUAAGUGAUACCUCGAACAGAGAAACAACUUCUCUUUUGGAGAAGAGGAAAGGCUAGAGAACGACCCACGUUCAUCUUUUUCUCUCUAUCUCUCUCUCUCUCUAUCUAUCUCUUUCUUUUUCCUUUUCUUUUUCUUUUCUCUUGCUUUCUGUUCCUUUUCUUUUUCUUUUCUCUUGCUUUCUGUUCCUUGUCCCUUUCUCAAGGUAUGUCCUUCACUUGGCCCGAAAGGGCAGCAUACUAUAUAUAUUAUAGUAUGUGGCCUAAGAAAGAAAGUCUAGUCCUUUUUAUUAUUUCUUUUCCUCUUAUCUUUUUGUCUCUCUCUCUUUCUUUUCCUUCCUUUCUCUUUCUUCCUGUCUAUUUUUUCUUUUUGUUUUGAGUUGCCCGAAAGGGCUUUAUAUAUAUAUAUAUAUAUAUAUUAUAUUUGAAAAAGGCAAAAAGAAAAAGAUAAAAAAUAAUAGUUGCCAAAGUUUAUUUAUGUUUUAUCCUUCUUUUCCAGUUGUCCGACUUCGGGCAUUUUCAGUUUAUUAUCUAUGUAACCAGUGAAGAUGCUCUUAUGUUUUUUGGUAUCAACAAGAAGGAUGCACAAGUCAGACAACAUUUUUUUCCAAUGCUAGUUGCACUACCAAUUGCCUUGCUCCUCUUGCCAAAGUUUAUCAACGACGGCAGGACCGAAGAGGUAGACGUGCCUCUUCCUUCGACAUCAUUCUUGGCAGCAUUAGAGUUGUAAGUUUCACAAACUUUGCUCAAAUUUGUAAAACUUGGGGGGCACUGUUUGCACUCAAAAUAUGCCAAUUUUUACUUAUUUGGGCAAUUUGGGUAAAAUAUGGUAUUUGAAGGAUUAAUAUGCAAGAAAACUAACUUGGAAAAAUAUUUGGCUGCAAGUGGGGGGGGGGUUGGCACUAUAAUAUUGUUUUUCCCAUUUGUUUGGGUGGUGGAGGUUUGUCAAGCUUUUGUUUAAUCAAGAUACAUGCAUGUAUUGCAAGUGGAUGGAAGAGCUUUCGGGCAAGAAUGUGUAGUGAAAGAAGCUAGUUUGCUUCUUUUAAUUAUUUUAUUGCAAGUGGGAAAAUACAUGUGGUGGAGAUGCAACUUGCUUCUUUUUUAAUUGUUAGUUUAUUACAAGUGGGGAAACAUGUGCUAAAAACAUGUGGUGGAGAUGCAAAUUUCCCUUUUAAUAUUGUUUCUACAUGCAAGUUGGCAAAUGCAAAUGCAAGCUGCCCAAGCUUCUUUCGGGCAGGUACAAAGAUCUUAGCAAGGGGGCUCUUCCAGACCUCUAUAUAAAGAAGCAGAUGGAGAAGGAUUAUGGACACUCAAAACAACCAAUCAAAACUCUACUCAAAUUAGCUCAUCAGCUUCCUUGUAGACAUUUAUUUUUAGCCAAGCAUCCUUUGCUUUUCUUGUUUAUUAGCUCUGCUACUCACUUGUAGCAUCGAUCUUAUUUGUAGCUUUUAUGUACAACCCUCUUUCAGUCAUUUAAUCUACAAGCAAUCUGCAAUAUUAGUCACUUUCCUCUGUCAUUUAUAUUUCCAAGCAACCUUGUCAUUUACAUAUUGUUCUAUCUCUCCAUAUAAGUAAAGUCCUUAUUUUUAAGGCAAACAAAGAACCUUAAUUUGAGUAACUCCCACUCAAUGACACAAUCUCUUGGUUCGAAGUCAAUCUCAGGCGCAACCUCAAUCAUUUAGAAUCCGUUUACUUGCGGCAUCUAGUAGUGGCACGCCCGCACCCCACCAAUCUCGUAUGUGAAGUAAAUCCCCGGCUUGCCCACAAGGCGCCAUGGCGGAUUUAGGGAGCAAACACUUUGCUUUAAAGUUCUCAUCAAGAAGGAUGUUAUGAGGCUUGAUGUCGAAAUGUAGAAUUUGCAUUUUGCAACCUUGAUGUAGAUAUUGUUGACUUUUGUAUUUUAGGUAGGAUCCCUAAUUGAUAUGUAAUCCCAUGUAAUCACUUGUAAUUAGUUUUUCUUUCCUUUUAUGUUAGGGUUGUACACCUAUAAGUUCCUCUUAUUGAGAAGAAUAUAUCAUCAUUCAAAGCAUUCUCUUCUUGGCACCAGAGCCUAGGUUUUGAAAAGAAAAAAAAAAGAAAAGAAAGAGGAGACGAGAUCGUGCUCUGUACGGAAAACCAUAACUACCAGCCGCACAGCCAGUUGUGCAGCGCCGUCCGACCAGCAAGCGACGCCGUCGUUUCUGACCCGAGAACCCGAACUACCCGCCAUGCACCCAGGUGUGCAGUGUGCCGAUCAACCAGCGAGCGACGCCGUCGUUGCUGAUCCGAGUUCACCGAGCCACUCCCUGCAUCUACCACCACGAACCGAGAUUCAACCCACUGCCUGAAAUUUGUCCCAGAUUUCGGCCUGUGUAUCUGUUUUGCGUGCCCAGAUUCGAUUGAACCGAGUGCACCCACUUCACAAUGGCUCCCUGUGCUUGUCCUUUUUCAAAUGGAUUUGACCGAACCGGACAUGAGAGUAGGACCGAUCGAGACCAGUUCAAGACUUGUGAUCCCCACUGUAACAAGUCGUGUACCUCGAUUGUCGAAUCGAAAAUAGAUUCUAAUAUAGGUAACAAAGGUAAGGCUUUAAAAGUUUCUGCAUCUGUUACGAAUAAUACAUGGAUAAUUGAUUCCGGUGCUACUGAACAUAUGACUUGUGAAUCUAGGCAGGUACAAAUCCUAAAACCACCCACCAAAACUGUUGUGAGUGUUGCCAACGGUAAUGUUGUUCUCAUUAUUGGAGAAGGCACUGUCUCCCUGUCAAAUACCCUUAGUCUUGAUACCGUGCUUGUUGUUCCUUCUCUUGACCAUAAUUUAUUAUCUGUUGCUCAAAUAACUGUCGCCCUGCAUUGUCUUGUGAUUUUUUGGCCUUCCUUUUGUGUUUUUAAGGACAUUCGGACUCACAAGACGAUUGGUUAUGGUAUUAGGAAGGGGAAGCUCUAUUACUUGGAGCUGACAUCAAACAGUUUUCGAAUGUUGACUCACGCUCUUGCAGUGGACGGAAAUUCGGGGGAUAGGAAUAAAGCUUCGGAGGUUUGGUUGUGGCAUCGUCGACUUGGACAUGCUUCUUUCGGCUAUCUACGGAGGUUGUUUCCUAGCCUAUUUGUUAAGCAUGAUGUUUCUAGCUUUAAAUGUGGUGUUUGUGAACUAGCUAAAAGUCAUCGUGCUUCGUUUCCAUCCAGUUUGAAUAAAAGUUCUGUUCCAUUUAUGAUAAUUCAUUCUGAUGUUUGGGGUCCAUCUAAAACUGCUACAUUUGGUGGUGCUCAUUGGUUCGUUACUUUUAUUGAUGAUUGCACACGUAUGACUUGGGUUUGUUUGAUGAAAUCCAAAGGUGAAGUUACUUCUUUGUUUCAACAGUUUUACAAAAUGGUACAAGUACAAUAUAAGUCACAAAUACAGGUUCUCAGGAGUGAUAAUGGUGGCGAAUAUGUUAACUCUGAACUUCGUGCCUUUCUUGAUCAUCAUGGGAUUGUUCAUCAAACUACAUGUCCAUAUACUCCACAACAAAAUGGGGCUGCCGAAUGCAAGAACCGUCAGCUUCUGGAGGUUGUUCGUGCUUCUUUACUCGAGGCUCGUCUCCCGUUAUCCUAUUGGGGAGAAGCUCUCACCUCAGCUGCGUAUCUCAUUAAUCGUGUUCCAUCCCGAUCGGUUGAUUUUCAGACACCCCUUCAGGCAUUUUCUUUACAUGUUGAUGCUCCUGCAUUCCCUAAUCUUCCACCUCAUGUGUUUGGAUGUGUGGCCUUCGUUCAUCUUCAUAAACAACAGCGAAGUAAGCUUGAACCUCGAGCCUUACGAUGUGUGUUUGUGGGGUAUGCAUCAAGGCAGAAAGGAUACCGUUGUUAUCACCCACCGACGAAUAAGUUGUUUGUCACUAUGGAUGUUGCGUUUCAUGAGAAUGAUAUGUACUUUGCCAAUCUCGAGUCUUCACUUCAGGGGGAGAAUCAGAAAGAAGUUCAAACUCUUGAUUAUACUAUUCCAGAUAUAGAUAGAGUGAAUGAUUUGGAUUUAAGUGGUGAUGUCUUGGAAAUAAGUGGUGAUCAUUCACACGAAAAUAAUGAUGUGAAUGAAUUGGAAUUAAGUGGUAAUGUCUUGGAGACAAGUGGUGAUCAUUCACAUGGAAACAAUGUUGAAAACCUUGAAAGGGAUGAGUCGACAUCGCCAGAUAACUCACUGCCUGAUAGCUCACUGCCAGUUUCCUCACCACCGGACAACCCUGUGUCGCCAGCUACCUCACAGUCGAUCUUGAGUCCCAAUAACCAUAAUCAAUCGUCUUCGAUCCCGGAUGCACCACCACCACGUCGUCUCCCUGAUCGCAUCAACCGAGGUAUUCUUAAACUUACUUAUGAAGCCGACCCUAAAUGCAAAACUAGGUAUCCGGUGAGUAAGCCCAACCCUGAGUCUAAUGUGUUAUACCCGUUAAGUAAUUAUGUGUCUACCAGUCACCUGUCAGAAUCAAAUAAGUCAUUUGUGCAUCAAUUAUCUACUGUAUCUAUUCCUAACAGUGUGUAAGAGGCUUUAACUGAUCCACGUUGGCAAGUAGCAAUGAAUGAAGAGUUGAAGUCUUUGAAGAAGAAUGCUACCUGGGAGAUCACAGAUUUGCCAGCUGGCAAGAAACCUGUGGGAUGCAAAUAGGUCUAUACUGUGAAAUACAAAGCAGAUGGGACGGUGGAUCGUUUCAAGGCAAGACUGGUAGCAAAAGGAUAUACUCAAAAAUAUGGAAUCGACUACACAGAUACAUUUGCAGGAGUAGCCAAGAUCAACACAGUUCGUGUUUUGUUGUCCUUGGCUGCAAAUCUUAAUUGGCCUUUACAACAGUUCGAUGUGAAGAACGCCUUCUUGCAUGGAGACUUGACAGAAUAAAUUUAUAUGGAUCUUCCACCGGGAUGUAAUGCUCCAGAUAAAUACAAAAGAAAAGUGUGCAGAUUGAAGAAAUCUUUGUAUGUCUUGAAGCAGUCCCCUCGAGCAUGGUUUGGAAGAUUCACAAAAUCUAUGAAAGCAUUUGGUUACAGACAAAGUAACUCUGAUCAUACUUUGUUCCUGAAAAGACAGAAUGGGAAGCUUACUGCACUUAUUGUGUAUGUAGACGAUAUGGUGGUAACAGGUAAUGAUCCGGAAGAACGUGCGGCCUUGCAAAGAUACCUGUCUACAGAAUUUGAAAUGAAUGACCUUGGAUCCCUGAAAUAUUUUUUAGGGAUUGAGGUGUCGAGAAGCAGUUCUGGAAUUUUCUUGUCUCAGAGGAAGUAUAUUAUUGAUUUGUUGCACGAAACUGACAUGUCAGCUUGUCAGCCAGUAGCUACACCAUUAGAAGAAGGAUUGAAGCUUAGUGUUGAUCCUAAUCAAGUACCAAUUGACAAAGGAAGAUACCAAAGGUUAGUAGGCCGUUUGAUGUAUUUGGCACACACAAGACUGGACCUUGCUUAUGCCUUGAGUGUAGUGAGUAAAUACAUGCAUGAUCCUGGAGAACAACAUAUGAAUGCCGUGACGAGAAUAUUGCGAUAUUUGAAGGGAAGUCCGGGCAAAGGAAUUUUGUUUAAGAGGAAUAAUCACUUUAGUGUUGAAGGUUAUACUGAUGCAGACUGGGCAGGUUCCAUUGAUGAUAGACGCUCAACAUCAGGUUACUUUACGUUUGUUGGGGGUAACUUGGUUACAUGGAGAAGUAAGAAACAGAAUGUGGUUGCCCGUUCCAGUGCAGAAGCAGAAUACAGAGGUAUGGCUUUGGGGAUUUGUGAAAUUUUGUGGCUUAAGCUUCUGUUAAGCGAUUUGGGUAUACAACAUGAUCAGCCCAUGAAAUUAUUUUGUGAUAAUAAAGAUGCUCGUGACAUUGCACAUAAUCCGGUACAACAUGAUAGAACAAAGCAUGUUGAAGUUGAUUGGUUCUUCAUCAAAGAAAAAUUGGAAGGGAAAAUAAUUGAAGUACCAGCGAUAAGAACAGAAGAUCAGUUGGCAGAUAUCCUCACAAAAGCUGUUUCGAGUCACAAGUUUUCAAGUUUCUUACACAAGUUAGGCAUGAUCGACAUAUAUUCACCAACUUGAGGGAGAGUGUUGACUUUUGUAUUUUAGGUAGGAUCCCUAAUUGAUAUGUAAUCCCAUGUAAUCACUUGUAAUUAGUUUUUCUUUCCUUUUAUGUUAGGGUUGUACACCUAUAAGUUCCUCUUAUUGAGAAGAAUAUAUCAUCAUUCAAAGCAUUCUCUUCUUAUAUUCGAUCCCUUGACUCCAAGAGAAAUCUUGUACAUAGUCUUGAUAGUUAAGGGAGACUUCCUUAUUUGGAAUAAAUGUAUUUAUCAAGAGAGUCAUUAGGUAUGAAGUCAUAUAUUAGAGCGCUCUUUGAUCCCUCGACACAAUAUCCAAAAAGUUGCACCACAUUGGCACGGUGAAUCCUUCCGAUUGUAGCUAUUUCGCUAAUGAAAUCUUGGCCAUCAGCUUUGGGCUUGCCCAAAACUUUAACUGCUACAAAUCGGCCACUGCGUAGCUUUCCUUUAAAUACAAAGCCAAAGGCACCUUCGCUCAACUUGUCCUUAAACCUGCAAGUCAUUUUCUUGAUGUUCGAGUAAGAGUACCUUAUAGGCAUGAAGUUAUUGCAUUGCAAAAAAUCUUCUAUUGUGCUAUACAUUGAUAAAUGUCUUUUGCGCCAUGUAGAUUAAAAAUGCAGUCACAACUACAACUCCAAAAACAAAUCUGGCUAGGAAAAAUAACCCUGCAUGCAUUGACAUUAGUAUGUUAGAUCCACUGUACUACUUUUUCUUCCCUUUCUUUCCAAAUUACUUUGUCUUUGAUGUAAUUAAAGAGAGAAUGGGAAAUCUACAUAUGCUGAUAAUACAAUCUCGUAUUAGUUCUUACCGAUGCAUAUGAGUAUAAACCAUCCACGUACUGCAACAUAAUUAAUCGACAAUGAGUUUCAAAAGUGCAUAAAGUGAAGAAAAAAAAAUUUGAAAAAAAUCAAAGGGUGCCUCUAUUGACACCCAAAUUUUAGUUAGUUUCACUCAACUAAAAAAAAAAUUCAUCGAACUUUUUAAUUUGCCUUCGAAAUUGAGUUCACCCAACCCACCAACCAGCAAGCACCACUCAACCAAAAAAUGAACAACACAAAGAGCUGGCAUCGACGCUGUCGAUGAAGGAGGGACAUGAGGAUGGUGUAGUUUCGUCUGGCGCGCGGUAGUGGUUUUGUCUGUUCAUUUUCUCUUUCUUUUGGUAGGUGGAGGCUGGUGUGGAUUUGGGCGAACUUAAAAAUGAGGGGAAACUAUGAAGUUUGACAAAAUGUUUUAGUUAGGUGAACUUAACUAAAAUUUGGGUGCUAAAAAAGGUACCCAAAAUCAAAAGGCUUUUGUUUACCCAAUGCUAUGUACAGGUUUGACUUUUGUUUAUAUUCUUGGAUCUGUUGCUUGGUUGUAUAAUUUGGAUGUGGUUUUGUUUCAAGAUAAUUUGUUCUUCGUUUCUUGAGGCUUUUGUGUGUAGAUUUGAAACCGUUUAGCUUUCAAGCCGUUUAUACUCAAGGUAAAUAAUUUCGUUUUUUUCUUUUUAACCUUUUUUGUAAGAAUUUUUUAUUUAAUUUUGUGAGAGUUGUGUUUUCUAUAGUAUGAAAAUUGAAUCUUUGUGAUCUUAUAUCCUUAGAUAUGUUGCUUGGUUAUAUGAUUUGGCUGUGUGCAUUGUUUCAGGACAAUUUGUUCUUCGUUUUUGGGGCUUCUGUGCGUAGUUUUGAAGCCUUUUGUAGUCAACAUAAAUAAUUUUAUUUUUCUUUGUUUCUAGUCUUCUUUGUAAGAAUUUCUUAGUUAAUAUUUUGAGAAUUAUGUUUACUAUAGUAUGAAAACUGAAUCUUUGUGAUCUUCUAAGUGAUGUAACGUCAUUGCACCAUGUAUGACUGCCAUUAUCGAACAUGAAAAGCUUUUUUAUUUCUGUACUCCGUCCUUUCAUACGAUCUGCCUCAAAAAUGGUUUCAUUACAAGUUCUAACAUGAUUUUUGCGAUGUCUUAUGAAAAAACAAUGUCCACCAAAACAAUAGGAAAACGUCGCCGUCUGCUCUUCUUGGCUGAGCUUCAUGACUGGCCGAAUUCCCCUAUUCCCUUCCUCUUAUACUUUUUUGUAUUCGUUCACCAAAACAAUAGGAAAACGUCGCCGUCCGUUUGAUUGACGGCGAAAGAAAAAGACAGAGAAUAAAAGCCUGACGGAAUAUUGCGAUUUGAGAAAAAAAAGAAAGAACCACGUUGACAUAAUAUACUCACAAUAGGUGUACAAGGUUAAUAAAGCUUUACUGUGGUUCCAUUUUUUUGCAUACUUCAAAGGCUCUGAAUUGCUAAUGGAAUUAGCCUUUAGUUUUAGGAAGAAACUUGGAACCCCCUCCGUCCGUUCUAUCCCCAAUGGAAUUAACACUUGGAUAGUACUAUGACAAUGUGUCAUUAUUUGAUGCAUACCUGUAUAAAUUUAGGCUAAGUGUUUUAUACACAAAUUGGUACAGAUUAAGCUUCUGGGAGCAAAAUCAUAUACGGGAGAGCUAACUAUACAAUGAUACAUUCUUAUCUGUUAAUUAUCUUUGGUUACCAGCUAUCCAUGUUGCUGACAUAUUAAAUUACACAACAUCUAUUGUAAUUUAUGUCUUAUUAGUAACAUAAUGAUCUGGUUUCAAUUUGCUACAGGCAUUAUUUCCUGACAAUAGCUAUGGUUUUGAUUAUAGCUGUGACUGAAAAAUUAUUCCGAAACUAACAUUUGAGGAAUUCAAGGUUUGUUAGUUAAUUUGUACAUCAGAAUACCAUGACAAACUGUGAAGUUGUAAUUGUUGACCUUACAAUGUAUCUUUUUUGGUUUGGAGCAUUAGACUUAUAUGUGCUACUUUCACUUCAUGAAGGCUAACUCUUUAUUUUAGGCCUUAGAAUAUAAUUUCUUGGAGAAUCUACAUUGUUGUUGAUAAUUUUUUGAACAAUAUUAUCCCCAAAAUUUCUCCGCAUGUUACCCUCAACGUAGACAUCAUAUAACCAUCAUUGAACUUCUGAACCAAAAAUUUGAGUUUUGUGAUUAUAACUAAACAUCUAUAAACACAUGAUACAGAUUGAGACGAACGUCAAAUUUAAAAUGGCAUUAAUCAGGACAGCUGCAAACUCUGAUUUGCGGCCUUUGAAAUGGAGAAGUUACUUCUUGCUUCACUUCAGCAGCAUAGUCCAGCUUCUAAAUUCAGUUCUCAGGUAUGAGGUUUCUCAGUUACCUCUUUUUUGUAAUAAAACAUUUGACCAGUACUUGCCAGGAUAUCCAAUUAAUUAGGUCAGUUUUUGUCAGCCGUAAUAAUUUGUUUUUGCAACUUUAUAUGUGUCUCUGUCUCCAAAUGAUGAUCUCUUAAUUUGCUUCUAUAGCUUUUGUAAUAUGAUGAUCUCUUAAUUUGCUUUUGCAUAUCUUCUUUGCUUCCUCUGCUAGCUCUAUAUGAGAUUCCAUCUCCAAAUAAUUAUUAUUAUUUCCUAUUUUUACAGGAAGCAAAUCAUUGAAUACACAUGGAAAAUUAAAAGGGUUUUAGUUUUUGGAUUAGUUUAAAUUUUUUGUUUGUUAUUGCUUGUAUUGCUGUUAAAUAUUUGAUGGGUAGUUUGAAAUGGGGAACUUGGUUGAUCGAGUAUUAACUUUUAUUAAAUUAAUAUUCUUAUUCAAUAUUGAAUUAAGACUCCUCUUAUUAAAUUAAGACUCUUAAGGCUCUAAUCUAAUUUUCAUGCUCAACAUCUCCUCUAUCUUUCUACAAUUGGUAAAACUUUUGUAUUAUUAUUCCAAUUUUGGUUACUGGGUUGUGGAAUUUUCCAUUUUUUUCUGGGUAAUCAAUACUAUAUAUAUGCAUGAAAAGUAUAAACAAUAUUUUGGGUCAAAUUUAGUUGUUUAAUUUUUUAUUUUUUUUGUGACAGUGAGAUUAUGGUAGGAUUUCGUUUAGAUUCCGUGGCCCAAUGGGAGUCUCUGCUUUGAUAAGAUUGGGGUUGAUGCCAAGAAAGCCUUUCUACUGUGGACGCCGCAGCCGCCUAGCGCUGUUUUCCAAAAUCCUCUCUCACUUGGGUAAGCAAUUACGACUUUUUGGUUCAGUUUUUAUUAUGCCCAAUUUUGUAUUUAAACUGAUUUGGGGUUACUGAAAUAGGCAUGCUUGAUGAGUGCUGCAGAGCUGCCAUCCCUGAAUCAGAAGAUGUUCAGAAGGAAGAAGGAAGAACAAGAAGAAAAAGAAGAAGAAAGUCGUGGAAUAUCAAAAGCUUUUAGCUUUGUGAAGGUAUGCUUUUUCCCAACUCAUCUCUUGCUUUUGUUGCACUGAAUUGGUAGAUUGGGUUCAAAAUAUAUAUAUAUGUGAUUUUUUGUGUAACUAUUCUUUACAUAAUUACCAAUUGGAGGUGAUUUGAGAUCAUGUAACAUUUCCUCGCCAGAACCGAAGAUUGCCGUCGCUCAAAGCUGCGUUUCAUGAAACAAGUUCAUCUCCUGCCAAUUUUGUGUACCCACUUUUUAUUCAUGAGGGUUGGUGCUUGCUUGCAACAUAAUUUGGUGCUAUUAAGUUUUGCGGUUUUACAAUCUGUUCAUGCUUAAACCUCUUUCAAAUUUUCAUUUCUGUGUAAAUCUAGCAGGUAGGUCGACACACCUAUCUGGGCAAUGUCGGGAUGUCUAGGCUUGGGUGGAGACAUGGACUUAUGAAAGAGGUGAAGUAGCUUAGUUCGAUCUCAUUAGCUCUUAUCUAAAAAGUUCUAUUGAUUUUAUAAUCAAAGAUACAUAUAUUAUAGAAACAUAGGGUAUAUCAUUAAUUUCUUGAUGUAAACAAUUAUAACUUGAGCAACCAUUUAAAGUAUUUUGGUAAUCAGCAUACUUAAACUUAAAUGUGAUAUAUCCGUUUAGUUUUUUUUUUUAUACAGUGAUAAUACUCAAGUAUAAUUUACAUCAUAUAUCUUUUGAAGUACAUGAAACUAUGAAGAAAAUGAUAAACCAAAUCCCAUUCCAUCUCCGUUUGCUACUGCACAAUCACAAUCCAAUUCCAACAUGGAAUCCUCAGACGACAUGCCUACUGCAGAACAAGUUUCAUCUUGACUUAACUUCUAUUUAGUCCACUUCUUGUUUAGAUUGUAAUCCUAGUUCUACGUGUGUUUGUAUAGUACUCCUAUAAAUAUCAAUGAACAUCGCUCACUCUAAUUAAGAGUUGAGAUUCUGCAAAUCAUAUUUACUAUCUUUCAUGGUAUCACGAGCCAGGGUCUAACGACAACAGUUCAUGUUAUAAUUUUUUUCUCUUCUGCAGAUCCUAAACUAUGGCAUCUUCUUCCUCCUCCGCUGCUCCCUCCGUCUCAAAUUUUCUUACGAUUAAGCUCGACCGCAACAACUACCCUCUUUGGCGUGCUCAAUUUCUUCCCUUGCUGCGCAGCCGCAACUUACUCUCUUAUGUUACUGGCGAAACUCAAUGCCCCUCUGCCUUUCUUCUUGAUGACAAUGGUAAAUUCACAGACAAAGUCAAUCCAUUAUAUAAUGAAUGGAUCCAGACUGACGAGAUGAUCCUAUCUUGGAUUACGAGUUCUCUUACUCCCAAGGUUCUUGCUACGAUCGUCAACAAAAUUGAUAAAGCCUCUGCUUGGUCGUCAAACCCGAAUUAAUCUGAUUAUGGGGGUUUUGUUUUAUAUCAAUAUAUUGCAGCAGAAGUCGCACUUUGAAGAGUUCGUGCUGCACAGAAAGAUGAUGAAAUGCUACCUGUUGAGUCUAUCAUUGCUCCAUUGGAGACAGAGCUGAAGCUUGCUGCAGGAGUUAUACAUUUGUUAUGCAAUAUGACCCCUUUAAUUUUAUUUUAAAACUGAUACAAAAAUACUACAAAAAUUUAUGUAGUAUUUUUGUAUCAGUUUUGAGUGUCUAUUUUGGCUUCCAUAUUUCGUCUGUACAUGUGAGAGGUAUAGUGUUCAAUAUGUAUUUGGUUUCUAUAUUGUUAAUGGAUCUUCUUUUUUUUCUUUUUUUUUCUUUUUUUUUAAAGAUAACCAAGUUGCAGGAUGACAGCAGAACACUUGAUCUGCAGGUAAACCUUCAAUUUCCAUAUGAAGUUUGCAUGUUCGUUGUUUCUGGAAUUUGAGUUUUUAUUAUUUAUCAAUUCUAUCACAUAGAUUACGAUUUCACAUAUGGGAUUAUUAAUGGCAAUUAGAUGAUAGAAGAAUUGGGAUUGGAAGAAGAUAUUGAGUUGUUUAUUUAUGGGGAUUAGAAAAUGAUUAUCAUACGAGUGAUAUUUAUUUUUGUGUGGAUUGUUAAUAUAUAAAACUAUAAGCUUUUGAGAUUGGGAGACAAAACCCACACAUUCAAAUCAGACAAAAUAAAUAAAAAAUUUAACUGACUUAAAGAUCAAACUCCAAAAGGGUAUUAAAAACAAGGCUUAUUUGAUCCAUUGAGUGUGAAAGUUUUGAGCUUUGAAGAAGCAGAGGAGGAGAGUUGUUAACCAAGCUGCAUUAUCCAUGUAUUAGGAUGUUGAAGGUAGGCAGGAAAAUUACUUUUUGACGCCAUAUCCAGAGGAGCAUAACGACAGGCCUGCAUUUUUGCAGCAAUGACCAAAACAAGUAGAAGUGAAGGCUUGACUGUUUGGGUAUUCAUCCUAAACCUAAUUAUUCUUAUUUAGGUUUAGGAUAAAUGAUUGAGUGUGUCUCGAUGAUUGUAUUACUAUGUUUGAUGAAUGAUUUGAGGAGUUGGAAAUGGUUUAUUGCUUAUCUUUUUUUUAGGUGUGUACUUUGGUUAUUUCCGAGCUUUUCAUGACUUUUGAUACCUAAUAGAGAAUAUGGAAACCCCAACUUUAAUUUUAUGAAUUGGUUUUGGUGCCUAAAAUGAAAUCUAGCAUAGUGAAAUCUUGCAUAAUGAAAUUAUGACAAAUUUCCCUUCAUCUUUAGAUUUUCAUUUAAUUCAAUUCGUAUGCAAUUUAGGGUUAUUCAAUUCAUGAGUGAUCAAAUUAUGUUUUUAAUUCCUUCUUUUGAUUUACAGUUCAACAUUGUCGUACAAAAUGAAAAAGGCGCCAGUAACAGAGUUAUGGAUUUGGAUGCCUUUAGUGGAAUAAAACUGAAUUUUUUAACUUUGUAUAGUUGUAAACAUAAAAUACUCCAUGAGAUAGACUCAUAGCUUUUGAAAACAAUCCUUGAGGAUGGCAUAACAACAUCUCCAACUUUUGUCAUGUAAUGUAUGAAUGUCAAUAGCACUUCGUAAACAUAUGGAUGUAAUAUAUGUAUAUAAACACUCUUUAGCAUGUAUAUUUUUCAAAACUUUCUACAUCUUCAACAAUGUUUCAAUGAUUUCUUGAUGUAAACAAUGAUAAUUUGAAGAACCAUUUAAAGUAUUUUGGUAAUCAGCAUACUUAAGCUUAAAUGUGAUAUAUCCGUUUAUUAUUUUUUAUACAGUAAUAAUACUCAAGUAUAAUUUACAUCAUAUAUCUUUUGAAGUACAUGAAACUAUGAAGAAAAAACCCUAAUUAAUCUAAUUAUGGGGGUUUUGUUUUAUAUCAAAAUAUUGCAGCAAAAGUCACACUUUGAAGAGUUCACGCUGCAUAGAAAGACGAUGAAAUGCUAUCUGUUGAGUCCAUCAUUGCUCCAUUGGAGACAGAGCUGAAGCUUGAUGCAGGUGGUAUACUUUUGUUCUGCAAUAUGAUCCCUUUAAUUUUAUUUUAAGAUAGAUAGGGUUGAAAAAAAUUUAUGUAGUAUUUUUUUUUUUCAGUUUUGAGUGUCUAUUUUGGCUUCCAUAUUUGGUCUGUACAUGUGAGGUAUAGAAUGUUCAAUAUGUAUUUGGUUUCUAUAUUGUUAAUGGAUCUAUUUUUUUUUUUAGGUAACCAAGUUGCAGGAUGAAAACAGAACACUUGAUCUGCAGGUAAACCUCCAAUUUCCAUAUGAAGUUUGCAUUUUCGUUAUUUCUGAAAUUUGAGUUUUUACAGGAUGAAAACAGAACACUUGAUUUGCAGGUAAACACUUGAUUGGUUAUUUCCGAGCUUUUCACGACUUUUGAUACCCAAUAGAGAAUAUGGAAACCCCAACUUUAAUUUUAUGAAUUGGUUUUGGUGCCUAAAAUGAAAUCUAGCAUAGUGAAAUCUUGCAUAAUGAAAUUAUGACAAAUUUCCCUUCAUCUUUAGAUUUUCAUUUAAUUCAAUUCGUAUGCAAUUUAGGGUUAUUCAAUUCAUGAGUGAUCAAAUUAUGUUUUUAAUUCCUUCUUCUUUUGAUUUACAGUUCAACAUUGUUGUACAAAAUGAAAAAGGCGCUAGUAACAGAGUUAUGGAUUUGUAUGCCUUUAGUGGAAUAAAACUGAAUUUUUUAACUUUGUAUAGUUGUAAACAUAAAAUACUCCAUGAGAUAGACUCAUAGCUUUUGAAAACAAUCCUUGAGGAUGGCAUAACAACAUCUCCAACUUUUGUCAUGUAAUGUAUGAAUGUAAAUAGCACUUCGUAAACAUAUGGAUGUAAUACAUGUAUAUAAACACUCUUUAGCAUGUAUAUUUUUCAAAACUUUCUACAUCUUCAACAAUGUUUCAAUGAUUUCUUGAUGUAAACAAUGAUAAUUUGAAGAACCAUUUAAAGUAUUUUGGUAAUCAGCAUACUUAAGCUUAAAUGUGAUAUAUCCGUUUAUUAUUUUUUAUACAGUGAUAAUACUCAAGUAUAAUUUACAUCAUAUAUCUUUUGAAGUACAUGAAACUAUGAAGAAAAAACCCUAAUUAAUCUGAUUAUGGGGGUUUUGUUUUAUAUCAAAAUAUUGCAGCAAAAGUCACACUUUGAAGAGUUCACGCUGCAUAGAAAGACGAUGAAAUGCUAUCUGUUGAGUCCAUCAUUGCUCAAUUGGAGACAGAGCUGAAGCUUGAUGCAGGUGGUAUACUUUUGUUCUGCAAUAUGAUCCCUUUAAUUUUAUUUUAAGAUAGAUAGGGUCGAAAAAACUUUAUGUAGUAUUUUUUUUUUUCAGUUUUGAGUGUCUAUUUUGGCUUCCAUAUUUGGUCUGUACAUGUGAGGUAUAGAAUGUUCAAUAUGUAUUUGGUUUCUAUAUUGUUAAUGGAUCUAUUUUUUUUUUUAGGUAACCAAGUUGCAAGAUGAAAACAGAACACUUGAUCUGCAGGUAAACCUCCAAUUUCCAUAUGAAGUUUGCAUUUUCGUUAUUUCUGGAAUUUGAGUUUUUGCAGGAUGAAAACAGAACACUUGAUUUGCAGGUAAACACUUGAUUGGUUAUUUCCGAGCUUUUCACGACUUUUGAUACCCAAUAGAGAAUAUGGAAACCCCAACUUUAAUUUUAUGAAUUGGUUUUGGUGCCUAAAAUGAAAUCUAGCAUAGUGAAAUCUUGCAUAAUGAAAUUAUGACAAAUUUCCCUUCAUCUUUAGAUUUUCAUUUAAUUCAAUUCGUAUGCAAUUUAGGGUUAUUCAAUUCAUGAGUGAUCAAAUUAUGUUUUUAAUUCCUUCUUCUUUUGAUUUACAGUUCAACAUUGUUGUACAAAAUGAAAAAGGCGCUAGUAAUAGAGUUAUGGAUUUGGAUGCCUUUAGUGGAAUAAAACUGAAUUUUUUAACUUUGUAUAGUUGUAAACAUAAAAUACUCCAUGAGAUAGACUCAUAGCUUUUGAAAACAAUCCUUGAGGAUGGCAUAACAACAUCUCCAACUUUUGUCAUGUAAUGUAUGUAAAUAGCACUUCGUAAACAUAUGGAUGUAAUAUAUGUAUAUAAACACUCUUUAGCAUGUAUAAUUUUCAAAACUUUCUACAUCUUCAACAAUGUUUCAAUGAUUUCUUGAUGUAAACAAUGAUAAUUUGAAGAACCAUUUAAAUUAUUUUGGUAAUCAACAUACUUAAGCUUAAAUGUGAUAUAUCCGUUUAGUAUUUUUUAUACAGUGAUAAUACUCGAGUAUAAUUUACACCAUAUAUCUUUUGAAGUACAUGAAACUAUGAAGAAAAAACCCUAAUUAAUCUGGUUAUGGGGGUUUUGUUUUAUAUCAAAAUAUUGUAGUAGAAGUCACACUUUGAAGAGUUCACGUUGCAUAGAAAGACGAUGAAAUGCUAUAUGUUGAGUCCAUCAUUGCUCCAUUGGAGACAGAGCUGAAGCUUGCUGCAGGUGGUAUACUUUUGUUCUGCAAUAUGACCCCUUUAAUUUUAUUUUAAGACAGAUAGGGUUGAAAAAAAUUUAUGUAGUAUUUUUGUAUCAGUUUUGAGUGUCUAUUUUGGCUUCCAUAUUUGGUCUGUACAUGUGAGGUAUAGAGUGUUCAAUAUGUAUUUGGUUUCUAUAUUGUUAAUGGAUCUAUUUUUUUUUUAGGUAACCAAGUUGCAGGAUGAAAACAGAACACUUGAUCUACAUGUAAACCUUCAAUUUCCAUAUGAAGUUUGCAUUUUCGUUGUUUCUGGAAUUUGAGUUUUUGCAGGAUGAAAACAGAACACUUGAUCUGCAGGUAAACACUUGAUUGAUUAUUUCCGAGCUUUUCACGACUUUCGAUACCCAAUAGAGAAUAUGGAAACCCCAACCUUAAUUUUAUGAAUUGGUUUUGGUGCCUAAAAUGAAAUCUAGCAUAGUAAAAUCUUGCAUAAUGAAAUUAUGACAAAUUUCCCUUCAUCUUUACAUUUUCAUUUAGUUCAAUUUGUACGCAGUUUAGGGUUAUUCAAUUCAUGAGUGAUCAAAUUAUGUUUUUAAUUCCUUCUUUUGAUUUUCAGUUCAGCAUUAUCGUAUUUUGGAUGCCUUUAGUGGAAUAAAACUUAAUUUUUUUAACUAUGUAUAGUUGUAAACAUAAAAUACUCCAUGAGAUAGACUCAUAGCUUUUAAAAACAAUCUUUGAGGAUGGCAUAACAACAUCUCCAACUUUUGUCAUGUAAUGUAUGAAUGUAAAUAGCACUUUGCAAACAUAUGGAUGUAAUAUAUGUAUUUAAACACCACUCUUUAGCAUAUAUAUUUUUCAAAACUUUCUACAUCUUCAACAAUGUUUGAAGCCCCGCAACAAUGGGCGGGUACACUUGCUAGUAUACAUCUAAAAUUAUAAGACUAAAUCCUUUAGUUCUUGGAUUCAUCUAAGAACUACUUAUUCCAGCAGAUGUUAUGCUUGCACUACUAGAAUUUAUGGCUUGCCCUGUCAACUAUUGCGCGACAGAAGACUUCGUCGGUUUCACCUUUUUUAACCGACAUAAUAUAAGUUUAGUAGGGCAAAAUCAGUCAACAAACUGGGUUGACUGAAUAGAUUUACAGGAUGUCUAGAGUUCGUAGGUUAAGACAUCAGUCGUUGGGCAAACAUUUGGAGCGAAGAUGUGAGUGUUUUAACUGACGAAUAAGCUGGUCGUCAUGUAGAUCUUCUUUCCCGACUGAUGGUUCAACGAGUAGCUCUUUGGAUAACAAUUCAUCUUCAAGGGGAACAGGUUGCCCCUCAAAUGAAUGGUUAGAGGCAAUUGUGAGACUAUAAUUUUCUAGGGCCGGAAUAUCUAUAACCAUCCACCAAAUACCCCUUCUUCCCUUUCUAUUUCUCUCUCAGUAAUUUCCCCUGACCGAAUCACACAAUCCAACCAACUCUCUUUAAGCCUCACUCAUCGAUUCCAUGGAUUUCAUGGACUUAUCCCACCCUCUCUCCUUCCCCCUAUAUAUAGCAAGUCCCCUUGCCUCAGUGUCCCUGGCAACAAAAUUUAUGGCGUGUAUUCGGUCUUUCAAUUAUUUGAAAGCUUCCCUGCCUUGCAGUCUUGUACAAAGGCGUAUGGUGUUUCAUUAGUUCCAUUUGGUGGUUGGGUGGGAAAUGAAAUUAAAACACUGCAUUUCCAAUGGUCUAAACCAAAUUGAAUCAAAUGUGAAGCAAAGGGCAAGAAGUGUAGAUUGAAGAACAAUGGCACCAAGAGCGAAAUUGAACUUGUUGACAGGAGGAAACCAAGUAAGGAUAACGCGUCUAAAUCUUAUUUCGAAUCCAUUCAGCUCAUGAUGUUUUUAAUGAUGAUGAUCGGUAUACUUUGCUACAUGCUGUGAUUUUUCCGCUUUCAUGUAAUUAACGGCUUAUAUUUGUGGUAACGAUAUUGAUUAAUUUUGAGAAAUGACAGUCUAAUUUUUGCAACUGUCUUUUGCAGGCAAAACAAAGACGUUUGCAAGGGUGAGUUAUGUAGGACCAAUGUUUAGCUUUGUUUCAUGUCCAAAUGACACUUGAGAAUAAAUGUUUACUCAUGGAUAAUAUCUAUCUAUUUGCAGGAGCAACCCUGGGUUUAUUUGUUCUUUUACUACUGGUCAUUGCCGCAUAUCACGCCUAUAGCACUGACAAAAGUAAAAAGAAAAUCGAAUGAAAUUUGGUAAGUUUUCAGCGGACUACAAAGAUCUUAAGCCAAGCAUAUAUUCCCAUUCAGAUAUUAAGAGGUUUACAAAUCAAUUCAAGUACAAGUUGGGCCAAGGAGCAUACAUAAUUGUUUUUAAAGGAUAGUUUUUUUCUGAAUGCUUUGUUGCCAUGAAAGUACUUAACAUUUCCAAGGGUGACGGGGAAGAGCUUGUAAAUGAAGUGGGGAACAAUGGGCCAUAUUCACCAUGUCAAUGUGGUUCACUUGGUUGGUUUUUGUGCUGAUGGAUUUAGAUGAGCUCUGGUUUAUGAGUUCUUUUCCUUUGGUUCACUCCAGGAUUAUAUUUCAUCAGUAGAUAGAUUUCUUUCCUUGGUUGGCAUAAGUUGCAAGAUAUUGCUAUCAGCAUAGCCAAAGGAACCAGGGAUGUGAUCUACAAAUCCUCCAUUUCGAUAUCAAACCCCAUAAUGUUUUGCUCGACCAAAAAAUCACGCCAAAAAUCUCUGAUUUUGGUCUGGCCAAGUUAUGUUCCAAGGAUCAAUCAAUGUGACUAAAGCAAGGGGGACCAUGUGACUAAAGUACCCGAAGUGUUUUCCAGGAAUUUCGGAAAUGUGUCUUACAAGGCAGAUGUCUUGAAUGCUGCUGCUUGAGAUGGUAGGAGAAAAGAAGAAUAUUGGUUCAACUAGAGGACACAACAAAUGAAAUCUACUAUCCAAAAUGGAUUUAUAAUCUUCUAGAGGAAGGAAAUGACCAACAGAUCCCUAUUGAGGAAGAAUGUUAUGGUAAGAUUCCAAAGCAACUUGCAAGUUUAGGGCUCUGGUGCAGCCAGUGACACUCGGUGGAUCGGCAGUCCAUGAAAACGGUGGUUCGGAUGUUAGGAGGAGGAGAAAACUUGAUGAUGCAAGCAAUCCUAAAAGCCUCAUACAGUUAGAAGUAAUUGCUGAAUUAGAGUAACAUAUGUAUAUGUAUACGCACCAACACUAGUCGUUCUUAGAUGAAUCCAAGCCAAACAAUUACAGACAACAGUUAUUCACUAAAUCACUUUAAGGCAAGAAUUUAAUUAAUAAUACAUUACUGCACUUUCUUAACCAUUUGACCAUCACCUAGCAGACAAUGAACACGUUAGCUCCGCGUUAGAACAUCUUGGGUUCAAUUCAUUGUCUUGAAUAUCACCCUCUGUCACAGGCGUCUCUAGGGGGCAUAGAGAAGGCCUGAGAGGCAUUUGCAGACAUUCAACAUCACCUCCAAGCAUUUUGACAACUUUGGACAUCGAAGGGCGAUCACUUGGUUUCAUUUGAAUACACCAUAAGGCGGUUAUAACCAUCCUUCUUAUUACUUUCUUUUCCUCCUCUGUAACAUUGUCCGUUUCCAAGUUAUUUCCCACAAUAUACUGAUCGUAUACCCACAUUGGGAAGUAGAUUUGGCUUGAAUGCUCUACCGUUGGAUUCAAAUUCUUCCUUCUGCUUGCCAUCUCCAUCAACAACAUUCCAAAACUAUAGACAUCUGACUUGUAUGAGACACCUCCAAUAUUUUUGUAGAACAACUCAGGAGCAAUAUAUCCCAGUGUACCUCGUGCUGCCGUCAAAGAGACAAUGCUAUUAUCUACAGGAUACAAUUUUGCAAGCCCAAAGUCAGAAACCUUUGCUUUAAAGUUCUCAUCAAGAAGGAUGUUAUGAGGCUUGAUGUCGAAAUGUAGAAUUUGCAUUUCGCAACCUUGGUGUAGAUAUUCGAUCCCUUGAGCCACUCCAAGAGAAAUCUUGUACAUGUUCUUGAUAGUUAAGGGGACACUUCCUUCUUUGGAAUAAAUGUAUUUAUCAAGAGAACCAUUAGGCAUGAAGUCAUAUACUAGAGCGCGUUUUGAUCCCUCAACACAGUAUCCAACAAGUUGCACCACAUUGGCAUGGUGAAUCCUUCCGAUUGUAGCUAUUUCGCUAAUGAAAUCUUGGCCAUCAGCUUUGGGCUUGCCCAAAACUUUGAUUGCUACAAAUCGACCACUGCGUAGCUUUCCCUUAAAUACAGAGCCAAAGCCACCUUCGCCCAACUUGUCCUUAAAUCUGCGAGUCAUUUUCUUGACGUCCGAGUAGGAGUACCUUAUAGGCAUGAAGUUGUUAUUGCAUUGCAGAAAAUCUUCUAUUGUGCUAUACAUUGAUAAAUGUCUUCUGCGCCAUGUGUAGAUUAGAAAUGCAGUCACAACUGGAACUCCAAAAACAAAUCUGGCUGGGAAAAAUAACCCUGCAUGCAUUGACAUUAAUACGUUAGAUCCACUGUGUACUACUUUUUCUUCCCUUUCUUUCCAAAUUACUUUGUCUUUGAUGUAAUUAAAGAGAAAGAAUGGGAAAUCUACAUAUGUUGAUAAUACAAUCUCGUCUUAGUCCUUACCGAUGCAUAUGAGUAUAAACCAUCUACGUGCUGUAACAAAAUCAAUCGACUAUGAGUUUGAAAAGUGCAUAAAGUGAAAAAUAAAUAAAUAAAUAAAAUCAAAGGGUGCCUUUAUUGACACCCAAAUUUUAGUUAGCUUUACUCAACUAAAAAAAUUUUGUCAAACUUUUUAAUUUGCCGUCGAAAUUGAGUUCACCCAACCCACAAAGCAACAACUACCACUCACCAAAAAAACCAACAACACACAUCCACCAGUACCACUCACCAAUAGAAAGAGAAGGAACACACAGACCCACCAAGGAGCCGGCAUCGACGCAUCUACGAGGGAGGGACCGGAGGGUGGUGUAGUUUUGUUGGGCGCGCGGUAGUUGUUUUGUCUGUUCAUUUUCUCUUUCUUUUGGUAGGUGGAGGCUGCUGUGGAUUUGGGCGAACUUAAAAAUGAGGGGAAACUAUGAAGUUUGACAAAAUGUUUUAGUUAGGGGAACUUAACUAAAAUUUGGGUGCCGAUAAAGAUACCCAAUAUAAAAAAUACUUGAGCGUAUAGACUAAUUAAAUGAAGUUGAUCUUACCGAUCGGGUGGCUGUAUGAUGAAUACAACUUGCCAGCUGCAAUAGAUACCACAGAAAAGUGAGCAAAGACAUACAGUUACUAGGUUUAAGAAGUACAGAUAGAGCACACAAAAAUAAAAGAAGCUUUUGGAGAGAAACUUCUUACGCAAAUAUAUGUAUUCAUGACCUACAGUGAAAAUUGUGAAGAAGAAUACACAACAUUAGCAAUAGCUCACCCAGUCUUCAGAAUUUAAAAAAAUCAAGUUUGUCGAUCGAAAACUUGUAAAUAAAACAAAAAGAGGACCCCUUACUGAUUUGUUGCCAUAGAUAUUGAAAGAAACCUACAAGAACAAAGAAAGAACAAGACCACAUGCAUUAGCAUAACAAGUGUGAGGUGUAUAAGUCGUUAGAAAAUAAAUUUAGAAUUCUAGUGCUGUCAAUACAUUGAUAAUAUAAUAUAUAUGUGUUAUUUUUUCUGAAAAUUUAACUUUCCCCCUCCAAACUCAUUUUUCUAGCCUCUAGCCCAUCAUAUAAUAUUUAUCCGAAUAAAACCCAAUGAUUAGGAUCCAACUAAGAAACUUACCAAAUUAAGUUUGUGUGUCCAUUUUUAUAUUUUUUGGAUCGCUAAUAUACCCCAUCUAAGCCAGUAUGGAAAGUUCUUGUAAUUUUGUUUUAAUUGAUCACGUGCAUUGAAUUUGGCAAGGUCUUGUAGCCAUGAAAAAUGGUUCUAGAUGGAGGAAUUAAUUGGGAUUUUUUUUUUAAUUUUGACAACAAAUUUCAAUUUGAAUAUACCUAAUUUAGUGUUUAUUUUCAACAAUAUCUAUUGUUUAAUUUUAUGAAAAUAAUUUACCUACUAUGAAAAUUAAUUUUAUGAAAACAAUAUCUAUUGUUUAAUUUUAUACCUAUAGGAUAAUUACAUGAAAAUAGUUUACCUACUAUGAAAAUUAAUUUUUUCAAAACAAUAUCUAUUGUUUAAUUUUAUGAAAAUAAUUUACCUACUGUAUAAUUACAUGAAAACUAAUGUGCCUAUUUUUUAAAUUUGUUACAAAAUUAAUUUACCUACUCUUUAUGGUAUUAGUAAUAUAUGUCCGUACGUAUUUGAUCUAAUUAGGUUUUGGAUUGGAGGAGUUGACACAAAAUUAUAAAUAUAUUAAACAAAUUUAUCUAUCCUUAAGUUGGAGGGGAAUUGGCCUGCACAUUGCUACGGUAAACAAAUGCCACUCGAUUUCACGUUAUUUACAACAAAGCUAUCAGAUUUGGGUUGGGUUGGAGGGUAAUUUUGUGCAUAGGGUUUAGGUGCCCUCCUAUAUAUGACCCUUGAUUUUACUUUAUUUACACCACUGCCAUCAAAUAUGUGGCUGAAUUGGAGGGUAUUAUUAAAAGUUAGGAGGAUAGUUUUGUCCAAGGGGUGGGGGCGACAUUCGCAGACAGGGGGCGAUGGGAGCCAUGCCCAUUGCACAGAAACAAAGGGAGUGAUGGGGGAAAUUACAGACAGAAAAGGAAGGGAUGGGGGGAUUUGAUGGGUGGUCACAGAGAGAUUGGGUGAGGGAUGUGAGGGGACAUUACAGAGAGAUAAAUAAAAGGGAGGGAUCGGGUGAUUUGAGGGAUGGUCAGAGAGAGAAAUAGUGAGGGGGAUGUGGGGCUGAUUUUCGGUUCCUCCUUCCAGAUUUGUUCCGUAAAACCUGUUGGGUACAAUUCAAUCCCUCCCCCUUUCCCCUGAACGAAAAAUUCGAAACCUACAACUCAAAACUCACUCAUUUGUCGCCCCUCCUUGGCUUUCCGCUUUAUUCAUCUCCCGGUGUUUCUUUCUCUCCAUACGAUUCGAUUUCGGUGAGUUCUUCGUUGCCCUCAUGAUUUCCCAGUUUGAUUUUUUGAGCGUCCUUAGUCGUUGUUUUUAUCUGGGUUUACUGCGUUGUUGCUUUUAGUUUCUGGAUUUUUAUUUUUUCCGCGGUUGGAUGAAUCGUGGUUAAUAAUUUCACACCAUGGGAUUUUCGCACUUCUGAUGGAAUUGAGCGCGGGGAUUCGGGGUGGGGUUUUACUGAUAAUUUGUCUUCAUUCAAAUGAAUGGUUAAAAUUUCUGAAGUGAGUGUGCAGGUGGGCCCGUUCACUAACUAAGCUUUCAAGGGAACCCAUCAACGGUUUGUUUGCUGGGGGAAUUCGGAGACUACCAGUGUAUGAUUUAGUUAUCAUUUAUUUUUUUACUUAAUUUUAUCCAUAUAUAAUAUGUGGGUAAAUUUAUACUAAACAAUUGUGAUAAGCCAAUAUGCCAUACGACUUUGAAAGCAUUGAUUUUGUGUUUAGUUUGCAUUUUUGCAUUGUGAAUGUUGAAUUUUGUAUUUAAUUUGGAUUUUGUGUUUGAAUUUGUAGCAUGAUCUUCCGCUGCAGCAUCCAAAUUUUGCAUUUGUAAAUUGUCAAAGAAAAACGAAGUAUGAGGAAAUUAUAGGAGAUUGUGUCGGCUUUGGCCAUGAAGGGUAUCAGCAGCUUGUUCCCCCAUACAGGUGAUUAAUCGUUUUUCAGUCUCUGUUCUAUUUGGAUGAGAAAGUGAUUGAAAAAUAUGAUUUUUUAUUUGUUGGUUGAUUUUGUAUGGACGAUGUAUUAAUUUUAUUUUUUUUGGGAUUUUGUGUAUUGGGUAUUGUGUAGAACCAGCAAUGCAAGAGCAGGAUCUGAUCAGUCACGCCCGAAAAGGGGUUUGUUUCUCAAAUCACAUUAAUUAAUUAGAUUAUUAACGUGCGUUGGAAGGCUCUUCAAUAUGAUUUCUAAUUUCUCCUUUCCAGCAUUCUCUUUUUGGUUUUUGGAGUAUGUAUGUGAUUUGUAUUUUUUUAUAGAAUAAAAAUUAAUAAAACACGAGAUGCAGCAAUUAAUUUGCAUCCUUAUGACAACACAUAUGAAAGUGCAUUCAAUUUCAAUGUGCGAAUGUGUGACAGGAUGUGCCUGCCUCCUUGAAAACACUUUAUGUGAACAAGUGUGAGGUUCUACAUAAAAACAGGGCCAGUAAUACCCUGAACGUGGAAUCCUUACGAGGAUCUCUUGAAAAACUGACAAUAAAUGGAUGCCCGGGUCUCUCAUUGUUACUAGAGUCGACGGAGACGCUGCCGUCGCUUCAGAAGCUUGAUAUUGAUAGUGUUGGUGGGAAAGAGUUGUUGGCGCAAAUGGUGCACAACAGCAAUCGUCUUCAAAGUUUGACUUUAUAUAAAUGUUACUCACCCUUGUCGUUCCCUACAAAUGGUCUGCCCACCACGCUGACGUCACUGAGCAUAACAGAUUGCAAGAAAUUAGAAUUCCUAUCACGUGAGAUGAUGGCCAAAUUGACUUCCCUUCGGUCUUUGCGUCUAUCCAACAGCUGUGAACGCAAAGGCUUGAGUAUUUGCAGUUUAGUUUUUUUUUUCUUCAUUUUAGAGAUUUUUCUACUGUUUGGUUUUUGGGUUUUGUCUAAUUUUUGUGGUCUGCUUUAUAGAUUGUUCUCUUUGGAAGCUUCUUUCCAGCCUUGACCUUCUUCUUGCCUGGUGCCUUCUCAUUGAGUAUUGGAGGAGCAUUAAAACACAGGUGUGUGUGUGUUUUGUCGACGUAAGAGAUGAACGACAUAAAAACAUCCAUCUCUGUAUUUUUUUGUGCUUUUUCUAACCCAUCAAUUUCUUUUGAGUCAACCAAAUAGUCCCAAAUUGCAACUUAUGUUGUGAGGUAUUAUUGUCUAAAAUUAAGUAUGCAUGUAUAUUUUAUGUUUAUGCCCGCGCACACCUCCGCAUGGUGUUAAUCUCUGUGGGUCAUCUAUGUAUAUGUAGAUAUAUCUAUAUGUGUAUGUGUGGAAUGCAACAUAUCGGAUUUAGGUUAUACUGUGCAUAGUUUUAUUGCCUGUUAUUAUCUACGAUAUCACUAUGCCAUUUCUAUACUGGCUCUGAAAGUUAUUCAUGAGCUUAUAAGCACUUACCAUAAUUUAAGCAGUCUGUUUUGGGUUCUUUUUCAUUAGGUCAUUAGCUACAGAUUAAUGGAGAAACGAGGACCAUGCCACUGAUUUGGGUUCUUUUUCUAAUUUUCUGAUUUUGGGGUUUUGCAGGGAGUACUGAUGUACUGAUUUUCUGGGAUUUUUUUUUGUCCUUGCAGGAUUUUUGGUCUUUGAAAUGGGUAUGUGUUGUUUUUAAUGUUUCAGUUCUAGCGUGUUCCGUUCUUCGUUGCUUCGUGAUUCUCAUUUUUCAGUGUUGGGUGAUGGAAAUUUGUUAAAGUAGUUGGUAGUUUUUUGAGAAAGUUGGCAUUUUUAGUUAUAUUUUCUGUUUAAUCCUAAAUGUAAGACUGGAAAAUCAUUGAAAUGAUGGUUUUUUAAAAACUCAUAAUUUUUUUGUUCUGGGAUUUAAAAGCAUCUUUUCCAGAUUGGUUACAAGGGUUAUGUUCUCUUCAAUUGGUUCACCUAAUUUUGAUUAGUUUUAAGUUUUGUCCUUUUAAGUUUGUCUUUUAAGUUUUGUUCUUUAAGUUUUGUCUUUUAAGUUUUGUUCUCUAAGUUUUGUCUUUUAAGUUUUGUCUUCUGUGCUGUAAUGAGAGAUUUCUGUUGGCUUUUCGGAUUUUGGCAUGGGAAAGUUCACUUAUUUGUCUAAUUAGAUUGUGUAUGCCUUCGAUUCUUUAUUUAAUUGUUCUGUUUGCGUUCGGGUGUGAUGAUCUAAAUUUCAUAUGUUUGGAAUUAUUUACUUAACACCAAUUUGUUACAUUCAGAUCUCCACCCCACAUUUCACUAGUUGAAAUUCCAUAGAAGUCGGUUACUGCAGAUUGCGUCUACAAUUAGAUCAGAGAUCAACUGCUCUUUUGUUAUCCUGCAGAAGAUUGCUUUUGGGAAGGAUCUGAAGUAGUUUCUCUCUGUAUGUUUAUUCCCAUGUAGCUCUGUCUUUUCUAAUUGUGUUGAUAUUACACUGUAAUUCAUGAUGAUGAUUUAAUUGUUUAUUGAUUUGUAAUUGAUUGUGAAUAAUGUGGCAUAUAUGAAUUGCAAUCUGUGUUUGUAUGAAAGGGAUGGCAUAUUAUGUUGCUGACUUAAUUGUUUAUGUUUUUCAUAUUUGCAAAUGGUGUUAUGAUCAAUUAGGUGAUUGCUGACCUGUGACUUUGUUUGGAGCUCAAAUUUUGUGAGCAUUACAUUGGAUUGUUUUGAUGUUGUUUUGGUUAACAAUGCAGCGAUAGGAGAAACAAAGAGGAUGACACUUAUAACUGCCCUUCCCCAUCGGCCGUCUUCAAAUUUGGAUCACAAGAAGGGAGCAACAUAGGUGUUUUCCUUCUUCAUUUAGAUAUGGUUAGUGUAAAUAAUUGGACAAAAGAGCCAAACAAACCCUGUUCUCUCAAAUGGAGUCGAUGAUGUGGUCGACGGCCACCAGCCCCAACUCAAGAGUUUGGCCUUCAUAUAAUUGGAUUGUAGUAUAAUUUUAUUUUGGUUCAUUUCUUUUUUCCUUUAUAUAAGUGCAGGUGUUGUGAUGUUUUGAAUAAAGGGUGAUGAAAGGUGGUUCACACACUUCCUCCUUACUUAAAGCAAGUGGAGAUGACGGUUUGUAUAAAAAGAAAAACUUGCCACGUACUUCAAUUUUCUAUUUUAUUAAUUAUUGUUUGGUUUUCCAAAUGUUGUAUUCACUAAGAGACCAAUUAUGUCUUUGAGAAACAAGUUUCUUUGUCUACAUUGCGAGAAUUUGCAGUUUGCAACUUUCAUUGGUUAUUAUAUUUGAUUGAGUUAAACUUGGAUUUCUGGAUUUUGACUUUUUCGUUUGUUUCUUUGUUGCAGAGUUGGCUUCAUUUCAUUCCAGGAACUGUCUAAAUAGGGCCAAGAACUCACUAAUAGGUAGUCAAGAAGAAUUCAGUGUUGCCUUCAAUUUUUGCCUUCUGUUUACAUUCUUCCUGGAUGCACUCUCACCGCUUCUCUCGCUUACCACUUUUGUCUCACUCACCGCUUCAUCUCUUCUGUUGCUUACAAGGUCGUGUCAUAUAUUUUUUUAAUUUUGUGUGGUUUAAUUUAUUGAAUAUUUGAAAAAAGAGAUAAAAUUUUCAAUUUACAAUUACUGAUAUGAUGUUUGUUUUGAAAAUCAUUAAGGUGAAUGGAGAGAUUUACAACCAUGAAGAGCUGAGGAGCCGUUUGCCAAAUCAGAUUUAUAGGGCUUCAUCAAUUAUAAAUAAACGACUUUUCAUUCCCAAUGACCUUUAUCGUUUUUCUUAAUGGGUUAGCUGAACAUGAGGUAGAUGCUGACUUUAUCAAAUAUGAGAAUGUUUUAGGAUUUCAUUCUAAUUUUUUGGCUGUUUGAUUACUUUGCUUUUCGUAAUUUGAUUUGCUUAUCGUCAAUUGGAUGGGAUAAAACAUAUUUUUGUAACCAGUUUGUACUUUUUUUUUCUUUUUUUUGUGGAAACUAACCAGUUUGUACUUUUACCAAUUACCAUAUCGGUUUUGAUGGAAUUGGAGCUUUCAGUAAUGGGUUCUGAGGGAAUUGGAGUUCUGAGUAAUGGGUUUUUUUUAACAACUAUAGUAUCAUUUGUGAUUCAUUUAUUUAUAAGAUAUUAUAUAGGAAACUGUUUUUAGCACUCUAAAAAUCUUAUUCUACACUCUCGACAAAUGUAUUUUUCUUUCUAAUUAUGAAAAGUUUGGAGGGCAAAAUGAGAAUUGUGGAGUGCCAAUAACAAUUCCCUAUUAUAUAUAGCUCUACUAGGAAGGCGACUGUAUGUCUUCAUCCUGUUAAAUUGUAUAUGGCUCUUGAUGUCGGCUGAAUUAAAUCAAAAUGAAAACCAAGCUGCUGAUCUUACCAGCCCAUAUCACUUAUCACUUGCUUAUUUAAAUUAUUUGAAGAUGCGUAUGUGGAUUGGUGAUUUUGUUGGAUUCACUUGGCUCAAAUAUAUGUUAUCUGAGUCGCUACAUUUGAGAAUGUGAUUUUGUUCCUACCACCAUUUUGCCCACUUUUUGUGGAAAUUAUUUCUGCUUGUUGUGAAUGAUACAUUCAUCCCCGGCAGCAAAGUGCGAAGUGCGGGCGCAUUUUCUAGUUUAAGUAAAUCACACAAUGGGUCAUCAAUAAUAACAAACUUGUCAUUUAUGAGAGUCAAACAUGAGGCCACCUACCUACUAGUUUAGUGGAAUACCACAAGUGACAUGUUGAUACCUUUAAAUCUCAUAUAAUGGAUUGCAGAAUUAGGAUAUUCCUAGACUAAUUUAGUUAGUGCGUGAACCCGAACAAUUAACAAGGGUUUUAUUCUUGCUUGAAUGUUUGUUAUAUGUUCCUAGUUUGACAAGGCAAUUAUAUUUCCGACUACAAGUUAUUAAUUUAGUCGAGAAUUGACGCACCUGAAAUGGUGUGAGGAAAACAUGUAUCCACAUGAGCCGCAGUCCACUGUCCUUGGCAUCUAUCUUUAAAAGGCUCGAAAUGAAGCUCAAAGCCAUACAUGAGGGCAUUGUGUAUGUCUUUAUAAGAGAAGUUGCGGUAGUCCUCAACGUAGCCGGCAGCCAAACUCAUCCACUCUACACUGCAACCAUCAUCCAAUUCCCAUACCUCCCUGAACCUGUCCCCAACAUAUUCCCCGACCAUGACAUAGCUAUUCGUUUUUGGUUGACUCGAAGAAGAAGAAGAAGAAGAAGUAUUAUUCAAGCAUGGAGCAGUGUCCACGUACAGAGAAGAAUUCGAUGGAUUCGAACACUUCAAGUAAUAUAUAGAUAGAGAAUUAAUGUCAUAGGCGGGCCAAUAUAGAGAAUUGAUGUCCUCGGUGGUGGGCGGAAUAUUUUGAGACAUGGAAGAGCAAUUGUUGUUGUCAAGCCCAGGAUCUCGAAGUCGGAUUGUUUUGUUAUUAUAGUUGAUUGCCUGGACAUGGUACUUUCCGAAAGAAGGUAGGUCUAGUACUGUAAUGUUGCUCUCACAGGACAGAGUAUACGAUAUGUUGCCACAGUACUUUGGAUCAUCGUUAAGUCGAAAAGGAUGGCUUAUGUUGUGGAUAUGGCCGCAGGAUGAAGUGCAGGACUUGGCACUACUGUUGUCAGCGUUACAAGUUUCACUGCAAAAGCAAAGAAGAAGAAAGGCUAAACUUAAGGUGAAGGACCUGGUUCCACUAAUUUCCAUUGCUCUGAGAGAGAGAGAGAGAGAGAGAGAGAGAGAGAGGGUACCAUAGCUUAAACACCAAGGAGUUAUAUAAUAUGGGAGGGGUUAAAGCACCUCGCUUACAGUUGCAGUAAGCCCGUCAAAUAUCCUAGGGAAAAGUCGGUCAAUGGUGUCCUAUAGAGAAAAGUCGGCCUUGGUGUUUGACACGGUCACUCAACUCUCUCUCUCUCUCACAUUGACGAGGGACACUGUAAUUGAAAAAAAAAAAUGUUCUUCAGAGAUAGAUCUUGAAAUUCUUAUUUUAUAUAAAAAAAACACCUAAUAUUAAAUUAUUAAUCAUUCAAAUGAAAUUCUUAAAAUUAAGUAUAAAUAAUACAUAACGAAAACUGAGCACAUACAAUCAACGGUCACGAUCGUGAAAUCCUCCGGAUCCUCAGAAAAAAAUCCGACGAUGAUCUUUUUCUGUGUAAAAUAAUUUGAGGGUAUAAUACUGGAUGUGGAGCCAAAAAUAUUCGCUAGGCGACACGUGGACUUUUGGACAAAAGAGGACAAAAAUACCCUCGAAGCAUACAAGGAUUCCUACGCGCGAGCAGUGGGCAAUCAUCUUUCAAUCAAGUCAAAAGUGCCCAAAAAAGGUAACAAUUAAAAACCUCUCUCAUCAAAUCCUUUCUAUAAGGUAUUUCCCAAAACCUAGUAUUUUCUAUUUCAUUAUUUAGCUAAUCAAUUAGCUAAAUAAUAUAAACCUACCAUAUCUCCUAAAAUCACCCAAUUAAUAGCCCAAAACCGGCCCCCACUAUUCACAUCCUCAUCUUUCCCAUUUUCCUUAUUAAAAUAAUCAUUCAUUUUUAUAAACCACCCAUUUUAUUAUUUUCAUAUUUAAUUAGCCAAUAAAUUGGCAAAUUAAACAUGAAAUUAACCCCCACAAAAACCCUAUGGCUGGCUACUAUUAUUCAAAAUAGGGCAAACCCUAACUCUAUAAAUAAACACAUAUUCUCACCAAAAAUUCAUUCCAACUCUCUCACAAAAAAUCACAAAUACUCUAAACACUAUUUCUCUCUAAAAUUCUAACUUUGGCAUCAGAGGUUCUUCGGCCAAAGCCCCCCCCAUUCAUCGUGGGCGCGUGAGGCUCUUGGCCUUAACCUAAGGUGCUAGUUGUUUUGUAGGUGCAAAAUCGUCCAAGAUCGAAGAGGAGAAAAUUUGCAUCCACAAAUUGGUGCUUUCAUUGAGAGUUGAAAUCCAUACUCGUAGAAGACUCUCGCACAAAAAGGUUUUUUCUUUUAUUUUCUAGUCCAUUUGAAUAUUUUUCAUACGUUCUUAUUAUUAGAAUUUUUUUACUUGCAAAGGUUCUUUGAUAAAACGUAUAAGCAAAAUAUAAUGGCUAGAAAUUUAGAAAAUUCCACAAGUGAAAAUUCUAAUGUUCAAGAAAUGGGAUUGCGGAGAUCCGUGAGGCUAAAUGCGACAAUAAGGGGAGCGGCAUCAUCAUCACGAGCUUCCACCAUGGGAACCACCAUGGUGGCUACCUCGGUAGCCACCCGCGGCGAGGUCCAUGGUGCCUUCACCACGGCCACCAUGGGAACCACCGCGGUGGCUACUUUGGUAGCCACUCGUGGCGAGGUCCAUGGAGCCUUCACCACGGCCCGGAGAUCCGUGAGGCAAAAUGCGACAAUAAGGGGAGCGGCAUCAUCACCACAAGCUUCUACCAUGGGAACCACCGUGGUGGCUACCUCGGUAGCCACCCGCGGCGAGGUCCAUGGUGCUUUCACCACGGACACCAUGGGAACCACCGCGGUGGCUACUUCGGUAGCCACUCGUGGCGAGGUCCAUGGAGCCUUCACCACGGCCCGAGCCGUGCCAUCCAAGGCUCACGGUACCAAGACCACGAUCCAAGCCGUGCCAUCCAAGUUUACGUGGACCCAAGCCCAAGCCUCGCAUUCACAUGCACCGCGCAUUGAGCAGCCUGUUCCCGUGAUCCAGCCUGUUCCCGUCAAGCAACCCACUCUCACGGCCCAACCUGCUCAUGCCGAGCAGCCUGCUCUCGUGACACAGCCUGCUCCCGACGAGCAGCCCACUCCCGUGGCCCAGCCUACUUUCGUCGAGCAGCCCACUCCGGUGGCCCAGCCUGCUCCUGCUAAACAGCCCACUCCUGUGGCCCAGCCUCCUCUUGCUAAGCAGCCUGCUUUCGUCGAGCAGCCCACUCCGGUGGCCCAGCCUGCUCCUGCCAAGCAGCCCACUCCGGUGGCCCAGCCUGCUCCUGCCAAGCAGCCUACUCUCGUGACCCAGCCUGCUUCCGACGAGCAACCCACUCCCGUGGUCCAGCCUGCUUCUUUCGAGCAGCCCACUCUCACGGCCCAGCCUACUCCUGUGGCUUUCCAAGCAGCCCAAGUCGGCCCAAGACUAUCUCCCGGACCUACCAUCGAGCCGAGGGCAUUCUCACCACAUUUUUUCACGGAUUUGACAUUUCCCAACUCAAAUCUCGCGCCCGGAGUCUACCACAUUUCCACUGCCCAAGGAGGCGCAUUCCUUCCAAGCUCUUCCAAUCCAAAUGGCGAACAACACUUGUCUCGACAAGUCAUAGAGUUGACGAGCGCCCUUGCACAACAGAAAACCUUGGUGAAUCAACUUUUGCAACGUAUCGGGAUCCAACGUGCCCCGGACGAGGUAUCCCGAAGUAGGACAAGGGCAAACGAACAUUUCCAGCAGCCACUCGACCAGCCACGAGCCGAACGUUUGGGCAGUGUACAUUCCCGUCUUAGAGCGCGAGGGAGCAUGCACUCUCGACUAGGCCCACGGAUGAGCAUACAUUCACGGUUGGGGUCAUACUCCGAUAGUCAACAUGAGCAACCUUCCGGGCAAAGUGUCUAUUCGCAGCUAAGCCCACAAGGAGCGUCAUCCACCUCACAUCAGAGUAGGCAGCACGACGGACGGAGAGAAGCAGUCACUCAAUCCAGCUCAAGUUCAACCAGCAGCCUGCGAAGAACUCGCUCGCCUACUAGGAACGCACCACAUGCACUGCAUUCGCGGCAUAGACGAGCCAAACACAUGGAAGAGCAGCUUAGACCAGCAAGUCAUGACUGGAGGCAGCCAAGAGCUCCGCUACCCCAACAAAGGCAAAUUCAGGAAGAAGUAGAGAGACUCUUGACCAAGCGAUUGCAUGAUUUCCAACGCAACGAGGUCACCGACGAGGCACUACGACGGAACAUGACCAACAUAAGCAAGCAGGUCACCCUUCACGGACGAGAUCGAGCAGGCAGAGCCUCCACGAGAGUUCAGCAUGCCACAUUUCACAUCUUUCAAAGGGGAUGAAGACCCGGAGAGACACUUAAAGCGCUACCGAAGCGCAAUGAUCCUUUAUCGAAACAACGAUGAGCUUAUGUGCAAGAUAUUCGCCACCACUCUACAAGGCGAGGCGCAAGAUUGGUUCUACACCCUGCCGUCACAAUCCAUCCGGAAUUUCUACGAACUUUCUUUGGUUUUCACCAAAGAAUAUUCAUCCUAUCGCUCGAUCAAAAAGAAAUCUGAUCAUUUGUUCAACGUCAAGAAGAACCCAAAGGAGUCAAUUCGCGACUAUGUGAGGAGGUUCAAAGUAGAGAAGGCAAAAAAUAGUCGGAUGCAACGACUCGAUAGCUAGAGCAGCCUUCCAAAAAGGACUUCCAGCAGACCACCCGCUAUUUGGAAAAUUGAUCAUGAAAGAAGAUCUAACUCUGGCAGACUCUUUUGCUUUGGCAGAGAAGUAUGCACUUUGGGAUGAGGCUCGCCAAUGCACAUUCAAGGACUUGAAGAAGUACCCGACAUCACCUCCCUAGAAGCAGCGGAGGACUUAUUCACAUGUUUGACGAUAUCUAAAGUAGCAAUAAGCUCUACCAUCAUGCGAGAAGAGAUGGGGGCCCGACUACCUGUAUUCCACAGUUACCUGUAUUCUACAGUUCAAAAGCUCUCCUCGAUGUUAUUAAAAAUUCAAAAGCUAACUUUGGUGAUAGUUGUUGCAACCCAGAAGCACAAGUUUUACUUUCAAACGCAUGCAAUCAUCCUAAUGACGUACUAUUCUGCCCAAUCCAGACGCGCGACGAUAAAGGUGUAGACCAUGGCGGAUGUAAAGUUUUCUGACGAACGCAACACUAGAAGGACACACUCGAAAGCAAGUUUUGUCCUCGUCACCCUAAAAGAUUCUACAUAGGAGCAACAUGUACCGGCAGUUGAGUACCAUUUCUUGCUGCGCAUCACACGGCCCUAGCCGACCCUUGCUCAAUGAUUCAACUCUAGAGUGGCCCAAUACCGGCAGUUGAGCAUCUCCUGUUGCGUAUGACAUGGCCCCAUCUCCACAGCUCCCUACUGCGUCUUCACGCCGAGCCUAAGUGACGUAACAGAGCAGCCCAACGAUGCCUCAGAAGUAGCCGAGCACACUCUAGCUGCGCCUACUCCACCCGAUGGAGACUUUUGGCAUUUGCAUGUCGACGACGCAGAAAAGCCUUCAUCACUGCCGGCAGAGAAGGCUCCAAAAAGAUGGAUCCCAUCUGGGAAGGUCCGUACAAGAUCAGCAGAGUAGGGGGCAAGAGUAAUUACACCCUCACCACCAUGAAGCAGCAAAAAUAUUGAAAAGAAAUGGAUGGCCUACAAUCUGAAGAAGUACCAUGUGUGACCUCCCGCUACAUCAAAACCCGAAGACUCAAUAAGCUCGACGGGCACCACCUCACAAGCUGGGGACUAUCCAGUUGUUAUGCAGUUCCUACCUUACAGCUAAAGUUCUCGUUCGUUUCACUCGUUUUUCAAUGAGGAAUUUAGAAGUAAUCACAACUUGGCUUGGUUGCAUGCUUACAACAACUAAUCACUCCUGCACUUCAAAAGAAGAUUGCGCCCUUCUUAGGGACUCAUCGCAGGAAUUGCGCCCCCCGAGGGACCAACCAUGCUCUCCAGUGCGAGAGGGUAAACCAAUUCUCCGACACCCAUAUGGGUCAGCUCUCCAAGACGGGAGGAUAAACUUUACACUCCGAAUAUCCAGACGUGGAUGAGCCUGGCUGCCCUAGUAUAACUAGAUGCACGAUGGCUUGCGCCGGGAUUCCUAGAAGUAGCCGCAAUGGUCUUUUUCAAGGCUUAGCUAACUGAAGGAUUUUGGGUCUCUUGGCCUAAUCCGUGGGGAACCGGGCCCUAGAGACGGAGAGGGCACAUUACGCAGUACAUCCGAUGGACGGCUGCCCUGGAAUCCUAAAGCUGCUACCGAGUGCACUAAGGUAGCCUACGGAUUCCGGAAGACUGCCUACGGCUUGCCCUUCGAGCAGUGAAGCCGCACUAGACUUAUACAACCGCACAUUCUUGUGAAAGGUUAAACAAGCUAGCGCGCAUAUACGAAGUUUUAUCCACUGCCGACAUGCUAUGUAGUUGAUAAGCUUCACCUCUGCCAAGCGCGGAACAACCUACACCAAGUCCUAAAGUGUUGUGAUACUUGCUACGCAACCUACGGAAUUGAAAAAAGUCAAGGUUAACAGCCGAGUGGUUACGCGGACUUGUCUACUUCUGUAAGUAAGGCAUCCGGCUGCCAACCCUAUGGCUAACAACUUUGCAAAGUUCUACACCAACACCUACGGCUGCAUAGGCUACGCGAGUUUGUCUGCUUAUAAAAAAGUAGCAUGCCUGCCACUGGUCUAUCAAGUCUAAAGGUUAGGGCAUGAACAAAAGAAGUGAAGAUGAAGAAAAACGAAGGAAAACAUGUUUAUAAACAACUAGCAAAGGCCGAAUGAGUUCAAGCAAAACAAGAGCUACAAGGAAAAACAAAGAAAAUCCUAAAGGCUACCUAAAAUACUACACUACAGCAGCUUGGACAUCCCACGACUACUCGAUCGCCACACCUUCAACAGCCGUAACGCUCUUAGCAGCGGCAUCAUCCGGCGCUUCACCCCCCGGCUGCCCUAGUCUGGGCACUAACUUCUCCAACUACUUCACCAAUGGAAGCCUUAAAAGUAAAAGCAAACAAGUCUUCCGGAGAAAUAGAGAAGGUCUUAAAACCUCAAGCCCAUCCUUCUCACCCUUCAGCUGCUCAUUCUUCUUAAGCAGACUAACACGGACGCGCUACAGCUCAUCCACUCUCUUCUUAGCAUAAGUAGCGAAACGAAGCUCAGAAAUUGCAAGCUUAAGAUCUUGAAUCUGAGGCGAAUCAAUCUCAGCAGCAAAGGGAGCAGGCUUUGGCGCCACUUUAGCAGCAGAGUCCACCUUACCACUCUUCAUAAUAGCAAGUCUCUAAAAAGGUGAACCGGACUUGGCUCCCAAAGAACGUCCUGGUACAAACUUCGGCACUGGGGGCAUGAUAAAACCUUUACGCUGAGUAAUCUUAUCCACAAUUGUACUAGCCAUUCUCAACAUGGAAGACGCCACAUGCUCAGAUCUAGCAGCCUUACAUUUCUUCCCAUUGGAAGAAGUCAUGUCAAUCACAUACCUCUCGGUAGCAAGUGGACCAUCAUGAGCAGCAGAAGAAGUCUUCAAUUUUUUCUUAACUGGCAUCUCAUGAGCAGGUGGGGAAGAUCUCUUCUUUCCAUCUUCAUUCAUAGUAAGCUCCACGAUAGCGAUCAGAUGAGCCAAUGCAUCCGCCUUGAUCCUCUUUACCUCCUCUUUCCGGAGCAGCCCACAUUUCUUUCAGCAAAUAGGACUAAGCAGCCAACGACAUUCAUGGUACUCAGCAGGGGAGCUCAACCCAGUAUUCCAGCAGGCAGGAGGCCUGCAUGCCCAACAUUCCAGCAGCCCGUGAGACCCGCAAUCUCCUUAUUUCUCUCAAUCGCAAGCCUGGCCUGAGUCAAGUCCAAUAGCCCAAAGGACAUGAGUCAUGCGAUUCGCCUAACACUGCGCCUCAGCGCCACAAUCCUCGACCCCAGCUGCACAAGCUGCCCUUGGUUCUAGCCAAGUCAAGCAGCUUAAAACAGUGGUCCCUACCACAAUACCUCAUCGGCCCAUGUCGAGCCGACUCCUGGCCUAUGCCAGCCGACGUGCCGCACCACCCCGAUGGCUGCCCUGCAAUAGCACUAUCCAAGAAGAAGGCAAGAAAAAUUAAAUUUUUCUUACAUCGGUGCGGCACGAAAAAGACGAAGAAAUCAACGAAAGACGGUCUUUUGCACAGGCAAGACGUAGAAGAUUGCUAGAGGAGAGGGAACAAAUAUCCUCUAACUUUCUCUCUCUUGUUGGGUAGAAUAAAUCGCUCUCCAAAGUUGAUUUAAUAACCCACUUAAGGUGGACUUAAAUAGGCUUUGAGAGAAAUUUAUUUCCCUUUCCUAGAAGGAUCUAAUUUCCAUUUAAAGAGAGAAUCAACAACAAAAUAGGAAUCAAUUUAGAGUUGCCUAAAGCGAGAAAAUCUCUACACCUGUUGCCCUUUUCUGCAAGCAGCCCAACAGGUGUGGGGGCAUUUGUGGAGCCAAAAAUAUUCGCUAGGCGACACGUGGACUUUUGGACAAAAGAGGACAAAAAUACCCUCGAAGCAUACAAGGAUUCCUACGCGCGAGCAGUGGGCAAUCAUCUUUCAAUCAAGUCAAAAGUGCCCAAAAAAGGUAACAAUUAAAAACCUCUCUCAUCAAAUCCUUUCUAUAAGGUAUUUCCCAAAACCUAGUAUUUUCUAUUUCAUUAUUUAGCUAAUCAAUUAGCUAAAUAAUAUAAACCUACCAUAUCUCCUAAAAUCACCCAAUUAAUAGCCCAAAACCGGCCCCCACUAUUCACAUCCUCAUCUUUCCCAUUUUCCUUAUUAAAAUAAUCAUUCAUUUUUAUAACCACCCAUUUAUUAUUUUCAUAUUUAAUUAGCCAAUAAAUUGGCAAAUUAAACAUGAAAUUAACCCCCACAAAAACCCUAUGGCUGGCUACUAUUAUUCAAAAUAGGGCAAACCCUAACUCUAUAACUAAACACAUAUUCUCACCAAAAAUUCAUUCCAACUCUCUCACAAAAAAUCACAAAUACUCUAAACACUAUUUCUCUCUAAAAUUCUAACUUUGGCAUCGGAGGUUCUUCAGCCAAAGCCCCCCAUUCAUCGUGGACGCGUGAGGCUCUUGGCCUUAACCUAGGUGCUAGUUGUUUUGUAGGUGCAAAAUCGUCCAAGAUCGAAGAGGAGAAAAUUUGCAUCCACAAUGGAUGUGCGAUUAAACCGAAGAACCCACCACCUCCAUCUUCUCCGACCAACUUGAACCCAGCCACUACUACAUGUCAUCCCGACAACCCACUCUCAGCUUCCCAAACCGCCAUUUUUCACCCACUCACUUACCUCUCUCUCUCUCUCUCUCUCUCUCUCUCUCUCUCUCUCUCUCUCUUACCCAAGCCACUGCCAUUAUUCAUUCAAUCAACCCAAAACACGAGAGCCACCCCAUCUCACCACUCGAACAGAUGCAGCCACCCACCCAUUUAAUCCCAGUCCAAAAUCAAACCCUCUCCUAAACCCACCCCAGAAUCCAAUAAUUUCAAAAAAUGGCUGAUUAUAUCAUUUCAAGAACCUCACAAUUCCAAAAACUAAAAACCCACUUCAAAGAUGUAAUAUUUUUCUCUCUUCCUCUUUUUGGGUUUUUUUUUUUUAUCAAUUCUCUUCUGGGUUUUUGUUUACAGUGUAAAAUCAACACUAAUUUACUAAUUUUGCUUUGAUUUUUCAAACACUAUUGAGGCGUGAUAACCUGUUGCAAGCUCAGCCAUGGCGGCUACUGCAAAAUCUAACGGAAAAACCAUCACAGACUCUGCCAUUUCAUCCAAGGUUCCGACAAUAGCAAACCCUUUAACGAAUAGCUGUCGCAGAUUUCUUCCAACAUCAAUCACCACGCGAAAUUAAUUGUCAAUGAAGACGAUCCCAUUCCCCUUCGAAAUCUGCUGGGGGAAAGAGGCCUUCUUUCAUAUCUGCUCUGAGACCUGUUUAUGCGAGAGAGUGGUGAGCCUGACGACAGAGAGAAAGAAGGGCAGGAUUGGAAAAUUGGAAAGUUCAUUUAUUGGUUACUGUUUAUCCGUGUUUCUUCGAAAUAAGCUGCUUUUUCCAGCUUUGGGUUUUCAGUAUUUUUUUAACCCAUAAUUUUGAAAGAAAAAAAACUGAUUUGAAAUGUUAUCAAACACUUAAAAUGUUCCAAUCUUUUUUCAUACCUAUUUUUUUUAUUAAAAGUUAAGCUAAACAAAAACCAGGAUUAAGUUUACUACUUUGAAGUUUCUUGCUUUUCAACAUUUCAUACAUUGAAUUUUUCUCAUCCAGUGUCAUACCUAAGGUGAGAAUUGUGGGACACUUUUAUACAUCCGUUAGAUUUUCUGUGAAUUAUGGGACACUUUUAUACAUCCGUUAGAUUUUUUGUGAUAACCUUCGCUGACCCACGAUGCGGCAUGCAUGUGGACAUUAAAAAAAAUUCAAAAAUUCAAAAAUUCAAAAAUUUUAAAAUUUAAAAUUCAAAAAUACUAAAAACCUAAACUUUUCAUAAUAUUGAGUUGAGAGACUGAAUCUUUUCACACUCGGCCAAAUUUUCUUUGAAUUUUAAUUAAAUGAAACAAUGAAUCUUGAACAAAGCAAAACAAAACGUAAUAUUGAGAGAUUCAGUCAUUGAAGUGGACGUGGAUGUUGGGUACUCAAUAGUCCAAGAAUGAAAAUUCUCAUAUCAGUUUCUAUCCAAAAUUUUGGAAUUAUGUGUGUUGCAACGAUUGUCCAAAGGAUUAUUCUUCUUUUAUUAAAUUUCCAUGAAAAAUGAGCAUGGGGGCAUAAAAAUUGAACGAAUGAAAUUUCAACGAUUUGAAAAGGGUUGUGAGUUUGACACGUCAUUUUUCUUCCUUUAAUGCAAUCAUGUUUAUUAAAAGACAAAAAUAAAUAUGACUUUACAUAAGGAGAGAGAAAGAAUAGUUUUCUUUGAAAAAAUCAACCAUUUAUUGAAGAGGGAUGUUGAUAAGGAGAUGAGACAUUCAUUAGAAGCUAGAAAAAAGAAGUUAAAAGUGAUUUAGAAAAAAGCAAGAAAGCCACAUUUUCAAAGUGGUGGUCAUUGCACAAUACUUAAUUAGAAGAAAACUCAUAGUAUUGUAUUUACAAUUUCAAGUCUUUAUGGGGAACGAGAGUGCAAAUUUUCCAAUUGGAAUAUGAUAUGAAAUUUCUAGAUAACUAUAUAUGACAAAGAAAGAAGUCUAAGUUUCUAAGUGGUAGGGCUUCCAAUUGAUGUGAGUUUGUUGAGAAAUGUAGAUGAAGAUGAAUAUUGUUGUUGAUGUUAGUGAACAACAGAACAAGUUGCUUCUCCUUUGGCCUUCUAACAUGAUAUCACGGAAAACAAGUUGUUGCUAAUAAAUGUAUCUGAUUGGUGGACUUAGACGUGCGCGGUACGAUUUUUGAUAACGAGAAAAGAUGGACAGUGUCAUGACAAAAUUUAUCCAAGUAGACCCAAAGGAAAGACUUAGGAACUUCAUAUGCAGUGGGAUAAAAUCUUAAGCUAAUUUCCUUACCUAUUUUAUAGUCAUUAAGUAAAAUGUAUAUGUAUAUUUCUAGAUGCUGACACACCAAUGUACUUACUAUUAACUCCUUUCAAAUACCCAUUCGCAGAAACGCAAAUCUCUCUUGCAUGCUUGUUGUAAUGCUCAUGUAGUGCGUAUCUAAUAUCUUAUGUGUAUAAUUUUUUGUGAUCCAUUUUUUCAUCACUAUGCCAAAAUCCCUUUAGAAUUUGCAAUUUAUCCAUUUGGUUAUGGUAAAAAAAAAAACUCGGAAUUUCAUUUAAACUCAAAAAUCUAGAAUUGGGAAAGCAAUUUUCCCUUGUUCGGCAACUUGUAGCGAUAGCAAAGGCAAAUUGUACAGGAAAAAAGUGGAAAUUGGGGAUGAAGAUCCAAUUUUAAUUUCGUCAAAAUAAGUGUAAUUUCACAAUUCCAACAACGUUGAGAACAAAUGCAUUGCGGGGAAAUCUUGCGACCACCAAACUUUACGAUUAGAGGGCCAAAUUUCAUGAUAAAACGUAAUAAGGGUUUAGGACUGCAUCGUUCACUUUGUUAACUCUCCAAUCUUCGACGGGAUUUUCAACUCGUGCAUCAUCUUUUGCUUUGUUCUAGGUCAAAGCCUACUCUUUUCUUUCUUGAAUUAUUUUAGCUUUGAGGGUAUACUCUUUAGGCCAAUUGUGAAUUUUGCUAGUUAUUUUUAUUUUCUGAUGGUCAUAUGUUUGUUUUGUUUUUUUUUUCUUCCAAUUGAGAUGUGUAUUGGUUGGAUCAGUAACUUUUUUUUUGGAUUUUUAUUUUUAUUUUUAUGGAUUUUGGUGUUAGUUCCUUGUUAUAGAUGUUGUGGAGCAAAAAAUAAUCUCAAAAAUCGUGGAGGUGACACACGGAUUUUUGGACAAGAAUGACAAAAUUAUCCUCGAAGCACAUCAGGAUUCCCACGUGCAUGCAACGGACAAUAACGGCUCAAUCAUGGAAGAGUCAAAGGUGAUCAAUAUGGUAUUUAUUCAAAUCCCUCUCAUCACUCCUCAUCAAUCCCUUUUUUAUUUUAUUCAAAAGGUAACUCCCAAAACUUCCUAUUUAAUUUAGGGAUCAUUGUCAUGUUAAUUGCAAGAUAUUAUUUCACAAAAUAUCUUGUAAUUAUUCUUCAAUUACCACCAUGUAUGGCCGGCCACUCCUCACAUUAUGGGCCGGUCACUCCUCACCCUAUGGGUCGGCCACUCCCUAUAAAUAGCCCUAUUAUUCCACUAAUAAGGAAGCCAUUUGCUACCCACAAACUCCUAAACACAUUCUUUCAGAAUUCUAACUUUGGCAUUGGAGAUUCUUAGGCCAAAUCCCCCCUCCCAUUCAUCAUGGGCGCAUAAGGCUUUUGGCCUUAGUCUUAGGUAUUAUUAUUUUGCAGGUGCAUUUUUGUCAAAGACGAAGAUGGUGAAAAUUUGCAUCCACAAAUUGGUGUUUUCAUUGAGAGUUUGAUUCAUAAGCUCGAAGAAGACUCACAUUCAAAGUUUCACAUUUCUCAUUCAUAAGUAAAUUUUUCAUACGUUCUUAUUCCUAAAAUUUUUUAAAUCUUUGAAUAGACGUAUGAGAGAAAUACAAUGGCUAGAAAUUUAGAAACCACGACGAACGAAACUUCCUACGUUCAAAGAUCCAGAUAAAAUGAUGGAAAUUGCGAUGUAGCCCCACCACGACGAUCCACGAAGCUCAACGUGGUGGCAAAAUGAGUAACUUGGCCACCACGGAGUACCACCACCACCAUAGCCAAGGCAACCCAUGUUGCAGUGGGGAGUGGGACAGCUUCAUGGCAGCAAAGCCACGAAGCAACAAUAAAUGCCAUCUUGCAGUAAUGAGCCCAGGCCCGUGUCACAAGGCAGUCAACCCAGCGCUAGGUAACCUAGAUCUAGUAGGCCCACGACGUUGCCAUAGCAGCUGAGGCCUAAAGCAAGGCCCAAACAGUUGCGGUUGCGGCAAAUGGAGCAGCACAACACUGGCGGGGCCAAUGCACCCUUGGCCUAAUGCUAAGCAGGCUAAAUCGCACCACACCCACUAUUCAAACUAACCCUAAGUUGAGUAAGUAGCAUUGAAGGUUGUCAACCGCAAGGCGUUGAAGUACGAAUAAAGUUACACACCCCGCACAUGACUUGGCCCACUUCCGCGGCCCAACUUGCUCGCAAGGUCCACCUAGUGAUCCCGACUAGUCGAAGGCCAGUUUAAUCAUCCCAUCUUCAGAUUUCUGGACUGACGAUUGAAUCGGGGGUAUUUUCACCCCGAUUUUCUACAGAUUUGACAUAUCUCAACUCAAAUCUCGCACUUGGAGUCCAUUGCACUUCCAUUACUCAAGGAGACGCAUACCAUUUAAGAUCUUCCAUCCCAAAUGGCGAACAACACUUGUCUCGACAAGUCAUAGAGUUGACAUGCGCUUUUGCGCAGUAGACGACCUUAGUGAAUCAGCUCUUGCAACGCACAUAGAUGCAGUGUGCCCCAGACGAUGUGUCCCGAAGUAAGACAAGUACAGAUGACGAUUCUCUCCAGCAGCGUCCCAACAAGCAGCCGCUCGACUAGCCACGAACCGAGCGUUCUGGCAGUGUACACUCCCGUCUAGGUCCUCAAGAAAGCGUAUACUCUCGUCUUAGCGCGCGAAUGAGCGUGCACUCAUGGUUAGGCCUAUGGACGAGCAUACAUUCACGGUUGGGACCAUACUCUUAUAAUUAACAUGGACAACCUGCUAGACGAAGUGUUCAUUCGCGGCUAGGCCCGCAAAAAGCAUUUUCCACCUCAUAUUGGAGUAAGCAGCACAGAAGACGAAGAUAAGCAGUCAAUUAAUCUGGCUCAAAUUCAAUCGGCCACCUGUAAGUAACCAGUUCGCCUGCCAAGAACGUAUCAUAUGCAAUGUAGCCACGACAUAGACUAGAUGAGCACAACGAUAAGCAACCUAGACUAACAGGUUACGACUGGGGGCAGCCAGAAGCUCUGCUGCCCCAAUAGAGGUAAAUUUAGAAAGAAGUUGAGAGGCUCAUGACCGAACAAUUGUGCGAUUUCCAACGCAACGAAGCUACUGACAAGGCGCUUAAACGAUACACGACCAACAUAAAUGGGUCACCUUUUAUUGACAAGAUUGAGCAGACAGAACCAUCCUACAUACACUGGCGGAUACAAAGAUUACAUCUAUUUUAACAUAUGCAUCAACUCAGCCUAAUGGCGUGUCGAGGGCAAAUGGGUACCAGAAUGGCACACCAGCCCAACCACCAAGAACCAGGGCCAAAUCUUAUUUUCAUCACUCCACACGAUUCAAUACUUGAGCAGCACAUCACCAGUAAUCGAGCACCGCAGACCUAAUGGUCCAAUUCCUCCUGAUGCACACAAGCUCACCCCAGCUCCACGCUCAAAGCCUUGCCUACCUGCUCCACAACACUCAGCCACCCUUGAUUUGUCACCAUGGCUCACAAUUAUGCCAAUUUUGCACCACAGCUCAUAGCCGUGCUAAUCUUGCCAUGCGGCUCUUAACUACGUUAACCAAGCCCACGAUACUUUAUACUUCAAAGCAUCCAACGACGGAGUAGAACACGAGGCUCUACUAGCAGCCCCUGCUAGUGAAAGACUUUGCGGUGAAGAGGCUUCCAAUCCAUUCAAAUUCUCAGUUGACCACCUGUUGGGUUUUACGACUCAAAAUUAGGAUGAUGCAAAAAAAAUUGUGUUACCUAUUUGGUUUUGGUGUCGUAUUUGGGUUUGGAUUUUGACCUCUUAGUUGGUUUCCGUGGUGGAGAGAUUUUGUUAAUUACCUAUUUGAUUAGGAUUUGGAUUUACUUCCUAUUAAGAUUCUUAUUGUAACCUAAGUCUUAUGCACUAUAAAUAGGACCUCAGGGUUAGUGUAUUUUGUGUGGCUCAUUCGUGUGGCAAUUUGGUGAGAGUCAAUUUGUGAGUUUGUGAGUUAGAGAGCAAUUUGGGAGAAUCUUCUCCGUUAGUUUUGGGUUCUCUACUCGUUUGGUUUAGGGUUUGUAAUUUGUGGGAUUUGGAUUGUGAGAGUCUGAACACUAUUUUGUAAUCUCCGUUUGUUUAGUGAAAUUUCUUGUCAUGCUUCGCUCGUGGACUUAGAUUUUACACCGAACCACAUAAAUCUCUUGUGUUAGUUUGAGAUUGUUUGUUUUAGUUUUCACCUACGACGUUGAUAUCGGUACUUUGUUAGAAUUCGCUUUCCUUUGCUCAUAAAAGUACAACAAGUGGUAUCAGAGCCCGGCUUUCGGCUUGGGCUUUGCUUGGCAAUCACUAUGAAGCCUUCUGUGUCGUCGGUGAAAGUUGAUAUUGAAAAGUUCGAUGGCAAUGACUUUGGUAUUUGGCAAUUGAAGAUGCGUACUUUGUUAAUUCAACAAGAGCUUUUAAAAACGCUAAAGGGUGUGAAGGCUUUCCUGAAUUCGUGGACUGAUGAAGAAAAAAAAAGAUGUUAUGGAGCGGGCACUUGGAACAAUCCUGCUAACUUUAUCGAAUGAAGUCUUGCGUCAAGUUGGUAGCAUCAAAUCUGCACCGAAGUUGUGGCUAAAAUUGGAGAGUUUGUAUAUGACCAAAUCCCUUGCUAAAUGGUUGUAUUUGAAGAAAAGUUUGCGUACUCUUCGUAUGGAUGAAGGUACGUCAAUUCAUAAGACCAAAUCCUUAUUGCUGCCAAAAGUCCUCAACAGUUCCAAGGGAGAUGGGUAAGAGUUCGUAAUAGUGAGAGAUUGAAUCUUUUCACACUCGGCCAAAUUUUAAUUUUAAUUAGAUGAAACAAUGAAUCUUGAACAAAGCAAAACAAAAUUUAAUACUGAGAGAUUGAAUCAUUGAAGUGGACGUGGAUGUUGGGUACUCAACAGUCCAAGAAUGAAAACUCUCAUAUAAGUUUUUAUCCAAAAUUUUGGAAUUAUGUGAGUAUUGCAACGAUUGUCCGAAUGAUUAUUCUUCUUUUAUUAAAUUUCCAUGGAAAAUGAGCAUGGGGCACAAAAGUUGAACGAAUGAAAUUUCAAUGAUCUGCAAAGGGAUUGUGAGUUUGACAUGCCAUUUUUCUUCCUUUUAUGCAGUCAUGUUUAUUAAAAGACAAAAAUAAAUAUGACUUUACAUAAGGAGAGAGAAAGAGUAUUUUUCCUUGAAAAAAUCAACUAUUUAUUGAAGAGGAUGUGGAUGUUGAUUGAUGCGCAUUGUGAAUAGGAAAAAAAUAACCUUGAAGGGAGACGAGACAUUCAUUAGAAGCUAAAAAAAAGUUAUAGUGAUUUAGAAAAAAAAAGUUUUAACGAAACAUUUCCGGUACUGUUUACUCUUUACGAAAAACCACAUUUUUACCUUUCCUAACUACUAUUCACUACAUCUUUAUUUAUCAUUUUUCAUUAAAACUAAAGUUUUUGUUUUAACUUUUCGUUAGUUUCCUUUAGAAAAAAGCAAGAAAGCCUCAUUUUCAAAGUGGUAGUCCUUGAAACAAUACUUGAUUAGAAGAAAAGUCAUAGUAUUGUAUUUACAAUCUCAAGUCUUGAGGGGUAACGAGAAUGCAAGUUUCUAAUUGGAAUAUGAUAUGAAAUUUCUACAUAACUAUAUAUGACAAAGAAAGAAGUCUAAGUUUCUAAGUGGAAGGGCUUCCAAUUGAUGUGAGUUUGUUGAGAAAUGAAGAUGAAGAUGAAUAUUGUUGUUGAUGUGAGUUAGUGAACAACAGAACAAGUUGCUUCUCCUUUGGCCUUCUAACAUGAUAUUACCGGAAAACAAGUUGUUACUAGUAAAUGUAACUGACUGGUGAACUAAGACAUGCGGUACGAUUUUUGAUAACUAGAGAAGAUGAACAGUGUCGUGACAAAAUUUAUCCAAGUAGACCCAAGGGAAAGACUUAGGAACUUCAUAUGCAGUGGGAUAAAAUCUUAAGCUAAUUUCCUUUUUAAUCUUAUAGUCAUUAUGUAAAAUGUAUAUGCAUAUUUCUAGAUACAUACACACCAAUGUACAUAAUAUUAACUCCUUUUAAGUAGUCAUUUGCAAAUCCCUCUCGAGUGCUCUUUGGAAUGCUCAUGUGGUGCCGUUCUAAUCUCUUAUAUAUAACUUUUUGUGAUCCAUUUUUUCAUCAAUAUGCCAAAAUCCCUUUAGAAUUUGCAACUUAUCUUUUUGGUUACGGUAAAAAAAAAACUCGGAAUUUCAUUUAAACUCGAAAAUCUAGGGAUGUGAAAGCAAUUUUCUCUUGUUCGGCAACAUGUAGCGAGAGCAAAGGCAAAUUGUACAGGAAAAAGUUAGAAAUUUGGGAUGAAGAUUCCCAAUUUUAAUUUCGUCUAAAUAAGUGUAAUUUCACAAUUCUAACUACGAUGAGAAUCACAAAUAUAUUGCAGGGAAAUCUUGCGACAACCAAACUUUACGAUUAGGGUGCCAAAUUUCGUGAUAAAACCUAAUAAGGGUUUAGGGCUACAUUGUUCACUCUGUUAACUCUCCAAAUCUUCGACGGGAUUUUCGGCUCGUGCAUCAUCUUCUUGCUUUGUUCUAGGUCAACGCCUCUACUCUCUUCUUUCUUGUAUUAUUUUAGCUUUUCAGGUAGACUCUUUAUGGCUGUUGUGAAUUUUGCUAGUUAUUUUUAUUUUCUGAUAGUCAUUUGUUUGUUGUGCGUUUUUCCUUCCAAUUGAAUUGUGUAUUGGUUGGAUUUGUAACAUUUAUUUUUUUUAUUUUAUUUUAUGGAUUUUGGUGUUAGUUCUUUGUCAUGGAUGUUGUCCUUUUGAAGGUUAACAAUAGCCAAGACUAAACAUGAUGAUUUUGGUGUUAAUUACUUUCUCAUGAUACUAAUGCCAUAUUGUUCUCUAUUUUGCACUCACAAGUAAAGAGAAAUAUCCUAGACCCUAACUGGAUAUGUUAUUGUCAUGGUCAUGCAUUGGUAUGGUAACAAUAUGUUUGGAUAAGGAAAAUAAACUUAGAAUUUGACAAAAGAUAAAAUUUAUAAAUUGAUACAAUCAAUUCCUUUGUUUAGAUUCAUAAACAUAGAAAUUUAAACUUUCCGCGUGAGAAAAAACUUGGAAUUUGGGACCUUCAAUUCUCAUGUUUAAAUUUUAUGUAAAUAGGUGUCAUUUCUAAAUUUCAGUAAGUGAGAAUUUAAAAAUAACAAACAUGUAUUCAAAUUUCAUUCAUCUUUUAGGUUAACCAAACAAGAAAUUUUAUAAAUUCUAGAAAAUAAAAUUUCGUUAUUUCAAUUUCUGUUAUUUUAAAAUUAGUAAUCUUAAAUUUUCUCAUCCAAACAAAAAGUUUCCUUGUCAUAGAACUUUCAAUUGGGAUCAAGGAAGACAAUCUUUUCACAACUGAUUAUUCUCACCAAAUUUUAUUAUUAUUUUAAAGCAGAUCAAUACCAAACUUCAAAAGCAAAGUAGGAAGGCUAAAAUUAAGGUGAAGAACCUACUUCCACUAAUUACCAUGGGAGGGAGAGAGAGAGAACCAAGCGAGAGAGAAGAGAGAGAAAACACCAAGUAGUAUUAUAAUAUAGGUGGGGUUAAAUCACCUUUCGUGAAGUUGUAGUAAGAGCAGCUCCAGCGGGAGCUCCAACUUGAUGUACCGGUGAGAUUUCCUACCCAAUAGCCCCAGCUCCUUGCUCCAGUCCAUGCGGGUGAUUGGGCUGAGGGGGGCCGAGUGAGAGGCCUGACUCGAAUCGGUGGCCUGAGAGCCUGAGACCAAAAAUUAUCUUUUUGGAUAAUGACACGUGGUGCAACGAGAACGAUUAAAAAUCUUAUCCGAAAUUACAAAUAGAAUUAUUUUGUAUUAUUUUAUAAAAUAAAAAAUACUAAUAUUUUAUUGCUUAUUGACAUGACUAUUCAAUUACGGGUGGAGAUGCAGAAGACAAUUAUUAUUCAUUAAAGGUAAUUAUUGUUCAUUGGAGGGGAUUGAAUAUGAAGUUGCACUAGAAGGCCUUUGUCACGGCAAUAGGCAAUUACUGUUCUAAGGACUUCUAUCCUAGAAGAGAGACAAAAACACCAAGUAGUAUUAUAAUAUAGGUGGGGUUAAAUCACCUUCCGUGAAGUUGCAGAUAGAGUAAGGACUUCUAUCCUAGAAGAGAGACAAAAACACCAAGUAGUAUUAUAAUAUAGGUGGGGUUAAAUCACCUUCCGUGAAGUUGCAGAUAGAGUAAGGACUUCUAUCCUAGAAGAGAGACAAAAACACCAAGUAGUAUUAUAAUAUAGGUGGGGUUAAAUCACCUUCCGCGAAGCUGCAUUAAGGACUUCUAUCCUAGAAGAGAGACAAGAACACCAAGUAGUAUUAUAAUAUAGGUGGGGUUAAAUCACCUUACGUGAAGUUGCAGUAAGGACUUCUAUCCUAGAAGAGAGACAAAAACACCAAGUAGGAUUAUAAUAUAGGUGGGGUUAAAUCACCUUACGUGAAGUUGCAGAUAGAGUAAGGACUUCUAUCCUAGAAGAGAGACAAAAACACCAAGUAGUAUUAUAAUAUAGGUGGGGUUAAAUCACCUUCCGUGAAGUUGCAGUAAGGACUUCUAUCCUAGAGAAAAGUCGGUCAAUGGUGUUUGACACAGUCAGUCAACGAUAAAGACAGAAUUGUGUAACCAUAAUUCUCUCUCUAUCUCUUUUUCAUUAACGGAGGACAGUGUAUAAUUACUACGUAUACAUCUCUGCUCAAUUAUUGAAAAGAAAAAUCCAUGUGCAUUAUUUUUAUUAUUAUUAUCUCAGAAAUGCAGAAAUUGAUCAUCUCUUCCUUCUGCAUAUUGAUACUGGUUUUCUUCAAACUAGUUGAAGCAAGCCAAUAUGUGUGCGCGAAAUCCAACUGUAGCAAUGAUCAACGCCCGGCUAUCCAUUUCCCAUUGAACAUCAGGCGCACACAUCAUUGUGGAAAUUCUGGGCUUGAAUGCAAUGGGAGAUAUGGGCAGCAAAUACUAAUAAAAUUAUUUGUCAAACACAUUGAUUACAAGCGUCAGGAAAUCCAAGUCUAUUCCCCAAGUAACUGCCUGCUGCUAAAGCAUGUUGAAAUCCCAAACAUGCCACCCUCUCCCUUCAACGUGUCAGUCGAUGACUACAUGAGUACCCUUACCUUAUUCAGUUGUCCUACUUCUGUUGCAAGACGAGAUACGUAUCAAGUCCCCUGCCUCGGCGACCCUGGCAAGAAAACUUAUGCCAUUCGUUCUUACUAUGAUUUUGGAACUCUCUUCCAGAAUCUACAAUCCUGUACAAAAAUGUAUGAUGUUUUAUCAGUUCCAAUAGCCUAUGAAUAUUAUGUUUUUCGUUUCAAAUGGUCUAUACCAAAUUGCAGAAAAUGUGGAGAGGGAAAGAAGUGUGGAUGGCAGAACAAUGAAAUUAAAUGUCUUCCCUGGAGGAAACCAAGUAAGGAUAACAUAUGUAUUCAUUGCUAGUUUUAAACAUCUUUACAUUUAUGUCUUAGUAAUUAUUAUUUGAAGGAUGUUGUCCAAUCCAUUUUUACUAGGAAUAUUACCUGACAGUCUCGUUUAAAUUCGCAAUGAUCUUCUACAGGCAACACAUGGAAAAAAGUGGUUACAGGUGGAAUCCUGUGUGCUUUGCUUCUUGUUCUACUGACGAUUGCAGCAUAUCGGGUAUAUAGCGCUGAUAGAAAGGAGAAAGAGAGUCGAUUAAGAAUUGAAAGAUUCUUGGAGGACUACAAAGCACUCAAACCAAGCAGGUAUUCGUACGCAGAUAUUAAGAGGAUUACAAAUCAAUUCAAGGACAAGUUGGGCCAAGGAGCCUAUGGAACUGUCUUCAAAGGAAUGCUCUCUUCUGAAUUUUUUAUUGCUGUCAAAGUCCUCAACAGUUCCAAGGGAGAUGGGGAAGAGUUCGUAAAUGAAGUGCGAACGAUGGGUCAUAUCCACCAUUUAAACGUGGCUCGCUUGGUUGGAUUUUGUGCUGAUGGAUUUGUACGAGCUCUUGUUUACGAGUUCUUCCCCAAUGGUUCCCUGCAGGAUUUCAUUUCAUCUGCAGAUAGUAAGAAUUCAUUUCUUGGUUGGGAUAAACUGCAAGAUAUUGCCCUAGGCAUAGCCAAAGGAAUUGAAUAUCUUCACCAGGGAUGCGAUCUACGAAUCCUGCAUUUCGACAUCAAACCCCAUAAUGUUUUGCUAGACCAAAACUUCACUCCAAAAAUUUCUGAUUUUGGUAUGGCCAAGUUAUGUUCCAAGGAUCAAAGCUUGGUGUCCAUGACUACAGCUAGGGGGACCAUGGGCUACAUUGCACCUGAAGUGUUCUCCAGGAAUUUCGGAAAUGUGUCUUACAAGGCAGAUGUCUAUAGCUUUGGAAUGCUGCUGCUUGAGAUGGUAGGAGGAAGGAAGAAUAUUGGUUCAAUCACGGAUAACACUACAAAUGAAAUUUACUAUCCACAGUGGAUUUAUAAUCUUCUAGAGGAAGGGGAUGACCUACGAAUCCACAUUGGGGAAGAAGGAGAUGGUAAAAUUCCAAAGAAACUUGCAAUUAUAGGGCUAUGGUGUAUCCAAUGGCACCCGUCGGAUCGUCCUUCCAUGAAAAUAGCGGUUCAGAUGUUAGAAGGAGGAGGAGAAAGCUUGAGUAUGCCGCCUAAUCCCUUUGUGCCUACUGGUUCUACAACUAGGAAUGCAAGACGCCUAGAGCUAGAAGCUAUUGCUGAAUUAGAGUAAAAUGUAUAUGCAGAUAUGUAGACGUAUAGAUAUAGUAAUAUUUAUAUUGAAUAAGAGGCCGUUUGAUAACCAUUUCGUUUUCAGCUUUUAAUUUUUAUUUUUCACUUUUUUGAAAACUAAAAACUAAAAUCUUGUUUGGUAAAUACUUUUAGUUUAAAAAAAUUAUGAAGACUGAGAACUAAAAUGUGAAAGCUCAAAGGAAGUAGAUUAAAAGUAGUUACCAAACAAACUGGAAUCUCAAUAAUAAAAAAAGAUUGAAUUGCACAAUGCAAUCCAAACCAAUCAAAACAUUAAAAUAGCAAAAAAAAAUUAAAAUUCUAGUUGAUUAGAUUCUAAACGUAGUAAAAAUGAACAGAUCCAAUGAAAAAACAAAAAAUUCUCAAAUAAAAAUAGGGAUAAAGUAAAAUAUUUAUAAAUAGCUCUUUGUCUCUUAUGUCAUCAAUUAUUUCUAUAGUAUAUACAGGUUUUUGGAAAAAUUAGGUUCUCAUCCCUUAUUUUCAUAUUACAUUGAUUGAAAUCUUAUUAUUUUUCUAUUUUAGAUCAAGGUCCCUUGACUUAUUCCAUGUCAUCAUUUUAGUAUUUAAAAUAUUACACGUCAUCAUAAACGAAAUCUCAUCCCUUUCUGCAUUUAAGGCAAAAUAAACUAUAUGAGUAAGUUUAAAACAAGGAAAAUCCAUUUGAACUCCUCCAUUCUUCUUCUUCCCUUAUGCACAUCUGGAAUCUACAACACCCCAAACCCAAUUUUCUCCAUUUUUUCUCCAUUCCUGAAUUGAUCCAAUGCAUAUAUGUUGAAUAAACCUAUUGUGAUUAAAAUACAAAUUAGCAUCAAUGGUUUUAUCGGCUUGUGAGAUUUGUGUGGCAUAGGCAAGGCAAUGCAGGCAUUGCUUUCUCAAGGAAUCUGGUUGAUUCAAACAUGCAGAGACUGUAGAGUGAGCGGGCUAUGUGAAAAUUGUACCAUUCUGAAGUCAUUUUCUUUUGUUCUUUAUAUUUUUUUUCUUUUUCUUUUAUUAUUAUAUAUUAGUCUUGGUUAUUCAAUGUCUGGUUGGCUACACUUAUAUCCAUGGGUACAUUUUUAAUCUACAUGUUUCGUUCUAAUAUAUCUAUUGCUAUAAUAUGUUUUGGUUGGUUCAAAUUUGUUUUACAUAAAUAUAUGGGUACAAAGUUUUUGGAGAAUAUUAUGUAAAAUGGUUUUUAAGGUUGCUGCAUUUUACGUUCCCACAUAUGCAUGUCUAUAAAACAAUGUGGUAUGAUGUACAUUCUUUUCUUUGAGUUUUUAAAUGUACCCAUGAGUUUUCUUGUAAAUUCGUAUGUACCCAUAUGCUAUUUAUGUUAUGGGUACAUACAUUAUUUUUGGUCUAAGUUCAGGAUACAUUGCUUUUGUAUGUAUGAAUUCAUGGGGUACAUUAUUUCCCUUAAUACUACUCAAUAAAAUUCACAAAAAUAUGUGUAGUGUGCAUGAUUUUUUAUUGUAGAAAUUGUUUGUUUUUUUUAAGUCUCAUAAUUCAUGAAAUUUGUACAUAUAUGAUCCCAUAAAUUUUUUAAUUUUAUUAAAUUUCUGUUAGACUUGAUCGAUUGAUUGAAUCUCAUAAUACUAGGAUUUUGAAUUACAUAAAUUCUUGGAUUUGAAUCCCUUAAAUGUUGGACUGCAAUCAAUAUUUUAAAUUACAGUUUUUUGUUUAAGAUAUCAAAAAGAUGACAUGGGAAUAUAGUAAUACUAAAAUGCUGAGGUGUACAAAGUCAAGGGACUUUGAUCAAAACAUAAAAAACAAUAAGAUUUCAAUCUAACAAUUGAAUUGACUAGGGACCGGAACCAAAAUGACCCUAGAUUUUUAUUGAGUUUAAUCUUAAUCAAAAAAAGACUUCUUGUAUCACAGAAAAUACAAGAACCAUUAUUUGAAUGAAAUAAAAGCUAUGGGAUGGAGAUAUAAAUGGAUCCUUUUAUUCACAAUCGGAUUAUAUUUAUUUGAUACACUGUUGUCAAUAUGAAUGUUGAGAAAAGACUACAAAAGAAAAAACAAUUUAUAAAUAUAACUAAAAAUUCCAAUUUCAAUCAAUUAGAUAAUUAGAAUUAUAAGAAGAAAAAAAACAGAAAUCUCAGUUUUCAGUUUAAAAAAAAAUGAAAACAAAAACUGAAAACUGAAAACAAAAUGGUUAUCAAAGCCGUCCAAAUAAUAGAAGUUUGUUUCCACUCUUUGUUUAAGCAUAGAUGCCAAUUUUUGUUUAUCAUUUUUUUAACCUCUAUUUUUUGUUACAGUAGAAGCCCUAGAAGGAAAUCGAGCACUGGACUUACCAAACUCUUAACUUAUUUCUACACACCAAGAGCUUGAUUUCGGUUCUUAUUUAUACUAUUUAAGCUAUAAGCCGUGAUAAGAAUUAGAGAACUAUCAUUUGUUGUGAGCUUCAAUUGGUUAGCACUUUGUAUGUUUUCAUUAGAAUUUAUAUUUCACUUAGACUUUCUUAUUAAAAAAGGGAUCAUUUGGUGACUUCACCAUGACAGUCCAAUUUUAUGGGGGCCAUGAGUACUCACAAAGGUAUUUCAGCCUCCCCCUAUAUCUACCGUCGCGUGAUUCACCAUUGCCGGGAAUCGAACUCAAGACGUGUUGUAUAGAAUACAAGCCUAAAAUUCGUUUCUAACCACUGAGUCACCCCGCGUUUGAUUAUAUUUCACUUAGACUUAUCUUGCGGUAUAGCAUGUCAUCCCCGCCCAAGUUUUUCUGUUCGCAUUGAGUUUGGGAUACCAAAACUUGCCAAACAAAGUAGAUUGAUUAGUAAGCGAAGCUAAUUAUUCGACUAAACAUUGUUUAGAAUUUUAAUUAAAAGAAACAAUAUGAAUCUGUUUUUUUUUUUUUUUUUUGACAAACUAUAACGUUAAGGAGUUAAAUUGUUAGUUGUUAAGAGUACAGGGAUAGGUGAGGAUCGAACCUCCACCAGAGUGCAUAGACAUUAUUGGUUCUACAACUGCGGUAAAUCACAUAAAACAAAACGUAAUACUUUGAGGAUGGAAGACACUUCGUGGAUAGCGGGCAAUCAACACUAUCAGUCGCUAUCCAAAACUUGGAAUUAUGUUUAUUGUCCGAAGGAUUUUUCUUCCAUUAAAUUGCUAAGGAAGAUGAGGAUGGGUGGAGUGUCUAAAUGUCAAGGUUGAUAAGAAAGUGUAUGGUGUUCAGCAUGCGAUUGAGAUUUGUUGAGUGGCACAACAAACCACAUAAAAUUUUCUAAAUGAUAAGCAAUGAUAAGCUUGAGUAUAAUUUUUUACCACGUAUUUAUCUUUAAAAUCAUUAUAAUUAGAUUUUCUCUUAAUUAAUAUAGACCGUUAGAUUGACCCAAGUUUUUUUCCUCUUUUCUUUCCCCUCGUUUUUUUCUUCUCUGAUUUUCCAUUCACCGUGUAGCAGUCGUUCUUCCCCAACUAAGUUUCUUAUUUUUCUUCACAAAAAAAUUGUAGAAAAUAUUAAGAAAAGAAAAGUCAUCAAUAUCAGACUCGAUCAGGUAAUCGUUCCAACCUUCCCAGCAACUCUCAGUCUUAACAAGGCACCAAAUUUUCUCCGCCACCUAACUCGUCAUUCAUUCAUGGGUGUUUCAAGCUUGGUGAAAAUUGAUAGAGUUCCAUGUGUGUACAGGGAUGUGAACAUAUUGGCCACUCUCUAAGAAUGAGUCAUUGGAAAAGUUGAAGGAAAGAUGUAACCGAUGAAAUUAAUGGAUUGGAAUUACAAUGAAGUCUGUGUUGGUUUAUCACAAAGAACCCAGAAACAAAAUUUUAAAAGCAAACAAUUACAACUUCUCAAAUAUUAUGUAACAAACUUUCAAUGAAAUGUUGCUCAUAAUUGAAAAAAGGUUGACGAAGGACGGAGUUGGGAUUAUUUUAGAUGGGGAAGAGUUAAAAGAAGGAAGCACCAUUUAAUUACUAAAAGUAAUUGGAGAAAUGGUAAUUCAAUGGUGGGCGUUUUUAAGGUGUGGACCUUGUGUCACACCCCGAUCCCAACAUACAUUGAGGAUCGACACCUGACAUGGGGACCUAGGGGACAUAAAUCUUACGUAAGAUACAGAAUGAAAUACUAUAAAUAAUAUCCCAAAAUGAAUAUGAUAGUGGGUUCACCCCCUAUAAAAUAUAUACAAGUUUGUACAUUCACAAAAAAAAAAAAAAAAAAAACACACACACACACACACAAAACUCUUGCUAGGCCAAGACUUGCCCAUGGUUCUCAAAGGAAAGUCCUAAAAGAAAUAGUACAAUGAAGGAUAAAGGGGUAACCUAAACACUCCAAGUCUCUGAUCUCUGCACUGCUACCCCCACCGGCUCCUCGUAAUCUACCUCAGACCUGUCACUUGUACAAACAGUGCCUACAUUGUGGGAAUGGUGCACCGGGCAAACAAAAACCCAGAUAAGCUGCAAAACUCGUGUGGUAGCCGGCCUGGGACAUGGGAGGGGGCCGAGUCUUUCAGAAACCCUUGGGUCAUUGAUCUUCAAGCUUACAUGGAUGGGAUUGUCUCGACGUUGCUUUAGGAAGUCUCGACAGUCGUGAAAGACGGCUUUCGAUCCUUCCACUCCUUCUGUAAGAAGGUGUCUUCCUCCACUCCUUCUGCUUCGGGUUGAAGCAGCUGGGUUGAGAGAAGUCUCAUGUUGGUCGCGAUUUCGAUGAGUAGCUCGCUCCUCAACAGGAAUACCCAUGUCGAGGGAAAAUGAGCCUCUGUGUUGGAGGCACCCAGUUGAUGGUUGACUUCCACAGGGGUGAUGAGCUCGUGUGUUUUAGUAUAUCUAGCCUCGUGGAGCAUCUCGAAGACCUUUUCAUACUGCUCUUGGAGGAUCUCAUUCUUCAUCGCUAUCUUGUUGUUCUGAGCCUCCAGCUCAUCGACUUUAGCCUGAAGAGCAAACUUCUUUUGUUCCUUCUUUCGUUGUUUCGCACCAGGUGUAAGAGGGGUGUCAUUCUGUGUGCCGUGGCUUCCUUCGCUCCCCAUGUUAGAGAGGGAUGCCUGGUCAAAAGAGAGAGUACGAAUGGUGGAAACCAGCUUGGCAAAGCUAAAGAGAGUGGGAAUAAGUGUCGUUCCCACAGACGGCGCCAAAUGUUGAUGCACAAAAUCAGUGAGGACUUUGGUACAACAGAAAGUGUUAAGUUUGUGUCCUUCGCUAGAUUGGUCCGGUCAUUAGUGUGGAUAAGUAUGUAAAUGGAUAGGGACAGGGAAGCAAACACAAGAUGUAUGUGGUUCACCCAGAUUGGCUAUGUCCAUGGAGUGGAAGAGUUCUCAUUAAUUGUGAAGGGUUUACACAAGUACAUAGGUUCAAGCUCUCCUUUAGUGAGUACAAGUGAAUGAUUUAGUACAAAUGACAUUAGGAAAUAUUGUGGGAGAAUGAUCUCCUUUUAUAGAAUAGUUUCUAGCUUUGUUCUGACAUUGACACGUGUCAUGCUGUGAUUGGCUUUUGAUGUUGACAUGUGUCGCAUUGUGAUUGGCCUCCUGGUUUGAGGGAAACUCUUCUGGGUCCUUGACAGUAUAACGUUGACAGGUGCUCAGUAGUUUCGGGAUUGGUCAAGUAUGGUACAAACAAAGUCACUGAAAACUUCGAAGGAGUCACCCAGACAUCCAACGACUUUUCUAAAUCAAAUCUCAGAGAUUCCCAAAACUAUCGUUCACAAAUACACUAAAAACUAAGGCUAGAGUGACACAGUUUGGCCAAAGCCUACAUAAGUAACCAAAUAAGAAGUGGCCCCCCCAUAGCGGAUUAAUCAAGUAGAGCCACUCCUGAGAAAGUAACCAAGUAGGUAGUGACCCCAUCACGAAUUAACCAAGCAGAGUCACUCCUACGAAACUGUUAGGUAGUGAUCACCCAUCGCGGAUUAACUAAGCAUGAUCACCCCUAAGUACGUAUGGCCAUACCUAAGAAAUAAGGAUCGCCCAUCGCGGAUUAACUAAGCAUGAUCACCCCUAAGUACGUAUGGCCAUACCUAAGAAAUAAGGAUCGCCCAUCGCGGAUUAACCAAGCACAAUCCAAAAAUAUUAUGGGUCCCCUAUCGCGGAUUAACCAAGCAGGACCAUCCAUGUACCACUGCUACAUGGUGCAGAUUCGGUGUCACCUAACCCCGUGACACUAGGGUAACGGUCCUCUACUAGCCCUCACGUUUUUCAAACAUUUCAAAUAUAUAAUUUAAAACACAAUUCAUAAACAUUUCGAAUAGGGAAGUCACAUAGUGUUUAAUAAUGUAGGUCAAUGGAAAACUUUAAAAACAAUUAUUUAGCAUAAAACAUAUUUUAGAAAUCCAUGCUGUAUCCACAAAGUAUACUAGCACGGGAGAUUUUCAGGGUAAUAACUCUAUCACAUAUAUUAAAGUCACUCACCUGGAGUCCGCACUAACGCACCCUAGCACGAAUAUCAAGAUGUCACGUACUAUCAUUUGUAACAUCCCACAUCAACCAACAGAGAGGGGGUGAUGUGUCUUAUAUGUACAUGCCCACCUCUAUAGCACGAGGCUUUUUGGGAGCUCAUUGGCUUCAUAUUCCAUCGGAACUCCAAAGUUAAGCGAGUUUGGGCGAUAGUAGUCCAAGGAUGGGUGACCCACUGGAAAGUUCUCGUGUGAGUUCCUAGAAACAAAACCGUGAAGGCGUGGCCAGGGGGGCCAAAGUGGACAAUAUUGUGUUACGACGGAAUUAAGACUGAGAUGUGACAGAAUGGUAUCAGAGCCGCUCUGCCGCGUGGUGCAAGUGUGCCGAAGAGGACAUCGAGCCCCUAAGGGGGGUGGAUUGUAACAUCCCACAUCGACCAACGAAGAGGGGGUGAUGUGCCUUAUAUGUACAUGCCCACCUUCAUUUAGCACGAGGUCUUUUGGGAGCUCACUGGUUCCGGGUUCCAUCGGAACUCCGAAGUUAAGCGAGUUCGAGCGAGAGCAUUCCCAUGAUGGGUGACCCACUGGGAAGUUCUUGUGUGAGUUCCCAGAAACAAAACUGUGAGAGCAUGGCCGGGGCCCAAAGCGGACAAUAUCGUGUUAUGGCGGAGCCGAGAUUGGGAUGUGACAUCGUCACCUAAGACAAAGUACAAGUCCACAUUUAGAGUUCUUCGAGUAUUCACAUAAUCAAAAAUUUACAUACGCACCCUACAACUAAUGAAGAGAAAUCGAGACACGUUGACAAAAAGUCAACCGUCGAUCAACGGUAGGGUCCACAACCCUACGUAACUUAAUCCGUAAGAUCCAGCCACUGUAUUUGUGAUUCAUAAGUUCCUAAGGUCCUCAAAUCUUACGUACAAUAACAUACUAAACUUUAGUGACGAUCUAAUGGUCGAAUCAUCAUUUACUAUAAUGUUCAAAUGACGCAAAUUCGUCAAUCGGAUGUCAAAUAUGGAAUCGGUCAUCGAAUUUAGCCUAGGAAGAUCAAGUGGUGUCUCAAGCCACGCACCACCAUGCGCAGCAGUUGGCAACCCAGAUUCGUCGAAAAAAUCACCUGAUUCCAAAAUGAAUGUCGUGAGACGUGGAGUAAAUUGUAUACCUGUGAGAAGCCCAAUUUGGCCAGGAAGUGGCCUGAAAUCACUUUAGACCGUCGGAAACCCUAAAAUAGGUGAAUCUCGAUUAGUCAUCUCUGGUAUUCCACCGUCCUCAAACUUGUUUAGGGUUCUCAAAAAAAUGCUAAUGAUGAUGGUGAUUGAAGGAGAACGUUUCAGAAAUAGUGAAUCGCCGGCGAGGGUUUCACGGAAUCGACAUGGGUGUUCCUCGUGGAACCAAGACCAAAUCUCAACGGUUUUGGCUAGAAAUGGAUGCUGGGAUGUCGUGGUGAGGUUUGGUAUUGAUGGGAGGUCGAAGAAAGUCAAAAAAAUCGACGAAAAAACUGUCGUCGGAGUCACAGGAAACGUGUUAGAAAAAUGAGUCGCCGAGUUUGAAACGGGUCGAAGGCUUUUGGGACAGCUACUUAAUCUCUCUUCUCUGAUUAGUCACUCCACUCACUCUCUCAUUUGAUUGGUCCAGCCUUCCCACAUGGUGGGAGUUCCCUCAUAUAGUAACCCAAAAUUUACUAUUUAAAUUUGGUAUCAAACGUCCGUAACUUUUUUGUUAUAGUUCCGAUUCACAAACGGCUUUCGCCUACGCGCUCGUAUGAUCGAAUUAUACUUGAAAACAUUAAUUGUGACCUUAAAAAGGUCUACAAGUUUUAAAAGAUUAAUUACAAAAAUUCACACCUUGUAACUAUACGAUUCAAAUUCUAAAAUUAACGGAAUUAAAAUAAACUAAAAAUAAUGUAAACACGAAAUACAGACUUUAAUAAUGAAAUACGUAAUUAAUAGUGGAAUUCUGGGGAUGGGAUUUCACACCUUGCGUCCGGACCUUGAGUGCGGAUCAGAAUCCAAAGGUCGUGAUCUGACGAGCUCAUGUAUAGAACAGAGUUGUUGUGACCCAAUGCAAUUCAAAACUUUUAUGUUUUUUUAUUUACUGGGUACGUUUUUGUAGGAGGAAAAGGGGAAGUCGAGGGAUUCUUUGCGCAAUAAAGAGGGAAAGAGAGAAAAGGGGAGCUAAGAGGUUCUUCGCGCGUUAAAUUUUUGCUUCUGAUUUUGCAACCUAGAAAUAAAGUAUUUUCUUUAUGGUUUAUGGUUCAAGAAUAUAAUGGAUGCAACCUAAAAAUGUUUAUUUUUUUAUUUUUUACUUUUUUUCUUCUUAUGUUGGCUUUUGGUUUAUUCUUAUAAUGCACUAUAUAUUAACUAAAUUUAUAAACAUUUUGUAUCUUUGUUGCAGUCAAAUUAAUCAUAUGGGUUGGCAUGACGAAGUUCGACUGAGACAUACAGAUGUUUUGCAAUCUUAAGUCUAACCUGACACACCCCGACCUCAAUAUCCAGUGGACACCAAAAUUGAGGUGUGAUGGCCAUCAUCCGGAUGGGUGACGAAACCAUUAUAUGCAUGAAAACAUAAUUACCCAAACACGUCUUAUUAAAAUAUUGAGUAAAUACCAUACAAGAUAGAAUACGUCAGAGCUGUUGCAAAAUACCUCAACGUCCGAUGUAAUCACUGAUAGAAUUACUGAAUCAUGUAUAAAUGGAAAGCUGAUAAAUACAUGUAAUUUGAGUGGAUACUUACCAGCAGCAUGGAUACAAUAUCAUCCACCAGUCGUAACUAGUGAAAGUUGGAUAAUAUAAUCAUGUCAUUGCCGAGUAAUCUCAAGGCAAUGACAAGAUGAGAAUGUAACUGAGUAAUCAUAUCAUUACUAAAUAAUCUCAAAGUAAUGACAAGCUAAGAGUAUAACCGUAUAAUCAUGUCAUUACCUCGUAAUCUCAAAAUAAUGAUAAGCUGAGAGUAUAACUGUAGUACCUCUUAUUAGUGCAAUGCAUGAUAUGAAUUCCAUCUCACAUAUAUAUGCAAGCCAUAAUCAAACCAAUAAACAUCCAACAAAAGCCACAAUCCUUUUAACAUUCGACCACAAGAUCAAUUUUCAUAUUUCCCAAACCUAGGUUCCAAAGCAUUGUUUCGAAUUAUUAAUACAAGAAACCACCACCACCUCAAUCAACUCCUAUUCACAAGUGUAAGCAAUUACUAAAUGCAUCACUUUCGACUCUAGUCUUAAUUAGAUUACUUGGGAUACUCACACCAUCAGAUCCAAGUACUAUUUUGAUAAACUUUAAAUAGCAUGGUUAAAAUAAAUGAAACACUUUUAGAAAAUAAGUGAAGAUGUUGUUUACAAAUAUAGAUGCAUCUGUAUAUAAAAGCUUUGGCGGUUGAUCCGUAUACACACUUCCAGAGAUAUAAGCAAGUUCAUUGGAAUAUACAUACAUAGUUAAUGUAUUACAAUAUAAUUAAUAAGAAAACAAUUGCAUCCCUUUCAGAUUAUAUAUAUAUAUAUAUAUAUAUAUAUAUAUAUAGACACACACAUACAUACACACAGGCCCUUUAUGCAAAGGAAUUUCCAUUUUUUUUCAAAAAUGGGGAUUAGUUGUGGGGCCCACGCUGCAUUGAACUUUAACGAUCCGAACAGUCUAUUUUGUAAGUCUCGAUUCAUAGAUCAUCCUUGUAAAAAUUCAAUUCAAUCCGAACCCAUUUGCCUAUUUAAUUAUCAAGAUAAAAUUUUAUUGUUUCUUAUAUAACAAAGUAUUCGUUAAUUUCUUUGAACUCAAUUAGAUAUCUUAAACAUUUCCGAUUUGGUUAAUAUUGUGUAAGGAUGAUCUAUGUGGUGCAACUUGAAAAAUAGACGAUUACGAUCGUUAAAGUUCGAUGUGGUGAGAACCCUACAAUUAAUCUUCAUUUUUAUAAAAGAAUGGGAACCCCUUCCCUUAAAGGUUUCCUAUGUAUAUAUUUGUUCUCCAGACAUAUGCAAAAGGUAAUGUAAAACCAAUGAGAACUUAAAUAGAUAUUCCAUACAUAGGACAAUUCCAUAUAUGCUUUUUCAACAUUUAUAUCGAAAAGCCAAAUUGUUUUGAGGAAAUUAAUUGUAGCAAUGAUCCCUUAACUUUUAUCUUAUUGGAGCAAUGGUCUCUCAACUAAAAAUUCAUAACCAUUGGUUCCUUAACUCCACACAACGUGUAGUUAUGGUCAUUUUCAUUAACUCCGUCAGAACUUUUGUUAAAACAAGUAAUGUUAGAAGAAUCAUUGCUACAAUUAAGUUAAAGUUGGGGACCAUUGCUCUAAUUAAAUUAAAAUUGAGGGAUCAUUUCUCCAAAUUGCUUAAAGUUCAAGGACCAUUUCUACAAUUUUCUCAUCUAGUUUCCCAUAUUUACCCCAUGAUUCAGCUUCACAUGCAUUGCACAUGACUCAUUUUGAAAUUUUUUUUAACGAAAUUGAUGAAAAUGACCAUAAAUGCACGUUUUGAAGAGUUAAGAGACCAAUGGUCGUGGAUUUUAGUUGAGGGAUCAUUGCUCCAAUUUAGUUAAAGUUAAGGGACCCUUGCUACAAUUUUCUCAAAUGUUUUGUAUGCGAAAAUAGGCAUUUGUAAAGUUUGGCUUGUUCAUGGCAUUAUUACUUUAGUCUAAAGUAAGGCUGGAAAUGGCACUGUAGAAAUGAAUAGUGUUCCAAUCCGAAUUUCAGUUUAAUUACAACAAUGCCAUUGCUCUUUGUGUUGCCUUUAGGUGAGCAGCCCGGCUUGCAGCCAGGCCCAAAUGUAUUGGUUUUAGCUGAGAAGCCCGGCCCUUAGUCAAGCCCAAAAUUUUAAAUUACAGUUUUGCCCAUACAAAAUAACAAUCCGAUUGUAUCGAGAAGGACAAUUUUGUCCUUUCAGUUUUGGGUGAGAUAGGGGGUAACAGGGUAAGUUUCAUUUGCUGUCGUUGAAUGAGGGUUUCGAGGAUGAGGGCUCUGUGUGUGUGGGUGUGUGAGAGAGAGAGAGAGAUAGAGAGAGAUAGAGAGGGAUAUGGCGAUGGAAGGAGAGCGAGGGGGAAGGGAAGGGUUCUCGGCACUGUUGCUGCAUGUGAAUUUCACAAGUGGGAGAGUGGGUAUGGUCAGAGAAGACCAUAUAGGUCGUUGGGAUUUCAGGGAAACGGGGUAGGGGUCAUGAAUGAACCCUGCUGAGAGUGGGUACUGGAUCUUGCGCUGCAUGCCUCAAAUCAAAGAUAAGUUCGUUUUUUUUAUUGUAUUUUUUAUGGUAGCUUAGCUUUUGGAAUUGUUUAGUAUGUUAGGUCCGAUUUUGGGGGAUUUAUCUUUUUAGAGAGAGAGAUGGACAGGGAGAUAGAGAUAGAGAGAGAGAGAGAGAGAGAGAGAGAGAGAGAGAUGAGGAAGCAUGACUGUGUGCAAUUUUUUAUGUUAAUUAAUGGGUUGGUGCGCAGGGUGAGUGACAGAGUGACAGAGUGAAGGAGGGACGUGUGGGAGGGUAUGAGUUUUCAGUUCUUUCUUUUGAUUCAACAGGUUAUACACUGUUUGAAAAACCUUUUUUUUAUUAUUUUGUUCUCGUUUGCUUUGUUAAAACCAUCAUUUGAAUUUUUGGGUUUCAUUGUGCUUAUUUCUCUGCUUCUUCAUAAUUUGCUGGUGUUUGCUUCUCAUCCCUCUGUUGGUAGAUCUUUUUCUCAUUUCUUGGUUCCUUAUGUAUUCUUUGGUACAAAUCUGUUUACUUUUUGGCUGUGUGAUAAUCUUAGCAGGUGAACUAUAUGAACGUUUUUUUGAAACGAGUUAAGAAGAUCCAGCUGAAAAGAGCAUACAAGAUAGAGAACUGGUAUGCUGCUCGCCAGGGAAAGGCUGCUGGAAAGGUUGAGACGGAUGCCUCUUUCAGAAACCAGGUCAGUUUCCUGCUGCUCGGCGUCUUAAUGUAUCCAAAUUGUUUAUCUUUUGAUGAAAUUAGCUGGCUAUAUUUUCUAUUUUAUUUAUCUGCAUAUUAUUUUGGUUUGUUGAAAUUUUGACUAUAGUCAUUGUCACAUGGGCGCCUAGCCCAACCCAAAUUAGUUGAGGAUAUUUAAAUCUUCACCAUGGUAUUAUAGUACUCACUCACAGUUGUGAAUACUAAGGUGCAUGCAUGGCAUGAAGAAGUGGACCGUGCACGCCAAGGUCAGAGGGAUGCAGAAGGCAAGCUUUUUUCUUUGGAGGUAAGUAUCCUUUGUUUAUUGCCCAACAGUGUUGUUAUUAUCAAUUUGUAGCUUUGCGUUCUGAAUUUUUUGCUUUGUCAAACAACCUUCUUGAAAUGCUCGAUUUCAAGCCGAAGUCCAAAAAAUGAAAGUUGAGAUGGCUUCCAUGAAGAGGGAUGUAGAGCAUUACUCGCGCUAGGUGAAAUCUGCUUCCUCUCUUUUCGUAUAUCUUCAUAUGAAGAGUUUUACUAAGUUAUAUUGAGAACUAUGUUAUUUAUAGGUUAUAUUUUCCAUUUUGCAGGAACACAUGGAGCUAAGGAAGAGCUAUCGUGAACUCACUGAUCUACUGGUAAUGUCACUCAAACUGCUUUAUUUGUGCAUGCUGCUACUAUGCGCUUGAAUGCAUUUUAUUACUGGCGGGAUGCGAAGAAAGCUAGAUAUAUGUGCUGGAUCGCUUGAUUAAUGUUAGGGUUUUAACAACUAAUUGUUAGCAGCUAGAAGCCCUGGUUAGAUUAAUGCUAAUUUGAUUUUCCUUACAGUACUUGAGUGCCAGUUUCAUAUUGUUUGUUCCCUGUUGGAUACCUGCUGUACAGUUUCAUUUCUGUUUCUUCAUAACUUUCUUGGCCCUGGGAUAUAUGCAUAUUGAGUACAAUGAAUAUCCAUUGUUCUCUAACUGUUGGGCUUUACUAUCUUUGUAGCAGCCUGCCUAACAUUUUUUAGGCUCUACACUCUACCAUCCAAUUUAUGAAAAAUUCAAAGAUUGGACGAUAUUGAUUGCAGAAAUGAAAAAAAUACUAUGAUAUUAGAAAGGUGAAUGUAAUUGUGUUAGAAUAAGCGUCUAGCAUGAUGGGUAAUAUUUUAAGUUUGUAUUUCUAAAAUUUUUUCGUUCUGGAGUAUGAUUUACCUCAAUUGUUUUGUACUUUAAUCUUUACUAAUUUUCAUUGUGGAGUAUGAUUUGCCUCAACUAACAACUUUUCAUUGUUUAACUUUUUCCUCCCUUAGAUAGUUGCAUAUGUUUGAUUUGUUAAUCUGCUUCUUACACAUGUUGUUUCCUAAUGGUGUAGGUGGGUUGUCGGAUGCAUGUGCAGAUUACUUGAAUAGACGAAGCUAAGAAUGACUUAGUAUUAAGUGAGACAGAAGCUUGGGUCAGUUGGAUUUUGACAUUUGAUUUAUUCAUGUUUUUUGUUGCUUGCAAUGUUCUCGCAUUGUUUGUUCUGAGAUUCUGUGAUCUUAUUUUUCAUAGGAACUGACAUUGGUUUGCCAUAUAAUGUUUCAGGAACUAAUACAACAACUAAUCACCUUGCUUAGCUCUCAAGACACAUACUUAACAGGUUAACAAACACUAACCUAUAAACUGAUCUGCUAAGCUGGACCAUUAACCUCUGUUUAUAUCCCUGCCACUCAUCUUUUGGCACUUAUCAAUAGCAAAAUCUAGAGUUGUUGAAACCCCAAUUUUAAUGAAUAUUAUUUUUAGUUGAUAAUUAAAAUUAAUUGAUGAUUAAUCUAUUCCAUUGUGCAUUAUUUUAUCGCCAAAUACUUUGAAUAUUCAUUAGCAAAAGAUAUAGGGUUCACUAUUUAAUGAAUAGAAUUUUGAUGGUGGAUUGCAUUUCCUGAGUUAUAAAUGUGGUGAAUCCAUUAUUUACUAGCUGAAUAAUCAUAAUGUUUUGGCCACUUACCUUGAAUUUUGUUCAAAUUGAAGAAGUCACAUGUUUCUUUCUGUUGUUGAGGUAAUCUCUCUGUUGAAAGCUUCUAUUUCUUUUUUUUUUUUCUUUUUUUCAUUUGGGUAGAUUUUUUUUUUUAUGGAUUUAUGUAUUUUUUUUCCAGAGAAUUCGAAAUGAAAUAAGAAUAGCGGAUUGAGCAUAAACAAAUUGAUGAAAUUUUUAUUUGAGUGUUUGUGUUAGUCCUUUUUUGAUUUGUUGAGGUUUGGAAUUAUUUGAGUUUUUUUGCUGUUAGUACUAUGAAGGAUGCUUGGCAAUCGCGAAAUGGGGGCUACCUCUUUGGAAAGAGAAGUCUCGCUAUCCAACCUCUCAUGAAUUACAAACAGGGUGAUUUCUUGCUGAAAAACCACUGAACCAGUAGAACUUUCCUCGGUUCUUCAAUUCGAUUCGAAUAAUUUUUUUACCCAGAAAAGCCAGCGUUUCCUGGUGGGUUUUACAGCUUUCUCAAUGUUUUUGUGAUUUUGGAUUUGCAAAUUUGUUUUCUGUUCAAAUUUCCUUUUGUGAUUUUGGAGGUUUUGUUUAUCGAUUCUCUCACUCAUCUCUCAGCUCUCUCUCACUUUUGAGGUACAUGCCGUUGGAUUCCGUUUGCUGCUGCUGAUCUGUAGGUAAAGCUUCAAUUACCAUAUAAAGUUUACAUUUUUCAUGAUUUCUUGAAUUUGGGUUUUAAACAAAGGAAAUAUUGCUAGAUUCUUAUCUUAUGUGCAAAUUACUGGCUAUUUGGAUUGGUGCCUGAGAUUUAGAGAAUGCCUCGCAGCUUUAAUUUCUUUUUCCUUCAUUAUUACUGUUUUCAAAAUUUUUAUUGCUGGGUAUUGAUAAUUUGUAGUAUGUGAGGGCUUCAAUAUGUUGGAAUUUUGAAUGGUUAUUGCUUCAUCGGAAUUUGGGUGGUCCAAAUUUUGAAUUAGAAGAAACCCAUUUGAUUAAUAUUUUUGGUGGAUUGGUUCUCUGUGUUUUCCUUGCUAUUUCUCCCCCAGUUGGAAAUUGGAAGCCCCAACUUUGAGCUCAGAGCUUGAAUUUCUCAAUCGUUCGUUUCUCUGCACUCUCAUCAAUCACUCUUGAUCCUCUAUCUAAAGAACUGGGUAAUUUUCCAGCUCUAUCAAGUAAUACUCCAUUUAAUUGCUUAAUUGAGGUUUUUUGUUUCUCUUUUUCGCUCUUUCAUCAGUUCAUUGACUUUGAUGUUGAGCUUAAGUAAAUGGGAGAUCAUUAAUUGGCAUUGUUCAAGAUAUAAUUCUGUGUUUUUGGAUUUGUGAAACGAUUUGCCUAAUGAUGAUAGUGGUUAAAAUAAAUUUUUCGUUAUGAAGAGAACAUUGUUCUUCAUUUGCCUACGGUUUUAACUACAAAGUUAAACUACUAUGCUUUUGUUCAAUUGACUGCAACUCAUGCCGCAGUUUGCUUCACAAACCUCUACGGUUAGCUUCCAUACAGUAUGUUGCAAGUUUGAGGAUAUCUUUACAUCUUAAUUUUUGCUCUCUCUGGUUGCUUCAAGUUUGUAAUUUUACGUGUUACAUUGCUACUUGAUUUGAUUAUAAAAAUGCAAAACAAAAUCCGUUUUGCUUUUAUUCAACUUAAAUGUAUCCUUUUGUUUGUUCAUAAUUGUGUUGAAUUUAUUCAACUUAAAUGUGUUUUAUUCAUCUAUUUACGCUUAAAACAACUGGUUCCCCUAGCAAUGCGCGGGCCUAAUUUCUAGUACAUAUACUAAAAGCCAGCAGAAAAUUACUGUUCAUCAUGGGAGAUAGAGCACUGUUCAUUAACAGUGAAAGGGCGAAAAUGCCCUCGGUUUCUUCUUUACUUCACGUACUGUUUACGAAUUGCUACAGUAUAAAGUCCGUUUUGUCCUUCCUGUCCACACAUCUUUCAUCGUCCGUUUCUCUUGCUUCGACCGUAUCUUUUUUGCUUUACCUUUCCUCUUCAUUUUUCGCAUUCGUUAGGCUGCGAUUUUCGGAGGUGGAUUGUUUGCCCUCCCAUUUCCAUGCUCUCCCCAUGCCUAUGUGGUCACAGUUAAACCACGUCAAUAUUUUAUAUUAAUUUUUUAUAAAAAUAAUAAAACAAAAAGUAAUAAGAAUAUAAAAUAUUGACGUGGCUUAACGUGGUCCGUGAUCACAGUAGGCAUGGAAAUGGUCCGCGACUUUCUCCCUUUUCGCCAGCCCCUCUUUUGCUCUCAAAUCCUUGCUCUUUCUUUUGCAAAAUAGUCUCAGAAGAGAUCCUGGGUUUAUCGAAUCCUUUGUUGUUCGGCGUUUUGUUCUCAUCUUGUGAUCGUCGGGUCAGCAGCUUUAAGGUAAGUUUGUUUUUAAUGAUUUAUCCUCAUUUUACGAUGUCUGGGCUAACAAAUUUAAGAUCUUUAUUUUUCUUUUUGCUGCGGAUCUGCAGGUUUUGACAAGUUUUUUGUGAAAUUGGUGCUGUCAGUGGGUGUUAACAUCAGGUACCCAUGUUCAGUUUUUCGUUUUGAUUUGAAGGAAUUUCUUGCGCAGAAGUGCUAGGGUUUCUUGGUGAGUUCUUCGGGUUGUGCAUAUGGGUAAUUUUCUUUUCGGUUUAACCCGCUGCUUCUGCUGCUCUCUCUCUUUCUCUCAUCCCUGCCUGCUCCUCUCCAAUUGUUUGCUGUUCUUAAAUAUUGUGUUCAUUGCCUGAUACAAGGAGCUGCAGCAAUCUGUUUUAUCCUACACGGGACAACGAGGCAAUGGCGUGACAACAGGUGAGCUUGGAUAUCCAAAGAAAGAGAACAGUUGGUUCAUCUGCUGGAGUCUGAAGCUCAGAGAAGUGGAGGAAAAUUGCAGGUGUGCGAGAAAUUUUAUUUUGCUGAUAGGACUCCUUAUUUACGGAUGCAUUUUGAAAUAAUUGAAAAGUUGGAUUUGAGUUAACAGCUAUAAAAAUGUAGACAUGAUUGCUGAGAUUAUGCUAUGAAAGUGGAAUAAAAAAAUGGUAGUUUAUAAUAUUGCGUACCAAUUUUUUUCUCUCUUUUUUACCAAAUGAUAAGGGUGGUGGCUCAGGCCGCCCCCCCUACGCGUCCCCACUCUUCGACAAGUUGAAAUCAUGGUGAUAGUUUAUGGGCUGUGGUCUUGGGAUUCUGCAAAUAGAUUAAAAAACAGACACUUAACUAUCUUGUUAUUAAACAUUUCUGCAUCAUUCAGUUGCUCUUGAUUUUCGUCUUUUAAGCGAUCUUAUUUCUGCGAUCUGACUUGAGGAGGGUUUUUAGACCUAUGGUUGUGGGUGUUUUGUCUGACCCCAUUAAAUUGGUUUCCGAGAUUUGUAGACUUGCGAUCGGCAGUCAAACAUUUUGUGAUUCUUGCUUUUUUUCCGACUGGGAUUGACGAAUUUUGGCCGAAUCUGUUUCCUGUUUUCUUCUCUGUUUGAGCGGCCGCUGCCUUUCGGUCGUUGAGCGCCGGCAGUCUUUAGAUCUUUGGCAAAUCAAUUUAAUACAACCGAGGUAUGUUUUAUAACUGCUGUCUUUCAAUUUUUGUUCUGUAUUUUUGUUAAUUUGGAUGAAGCUCUAAUAAUUUUGUUUUGGAUCAGUUGUGGUCCUCUGUUAGGAUUUUCCUGGCUAAGAGGGUAUUUGCGUUUUUGUUGCUUGGUUGGUCGAUCACAGAUUUACGAACAGCUGUGGUGGUCCUGUUAUUUUUUUGGUAUGUUUUUUCUCCUUUUUGGUUUUUUCCCGGUUUGAGCACCCAUUCAUGAAGAAUUAAAAUGUGUUUAUAGUUUUUCAGGAGAGAUUAGAAAAGUGAUUUCAAUUUGGGAAAAUUUAAUGUUGGUUAAAAUUUGUCUAUAAUUUUUGGGAAGGAAUGAGAGGACCCAUUGAAGUAUGUGUUGUGAUUAUUUUUUAUUCAUAUUUUUAACAAAUUGGGCAUGAAUUGGUAGGUUAACUGUGUGUGUUUAUUAUUUGAAUCGGCCAUGUUUGUCUUUCUAUGGUUCUAAAAAAUUUGUAAAGGCUGUUAACUUGGAAGAAAAUGGGAUCGAGGGUGAGGGGAAAACGGCAGAGAAAGCAUGGAAGAGAGAUUUGGGAUUAGGGGUAGGAAAACAGAUGAAAAGAAUAUGAUAGAGGAAUGAGUUCAGUUCAUUUUCACUAUUUUUUUUAACUGAUUUGGAUUUUGUUUGGGUUUGAGGCCAUCAUUGGCGUUAAGACGUUUAUUAUCAGAUCGUGUGUGUUUUUUGCUAACUUUUAUUGGUCAUUUUUAUGUUGUUCUUAUGAUUUUGUGUGGUAGGGUUUCUGAAUUUUAUCGUUAUUCAUUUGGUUUUUUGUGUGUGUUGGUUUGUUUAUUUUGCAGGUUGUGUUUGUGCUGGGACAACAUUUUCCACCUUCUGUUUGCACUGGGAUGAUUGCGUUUUAAAACUGUUGGGGUGAGAUUUACAUAUGGAAUCAUUCCAUUUUUUUUCUUCCAAAUAUGUGCAUUUAGUUCUUUUUAUUUUAAAUUUUAAAAAUUAAAUCGUUAUUUGAGUAAAAUGUUUUAUUAAUUUAUGUUAUGUGUUGUGAUCAGGAAUUCUGUUGGAUUUGCAAAUUUUGGUUUGAUGAGAGAGAUGAGGAGUUUUUUUUGUUUGAAUUUUUUAUUGGACCGAUUUUCAAUUGGAUUGCAUUCUGCCUUUUUGCACCAUUCUUAUGCAAGCAAUUCAUUGUUUUAAAUACAAUUUGAAGAGAGCUGGGUUGCGGGUUGGAUAUAAAAUGUUAAGGUGAGAUAAAAUCGAGAUACCAAGGGUGGAAGAAUGAUUCAGAAUUGGGGGAGGAAAACAGAGGGAAGAUGGAAGAGUAUAAGAGAAGGAUAGGGUUGACCUCAUUUAGAGUUUUUAUUUACUUUUUUUUUUAUUAUUUAUAAAUUGAUUCAGGACUAGCAUAUCAUUUCUAAAUUUCUAACAUUUUUGUUUAAUUUGACUCCAGUUGAUGGAAAACAGAGCUCUUACUCCUAUCAAUCAGUUGGUCCCGUACAUAAAUGCAGAAAAAUCAAGGUUCGAGUUUGCAGAGUAUGCAGACCAAGGUUUCCUGAAACUACUGGUGCUGUCACGCCCCAAUCCCGACCUAUGUCCAGGAUCGACACGUGACGUUAACAAAUACCCAUAUCUCUAACAUACCCCGCCUCCGGAAUAUGGGCAAAGCACAACUGCGUAAUAAUUUUUCGUAUACUUUAUGGCUGCAUCUAACAUCCUCGUUAGAUUAUCAUACCUUAUGGCUACAUCUAACAUCCUUGUUAGACUGCCUACGUACUCUCAAAAGGGAUCAAACCAUUCGUAGUUCACCACACUCCAAUCCACAAAAAUUUGCACAUGCACUGAUUAUAAAAUGGAACUGCACCUAUAGAAACCUAAUCAUAACCCGUGGGCGAUUUGCUCCCACAUAAGAAAGACGUCCACAGUACCAUGAAAUACUUCCACAUCUUUCCUUCCCAUUUACACAAUAUUUUAUUUCACCUCCCUGAUAAAUAUAGCAUUUACAUUACAUGUGGCAGACAAAUUUGCAUAUUCAACUAUAAUAAAAUACAAUCUUAGUAGGAAAAACCUACAAGACCACCACUCGUUUGAGCCAAACUUUAGCUUAGCACUCAACUGGUGCUCACACCAUGUGAGUGCACGAUCCUUUAAGAUGGAUGCGAUGGUUCUCUUUUGAGAUUAAUUUUGUUACAGGUAUAACAUAGUUGGCAACCGUUUAGAAAUAGAUGCCUCAUGUUCAAAACUCUCAUUACCAAAUGUUCUAACAAGUUAGUAGAGAAGGUAAAAGAACCCAAAUGGCGAGAAAUAGUGUCCUGAUGAAACAAAAGAUGUAACCCUCAUUCAAGCACGAACAUCAUUUCCUUGAGAAUCUGCGAUUUCUUCCCUCAUUUGGUCAAUAUAGCUUGUAUUCCAACUGCAACUUACUAAUAGCAUUUGUUCUCUCCUCGAAUGAAACCAUAACCAGCCAUUUUAAAUAAAGCUGAACAGUUUCACGUUGGGAAAAUAAAGAUUAUAACAUACAGGUUUUGGAUUAGAUUCCCAAACCAACAGAAAAUUAAGAUAGGAAUCUAUUUUGGGUUAACUGAGGUAUGAGUGGUAUACAAAUGAGAAAUUCCCUACAAAAGUCAAUAAAACCAGUUACAUAACAUGUUGAAUAUAAUACAACAUGAAAUAAGAAGCACCACUUGUUUAUCUGACUUUUUAUACAUGUAUUUUCCUAAGGGAUAAAAACGUGCGGGUUUUGGGAUCAAUCUGAAGAGGGCUUCACCACGAAUACAUAGCCUUUGACCGUGCAUGAUUUCGUUGCCGUAUGAGAAAGUUAUCAUUUUUUUUUUUUGUGAAGAAGAAUUAAGGGGGAGAAGAACAGCUGCCCCCUCUGUUUCUGCAUCUGCCCAGCGGGGAAAGAAAAAGAAGAGAAGCCCUUGGCUUCUAGAAUACUCCCUCCCCAAAAUUACAAUUUUGCUCUCUAACUUUGAUUGUUUAUAUCUUAUUCGUUAUAACUCUGUUUCACGAACAGCUUUUGCUUACAUGCUCACAUAGUCGUCAUCUAUUUAAAUAUAUCAAGAAAUACAAUAAAAUACAUCCUCGUAUAAGUAUGUUAACCAAUUAGGGCACUUUCGUCAUUUCCACUUAUCGAUAGAUUUUAACACGUUAAUUAUAAUAAUGUCCGGAAACAGCUUUAAAAUUUCCAAAUUCUAUUUCCAUAACCAUAAAUCGAUUUAUUAAUUUUUCAGGGUAUCACAGGUGCAUAUUCAGGCUUGCAUUGUAUAUUACUUUCCUAUUAAAAAUUUGUUUGGAAUUUGCUUUUCCCACAAAGGAGAAGAGCUGACAGUUACGCUGUGGGCAGAUGUUGCUCGAAGUAUUGCUUCUUUAUCCAUUGAAUCAUUGUCUCUGCCGAUCUUUGCGGUUUUCACAAGUUUAAAGGUCAAGCUGUACCUAGGUGUUUGACUUAAUUAAAAACUAAUCUAUUUAUUUCGGAGGCGGAGCAAAAUGCUAUCUGUCUUACCCCUCUUGGUGAUCUUAGUCGGAAAGAUCGGCUAGUUUGGGAUGUGAGUAAGAAUGGGCAGUACUCGGUUCGAUCGGGCUAUCAUUGGCUGCAAUCUAGGUCUGUUGGGUUCAGGGAUCAACGCCAGCUUGGUGCUUGCUUAGUUCCGAGGCAUUUGUGGCGCAUGGUUUGGUAGUUGAGUGGGCCUCAUAAGCUCCGUCAUUUCUUUUGGUUAUCUUUGCAUAAUGCAUUACCGUCAUUUCUUUUGGUCCGUGACCAGGCAUGAGGAGAGCAUGGAAAUGAGAGGGCAGACAAUCCACCUCCGCGACUUUCUCCCUUUUCGCCAGCCCCUCUUUUGCUCUCAAAUCCUUGCUCUUUCUUUUGCAAAAUAGUCUCAGAAGAGAUCCUGGGUUUAUCGAAUCCUUUGUUGUUCGGCGUUUUGUUCUCAUCUUGCGAUCGUCGGGGUAGCAGCUUUAAGGUAAGUUUGUUUUUAAUGAUUUAUCCUCAUUUUACUAAACUAUUUAUGGUAACUUAGUAUGGUAACUUAACUAAGUAAGUUUGCUUUUAGCCCAAGGGUUGGAGAUGGUCUUAGUAUGGUAACUUAACUAUUUAAUUCCAUCUCAUUAAACUAAAAAAAACAAUUACAUAAAAAUAAGGGAAACCUUGUCCAGAGAGACCUGAGAAAGUCCACCCCUAAGGACUUUGCGCCAGCACCCAGCGUAUUUAUCUACUCAAGUGAACAGUAAUAGACUGGAGUGAACAGUAAUAGGCCAAGGCAUCUCCACCCCUAAAAAAAUGCGCUGGCACCCAGUGCAUUUAUUUGGUGUGUUUUUUUUUUAAAGUUUAUUUCAGAUAAGAUUUUUAACCAAUUUCGGAUAAAAUUUCAAAUAAACUUAAAAAAAAACACUCUAAAAUAAAAUUACAUACUCAUCAAAUAAACUUAAAAAAACACACUAAAAUAAAAUUACAUAAACUCAUCAAAUAAAUUAAGGAUGAGCUUUUUGGUAUUUUUUUUUCACACAAAAAGUAUAUGAAAGCUUUGGUAGAAGGUCUAGAAAAUAUUGAAAUGUGGUGUAAGGUGGAAGAUGAGGGUUAGGUAUUUAUAGAAAAAAAAUAAUAACUUUUUUAAAAUUUUACUGUAUUUUAAAAAAAAAUCUGUAUUUUUUUAUAUUUUUAAUUAAUUUUAAUGUAGUUAAUUAAUUUGGACCGUUGGAUUUGAAAAAUAUUCAAAUCCAAUAGCCCAGGAUCGGCCACGUGGCCAACGCCAGCAAAUGGCCCAGCUUCUUGGUCAGCCUGUUUUGUGCUGGCCCAGAGACCAGUUUGGGCUGGGUGCCAGUCUGUUUUGUGGGCUGGAGUGAAUGGACAGGGUCCCAGCCUGUUUUUUGUGCUGAGUGCUGGCCUAAUCCACCACCGGUGGACUUGCUCUGAGAGAAAGUGACGACUUCUCCUCUCAUUCCACUCCAUACUUGAUCUCUAAAGUCCAUUUGGCAUGUAAUUGAUGUUCAAUUUCAAAUUUAGUGGUAGCAAUUAGCAAAGCUAAUGAAAGAAUCAAAUAAAAUGAAAGAAAAAGCAUCAUGAAAUAAAUCAAGAUGAAGAAUGAAAUUUUGGCAACUCGCCAUUCUCUUCUUUUAUAUAAAAGAUACAUCCUAUUUGUAGUGAAAACAGGUCCCGACAAACCCAGUUAUCCUCAAGAAGUAUUUUGUAUGACUUUAAAAACAUAAUCCGUGAAAUUAUCUCUUGGCUGAGAACAACAACAAAUCUUCAUGCAUAGCUUGUACAGAAAGACAUCAGGCAUACAAAAGAACACGCAAGCAUAAAAUAAACGACGCAGGGAAAACCAAAAAUACUAUAGAACACGUCGCUGUCAAAAGAACAUGAAUAAAUGAAAAUUACAAAACAAAGAAGUGAUGAGAAACCAAAGUACCCAUUUCAUAAUCUAGUUGCUUUUUAGUUUGCUUGCCAUUUUUAGUUCUUCAAUUUAGAGAGAAACGAUAAUUCAGCACAUGAAUAAAGUGAAAACGUAAAAGAUAUGUGGGAUAAGCUGACAGCCAUCCCUGAGUAAUGCAUUCACUUAUGAACCCCAAACACAACGAAACAAAAAUUCACACAUGAACUACAGCUCCGCUAUGUAACAAGAAUUAAAAGCAUCUCAAGACAAAAUGGCAAACUAUAAGAGCACUGUAAAAGUAAAAUUGCAAGAAAUCUAAUACUUGGAGGGCAAGUACUACUCAGACGAAAAUGAAAGAUUGAACUACCUCGCGUGGAACUGUGCCUUGGUUUUUUCCCAUGCUUACAGGAAGCUUUGCACUGAGCUCUUAUAGCCCAAAUUUUCUCUGAAAGAAAAAAACACAAUUUUGAAAUAAGAUUUUCAUAUUAUACCUUAAAGAGAAGAAUUAGAAAACAAAAAAGAGAACAAUGAGUACUAUUCAUCAUAUAUUGUUAGAGUGUGUGGUCCUUUGGUCCAAUGGUCCUGCAGCCAUAUUUACUUUAUAACUCUUUCUUUUAGUCUAAAAAACAUCUUGGAUCUCAAAUUAAUAUGAAUACGGAUUCAUACGCAUGCAUUGCAUUACAACCACAAUGCAAUAUCUCAUUAGAAAUCCCCACACAAAAUUUUUUUAUUUCUACUUUGAUUUUAGUUUAUAUUUUUUCUAAAGCACGAGGGAGCUAAUUUUUUUUUAAAUUUUUUUUAUUCCAAUAAUGUUAUAGGGUUGAAAGGAUAUUAUCAAUUUAAUUGAUUGUAUUUGAUUGGUGGAACUUCUAUAUCUAUAUUUCAGUUUUUCAAAUUCAGCACUGGGAGAGUCAUUCAUAAAAUGUUUGACAGUGAGAUUACCUCCAUGGAUUAUGCUCACAAUGGACAGCUCAUUUUCCGCAGUGAUGGGACAAUAUAUUUCAGUCAUUCGCCAUUCAAUCAAUUCAAACCGAGGAACAAGCAACAUCAAGAAGAGGAUCUGCCAUGUCAGGAUCACUGUCGUCCAAUUAAUACAAAAAAUCUAGAUAAAAACGAUCAAUUUACAUAAAAGCCUUUCAUUUUCUCAGCAACCAAGCAAAAGAAAAUACCUAUCCGUUAACACUCGAUUUGGGAGUAAAUGUUGCUGAAACUGGACUUCAAUCCCCUCAACCGCAACAACCGAAUCGAGGUGUGCAAGUCAUUGAAAAACUCACCCAAGAUUUCAAAAUCUGCAUAAAUAAAUAAAUAAGCACAUAAAUUAGCCAACCCUGUUAUGAUCCCACAUCGGGUACACAAGAAAUUGUGUAGUGGUACUUAAGUGCAAGGGGUCCUCCCACCUAUUGGACUAGUUUUUUGGAUUGGGCUCUUCCCUUGGGCUUGAGUACCUAACAUUGGUAUCAGAGCCUAGGUUCCCGACGCUGCGGGACUUGGCGAGUGGUGCAGCCUCGUGGUGCCGCCUUGAGAGUAUGGGCUCCUAAGGGUCUUGGCGACGGGCAAGGUAUGAAAUGCCGAUAUUAUCGCGAUAUUUCGCCGAUAAUAUCGGUUUUUUGAGUUACCGAUAUUUUAAUACUUAUCCACUGAGUUUUCGUCAAAAUAUCGCGAUAAUAUCAACAAUAUCGCGAUAUUACCGAUAAUAUCGCGAUAUUUUGGAGAUGUGCGAAUCGGAGAAGAACGCCGGAGCUUUUACAGCUCCGGCCGACUGUAAAAGAGCACCCUAGACUCCGAUCUAGGUAUCAAAAUGAAAUACAAGAUGAGAGGAAUGUUUUUAUAACUUCCGUUUGCCGUGAAACGGUCGAAGGUGUUCGGAAAGUUCGUCGACACCCACGGCCUCGCCAGAGAUGGGUGUGCCUAUUCCCGAGCCGAUUUCGUCCCAAAAACCUUGCAAAAACACGAGAUAGAACUUAAAUUUCACGUCUAAGCUUCAAUCUAGAAUAGAAUGAGGUAAACCCGAAGCUUACCUAACCGGAGAAAUUCAAGAAACUCGUCGGAGGGUUCCUGCGUCGCCGAGUUGCAGAGACGAGAAGGAGAGGGAGAAAGACGAGGUUGCUGAUGACGAUGGGUGUCUUCCUCAAGCAAGUGCGAUGGUGUGCGUGUGUGUAUGUGGGUCUCGGUGCAGAGAGAAAGGAGAGAGAUGAGAGUUUCGAGAGAGAGACGGCACCGACGAGAGCUAUUUGUUUUUUUUUAUCUUAAAAAGAGAGAGGUCUAAGAGAAAUGGGAAGAGAGGGCCGAGUGAAAUGAAAGGAGGUCCUUGAAUUAUUGAGAGAUAUCUCUGAGAGAGGCCUAGGAUUUCUAAAAGGUAAUCAUAAAUGGGAAAAAUGGGGCACAUCUUAGCCUUUAUUUUGGAAUCCUAAGAAGUUCACCACAUGGAUGCAUGACAUGUGUGCAUGCCAUGUUUGUUGAAUGGGAAAAGUCUGACACGGAAAGACAAAGAGUCGUUUGGGGCUCUGGGCUCGAGGCAAGACAGAAAGUGCUAGGGUUUUUUUCUGAAAUGAACAUAAGCUGCUAAAUUCGCAUAUAUUAUAGUUGUUGCUAAAGAUUGUCACUAGUGUGGACUUGGACGUGUUGGUCAACAUGUCCUCACAAUCCCCAAGUUCUCUGGUUCGAACCCUUGCGCCCAUCAAAUUUUCUUUCUUUUUGAUGCGCUUUUCCCAUGGCUCUAGGUCUUGAUUUCGAAUCCAAGUGAGCCCUUUCCUUUUUCUUUUUUGUUCUUUUUGUUUUAUUAUUUGUUUAUUUUAAUUUAUUUGUUUCUUUUAUGUUUUUCUUUUCUUUUAGUUUCUUUGUCUUAGGCGUUCGUUUUUAUUAAAGUAGGAUGUAAAAUCAAUUAUCUUAAAAUUAUGUGUUUUUAAAUUUUGGACUUGUUUGUUGGAUACUUUUUUUUCAUUUUAUCAUUCUUUUAUUAUGAAAAUAUGCUAAAAUAUGCUAAAAUAUCACUUAUGUUUUUGUGAAAAUAUGCUAAAAUAUUUAUAUAUAUGAUUUUGUUUUGAAUUCUUUUUGUACUAAUUCAUUAUAUAUAAAUGAUUAUGGUGUGUUUAAACUUCUUUAAUUAAUUACUACAUAUUUUCUAUACUCACAAUGUUUGCCAGCUCGCUAUAUAAUCAACUUAAAUCAGUUAAAUCCAUCAUGCAAUGCAUUUCCUUCCAAUUUUUUGUGAUAAACUUGUGAACACGGAAAAUUCCUGAAACGAAAGAGACAAGAACGAACGUGCACAAACAAAUAUUAUGUAUUUGAUGAUUUUGGGUUACAAUCUCUCUCUAUUUGAUCCUCUGAUUCAAUCUCCGUAAGGUGUGUAUUUGUGGAUGUGUGAUUGAUCCAAAGGGCCGUUGGGCUUGAUCUAAUGAUGAACGUUCUUCAAGGGCCGUGGACUUGAUCUUGAAGGUGGAUUUGAGCGGAUCUUCAAAGGGGCUUUUGGGCUUGAUCUUGAAGAACGGUUGGAUGUGUGGAUUUGUCGAAGUUGUUGAUCCAAAGGGCCGUUGGGGCUUGAUCUUGGAUGAACGGAUGAUGAACGAUGGUGCUUUCUUCAAGGGUCGUCGGGGCUUGAUCUUGAAUUGGUGGAUGGUUGAUCCAAGGGCCGUCGGGGCUUGAUCUUGGAAGAACGAUGAACGAAGAACGAAGAACACUUUCUUCAAGGGCCGUCGGGGCUUGAUCUUGAAUUGGUGGAUGAUUGUUGAUCCAAAGGGCCGUUGGGGCUUGAUCUUGGAAGAACGAUGAACGAAGAACAAAGAACGCUUUCUUCAAGGGCCGUCGGGGCUUGAUCUUGAAGGUGGAUGAUUGUUGAUCCAAAGGCUGUCGAGGCUUGAUCUUGGAAGAACGAUGAACGAAGAACACUUUCUUGAUUCUUCGGGAACCUGGACGCUUGAGAGCUUCGGAGUUUCAGAGCUUCAGAGCUUCAAGGUGUAAUAUGAAUUGGUCCCCCCUAAAUGAAUGAAAUGGGCUUGUAUUUAUAGAAUUUUCCAAGGCCUAAUUUUGAAUAUAAUAUCUCAGAUGAAAUAAGUCGUUUCUGCCAGGUGUUAACACGUGUCCUAUUUGAUGACUUUUCCAACUCAUUUCAAUUUUCGUUUAGUCACACGCUACGUGUAAAAUUUAUGUAAUACAUGAGCGUUGACACUUUGAUUUAUCGGUCAACAUUUAUUUACCGAAAUUUCGAUGUCUACAAAUGCCCCCACUUCAAGGCACGUCGUAUACCUGUGCUUGUCACGUGUAGGAGAUGCGUUUUGAAGUCCCUUACCGUAGAUGCCGAUUCAAGGGCCGUUGAAGCUUGAUCUUGAAUUGGGCUUGAGAUUUCUUCAAGGGCCGUUGAGGCUUGAUCUUGAAUUUUUGUUUGAAAUUUCUUCAGGGGCCGUCGAGGCUUGAUCUUGAAGGUUGAAAUUGGGCCACAAGGAGCUUCAUGUGGUAGAUGAUCUUUGGCUUUGGUAGUGGAUGAAUCGGCACGUAUUUUAUUGCGCUUGUUGACUUUCCACAGCUUUGAUCUUGAACUGGGUUGGAGGAUUUUCUGGAUUCCUCCAAUUGUUGAUUUUCCACAGCUUAUUCUUGAACUAGGUUUUGAUUCAAGGGUGGUAGACACUUGAUCUUGAAUCGGACUUGUGAUUUCCUCGAUGGCCGUCGAGGCUUGAUCUUGAAUUUGGUUGGAAACUUCUUCAAGGGCCGUCGAGGCUUGAUUCUUGAAGGUUGACUCGAACAUAUGGCAAGCAGGCACGAGGUGAAGGUGACGACUUGUUGCUUUGUUCAAUCUUUCUAAUUCACACCUGAGCAGUUUGGUCAACGGUAUGAUCCUCAAGAUUGAUGGGCUCUUCUUCCAGUUGGUGACUUGAUCUUUAAGGAUUUGAUUCAAGGGUGGUGAAUCGGCACGUGCAGCCCACAACGCCUAGUAAGCCGACCCAAGAAUUUGAGGGUCAAAACGGAUUCACCGUCAGAGUGAUUGCAACUUUGAUGAUAUGAGAUACUCUUGCUUUUGAAGAAGUAGUGGAUGAAUCAGCACGUGCUUUGUUGCGCUUGUCUCCACAUGCUUCAAGGUAUCAUCUUUAUUUCCUUUAUCUAUUCCUCAGGCAGAUGUGGCAUCUUCUCGAGUUCUUCAUCUCAGACUCUUUCUGCUGAGUUGACUGUUCAUGCUGCAUUCUUCUCUGCUUGUUCAUUCUGCACGUUGUCUCCACAUGCUGCAAGGUAUCAUUUUCACUUGCCUUAUCUGUUCUCCGGGCAAAUGUGGCAGCUUCUUUGAAAGUACAGUAGCAGCGGGAGGCGAGUACUCGAGAGCAGUGCUAGGUAGGCAAUCAGGGAAGGGUUCCAAGCAGUCGGUUCCUUACCCGAGUUUGAGUGGAAGUUCCGGCAUAUUGUUUUUUUUAUCCUUGUCUUUGUAGGUAAGAACAAGGACAAAGGAAAGGACAGGGAGAACGCAUGAUAUGAGAUACUCUUGCUUUCUACCCUGGUGAUAUGAGAUACUUUUGCUUUGGAGUCAUUGGCUUGCAGAGGUACCCCAAGGAAUAAGGAACACUGAAUGACUCGAGAGGCUUCGUUGGGAAAACAUCUUUGGAGAUGAAGAAAGACUUUGUGUGUCUGCCUUGCUAUGGAAGGCGAAGGUAGACAAUUAUAGGAAGUUCUUUGAUACCUGUAGAUGUACUAUUCUUUCACUCGUGUCGGCAACCAAUGCGUGAUUGAUCUAUAUGGCUUCACGUGCUUCCUUCUUUAUCAGAAAUCUUCGACAAACUGUCCGUAAUUUCCGCCAAGCUGAGUGUGCAUGUGAUAGGUGUUGACGCGGCUGAAAAAGACUGGCGCUUAUUCGAUAACUGGGAUCUGCGCUUCGACAAAUUACCCGUGAUUUCCGCAAAGCUGAGUUUGCGUGUGAUGGGUGCUGACGUGUCUGGAAAAGACUGGCGUCUCUUCGAUGUCUGGGAUCGGCACUUCGACAAAUUGCCCGUGAUUUUCGCAAAGCUGAGCUUGCGUGUGACGGGUGCUGACGCGUCUGGAAAAGCAAGAUGCUUCUUCGAUUUCUGAGCUUGCCUCUUCGAUUUUUGAAUGGCCUCUUCGAAUUCUGAGCUCGCCUCUUCGAUCUCUGAAAUCCCGUCGAGUGUUGAUUUUUUAUAGAGGCAUGCUGUUCGUUUCAAAGCACACUUGAAUUUUACUUGUGAAAACUCCCUUCUUGCACUUCUAAGAUCUUGAUUCGUCUGACCUCUUCUUCCUUCAACACUUUGAAAAUGUCUGGACCCUCCGACCGUCGUUUUGAUUUGAACUUUGGUGAAGAUGUAGUCCCGUCUUCUCCAGAUAACAUAUGGCGCCCAUCCUUCAUAUCCCCUACUGGUCCUCUUACUGUUGGGGAUUCGGUGGUGAAGAAUGAUAUGACCGCUGCGGUGGUGGCCCGAAACCUUGUCACUCCCAGAGAUAACAGACUACUUUCCAAACGGUCUGAUGAGUUGGCUGUUAAGGAUUCUCUGGCUCUCAGUGUGCAGUGUGCGGGUUCUGUGUCCAACAUGGCCCAACGCCUAUUUGCUCGAACCCGUCAAGUUGAAUCGUUGGCGGCUGAAGUGAUGAGUCUUAAACAGGAGAUUAGAGGGCUCAAGCAUGAGAAUAAACAGUUGCACAAGCUUGCACACAACUAUGCCACAAACAUGAAGAUGAAGAUUGACCAGAUGCAGGAAUCUGAUGGUCAGAUUUUACUUGAUCAUCAGCGGUUUGUGGGUUCGUUCCAACAGCAUUUGCCUUUGUCUUCUGGGGCUGUACCGCGUAGUGAAGCUCCUCAUGAUCAACCUCCAGCCCCUCUUCUUUCUGGAGUUCCACCGAGUGGUGUGACUUCAAACAGUCAACCUCCGACGUCUCUUUUCCCUAGAGCUCCACCGAGCACUGAGACACCACCUGAGCAAUAAAGACUCCCUCCCGUUUGUUUGCACAUUUGUAAAUUUUUUUUUUUUUUUUUUUUUUUUUUUUUUUUGGUAUGUAGAAUGCAAUUUUAUGUAAAAUUUCCAGAAAAAAUAAAUAAAAUGGAUUUUUAUUUCUCUUAAUGCUUUUUUUUUUUUUUUUUUUUUUGCUGUAUAUAUUAUACACACACAUUUAUACAUACAUAUAUACAUACAUAUAUAUAUAUUUUCACGUGGAGUGAUCCACCAUCCCAAAACCCAUUUUCCCUUUGUUUUUUUUUGCAUGGUGCUAGCCACCAAGAAUUCACCUUUUUUUUUUUUUUAAUUAAUUAAUUAAUUUAUUUAUUUAUUAAUUUAUUAUUAUUAUUUCUUUUUCGUCUGCUUUCACAUGGUGCUUGAUCCACCACUCUCUUUUCUUUUUUCACGUGGUGCCAGAUGCACGCCCCUUUUUUUUUCACGUGGUGACAGCACCACUCUGCUUUGCUCUACCACAUUUUUUUUUUUUUUGUAUAAAUUAGGAUGCUUGGCUGAGGGAUUUUGUAGGGAAGGACGAAGACGGACGGAGAGCCGGAGUUUGAGGAAGAGCUUCUCGGCCGGCUAGUCGUUUGACAGCGGUCUUUGAAGUUGGUGGCAGCUGCGAGGCAAGAGACGGAGGAGGACAGGGCAGCUGUGACGGACAGAGACGCCAUGGCAGGACCUCGAGGAGUUUUAAGAUACUGGUGCAGGUACUGGCGAGGUGAUUUUGACGAGAAAAGCAUGAAGAGGGCGUCGAGCACCAUGGGCCUGCAAUCCUUAAGGUUGAUCUCGUAGUCCUUGAGCUCUUGUUCAGGCAUGACGGGAUCCGCUGCGGUCUUUUUUAUCGGCAAUAAAGUUCUUUGCCUCAUAAAACAGCCCAGAACGCGAUAGAAGAGUUACGAACAAAGCACAAUGUGCAACUGUAGGUGUCUUGAUGCAGUUGAAGUAAAACUUCCCUUCCUCGACCAUGCGUGCUGCAACGCAAGCAUGAAGGACAGCAGCAUAGGUGAUUUCAUCGAUCUGUGUACUCGUUUCCUUCUCCAUUUGGCAGAAUAAAUCUACUCCGAUCUUUCCUUGUCCGUGUAAGCUGUACCCAGUUAUCAUCACUGUCCACGAAACAAGAUCUCUUGUACUUCGACCCUGGCAAAAACUUUUGCAGCUGAUUUGAUAAAUCCCGACUUGACAUACAUGUCCAUAAGAGCAUUCAGAACGGUGAGAUUCAUUCGAAUACCAUGUCGCAGCAAGAAUCCAUGAGUCUCUUUUGCCAUGUUUACCUGCAGACAUUCUUGCGCAUGCUGGGAGAACACUAGAGACCGAGAGCGGAUCAGGUUUCACCCCGUCUCCAACCAUCUGCCUAAACAGCUUAAGACCCUCAUUGAAGCAUCCCCUCUUCACAUUGGCAUGAAUCAUUUCUGUCCAAGAAAUGACAUCUUUCUCCGGUAUUUGGUUGAAAACUGCCCAAGCUUCGUCGACACAGCCACAGUCCAUGUAUAUUUUCAAGAUGGUAUUGCUCACCAACACAUCAUACUCCAAUCCACGUUCCUUGGCAACCCUGUGGACUUUUGUUCCAUCAAUCAACGAUCUCAACAUGCCACAGGCACCAGCCGCCGUCGCCACAGCCACAGAAUCUAUCUGUGCUCCGGACUCCACCAUUCUCUCAAACACAUGAACCGCCUUGCCGGGUUUACCUUCCGCAAUGUACAGCCUGGCCAGCAUUGUCCAUGAAACAGAGUCCGUAACCAGGGACUUGUCAAACAGCCCUUUCGCGGAGUCCGCGCUGUCGAGGCGACCGUACAACUCAAUGAGAGCAGCAACCACGUACCGGUCACCAGAGCAGCCGAGCUUGUGAGCGUGGGCAUGGAGUUGCUUGCCGAGGGAGAGAUCAACCGAAAGGCGAGAGGCAGACAAGACGCGAGGAAGAGUGUGUCUGUCGGGCGACGAACGCGCGGAUGAGCAUUUGGUGGUAAGUGGCGAGGGCGUGGUGGAAGUCGGCAUUGGCGAUAUGGGUCUGGAUAAGUCUGUUCCAUGCAAAGGUAUCUGAGUGGGGCAUUUUGUCGAACACCUUGUGGGUGACGGCCACCUUCGUGGUGGGUUUAGCAUUUCGGGAGUGCUUGUAGUGGGCUGUGUUGAUUGGGUUCUCGGUGACGAUCAAGCGCUGGAUUUGGGCGGAUGGAAGGGCUUCCAUUUCAGUUCAGUCGCACCCAAUUCAGCAUUGCCCGUACGGAUUCGAGCGCAGUUAUCGAGGAGGAGUUUCCUUAAGAAUAGAACCAAUCACCGACUCCUCAAACCCAUCCGGAUAUGCGAUUUUCAUGAGGUGCAAACAAGAACCCUCUGCCAUAAGUGGCAUGAUCACCCAAAGGUUUCUUUCAACGACAAAUGAACAAAACGCCCUCACGACAUUGGGAUGAUCUAUUAAUCUCAUCGUCUGCGCCUCCCUCCGGAUAUCCUCGAAAUUGCUAUUGCACCGAUCGAGAUCCAAGCACUUGACGGCGACGACUUCAUUGAAAGGGAGAUAGAUCGCUCUGUAAACCGUUGCGCUGGCGCCAUAUCCGACCUCUUCCAGAAGCUUGUAGUCGUUCGGAUUCGCCGAGUGAAGCCUCGAAUUGCUACCCAUCCUCCCCAUCUGUUCGAGGACUUGUGCUUCAGAUAUGUCGUUUUGAGGCUACGGGCUCUGCGUUUGGGCUGUGUGCCAGUUUGGGCUUAGUGUUGCUUUGGAGAGAUCUAGGUUUGGUUGAAGAGGUACGGUGAAGCCAUGGGCAAGGGAGAUGACGAAUUGGGCUUGGAGGCUGACACUUGGGCCUGGAUGGCCUCCUUUUGAGAGGCUUGCUGCUGAUGGAUAUACAUAUAUAUAUUUGUAUGUAUAUGUAUGUAAAAGAAAUCUUUUUUUUUUUUUUUAAUUUUUUAAUUUUUUUUUUUAUGUGACUGAACUCGAAAAAAUUGAACAUUCGAGCUGCCUACGUACCCCUCCAAAGAAGAGAUCAAGUCGCAACGUAGUUCAAAUACAUUUUUGGUAUUUUCUUUUUGUGUCGUUUGCAGUUUUAACUCAUGCAGGCAAGGAGUGUUGGUGUCGUUUGCAGUUCCAACUCUUGCAUACAAGGAGCGUUGGUGUUGCCUUUUAUGCUCGUGUAGGCCAGGAGCGUUGGUUCGUGCAGUUUAGGCUCGUGCAGGCGAGGAGCCUUUGGUGUCGUUCGCAGUUUCAACUCGUGCAAACAAGGAGCAUUUGGUGUCGUUCGCAGUUUCAACUCGUGCAGACAAGGAGCAUUUGAUGCCGUGUUGCAGUUUAGGCUCAUGCAGGCGAGGAGCGUUGGUGUCUUGUAGUUUAGGCUCUUACAGACAAGGAGCUUUGGUUCGUGCAGUUUAGGCUCGUGCGAACAAGGAGCAUUGUUGGUUCGUCAAGCGAUCCGAGAGAGUUGUUCCUCACAAUCUUCAUAGCAAGGAGCCUUGACCGCGUGAUUGAAGAAGUCUUCGGGUAAAAAGUCGCGCAUCGUGAUGGCAACAGACAAUCUUUGUGUCGUAGUUUCAUCAUCUUCAACACGUUCACGUUGCUUUGAAGGUUGACAAUAGCUGCUUUGCCCCCUUUUCAAUUGGCGGACUUGUGGAGGAGACGUAUGCUUCUUGUGCAAUUUCUUAGGAGUGACUUGAGUCCAUCCUUCAAUUUUGCUUGUCUUGGACGAUGCCCCCAGCGGUUGAGGUGAAAACUUUGAGUCGGAAGAGCCAGAAGUGAAGGUGGUAUAGUUUGACUUUGCCACUUCGUCAAGAUCUAGCUCGAUGAUUCCUUUCUGAGCCAGCUUCAUGAUGAGAUCUUUCAGCACGAAACAUUUUUCUGUCGGAUGACUGAUGAAGCGGUGGAAUUUACAGUACUUUGGACUGUCGGUGCGAUUCAUCUCUUCUGGCCGUUUGCACUCAGGCAAACCAAUCACCUUCUUUUCCAACAGGUCAUCCAGUAUGGCAACCACAUCAGAGUCGGGGAAUGGAUAAGUCUUCUCCUCAAGCUCCUUUAAAGUGCGUCUACGCAUUUCUUGAUCACGAAAAGCUUCGGUUUGAAUCGCCUUGCCUCGUGUGGAUAUUUUGACGGGAGAUGUGUUGACCGUCAUCGCUUCCUUGGUGGGUUUCCAUGCAGCCUUUUCCACCUUUGUCCCAAGAACUUUGUCGUUCUUGUAGUCGGCGAUUGGUUCUUUCUUCCCAUGAUGGGCGAUGCUCAACUCCAUGUCAUGGGCGCGAGUGGCCAAUUCCUCGAAGGUCCGCGGUUUAAUGCCUUGAAGGAUGUAUUGCAAACCCCAUUGCAUGCCUUGGAUGCACAUCUCGAUUGAAGAGGUUUCCGAGAGCCUGUCUUUACAGUCGAGGCUUAGAGUGCGCCAUCUGUUGAUGUAGUCAAUGACUGGCUCGUCCUUCCACUGCUUUGUGCUUGUUAGCUCUAGCAUGCUCACAGUGCGGCGAGUGCUGUAGAAGCGGUUGAGGAAUUCCCGCUCCAAUUGCUCCCAGUUGUUGAUGGACUCAGGCUCUAGGUCAGUGUACCACUCAAAGGCGUUUCCUUUUAGUGAGCGCACAAACUGCUUGGCGAGGUAGUCCCCUUCGGUCCCUGCGUUGUUGCAAGUUUCAACAAAGUGGGCAAUGUGUUGUUUCGGGUUUCCCUUUCCAUCAAAUUGCAUGAACUUUGGCGGUUGAUAACCCUUCGGCAUCCUUAAGGCGUCGAUUUUCUUUGAAUACGGCUUCGAGUACAACCCGGAGGUAUUUGAGCUCCCUUCGUACUGUGCCUUGAUGGUGUUGGUGAUCAUCUAUUGCAGCUGCUGGAUAGAAAGAGAUCCCAUGAGUGCCGCUGCUUGGUCUGGCUCCGGCUUUGCAUCGUUUUUCUCCACCUGAGGCUCAUCUUCUUCGUCAUCUCUUCUCUUUAGUGGAUCAUUCUCUGGGUCGGGUUUAUCGCCGUCCUGCGCCUUUAGUCGAUUGACGAGUGCUGCAAUUUGCAAGUCUUUUUUCUUCCACCGUUCGGGUCAGCCUUGCGAUUGCUUCAUUCAUCUGAGCCAGUUGUUCUUCAACGGAGGUAACGCCGAUAGUCAUGACUUGUGCGACCAAUAUACGUGACUUUCCUUUAGACAUCCAGGAUGCUGAUGAAGAACGUCGUUGGCUGCUUUGGGAUGUCAUCUUAUGUGCCUCAGCAUCAUGCUUCGGUGCCCCCAGCGAGGUCAGGUUGAUGACAGACUCGCACCUUGGAUGCUCCCCUUGCUCUUUUAGCGGCACCAAUUUUGAAGUAGCAUGUUGGGGAGCGGUUGUGGCGCCAAUGGAUUGUCUGUUUGCGGCAGAAGUGCUUAGGAUCCUUCCCUCAGUGGUUGCGAGAAUGGCUUGUCCUUUGCUUGAUGCCAUUGACUUUGAGGUGUGCUUGGAUUCCUUGAACGAAGAAAGAGAUGAGAGGUAGAGAUUGUCCCACCGGGCGUGCCAAUUUGUGAACACGGAAAAUUCCUGAAACGAAAGAGACAAGAACGAACGUGCACAAACAAAUAUUAUGUAUUUGAUGAUUUUGGGUUACAAUCUCUCUCUAUUUGAUCCUCUGAUUCAAUCUCCGUAAGGUGUGUAUUUGUGGAUGUGUGAUUGAUCCAAAGGGCCGUUGGGCUUGAUCUAAGGAUGAACGUUCUUCAAGGGCCGUGGACUUGAUCUUGAAGGUGGAUUUGAGCGGAUCUUUAAAGGGGCUUUUGGGCUUGAUCUUGAAGAACGGUUGGAUGUGUGGAUUUGUCGAAGUUGUUGAUCCAAAGGGCCGUUGGGGCUUGAUCUUGGAUGAACGGAUGAUGAACGAUGGUGCUUUCUUCAAGGGCCGUCGGGGCUUGAUCUUGAAUUGGUGGAUGGUUGAUCCAAGGGCCGUCGGGGCUUGAUCUUGGAAGAACGAUGAACGAAGAACGAAGAACACUUUCUUCAAGGGCCGUCGGGGCUUGAUCUUGAAUUGGUGGAUGAUUGUUGAUCCAAAGGGCCGUUGGGGCUUGAUCUUGGAAGAACGAUGAACGAAGAACAAAGAACGCUUUCUUCAAGGGCCGUCGGGGCUUGAUCUUGAAGGUGGAUGAUUGUUGAUCCAAGGGCUGUCGAGGCUUGAUCUUGGAAGAACGAUGAACGAAGAACACUUUCUUGAUUCUUCGGGAACCUGGACGCUUGAGAGCUUCGGAGUUUCAGAGCUUCAGAGCUUCAAGGUGUAAUAUGAAUUGGUCCCCCCUAAAUGAAUGAAAUGGGCUUGUAUUUAUAGAAUUUUCCAAGGCCUAAUUUUGAAUAUAAUAUCCCAGAUGAAAUAAGUCGUUUCUGCCAGGUGUUGACACGUGUCCUAUUUGAUGACUUUUCCAACUCAUUUCAAUUUUCGUUUAGUCACACGCUACGUGUAAAAUUUAUGUAAUACAUGAGCGUUGACACUUUGAUUUAUCGGUCAACAUUUAUUUACCGAAAUUUCGAUGUCUACAAAACUAAUAGAUAAUUGACUAAAUAAACAUCCUGCAAAGUUUCAAUAAAAAUUUCCAAGUUUUUCUUACAAUUUCUGUGGUUUCCAUAUUAUUUUUAUCGAUAUCGAUAAUAUCCCGAUAUUUCAAUCGAUAUUUCCGUGUUUUUGGACUACCGAUAUUUCCGAUAUCAUCGAUAUUUUAUACCUUGGCGACGGGGGACUUGCCGACUGGUGCCACCGUGGACGUUGGGUCUUUCGAAAUGUGGUGUAAUGUUAUGAUCCCACAUCGGCUACACAAGAAAUUGUGUAGUGGUACUUAAGUGCAAGGGGUCCUCCCACCUAUUGGACUAGUCUUUUGAGUUGGGCUCUUCCCUUAGGCUUGAGUACCUAACAAACCCAUAAAUCAAAGAAAUCAAAAUCCACCCAGAAUCAAAGAAAUCAAAAUCCAUCCAGAACCAAAGAAAUCAAAAUCACACACAGAUAUACAAGGUGUACAGUACUGACAUGCCUUAAAUGAUAUUAUUCACAAGAUUUAUAAAGCUCAUGUCGUAAUACUUGUGCAGAAUCUAUCAUUCACGGCGUCACUUUUGUGCAAGUUGUAAAUAAAAUUAUUCACAAUUUAAACAUUGUGUGUCGUAUUUGACAAUUUAUACUACGCACUUUCUUUUUCUUUUAAAGCUUUGCGUUAUGUCGUGAAGUUGACUUUCUAUAUAUUUGGGUUGUACCUUUUAUGGCGCAAAUAACACGUCGUAAAUAAUGGCUUUUAGCACAGAAGUUUUGUGGUAAAGAAGCCCGCGCACUAAUUCAUUCUCGCGCCUUCUCUUUUUUAUUUAGCCGCUUCUUUUUUUAUUUUUUAUUUUUUUUGUUAAAUUCCCCUCAAAUGUUAAAAGAAAAAUUAAUGAAAUAUUUGAAAACUUUGAGUUUUAACGAUAAGGAUAAAAUAAAAGGUAAAAUGAAUAGUACCAAAAUUGACUUUUUAGUGUUAAAAUAUGAUUUUUCGUUAAAGUGAACAGUGCCGAAAGUUUUUCGUUAAAGUUCAAUGUUAAAAGGUUUGUAUUUUCUUGGUAAACUUGAAAGACAAACAUUGCAAUUGCAUUUUCAUUUACCCAAUAUUAAUUGUCGAGAGCCCACCCCCUUCCCUUCUCACUGACAUCGUAACUCUCUCCUCUCCAUCGAUCUCGCUCCAUCUGCUCGCCGUCGCUCUAUAUGCUCGUCAUCACCGUCGAUUCGUCUGCUCGUCGUCACCGUCGCCCAUCUGCUUUCCGUCACCGUCGAAGUGCCCCGCCAUUCAAGAUCUGAAAUCCCCAAUACAGGGUGCUUUGCGGCAUUUCGUUCUCCAAAACUUUAGGUAUGCUCUCAAUCUGUAUCAACCCUAUCCUGUCCCCUCUAGAUUUUUGUUUAGUCUCAACUUUAUGGUGCUUUUCUUAGAUUUGUUCUAUCACUGUAAUUUUAAGGGAUUUUAGGUAAUAAAUUUGGUUGAGAAUCUCAGUUAGGUUUGUAAUUGUUUUCUUGGUUGCCUGGGUUUGAGGAUGAUUAAUCCACUUUCUGAAGUUUAAUUACUUUGAACUUUGAUUUGUGGGAAACUGCAAUCAAAAUGUUGCUAUGGCUUUAUAGUUAGAAUCGAUUGUGAGUCUUUGCACCACAUCAAGCAAUACCCCGGUGUUGUAAUUCCGAGGUUUGUAAUUGCCGCUGUUAAUGAUGGUUUGGUCCAUCCUUUUUAGGGAGAUGACUUCAAUGAUUGAAACUAGUUUAUCAUUAUUUCAGAACUCUGUAAUACGAGACAUGAUAUUCCAAAAAAUAUUUGCAUGAAUAUAUGUGCAUUGACUGACUAUUUUUCAGUCUUUGAUAGUGGAGAUAACUCUUUCAGGUCAUAUGUAGUUCUUACAGAAAUUGUAUGGUAUUUUGGUUGGUUUUGUGUUCUGGUUGUAGCAAACUGGUGGAUGCCCUGAGAUGAGUAGUUAUCUACAAAGUGGAUGGAUCCUGAAGAGUACAAAGUCUAAGGCAUUUUAUGUAAAGGUAAAUCCUGUUACUUUUAAUUACUUAUAUGUGAAUGCCUGCCAUUUGAAGUAAAAAUUCUUUUAGCCAUUACAUUCUUCAUAAAGAUCUUUAUAUGCUCAAAAGAAGGAUUUUUUUUAGAUGCCAUGUAACUGGUGGUGGCUAGCCUCUUCUUUUUAAGACUCUAGUGUGUUUCAAUUACACUAGUCAAUCGUUCUUAUGUGUAUUAUGUUUUGUUGAUAAGAUGGCCAAGACAAAGUUGUAGAGCCCUAGUAGCAGGGUGCUGUUGGCAUUUAUAUUUUUCUUUUGAAGGGGUGUUUAUUGCUUUUAUACUUUCAUUGUUUACUCUCAUACAUACAAUACUGAAAAAUAAGCAUGUAUUGACGCGUAAUUUUAGAUCCAUAUUUAUACAUAAUUUUGAUUACAUGUCCAAAUUACCCAAGAUUCUUUUUCCUUUACAAAUUUGUGGAGUGCAUUACAUGGAUAUGAUUCAUGUAUGAAAUACACAUGACUCUCACUAAUUUAAGGGCAGCAUCAUUGACUGUACAGUUUUCAAUUCUUUAUAAUCAUGAGUAUAGACAUUUUUUAAUUCUUUAUAAUCAUGAGUACAACAAUAGUUUCUAUAACAAAAUUCUGUUAAAUAUGUAAUAUCAGUAUUUGUUUUCCAGGUUCAUUAGUUGAGGAUGAUUUUUCCAAGAAAGAAAAGAUCGCGGCUUUCAGGCCGAUCUAAAGAACAUUAUGUUGAUAUUGCACCUGAGAUCUUACAAGAAGAGGACGAAGAAGUACCAGAUGACCUAUUUACAGAGGAGUCGAAUCAAACUAAAAGAAAGAGGGGUCCUACUAGAAUGAAGACAAUUUCCACAAAUGAUGGUCAACGAAUUGAGAUUGAAUGGAAUGAAAACGGCCAGUUUAUUGGUGACGGAUCUAUUGACUUAUCUUCUUACAUGGGUUCUUUGGUCCGAGAGGUUGUCCCUAUAACAUUUGAUACUUGGAAGGAUGUUCCUAAGAAAACAAAGGACAUCCUAAUCAAGGUAAUAUGCAGAUAAGUCAAUUCUGAUCCCUCUACUUCAAGGUGAACAAUUUAUAGUUUAUAAAUUUUACUUGUGUUAAUAUAUAUUUUUUGGUAAAUGUUAUGGAUAUUUUAUCAAAUCAGAGAGUAAAUUCGUAUUAAGUGAAGAUUGGCAAAGAACAUAUUGUUUUGAAAGGAUGAAUAAUGUUUGCAGAUCACAUAUAUCAGUAGUUGUGAAGUCCAUAAGAGAAGCAAGAAAUUGGAAAGCAAGGCUUCGUCUAAAACCAAAUAAUGUCAAAUUAAUUCAAGAUUGGAAGACUUCCCUUGCAAAGUGUAAGCUCAUUUUCCUUUUCUUUUAUUUCUAAGAUUAGUUAUCUUCUUUUGAGUUCAAAAUUGGGUCAGAGAAAUCAAACUGAUAGUAGUUAAAAGUCUAUUUCAACACCAAGCCUUGUCUACACAAGAAUUUGGUGUUAGUUAAACAUGUGUAUGAUUCUAUCUUGAUUGCAUGUUAAUUUAGUUUGAAGAUAGAUUUGGUACAUGCUAGCUAAUUGAUACGUGAUAUGAAUCUUUGGUUUCCUUUUGAUAGGACAAAAGCGAAACAUUCAGAGAGAUGAAGUCUAAGCAACUCCGCACACAUGUAGUCGCAAGGGAUAUGGUAGGUUGGCGGAGGAUUUGGUAAUUACAUUUCAUUCUAGUGCCUUCUUUUCUACAGGACAAGAACAAUUUACUAAUUUUAUUCUGUGUUCUACUGUGUGUUUACUACAUUUAUGUUUCUAUUUUGUAGAAAAGAAAAAGUGUAGACCCUUCUCUAGUUUCUAGAGGUGAUGUUUGGAUUGCAGCACAUACUAAAAAGGGUGGUGGACCAUCCAAUUUGCUUGCUGCAGAGACUAUUGUAAGUAAUUUUUAACCAUUUAUUUCUUCUUGUUUGUUGAUAUGCAAUGAUGAAUGAGGUCUUAACUUUGAUGUGCAACGUUAGGAAAAAAAUUAAGCAAUAUGGAAAUGGAUCAUCAUCUGGUUUUCGAGGUGACGUUCUUUCCAAAGUUUUUGGUGCUGAGCGACAUGGUCGUGCAAGAGGAGUUGGAGGUGGUGUUCCUCCUACAAAGCUUGGAAUAUUUUCACAACAAAAAUUGCGUAAUCACCAAAUGGAUGAAAAGGUGCACAAUUUAACUAAUCAGGUCAGAGCACUGACAGAAUUGGUGUAUCUUUUUAUGAAAAAUCAGGUUAGUGAUUUAAUAACAUUGGUAUCAUAUUGAAUAUUUGUGAAAUCAGUUUUAGUGACACAUCAAAUCACAGGGUAAUGAUCUACCAAGUGAGGCAUCUCCUGACACACAGGUUGCAGCUCCUGAGGCACAUGUUGAUACUGUCGCAAGAACUGAAACUUGUCUUUCCCAUUGCGCAACAAAUGAAUCGUGGUGGCGAGGUUGAUACACUUUUUCAAUGAGCCUUCUAACUAUUAAUGCUCAUUGACUCUGUUAAAAGCUCUGCCAUUUUCAAUCUAACUAGACACUAGAAAUGAUCAUUGACUCUGUUAAAAGUUAUGAUGUUUUGGUCCUUCUCCAUAGUUGCGCAUCUACUGAUGUCUAUUUUUUUUCAAAUACUGCAGGUUAUUUCUGAAAACAUUGAAACAUCGUGGUGUACCAGAUGGUUUGAUUAUAAGACACCUUCCUUUUGGUCCACCAACUUAUUUAUAACUGCUAAAUGGUACGUAGUGUGAUAAUUUUCAAAUAUUUUGAUAUUAAGACAGGUGUAGGACAACAUAGAAAUUCUUAGGGCCUUCAGCAACAAAAUUAUGAAAAAGUGAGUGAGAUACAAUUAAAAAAAUGAAAGAGAAGGAUCAUGAUUCAUGAUCUAAAGGUUUGAAUAGGGUAGAAAGGAUUUAGUUUCGUUGUUAAAAUCGAUUGUGAGUCUAUUGUUAUUGUAUUGUCAAUUUGUUUAUUUACUUGAACUUCCUAGUAUCAAUUUGGUUCGAUAUAUCUAGCACCACCAUAGAUAUAUCUAGUAUCAAUUUGGUUAGAUAUUGUCAAUUUGUUAUUGUAUUGUCAACUAUAGAAUGUGCAUCAGUUGUAAAAGGAACAAAACAAUUCAGAUUUUUUGUUUAUGUCCAAACUUAGAAUUGUAUUGUAAUUGACAAUUUCUACUAAUUAAUUUAAAGUAUUUGGAGUUUAAUAUGUUUAUGAUCAAUAUUGUUAUCCUUCUAUUGUAUCAGUUUAGAUGUUAUGAAGUGAGGUCUGUCUAAAAAUGAUAUGCUAAAUAUAGAUGUAAAUUACGGCAUCUAAAAUCAGCAAUAAUUGUUGAUGGUAGUCUUUUUUUACGAUGCACGAUGUAUGCCGUAAUCACCUUCACAAUAUUACGACACUCAACAAAUGCUGUAUCAAAUAUAAAUUACUGCACACAAGUAUGUCGUAAUUGUUUUUCAGUAUUACGACACCCUAUUAACGCUGUAACUAAUACCAAUUAAGGCGCGUAGGACAUGCCUUAAGAACAUUUAUGGCGUGUUUUACUUAAAUUAUUCACUACUAUUAGAGUACGUCGUAUUUGUCAAAACAUCUUUUACAACAGGGGCUUUUACUGCUUGGAGGCUCACGUCGUGAAUUUCCAUUUACGGCACCCUUUGUGCGCCGUAAAAGGCCAAUUCUAUUGUAGUGAUCCAUGGGUACAUUUUUAAUCUACAUGUUUCGUUUUAAUAUAUCUAUUGCUAUAAUAUGUUUUGGUUGGUUCAAAUUCGUUUUACAUAAAUAUAUGGGUACAAAGUUUUUGGAGAAUAUUAUGUAAAAUGGUUUUUAAGGUUGUUGCAUUUUAUGUACCCACAUAUGCAUGUCUAUAAAACAAUGUGGUAUGAUGUACAUUCUUUUCCUUGAGUUUUUAAAUGUACCCAUGAGUUUUCUUGUAAAUUCAGUAUGUAUCCAUAUGCUAUUUAUGUUAUGGGUACAUAAAUUAUUUUUGGUCUAAGUUGGUGGGUACAUUGCUUUUGUAUGUAUGAAUUCAUUGGGUACAUUAUUUCCCUUAAUACUACUCAAUAAAAUUCACAAAAAUAUGUGCAGUGUGCAUGAAUUUUUAUUGUAGAAAUUGUUUUUUUUUAAUUUUUAAUUUUUAAGUCUCAUAAUUCGUGAAUUUUGUACAUAUUGAUCCCAUAAAUUUUUGAAUUUUAUUAAAUUUCUUUUAGACUUGAUCGAUUGAUUGAAUCUCAUAAUAAUCCCUUAAAUGUUCCAAUCAAUAUUUUAAAUUACAGCUUUUUAUUUAAGAUUUCAAAAAGAUGACAUGAAAAUAUAGUAAUACUAAAAUUUUAUUUUAAAUUACAUUUGUGUAACAAUCAAUGGUAUGUUAAAACUGGGCAAAAAAAAAAGGUAUAUUAAAAAAUUAUAAUUUAUUCUUUUUUUCAUAACUGUCUUCUGCUUAGAUUAAAUUUUUACCAAUUUGGGGGAAUUAGUUCUUACCAAUAUAUAUGCACAGUAUUUGCUUUUUACCUGGGCUUAACACAUGAUUAAUUACUUUCCUACCUGCUAACGCGUUGAUUUGCGCAUCCAAAGUAUUAUCAAAGUCACUGCCACCAAAAAGGUGCCCACUCCACAACCUUUGGUUGAACCAAAGAACAUCACAACAAUAAGGAAAUCGUUAAAUCUAUCUCCGCAACAUUUUUAUUAAUCAUUAGAUAGAUUAAACGAUUCCCCUGUUCAUAUUGUGUUCUUUUGUUGAACCAAACCAUGUCAACAAAAUAUAUCUAUGGUUAAGCAUCUAGAUUCAUGCUUUUGGAUGUGCAUCUUAAACCCCUCAAUGAAUAGCCAAGCAAUUUAUCAUGUGUUUACAGUAGGUCAAAAGAAGAAAGUGUUUGUCUAUAUAUUGGUAGGAACCAAUUCCUCUGAAGAGGAGAGAUGGAAGUGAUGAUAAUACUUUAAAUAAUCAAAGCCCAAACAUUUUAUCAAAUUUCAUCUCUGUACUCCACGGAGACACUAAAUGAGACAUAUCUGGUCCAUCUCUGAACAUCUUUUCUUACCGUUCUUACAAUAGAAAGGGCACAAAAUUGACUUACACAGUCUUGCACAAUACUCACUUUGCUUCAACCCAUAUUUCACUUUGUCAAAUCAUACACGUUCCUGCAAUAGGUGAACUCAUAUGUAUCUACCACUUCUUGCUAAUUUUAAUUUUUCCAUUCCCAUUUUUGCUACAAGUUUCACAUAAAUUUUUUAUUGCACUUGUCAAUUCUUUAUACUUUUUUAUUGUAUUUUUUUUUUGUCUUUUUUUUGUAUUAAACAAUUACAUGUCCUCCAAAAGUUUUGCUUAUUGCCCUAUUUCAUCAAGCUCGGUAUAAAUAGAUCUUAAUUUUUUACUACAGUUAAAUACAUGGACAUGCCUCCACAAAUACAAAUUAGUUCUUGCUUAAAUACUUUGUGUGUUUACAUAGAAAAUGUUCCCAUCGUCUACCAAAAUCCUCCACACAUGAAAACAAAAAUUCUUACUCAAAAAUACAUAUUACAAUACCACCAUAUCUGUUGUUUUUUAUUAAAUUAACACACUGUUUUCAAUUUUAUCUUUAACACAAAAGAAAAUGCUCUUACACAAUAUGCUUGUUUACAUUUUAUAACUUAUCUACCACAUGUUAAUCGCAAUUAUAUAAAUAGGAAAACACGUGUCAAUAGAAGUGUGAUGCAUGCUACUUCGUUAACAAUAGUGGCAACUAAACAAUUAAAUAAUUUGUUUCAAUUAGUUAGUACAUUUUAUAAAUUUCUUAAUUAGAACUGUUUCAGUAUAUUCAAUACAUUUUUAAACAACUUUCCAGUUAGUUGCCCAAACUAAUUAUUCCAGCUUAUUCAUAGUAUAAUACCAACAAUUUAACAACCAAUGAUACUUCGUUUAACAUAAACUUCAUUUGGAAAAAACAAAAAAAUAUCUUUUUCUCUGCUGAAAAAUCCAACAGAGUUAUUGAUGCAGAUCAGUUAUACCAACAAAUUACCAUAGUUUACCCAAUGCUAUACAGGUUUGACUUUUGUUUAUAUUCUUGGAUCUGUUGCUUGGUUGUAUAAUUUGGUUGUGUGUUUUGUUUCAGGACAAUUUGUUCUUCGUUUCUUGAGGCUUUUGUGUGUAGAUUUGAAACCGUUUAGCUUUCAAGCCGUGUAUACUCAAGGUAAAUAAUUUCGUUUUUUUCUUUGUAACCUUUUUUGUAAGAAAUUUUUAUUUAAUGUUGUGAGAGUUGUGUUUUCUAGAGUAUGAAAAUUGAAUCUUUGUGAUCUUAUAUCCUUAGAUAUGUUUCUUGGUUAUAUGAUUUGGCUGUGUGCAUUGUUUCAGGACAAUUUGUUCUUCGUUUUUUGGGGCUUCGGUGUGUAGCUUUGAAGCCUUUUGUAGUCAACAUAAAUAAUUUUAUUUUUCUUUGUUUCUAGUCUUCUUUGAAAGAAUUUCUUAGUUAAUAUUCUGAGAAUUAUGUUUACUAUAGUAUGAAAAUUGAAUCUUUGUGAUCUUGUAAGUGAUGUAACGUCAUUGCAACAUGUAUGACUGCCAUUAUCGAACAUGAAGAGCUUUUUGAUUUUUGUACUCCGUCCUUUCAUACGAUCUGACUCAAAAAUUGUUUCAUCACAGGUUCUAACAUGAUUUUUGCGACGUCUUAUGAAAAUACAAUGUCACUUCUGGUAUUCCAACUUAAACAAAUUACAAGGGAUGUCUAGUUUUAAACCUGCAGUUAGUAUAUACUAAAACGACGGUUUUGGCCCUGCUCUCGACUUCUUCAGAAACCUCGAGAAACUUCAAACUGAGAAAGCUUCUCCCUUCCAUCUCUGCUACGCGAUCUCUGCUUUGCGAUCUCUGCUUCCUCCGUGAUUUCUUCCCUCCUGAUCGACAUCUAUUCGAAUUGAAAACCUUCUGGAGCUCUCUUCCCCAAAUUUCAGCAGCAACUUUGCUCCAGAUCUUUCCAAUUGAAAUUCCUCUCCUUCACAUUUUGCAUAUUGAAUUUCGCAUCAUUAUCAUCUCCCUAGAACCUAGGAGUUUGGUUCGGUUUCGAGUUUUCCGACGGAAAUCCGGCGACAGCGGCCAUCGAGGUUGGUCUGAAACUAUUCCUCAUCACCACAAGUACUUUCUACACCUAUUACACUUUAGAAAAAAUUUCAUGAUUUGGUGGAAUCCAAUUUAAUGAUUAGAAAAAUUUUCAUUAAUUUUCUGGGUUCGUGGGUUGGAGGUGGAUUAGAAAUUUUUUCAUUAUUUUUCUGGGUUUGUGGUUUUUUUCCAAAACGUUUUUCCUUUCUACUAAUCCAAGUUCCUUCACAUCAAUCUCUCUGUUUCGUUCUUGAUCUUCCGCGAGUAGAAUACCUCUCCUUGCUCUCGAGCGCGUGGGCAGUCGCUCCAAGGCAGCCCAUGACGUCAUUUUCCGAUUCGACUCGGAGGAGGUUGGCUGCUCUUCUUGGCUGAGCUUCAUGGCUGGCCGAAUUCCCCUAUUCCCUUCCUCUUAUACUCUUUUGUAUUCGUUCACCAAAACAAUAGGAAAACGUCUCCGUCUGUUUGAUUGACGGCGAAGAAAAAAAGACGGAGAUAAAAGCCUGACGGAAGCUGAAAGCUUGGACUCUGUUUGUAUUUUUAAUGGAUUUUCAGAACACAGGUCAAGAAUACUGCGAUUUGAGAAAGAAAGAAAGAACCACGUUGACAUAAUAUAUUCACAAUAGGCGUACAUAAAGCUUUACUGUGGUUCCAUUUUUUUGCAUAUUUCAAAGGCUCUGAAUUGUUAAGGGAAUUAGCCUUUUGUUUUAGGAAGAACUUGGAACCCCCUCCGUCCAUUCUAUUCCCGAUGGAAUUAACACUUAGAUAGUACUAUGACAAUGUGUCAUUAAUUGAUGCAUACCUGUAUAAAUUUAGGCCAAGUGUUUUAUACACAAAUUGAUACAGAUUAAGCUUCUGGGUCGAAAUCAUAUACCGGUGAGCUAACUACACAAUGAUACAUUCUUAUCUGUUAAUUAUCUUUGGUUACCAGCUAUCCAUGUUGCUGACAUAUUAAACUACACAACAUCUAUUGUAAUUUAUGUCUUAUUAGUAUCAUCACUUUUGUUCUUUAUUUCAAUGUCUAACAUAAUGAUCUGGUUUCAAUUUGCUACAGGCAUUAUUUCCAGACAAUAGCUAUGGUUUUGAUUGUAGCGGUGACUGAAAAAUUAUUCCGAAACUAACAUUUGAGGAAUUCAAGGUUUGUUAGUUAAUUUGUACAUCAGAAUACCAUGACAAACUAUGAAGUUGUAAUUGUUGACCUUACAAUGUAUCUUUUUUGGUUUGGAGCAUUAGACUUAUAUGUGUUGCUUUCACUUCAUGAAGGCUAACUCUUUAUUUUAGGCCUUAGAAUAUAAUUUUUUGGAGAAUCUACAUUGUUGAUAAUUUUUUGAACAAUAUUAUCCCCAAAAUUUCUCCGCAUGUUACCCUCAACGUAGACAUCAUAUAACCAUCAUUGAACUUCUGAACCAAAAAUUUGAGUUUUAUGAUUAUAACUAAACGUCUAUAAACACAUGAUACAGAUUGAGACGAAUGUCAAAUUUAAAAUGGCAUUAAUCAGGACAGCUGCAAACUCUGAUUUGCGGCCUUUGAAAUGGAGCAGUUACUUCUUGCUUCACUUCAACAGCAUAGUCCAGCUUCUAAAUUCAGUUCUCAGGUAUGAGGUUUCUCAGUUACCUCUUUUUUGUAAUAAAACAUUUGAUCAGUACUUGCCAGGAUAUCCAAUUAAUUAGGUCAGUUUUUGUUAGCGGUAAUAAUUUGUUUUUGUAGCUUUAUAUGUGUCUCUGUCUCCAAAUAUGAUGAUCUCUUAAUUUGCUUCUAUAGCUUUUGUAAUAUAAUGAUCUCUUAAUUUGCUUUUGCAUAUCUUCUUUGCUUCCUCUGCUAGCUCUAUAUGAGAUUCCAUCUCCAAAUAAUUAUUCCUUAUUUCCUAUUUUUACAGGAAGCAAAUCAUUGAAUACACAUGGAAAAUUAAAAGGGUUUUAGUUUUUGGAGUAGUUUAAAUUUUUUGUUUGUUAUUGCUUGUAUUGCUGUUAAAUAUUUGAUGGGUAGUUUGAAAUGGGGAACUUGGUUGAUUGAGUAUUAACUUUUAUUAAAUUAAUAUUCUUAUUCAAUAUUGAAUUAAGACUCCUCUUAUUAAAUUAAGACUCUUAGAGUGCGUUUGUUGCGCCAGACUGUCUCGGACUGGACUAGCUGCCGGGACUAAGCUGGACUGGCUUAGACUGGACUAAGCUAGACUAACUUAGUGAAGCGUUUGGUGUAAUGUCGGACUAAGAAGCAGGAUAAGAAAAACAGUACUGUUCACCAGAUUUGUGUUUGCUUAGACUAGGAUUACAAAUUUUUGCCAUUGUGUAAUAGAGUAAUGCUACAAAUCUCAUGAUAUGGGUUAAUUGGAGCAUAUUUUUGCCAUGUAUAUUAUGAAUCUUAAAAAAAAUUGACAAUUGUUUUGUUUCUAUUACCUGCUAAUAGAAUUGGGUUUAAUUUGCAAAUGUAGCUUAGUUUAAACUCUAUCACCCAACAGAAGAAAAAUAAUAGUGCCCAAUACAUGCAACUUCAACAAAUACAAGUACAUAAGAAGAUCUCCAUAAUUUAGAAAAUCCUAGUUAACAUUAGUUAACAUUAGCCAAAAUAGAUCUCCAUAAUUUACAAAAUGGCUAGUUAACAUAAGCCAAAAUACUAGUGCAAAGCUAAGUUAUAAGCCAUAACAUAAGAUUGUAUGAUUAAUAAAAUACAUCCAUGUUAACAUUAAUAAAAUACAUCCAUGUUAACAUUAGCCAAAAUCCUCAUCCGCUUGCGUUGUCGCUUAAAAGCCUUUGGACGAACACUUUCUUGAGUUCCGGUUUGAUUGCCCUGAACACUCCCACAUUUUUUGGUUUAUCCAAAAUAAGAGACAAUGCAUCAAUUUGAUCCAUAGGAGAGAGACCCAUUACUUCAAGUUCAUUAGCUAUGUCAGUAUGAUCUGCAAUACCUUGAACUAAAGCUUCAGUUACCAUUUGCAUCCUCUUCCCACUUUCAACAUAAAAAUCUUUCAGUCCACUGAUAAUUGCCUCGGUUCCAUCACUUGAAUUUCCCACAGCUCUUUUCCUCUUUCUUUGGCUAUUUUCAGAUGGGGUGCUUUGUUGGCUUUGUUGGUUCAUUGAAGAAACAAAAUUUUCACCUCCAAUAUCACUUUCACCAACAUGAUCAUGACUUUGUUCCUCCACCAUUUGAGCAGGGGUUUCGGCUACAUUACCCGUAGCCCGAUCUUUUCCAAAUAUAUAUGCAAAUCUAUCAAACAGUGGAAAAGGUUUGCUUCUCCAUCCAUCGGCUUCUUUAUUUCUCUAAGAUUAUAUCAACAUAGCAAAACUAAAAUUUAGCAUGCGUAACAAAUAUAGCAGCAAGAAUAUAACUAAUGUAUAAAUAAAAUAGGAUAUGAACCUGCACAUAAGUUUGCCAUGAGUCAUCACUGUCAACUUCAACGCACUUUUUGACAUCAUUUCAUGCAAAUCCACUUGUGUUUAUCAUGUCAACGACCAUACUAUAUGUUUUUUUCCAUUUCUUCAACUUGGACUCAAUAUGUGGAUUUGCCUUUAUAUUUGAAUGAGGACAUAAAACAUUGACAACUUUUGCUAUUUCAACCAAAGUACCUUGUUUGAAAGCACCGGUGUCACACCGUUGCUUCCGAGCAACAAAAUCCUCAAGAACUCCUAGUAAUACUUCUUCCUCAAAUGCUUCCCAUUUACGCCUUCUUCCUUUUGGCUCUUGAGUAGCAUUCAAAAUAUUUUCGUUAUCCAUACCUAAACAAAAAAUAUUUUAAUGAAGGAAAAUACCAUACAAAUAAUCAAUUUGCAUAAUAUCCAAUCAACUUGCAUAAUAUCCAAUUAAUUUGCAUACCAUCCAAUCUUUGUGCUAAUAUCUAACAAAUGCAUGAUAAAAAGGAAUACUAAAAUAAAAUGUUAUCAUUAACACAUAUAGCUAGUUCGGUUGCUGGUUCCUAAUUGCUCUCCAUUCAUUAUACAUUUCCUGAGCCAUGUCAUUCCUCUUUGCAGUCCACUGGUCAGAUGUUUGAACACUACCAACAUAUUCACCUUCUUCUGUAUUUUGUCCAUCUUCUAUUAUUGGAAAAUUCUCCAUUGGAUCUACAGACAUCUCUUGCCUAAUAAGAUUGUGUAGUAGGCAACAAGCGGUAAUUAUUCGACCUUGUGUCCUUAUCGGAUAGAAAGAUGGACUCCUUAGUAUCGACCACCUUCCUUUUAGCAAGCCAAAACAGCGUUCAAUUACAUUCCUUGCCUUAGAAUGCUUCAUGUUAAAAUAUUCUUCCUUAUUAGAAGGUGUUCGUCCCUCCCAUUCAGAUAAAUGAUAAGGUAUUCCUCUAUAGGGUGCAAGGAAUCCUUCACCAUUUGUAUAACCACCAUCUACAAGGUAAUAAUAACCUAAUGAAAAAAAAAACAGACCUUAUUAGUGUUUUGUAGUUGACAAACAGAACUAGACCUAACUUACAAAGUUGAGACUAAGUAAUAGUCUUACCCGCUGGUACCUUAAAACCAUUAGGCCUAGUAAUUGCAUCAUGUAGCACUCUAGAGUCUGAUGCAGAACCCUCCCACCCCGUAAACACAUAUAUGAACUGCAUAUCUCCUGAACACACACCUAACACAUUAGUUGCGACUCGACCCUUUCUUGUUCGGUAUCUUGGUUUGUCAAUUUCAGGUACAUGCACAUCAAUGUGUGUUCCAUCCAAUGCUCCCAAGCAAUUCUUAAAAAAAAAAAAAAAAGUUUUUGUUAAUUUAUACAAAGGGAAUGAAGAGUUAAAGCUUAGGGAAAAUGAAAAAAAAUUCUCAUCAUACCUUAAAACAUCGCCACCUAGGAUCUGUAGAAUCAAUAGGCACAGGCUGAGGGACUUUUAGUAGGAUACCUUGUAAUCGCAAAAUUCCUUGCAAUACGAUAUUGAAAUACCUACUUAUAGUCUCUCCCGACCUAUAAAAUCUACCGCCAACACUACGAUUCUUAGUAUGAUGUGCUAAUAUUUGUAAAGUCAUACACACAUGCUCCUCUACAGACACCAAACCAUCAGUUUUUACCCUCCCAUCUUGACGAAGUAAGUCACAUAAUAUGCCAAAAGUCCUUCUAUCCAUUCUCAAUUCGUUGACACAUUCAGUAUCAGUAUUCCCUAUUAUACCAUUCAGAUAACACAAACUAAUCUCUCGUCUAAUAAGUGAACGGUUAGUCAAUGUGGGUCGUUCAACAUGUCUCUGUUUGCCACGUAGCAUCAUCAACACAAGAAUCGUACAAAUGCAAAUUGUCUCCAAAUAAGACAUCUCUAACAAUAAGAUCAAUAAAAGCUUCCUUCGAUCCAUAUCUAUCCAAACAAAAAAAAACAAAAAACAAAUUAAGGACAUUAUAUAUGUAAUAUUUACUGUUAUUAAGGGUUAUGGAAAUGAAGUGAUUAUGAUACGAAAUGAACUAGAUCAAAGUAACUAGCGAAGUCACAAUCCGAGGCAUCAAAUAUACGGGUGGUGUUGGAAAAAAAAAAGUUAUCAUUAACCCGAGGCAACAAAUAUACAGGUCAGAUGCACACACUGCAUACACACUCACACACAUACUCACACGGACAUACACACUAUCACACACGGACAUACACUCACACACACCCUACAUACAUACAUACAUACACACACACACUGCAUACAUACACACACACACACACUGCAUAUAUACACACACACACACACUGCAUACAUACACACACACACACACACUGCAUACAUACACACACACACACACACACACACACUGCAUACAUACACACACACACACGACAUACAUACACACACACACACACACACUGGUCAGAUGCACUGCACUCACACGGACAUACACACUCUCACACACUGACAUACAUACACACACACCCUGCAUACAUACACACACACACACUACAUACACACACACACACACACACACACACACUGCAUACAUACAUACACACGCACACACACUGCAUACACACACACACACACAUUGCUUUAUGAAAACCCCAAAUUCCAAAUUUGAAACCCCAAAUUCCAAAUUUCUAAUCUCAAUUUCAAACCCCAAAUUCCAAAUUUCUACUACAUACUUACAUACACACACACUGCUUUAUGAAAACCCCAAAUUCCAAAUUUCAAACCCCAAAUUCCAAAUUUCUAAUCUCAAUUUCAAACCCCAAAUUCCAAGCUUUAUGAAAACCCCAAUUUCUAAUCUCAAUUUCACCCAAAUAUCAAAACCCUAAAAUUUGUUCAACUGCAGAAUCAAAUAAAGCUCAAACCCAAAACAAAUCCGCCCAAAUCGACGAAAAAAAUCCACCCAAAUCGACGAAAAAAAUCGAACAAUCGAAGCUUACCAGACAACUGGAGGCAGAUGAGGGCGAGCAGAUCUGUUACGUGAAGACGAGGGAGUGGACGACGAGAGGAACAGAUGAGGAGCAUGAUGCAGAUGAGGGCGACCAGGAUGCAGCUGACGGCAAGCAGGAUGCAAAGAUAAGGAUGAGGAGGACGACGUGAGGGAGGAGGACGUCGACGACACUCUCUCCUAGGAUGAUCGAGGUUCUUUCUCGCAAGAGCGCAAUCGGAUGAGGAGGACGACGUGAGGGAGGAGGUUUUAUGAAUCUGGACGUUUUUGGGGUGGUUCGCUAAGAACUCCUAGCGAGGGUUUAAUCCGUGCGAGUCAGAUCUAAUCCCAUUAAACCUAAUCCUUGCCCCUACCAAACAUCAGACUACAAUACCAAUUAGUGGAGUCCAGAACAGUCCCCCCUAAGAAGGUCAAACAAACACGCCCUUAAGGCUCUAAUCUAAUGUUCAUGCUCAACAUCUCCUCUAUCUUUCUACGAUUGGUAAAACUUUUGUAUUAUUAUUCCAAUUUUGGUUACUGGGUUGUGGAAUUUUCCAUUUUUUUUCUCGGUAAUCAAUACUAUAUAUAUGCAUGACAAGUAUAAACAAUAUUUUGGGGCAAAUUUAGUUGUUUAAUUUUUAAUUUUUAUGUGACAGUGAGAUUAUGGUAGGAUUUCGUUUAGAUUCUGCGGCCCAAUGGGAGUCUCUGCUUUGAUAAGAUUGGGGUUGAUGCCAAGAAAGCCAAUAAGCCUACUGUGGACGCCGUAGCCGCCUGGCGCUGUUUUCCAAAAUCCUCUCUCACUUGGUUAAGCAAUUAAGACUUUUUGGUUCAGUUUUUAUUAUGCCCAAUUUUGUAUUUAAACCUUAAAAAAAUUUAAACUGAUUUGGGGAUACUGAAAUAGGCUGCAGAGCUGCCAUCCCUGAAUCAGAAGAUGUUCAGAAGGAAGAAGAAGAAGAAGAAGAAGAAAGUCGUGGAAUAUCAAAAGCUUUUAGCUUUGUGAAAGUAUGCUUUUUCCCAACUCACCUCUUGCUUUUGUUGCACUGAAUUGGUAGAUUGGGUUCAAAAAUAUAUAUAUGUGAUUUUUCGUGUAACUAUUUCUUUACAUAAUUACCAAUUGGAGGUGAUUUUAGAUCAUGUAACAUUUCCUCGCUAGAACCAAAGAUUGUCGUCGCUCAGAGCUGCGUUUCAUGAAACAAGUUCAUCUCCUGCCAAAUUUGUGUACCCACCUUUUAUUCAUGAGGGUUGGUGCUUGCUUGCAACACAAUUUGGUGUUAUUAAGUUUUGCGGUUUUACAAUUUGUUCAUGCUUAAACCUCUUUCAAAUUUUCAUUUCUGUGUAAAUCUUGCAGGUAGGACGACACACCUAUCUUGGCAAUGUCGGGAUGUCUAGGCUUGGUGGAGACGUGGUCUUAUGGAAGAGGUGAAGUAGCUUAGCUCGAUCUCAUUAGCUCUUAUCUGUUCUAUUAUGUUAAGAUCAAUAGUAAAAAGUUCUAUUGAUUUUAUAAUCAAAGAUACAUAUAUUAUAGAAAUAGAGGGUAUAUCAUUAAUUUCUUGAUGUAAACAAUCAUAACUUGAGGAACCAUUUAAAGUAUUUUGGUAAUCAACAUACUUAAACUUAAAUGUGAUAUAUCCAUUUAGUAUUUUUUUUAUACAAUGAUAAUACUUAAGUAUAAUUUACAUCAUAUAUCUUUUGAAGUACAUGAAACUAUGAAGAAAAUGAUAAACCAAAUCCCAUUCCAUCUCUGUUUGCUACUGCACAAUCACAAUCCAAUUCCAACAUGGAAUCCUCAGACGACAUGCCUACUGCAGAACAAGUUUCAUACUGACUUAACUUAUAUUUAGUCCACGUCCUGUUUAGAUUGUAAUCCUAGUUCUACGUGUGUUUGUAUAGUACUCCUAUAAAUAUCAAUGAACAUCGCUCACUCUAAUUAAGAGUUGAGAUUUUGCAAAUCAUAUUUACUAUCUUUCAUGGUAUCACGAGCCAGCGUCUAACGACAACGGUUCCUAUUAUAAUUUUUUUCUCUUUUGCAGAUCCUAAACUAUGGCAUCUUCUUCCUCCUCCGCUGCUCCCUCCAUCACAAAUUUUCUUACGAUCAAGCUCGACCGCAACAACUACCCUCUCUGGCAUGCUCAGUUUCUUCCCUUGCUGCGCAGCCGCAACUUACUCUCUUAUGUUACUGGCGAAACUCAAUGCCCCUCUGCCUUUCUUCUUGAUGACAAUGGUAAAUUCACCGACAAAGUCAUUCCAUUAUAUAAUGAAUGGAUCCAGACUGACCAGAUGAUCCUAUCUUGGAUUACGAGUUCUCUUACUCCCAAGGUUCUUGCUACGAUCGUCAACAAAAUUGAUUCGGCCUCUGCUUGGUCGUCAAACCCGAAUUAAUCUAAUUGUGGGGGUUUUGUUUUAUAUCAAUAUAUUGCAACAGAAGUCACACUUUGAAGAGUUCAUGCUGCACAGAAAGAUGAUGAAAUGUUACCCGUUGAGUCUAUCAUUGCUCCAUUGGAGACAGAGCUGAAGCUUACUGCAGGAGUUAUACAGUUGUUAUGCAAUAUGACCCCUUUAAUUUUAUUUUAAAACUGAUACAAAAUACUACAAAAAUUUAUGUAGUAUUUUUGUAUUAGUUUUGAGUGUCUAUUUUGGCUUCCAUAUAUCGUCUGUACAUGUGAGAGGUAUAGUGUUCAAUAUGUAUUUGGUUUCUAUAUUGUUAAUGGAUCCUUUUUUUUUUAAUUUAAUUUAAUUUUAUUAAGGUAACCAAGUUGCAGGAUGACAUCAGAACACUUGAUCUGCAGGUAAACCUUCAAUUUCCAUAUGAAGUUUGCAUGUUCGUUGUUUCUGGAAUUUGAGUUUUUAUUAUUUCUCAAUUCUAUCACAUAGAUUAUGAUUUCACAUAUGGGAUUAUUAAUGGCAAUUAUAUGAUAGAAGAAUUGGGAUUAGAAGAAGAUAUUGAGUUGUUUUAUUUAUGGGGAUUAGAAAAUGAUUAUCAUACGAGUGAUAUUUAUUUUUGUGUGGAUUGUUAAUAUAUAAAACUAUAAGCUUUUGAGAUUGGGAGAUAAAACCCACAAAUUCAAAUCAGACAAAAUAAAUAAAAAAUUUAACUGACUUAAAGAUCAAACUCCAAAAGGGUAUUAAAAACAAGGCUUAUUUGAUCCAUUGAGUGUGAAAGUUUUGAGCUUUGAAGAAGCAUAGGAGGAGAGUUGUUAACCAAGCUGCAUUAUCCAUGUAUUAGGAUGUUGAGGGUAGGCAGGAAAAAUACUUUUUGACGCCAUAUCCAGAGGAGCAUAACGACAGGCCUGCAUUUUUGCAGCAAGGACCAAAACAAGUAGAAGUGAAGGCUUGACUAUUUGGGUAUUAAUCCUAAACCUAAUUAUUCUUAUUUAGGUUUAGGAUAAAUGAUUGAGUGUGUCUCGAUGAUUGUAUUACCAUGUUUGAUGAAUGACUUGAGGAGUUGGAAAUGCUUUAUUGCUUAUGUUUUUCUUAGGUGUGUACUUUGGUUAUUUCCGAGCUUUUCACGACUCUUGAUACCUAAUAGAGAAUAUGGAAACCCCAACUUUAAUUUUAUGAAUUGGUUUUGGUGCCUAAAAUGAAAUCUAGCAUAGUGAAAUCUUGCAUAAUGAAAUUAUGACAAAUUUCCCUUCAUCUUUAGAUUUUCAUUUAGUUCAAUUUGUAUGCAAUUUAGGGUUAUUCAAUUCAUGAGUGAUCAAAUUAUGUUUUUAAUUCCUUCUUCUUUUGAUUUACAGUUCAGCAUUGUCGUACAAAAUGAAAAAGGUGCCAGUAACAGAGUUAUGGAUUUGGAUGCCUUUAGUGGAAUAAAACUGAAUUUUUUAACUUUGUAUAGUUGUAAACAUAAAAUACUCCAUCAGAUAGACUCAUAGCAUUUGAAAACAAUCCUUGAGGAUGGCAUAACAACAUCUCCAACUUUUGUCAUGUAAUGUAUGAAUGUAAAUAGCACUUUGUAAACAUAUGGAUGUAAUAUAUGUAUAUAAACAGUCUUUAGCAUGUAUAUUUUUCAAAACUUUCUACAUCUUCAACAAUGUUUCAAUGAUUUCUUGAUGUAAACAAUGAUAAUUUGAAGAACCAUUUAAAGUAUUUCGGUAAUCAGCAUACUUAAGCUUAAAUGUGAUAUAUCCGUUUAGUAUUUUUUAUACAGUGAUAAUACUCAAGUAUAAUUUACAUCAUAUAUCUUGUGAAGUACAUGAAACUAUGAAGAAAAAACCCUAAUUAAUCUGAUUAUGGGGGUUUUGUUUUAUAUCAAAAUAUUGCAGCAGAAGUCACACUUUGAAGAGUUCACGCUGCACAGAAAGACGAUGAAAUGCUAUCUGUUGAGUCCAUCAUUGCUCCAUUGGAGACAAAGCUGAAGCACACUCCAGGUGGUAUACUUUUGUUCUGCAAUAUGACCACUUUAAUUUUAUUUUAAGACAGAUAGGGUUGAAAAGAAUUUAUGUAGUAUUUUUGUAUCAGUUUUGAGUGUCUAUUUGGACUUCCAUAUUUGGUCCGUACAUGUGAGGUAUAGAGUGUUCAAUAUGUAUUUGGUUUCUAUAUUGUUAAUGGAUCUUUUUUUUUGUUUUAUAGGUAACCAAGUUGCAAGAUGAAAACAGAACACUUGAUCAGCAGGUAAACCUUCAAUUUCCGUAUGAAGUUUGCAUUUUUGUUGUUUCUGGAAUUUGAGUUUUUUGCAGGAUGAAAACAGAACACUUAAUCUGCAGGUAAACACUUGAUUGGUUAUUUCCAAGCUUUUCACGACUUUCGAUACCCAAUAGAGAAUAUGGAAACCCCAACUUUAAUUUUAUGAAUUUGUUUUGGUGCCUAAAAUGAAAUCUAGCAUAGUGAAAUCUUGCAUAAUGAAAUUAUGACAAAUUUCCCUUCAUCUUUACAUUUUCAUUUAGUUCAAAUCGUAUGGUUUAGGGUUAUUCAAUUCAUGAGUGAUCAAAUUAGGUUUUUAAUUCCUUCUUCUUUUGAUUUUCAGUUCAGCAUUGUCGUAUUUUGGAUGCCUUUAGUGGAAUAAAACUGAUUUUUUUUUAACUUUGUAUAGUUGUAAACAUAAAAUACUCCAUGAGAUAGACUCAUAACUUUUGAAAACAAUCUUUGAGGAUGGCAUAACAACAUCUCCAACUUUUGUCAUGUAAUGUAUGAAUGUAAAUAGCACUUUGUAAACAUAUGUAUGUAAUAUAUGUAUAUAAACACCACUCUUUAGCAUAUAUAUUUUUCAAAACUUUCUACAUCUUCAACAAUGUUUCAAGCCCCGCAGCAACGGGCGGGUACACUUGAUAGUAUACAUCUAAAAUUAUAAGACUAAAUCCUUUAGUUCUUGGAUUCAUCUAAGAACUACUUAUUCCAGCAGAUGCUAUGCUUGCACUACUAGAAUUUAUGGCUUGCCCUGUCAACUAUUGCGCGACAGAAGAUUUCGUCGGUUUCACUUUUUUUAACCGACAUAAUAUAAGUUUAGUAGGGCAAAAUCAGUCAACAAACUGGGUUGACUGAAUAAAUUUACAGGAUGGCUAGAGUUCGUAGGUUAAGACAUCAGUCGUUGGGCAAACAUUUGGAGCGAAGAUGUGAGUGUUUUAACUGACGAAUAAGCUGGUCGUCAUGUAGAUCUUCUUUCCCGACUGACGGUUCAACAUGUAGCUCUUUGGAUAAUAAUUCAUCUUCAAGGGGAACAGGUUGCCCCUCAGAUGAAUGGUUAGAGGCAAUUGUGAGACUAUAAUUUUCUAGGGCCGAAAUAAAAAAUACAUAAACCCUCACUCAUUCUGUCUCUGUAACCAUCCACCAAAUACCCUUUCUUCCCUUUCUAUUUCUCUCCUAGUAAUAUCCCCUGACCGAAUCACACAAUCCAACCAACUCUCUUUAAGCCUCCCUCACUGAUUCCAUGGAUUUCAUGGACUUAUCCCACCCUCUCUCCUUCCCUCUAUAUAUAGCAAGUCCCCUUGCCUCAGUGUCCCUGGCAACAGAAUUUAUGGCAUUUCUUCGUUCUUUCAAUUAUUUGAAAGCUUCCUAGCCCUGCAAUCUUGUACAAAGGCGUAUGGUGUUUCAUCAGUUCCAUUUGGUGGUUGGGUGGGAAAUGAAAUUAAAACACUGCAUUUCAAAUGCAUUUCAAAUGGUCUAAACCAAAUUGAAUCAAAUGUGAAGCAAAGGGCAAGAGGUGUAGAUUGAAGAACAAUGGCACCAAGAGCGAAAUUGAACUUGUUGACAGGAGGAAACCAAGUAAGGAUAACACGUCUAAAUCUUAUUUUGAAUCCAUUCAGCUCAUGAUGUUUUGAAUGAUGAUGAUCGGUAUACUCUGCUACAUGCUGUGAUUUUUCCGCUUUCAUGUAAUUAACGGCUUAUAUGUGGUAACGAUAUUGAUUAAAAAAGGUCGUACCCAGUGCAUAAGGCUCCCGCUUUACGCAGGGUCUGGGAGAGGUGAAUGUCGGCUAGCCUUACCCCCAUUUUAUGGAGAGGAUGCUCCAAAGUCUCAAACCCGAGACCUACCGCUCAUGGGCGAAGGCAUUUGCCAUCGCACCAAAUGCGAUAUUAAUUAAUUUCGAGAAAUGACAGUCUGAUUUUUGCAACUGUCUUUUGCAGGCAAAACAAAGACGUUUGCAAGGGUGAGUUGUGUAGGAGCUUUGUUUCAUGUCCAAAUGACACUUGAGAAUAAAUGUUUACACUCAUGGAUAAUAUCUAUCUAUUUGCAGGAGCAACCCUGGGUUCAUUUGUUCUGUAACUGCUGGUCAUUGCGGCAUAUCACGCCUAUAGCACUGACAAAAGUAAAAAGAGAAUCGAAUGAAAUUUGAUAAGUUUUCAGCGGACUACAAAGAUCUUAAGCCAAGCAUAUAUUCCCAUGCAGAUAUUAAGAGGUUUACAAAUCAAUUCAAGUACAAGUUGGGCCAAGGAGCAUACGGAACUGUUUUUAAACGAAAGUUUUUUUCUGAAUGCUUUGUUGCCAUGAAAGUACUUAACAUUUCCAAGGGUGACGGGGAAGAGCUUGUAAAUGAAGUGGGAACAAUGGGCCAUAUUCACCAUGUCAAUGUGGUUCACUUGGUUGGUUUUUGUGCUGAUGGAUUUAGAUGAGCUCUGGUUUAUGAGUUCUUUCCCUUUGGUUCACUCCAGGAUUAUAUUUCAUCAGCAGAUAGAUUUCUUUCCUUGGUUGGCAUAAGUUGCAAGAUCUUGCUAUCAGCAUAGCCAAAGGAACUAGGAAUGUGAUCUACAAAUCCUCCAUUUCGAUAUCAAACCCCAUAAUGUUUUGCUCGACCAAAAAAUCACGCCAAAAAUCUCUGAUUUUGGUCUGGCCAAGUUAUGCCAAACAAUUACAGACAACAGUUAUUCACUAAAUCACUUUAAGGCAAGAAUUUAAUUAAUAAUACAUUACUGCACUUUCUUAACCAUUUGACUAUCACCUAGCUGACAAUGAACACGUUAGCUCCGCGUUAGAACAUCUUGGGUUCAAUUCAUUGUCUUGAAUAUCACCCAUUGUCACAGGCGUCUGUUGGGGGCAUAGAGAAGGCCUGAGAGGCAUUUGCAGACAUUCAACAUCUCCUCCAAGCAUUUUGACAACUUUGGACAUCGAAGGGCGAUCAUUUGGUUUCAUUUGAAUACACCACAAGGCGGUUAUAACCAUCUUUCUUAUUACUUUCUUUUCCUCCUCUGUAACAUUGUCCAUUUCCAGGUCAUUUCCCACAAUAUAUUGAUCGUAUACCCACAUUGGGAAGUAGAUUUGGCUUGAAUGCUCUACCGUUGGAUUCAAAUUCUUCCUUCUGCUUGCCAUUUCCAUCAACAACAUUCCAAAACUAUAGACAUCUGACUUGUAUGAGACGCAUCCAAUAUUUUUGUAGAACAACUCAGGAGCAAUAUAUCCCAGUGUACCCCGUGCUGCCGUCAAAGAGACAAUGCUAUUAUCUACAGGAUACAAUUUUGCAAGCCCAAAGUCAGAAACCUUUGCUUUAAAGUUCUCAUCAAGAAGGAUGUUAUGAGGCUUGAUGUCGAAAUGUAGAAUUUGCAUUUCACAACCUUGGUGUAGAUAUUCGAUCCCUUGAGCCACUCCAAGAGAAAUCUCGUACAUGUUCUUGAUAGUUAAGGGGACACUUCCUUCUUUGGAAUAAAUGUAUUUAUCAAGAGAACCAUUAGGCAUGAAGUCAUAUACUAGAGCGCGUUUUGAUCCCUCAACACAGUAUCCAACAAGUUGUACCACAUUGGCAUGGUGAAUCCUUCCGAUUGUAGCUAUUUCGCUAAUGAAAUCUUGGCCAUCAGCUUUGGGCUUGCCCAAAACUUUAACUGCUACAAAUCGACCACUGCGUAGCUUUCCCUUAAAUACAGAGCCAAAGCCACCUUCGCCCAACUUGUCCUUAAACCUGCGAGUCAUUUUCUUGACGUCCGAGUAAGAGUACCUUAUAAGCAUGAUGUUGUUAUUGCAUUGCAGAAAAUCUUCUAUUGUGCUAUACAUUGAUAAAUGUCUUCUGCGCCAUGUGUAGAUUAGAAAUGCAGUCACAACUGGAACUCCAAAAACAAAUCUGGCUAGGAAAAAUAACCCUGCAUGCAUGGACAAUAAUAUGUUAGAUCCACUGUGUACUACUUUUUCUUCCCUUUCUUUCCAAAUUACUUUAUCUUUGAUGUAAUUAAAGAGAGAGAAUGGGAAAUCUACAUAUGUUGAUAAUAUAAUCUCGUCUUAGUCCUUACCGAUCCAUAUGAGUAUAAACCAUCCAAGUGCUGCAAAAAAAUCAAUCGACUAUGAGUUUGAAAAGUGCAUAAAGUGAAAAAAAAAAAAAAAAAAAAAAAAAUCAAAGGGUGCCUUUAUUGACACCCAAAUUUUAGUUAGUUUUACUCAACUAAAAAAUUUUUGUCAUCAAACUUUUUAAUUUGCCGUCGAAAUUGAGUUCACCCAACCACAAAGCAGCAACUACCACUCACAAAAAAACCAACAACACACAGCCACCAGUACCAUUCACCAAUAGAAAGAGAAGGAACACACAGACCCACCAAGGAGCCGGCAUCGACGCAUCUACGAGGGAGGGACCGGAGGGUGGUGUAGUUUUGUUGGGCGCGCGGUGGUUGUUUUGUUUGUUCAUUUUCUCUUUCUUUUGGUAGGUGGAGGCUGGUGUGGAUUUGGGCGAACUUAAAAAUGAGGGGAAACUAUGAAGUUUGACAAAAUGUUUUAGUUAGGGGAACUUAACUAAAAUUUGGGUGCCGAUAAAGAUACCCAAUUUCAAAAAUACUUGAGCUUAUAGACUAAUUAAAUGAAGUUGAUCUUACAGAUCUCGUGGCUGUAUGAUGAAUGCCACUUGCCAGCUGCAAUAGAUACCACGGAAAAGUGAAUAAAGACAUACAGUUACUAGGUUUAAGAAGUACAGAUAGAGCACACAAAAAAUAAAAGAAGCUUUUGGGAAGAAACUUCUUACGCCAAUAGUUGUGUUCUUGACCUACAGUAAAAAAUGUGAAGAAGAAUACACAACAUUAGCAAUAGCUCACCCAGUCUUCGGAAUUUAAAAAAUCAAGUUUGUCUCGAUCGAAAACUUGUAAAUAAAACAAAAAGAGGACCCCUUACGGAUUUGGUGCCAUAGAUAUUGAAAGAAACCUACAAAAACAAAGAAAGAACAAGACCACAUGCAUUAGCAUAACAAGUGUGAGGUGUAUAAGCCGUUAGAAAAUAAAUUUAAAAUUCUAGUGCUGUCAAUACAUUGAUAAUAUAUAUAUAUAUAUAUAUAUAUAUAUAUAUAUAUAUAUGUAUUAUUUUUCUGAAAAUUUAACUUUCUCCCUCCAAACUCAUUUUUCUAGUCUCUAGCCCAUCAUAUAAUAUUUAUCAGAAUAAAACCAAAUGAUUAGGAUCCAACUAAGAAACUUACCAAAUUAAGUUUGUGUGUCCAUUUUUAUAUUUUUUGGAUCCCUAAUAUACCCCAUCUAAGCCAGUAUGGAAAGUUCUUGUAAUUUUGCUUUAAGUGAUCACGUGCAUUGAAUUUGGCAAGGUCUUGUAGCCAUGAAAUAUGGUUCCAGAUGGAGGAAUGAAUUUGGAUUUUUUUUUAAUUUCGGCAACAAAUUUCAAUUUGAAUAUACCUAAUUUAGUGUUUAUUUUCAACAAUAUCUAUUGUUUAAUUUUAUGAAAAUAAUUAACCUAAUAUGAAAAUUAAUUUUAUGAAAACAAUAUCUAUUGUUUAAUUUUAUACCUACAGGAUAAUUACAUGAAAAUAGUUUACCUACUAUGAAAAUUAAUUUUUUGAAAGCAAUAUCUAUUGUUUAAUUUUAUGAAGAUAAUUUACCUACUAUAAUUACAUGAAAAAAUUUACCUACUAUGAAAAUUAAUUUUUUGAAAACAAUAUUAUUGUUUAAUUUUAUGAAAAUAAUUUACCUACUGUAUAAUUACAUAAAAAUUAGGGAAAAUUAGAAUCCCCUACAGUUUUUAUAUAUCAUUUAGAUUAAACAUUUGUACUUUUUUAAAAUUUGAUUAAAGUGCUUUGACCAAUAGUUACCUCUAUUUUUUUAAAUUAAAAUAAUUUUUGAAUUUAUCCUUUUAUCUGCACAAUGCACUUUUCCUUAUUUAGUGGAGAUAUUAGUAAUGAAACUAUAUUUUCCCUUCUUCCAAAUAUGUUUUUUCGAUCACAGUUUUUUUUUUUUUGGGUAUGCAAACAUUUGAUAUUAUUUUUUUUCCAAAUGGUUUUUUCUUUUUCAAAUAGUUGGUGAUCAACAUAUAAGCUCUGUGUAUUUUUUUCAAUGUUUUUGUGAAAUUAUAUUUUUUUUGCUGUUUUUUAAGUAUAGUUGUUGACGAAUUAUUAUUAGGUACAAUACAUUACGUAUAUAUUAUCUGCGGGUACGUUUGAAUUUACUAAAAUCAUUAAUUGGUACGUUUGAUUUGAUACAUAUUGUUAAUAUUGGUACAUUAUUUUUAUUUUGGUACGUUUUAUUUUGAACACAUUUUGUAUUGGUACGUUUAUAGUAUUCUCAAUCCUAUUUUCUCUUAACGUACUAAAAGAAAAACUCAUUUUGGUACGUUUGAUUUUGGGGGAUUUAAAAAUAUUUUAAACUAUUUUGGAAAAAAAAAAAUCUUAAAUCGUAGAUAAUUAUUGCUAAAUUGUAGCAUUAUUGUGAAAAUAAAUUGAAUCUAACCAACUUUUUUUUUUACAAUUAUCUCUAAUGGAGGAGAGUGUAAUCAAAAGGCUAGAUUAUAGGAAAUUUGUUACAAUAUAAUGGGCAUAUAGCACCAAAAUUAUGAUAAAAAAAAGUUUAAUCAAAUCAUUAAAAGGCAUGGAUGUUUGAUCUAGAAAAUUCAAAACUGAGGCGUCUAUAUCAAAAGAUCCCUAAAAAUUAAUGUGCCUACUUUUUAAAUUUGUAACAAAAUUAAUUUACCUACUUUUUAUGGUAUUAGUAUACAUAAAUGUAGAAUAUAUGUCCGUAUAUAUUUGAUCUAAUUAGGUUUUGGAUUGGAGGAGUUGACACAAAAUUAUAAAUAUAUUAAACAAAUUUAUCUAUUCUAAAGUUGGAGGGGAAUUGGUCUGUACAUUGCUACAGUAAACAAAUGCUACUCAAUUUCACGUUAUUUACAACAAAGCUAUCAGAUUUGGGUUGGGUUGGAGGGUAAUUUGUUAAAAGUUAGGAGGGUAAUUUUGUGCAUAGGGUUUAGGUGCCCUCCUAUACAUGACCCUUGAGUUUACUUUAUUUACACCACUGCCAUCAAAUAUGUGGCUGAAUUGGAGGGUAUUAUUAAAAGUUAAGAGGGUAGUUUUGUUCAAGGGGUGGGGGCGACAUUCGCAGACGGAGGCCGAUGGGAGCCAUGCCCAUUGCACAGAGAGAAAGGGAGUGAUGGGGGAAAUUACAGACAGAAAAGGAAGGGAUGGGAGGAUUUGAUGGAUGGUCACAGAGAGAGAUUCGGUGAGGGAUGUGAGGGGAGAUUACAGAGAGAUAAAUAAAAGGGAGGGAUCGGGGGAUUUGAGGGAUGGUCAGAGAGAGAAAUAGUGAGGGAGGGAGGGAUGGGGGGGCUGAUUUUCGGUUCCUCCUUCAGAUUUGUUCCGUAAAACCUGUUGGGUACAAUUCAAUUUCCUCCCCCUUUCCCCUGAACGAAAAAUUCGAAACCUACAAUUCAAUUUCCUCCCUCCUUGGCUUUCCGCUUUACUCAUCUCCCGGUGGUUCUUUCUCUCCAUACGAUUCGAUUUCGGUGAGUUCUUCGUUGCCCUCAUGAUUUCCCAGUUUGAUUUUUUGAGCGUCCUUAGUCGUUGUUUUUAUCUGGGUUUACUGCAUUGUUGCUUUUAGUUUCUGGAUUUUUAUUUGUUCCGCGGUUCGAUGAAUCGGUUAAUAAUUUCACACCAUGGGAUUUUCGCAUGGAAUUGAGCGCGGGGAUUCGGGGUGGGGUUUUACUGAUAAUUUGUCUUCAUUCAAAUGAAUGGUUAAAAUUUCUGAAGUGAGUGUGCAGGUGGGCCCGUUCACUAACUAAGCUUUCAAGGGAACCCAUCAGCGGUUUGCUUGCUGGGGGAAUUCGGAGACUACCAGUGUAUGAUUUAGUUAUCAUUUAUUUUUUUACUUAAAUUUAUCCAUAUAUAAUAUGUGGGUAAAUUUACACUAAACAAUUGUGAUAAGCCAAUAUGCCAUACGACUUUGAAAGCAUUGAUUUUGUGUUUAGUUUGCAUUUUUGCAUUGUGAAUGUUGAAUUUUGUGUUUGAAUUUGUAGCAUGAUCUUCCGCUGCAGCAUCCAAAUUUUGCAUUUGUAAAUUGUCAAAGAAAAACGAAGUAUGAGGAAAUUAUAGGAGAUUGUGUCGGCUUUGGCCAUGAAGGGUAUCAGCAGCUUGUUCCCCCAUACAGGUGAUUAAUCGUUUUUCAGUCUGUGUUCUAUUUGGAUGAGAAAGUGAUUGAAAAUAUGAUUUUUUUAUUUGUUGGUUGAUUUUGUAUGGACGAUGUAUUAAUUUUAUUUUUUUUGGGAUUUUGUGUAUUGGGCAUUGUGUAGAACCAGCAAUGCAAGAGCAGGAUCUGAUCAGUCAUGCCUGAAAAGGGGUUUGUUUCUCAAAUCACAUUAAUUAAUUAGAUUAUUAACGUGCGUUGGAAGGCUCUUCAAUAUGAUUUCUAAUUUCUCCUUUCCAGCAUUCUCUUUUUGGUUUUUGGAGUAUGUAUGUGAUUUGUAUUUUUUUAUAGAAUAAAAAUUAAUAAAACACGAGAUGCAGCAAUUAAUUUGCAUCCUUAUGACAACACAUAUGAAAGUGCAUUCAAUUUCAAUGUGCGAAUGUGUGACAGGAUGUGCCUGCCCGCUGCUGCUGGUAUGCUUGCUGUUGUUUCUCGCGUUGUUAAUUUUUUGUGUGUGUUGAUUUGAUUAACAACUCAAGCGUAUCUUUUUUUUUUGUGUUGGUUAGCAGCCAGUUUUAUGGCCCCGAUCUAGUGAUGCUUCUCAGUGACUGUGGUAAUUGCAGUUCAUUGCCACCAGUUGGUCAGCUACCUGCUCUGAAAGAGCUAUACGUAGAAGGGAUGAAAGUUGUUAAGAGUGUUGGUGUUGAGUUGUACGGGGGAAAUCAACCAUUUCAAUGUUUAGAGAAGCUAAAGUUUCGGGAGCUAUAGCAGCCUAGUCCAAGUGGAUGUGAAAGUCCAGACUUUCCUCAUCUUAAGGAGCUGGGGUUAUACGAAUGUCCGAAGCUGAGAGGAAACUUGCCCACUCAUCUUCCCUCCUUGAAAACACUUCAUGUGAACAAGUGUGAGGUUCUACAUAAAAACAGGGCCAGUAAUACCCUGAACGUGGAAUCCUUACGAGGAUCUCUUGAAAAACUGACAAUAAAUGGAUGCCCGGGUCUCUCAUUGUUACUAGAGUCGACGGAGACGCUGCCGUCGCUUCAGAAGCUUGAUAUUGAUAAUGUGGUGGGAAAGAGUUGUUGGCGCAAAUGGUGCACAACAGCAAUCGUCUUCAAAGUUUGACUUUAUAUAAAUGUUCCUCACCCUUGUCGUUCCUUACAAAUGGUCUGCCCACCACGCUGACAUCACUGAGCAUAACAGAUUGCAAGAAAUUAGAAUUCCCAUCACGUGAGAUGAUGGCCAAAUUGACUUCCCUUCAGUCUUUGCGUCUAUCCAACAGCUGUGAACGCAAAGGCUUGAGUAUUUGCAGUUUAGUUUUUUUUUUCUUCAUUUUAGAGAUUUUUCUACUGUUUGGUUUUUGGGUUUUGUCUAAUUUUUGUGGUCUGCUUUAUAGAUUGUUCUCUUUGGAAGCUUCUUUCCAGCCUUGACCUUCUUCUUGCCUGGUGCCUUCUCAUUGAGUAUUGGAGGAGCAUUAAAACACAGGUGUGUGUGUUUUGUCGACAUAAGAGAUGAAUGACAUAAAAACAUCCGUCUCUGUAUUUUUUUGUGCUUUUUCUAACCCAUCAAUUUCUUUUGAGUCAACCAAAUAGUCCCAAAUUGCAACUUAUGUUGUGAGGUAUUAUUGUCUAAAAUUAAGUAUGCAUGUAUAUUUUAUGUUUGUGCCCGCGCACACAUCCGCAUGGUGUUAAUCUCUGUGGGUCAUCUAUGUAUAUGUAGAUAUAUCUAUAUGUGUGUGUGGAAUGCAACAUAUCGGAUUUAGGUUAUACUGUGCAUAGUUUUAUUGCCUGUUAUUAUCUACGAUAUCACUAUGCCAUUUCUAUGCAGGCUCUGAAAGUUAUUCAUGAGCUUUAUAAGCACUUACCAUAAUUUAAGCAGUCUGUUUUGGGUUCUUUUUCAUUAGGUCAUUAGCUACAGAUUAAUGGAGAAACGAGGACCAUGCCACUGAUUUGGGUUCUUUUUCUAAUUUUCUGAUUUUGGGGUUUUGCAGGGAGAACUCCGCCUAUGUACUUACAUUGCCGAUCCCAAGCUCGGAUAAAGGAGGAGGGGGAGGGCGUCAGGUAGUCGACAGUCGGCACUCCAUGAUCACGUCGAAUCCUUAUGAAAAUGAAUUCAGAAUAAAAUUGCGCUAAAGCUAGGGCGUCACCCGUAAGUGGCGCGCUGUGUGGCCCGAGCACAGUGAUAAGUGAGCAAGGGUCGCUGUAUCUCCAUCGGCACCCGGAUGCAGUGUUAAAUGAGCAAGGGGGGCAUAGGAACUUCUUUUCGAACGACUCCACUCAAAGUUGUUUGGGAGCAUAUGCUCCUAUCAACUUUACACGGGACACACAAAAGAAGUACUUUGAUCCUAUUAGACGGGGGAGGGUGAAGAAGCUAGGACAGAAGGGUAGAGUUCAAGAAAGCAAAAUGCGUUUAGGAACGUGGAAUAUAGGAACCUUAACGGGAAAAUCUAUGGAAGUAGUGGAAGUUAUGGUGAGGAGAAGGAUAAAUAUUAUGUGCCUACAAGAAACUAAGUGGGUUGGUAGUAAGGCAAUUGAUCUAGAAAACUCAGGGUUUAAACUUUGGUAUUCGGGCACAAAUAGAACGAGAAACGGUGUUGGCAUCAUCGUGGACAAGACCUUGACACAAGAUGUUGUAGAUGUCAAGAGGGUAGGAGAUAGAAUCAUGGCAAUCAAGAUUGUAAUAGGACAAGAACUUAUCAAUGUGGUUAGUGCGUACGCACCUCAAGUAGGGUUGGAUACGAGUUCGAAGGAGAAAUUUUGGGAAGACCUUGGAGACUUGGUGUAAGGAAUUGCUCAGACGGAGAAGUUAUUUAUAGGAGGAGAUUUAAAUGGACACGUGGGCAGAGAGACAGGCAACUAUGGAGGUUUUCAUGGUGGCCAUGGUUUUGGGGAGAGAAAUGAGGAUGGGGAAGCUAUCUUGGAUUUUGCAAUGGCAUAUGAUCUCUUUUUAGCCAACACCUUCUUUAAGAAGAAAGAAGAACAUGUGAUCACCUACAAGAGUGGGUUGUCAAAAACACAAAUAGAUUUUCUUCUAAUGAGAAACGAGGAUGGGGAAGCUAUCUUGGAUUUUGCAAUGGCAUAUGAUCUCUUCUUAGCCAACACAUUCUUUAAGAAGAGAGAAGAACAUGUGAUCACCUACAAGAGUGGGUCGUCAAAAACACAAAUAGAUUUUCUUCUAAUGAGGAAAGGGGAUCGUAUAACUUGUAAGGAUUGCAAAGUUAUACCAGGAGAGAGCGUGGCUAAUCAACAUCGCUUGUUGGUGAUUGAUGUACAUAUCAAAAGAGUGAGACAAAAGAACAAGACUUGGAAGUGCCCAAGGACUAGAUGGUGGAAUCUAAAAGAAGAAAAACAAGCCAUUUUCAAAGAGAAAGUAAUCAUCCAGUGUGUGGGAUAGAGAUGGGGAAGCUAGCCAAAUGUGGGAUUCAAUGGCUAGUUGUAUCCGAAAAGUAGCAAAAGAGGUAUUAGGAGAGUCAAAAGGCUUUGCCCCACACCAAAAAGAAUCUUAGUGGUGGAAUGAGGAGGUACAAACAAAGGUGAAGGCUAAGAAGGAAUGUUGUAAAGCCUUAUACAAGGAUAGAACUGAUGAAAAUGGUGAAAGGUAUAGAAAAGCGAAGCAAGCUGUGAGAGAAGCUAAGUUAGCGGCUUACGACGAUAUGUAUAAACGACUAGAUACCAAAGAAGGAGAGUUGGAUAUCUAUAAACUAGCUAGAGCAAGGGAAAAGAAGACAAGGGACCUAAACCAAGUGAGGUGCAUCAAGGAUGAGGAUGGAAAUGUUCUUGCUACAGAGAACGCGGUUAAAGACAGAUGGAGAGGUUAUUUUCAUAAUCUUUUCAAUGAAGGACAUGGAAGGAGUGCUUCUUUAGGGGAGUUGAGUAACUCAGAAGAGUGUAGAAACUACUCUUUUUAUCGUCGAAUCCGGAAGGAAGAAGUGAUUGUAGCUUUGAAGAAGAUGAAACAUAGAAAAGCAAUAGGCCCAGACGAUGUACCAAUCGAAGUGUGGAAAGUUUUGGGAGAGACAUGUAUAACAUGGCUCACUGACCUUUUCAAUAGGAUUUUGAAAACGAAGAAGAUGCCAAAUGAGUGGCGAACGAGCACUUUGGUGCCUAUCUACAAGAAUAAGGGCGACGUACAAAAUUGCAUGAACUAUAGGGGUAUUAAGCUAAUGAGUCAUACAAUGAAGCUCUGGGAGAGAGUCAUUGAGCAUAGAUUGAGGCAAGAGACACGGGUUUCGGACAACCAAUUUGGGUUCAUGCCAAGGCGCUUAACCAUGGAGGCAAUCUAUCUCUUACGAAGAUUGGUGGAAAGAUAUAGAGAUGGGAAAAAGGAUUUACACAUGGUUUUUAUAGAUUUGGAGAAAUUCGUAUGAUAGGGUCCCAAUAGACAUUCUUUGGAGGAUUUUAGAGAAGAAAGGAGUACGAGUAGCAUAUAUCCAAGCUAUAAAUGAUAUGUAUGAAUGAGCAAAGACUGCUGUAAGAACUCAUGAAGGACAAACUGAAAGUUUUCCCAUAACUGUAGGAUUACACCAAGGCUCAUCCUUAAGUCCCUACCUUUUUGCGUUGGUAAUGGAUGAGUUAACAAGACAUAUUCAAGAUGAUAUUCCUUGGUGUAUGCUUUUCGCAGACGAUAUAGUGUUGAUAGAUGAAACACAGGAAUGGGUAAAUGCAAAGCUUAACCUUUGGAGAGAAGUGUUGGAAUCUAAAGGUCUUCGCCUAAGCCGAUCAAAGACAAAAUAUAUGGAGUGCAAGUUCAGUGCAAAUGGAGGCCAAAACGAGUUAGGGGUGAGGAUCGGAGAUCAAGAAAUACCAAAGAGCGACCGUUUUCGUUACCUAGGAUCUAUCUUGCAAAAGAACGGAGAAUUAGAUGGAGAUCUCAACCAUAGAAUACAAGCUGGAUGGAUGAAGUGGAAGAGUGCAUCCGGCGUGUUGUGUGACCGCCGUAUGCCACUGAAGCUCAAGGGAAAAUUUUAUAGGACGGCAAUAAGGCCGGCGAUGCUGUAUGGCACAUAAUGUUGGGCGGUGAAGCAUCAACACGUACACAAAAUGGGUGUAGCGGAGAUGAAGAUGCUUCGUUGGAUGUGUGGGCACACGAGAAAGGAUAAGAUUAGGAAUGAGGAUAUCCGGGGUAAAGUAGGAGUAGCCGAAAUUGUAGGAAAGAUGAGAGAAAAUCGGUGACGGUGGUUUGGACAUGUGCCAAGAAGGCCUACUGACGCUCCGAUUAGAAGAUGUGACUACUGGACAGAGGUUCAGGGCCGAAGGGGUAGAGGAAGACCUAGAAAAACUUUGGAAGAGACUCUAAGAAAGACUUAGAGUACCUGGAUCUAACGAAGGACAUGACACAGGACCGAGCAUAAUGGCGUUCUAAGAUUCAUAUAGCCGAUCCCACUCAGUGACUUGGAUUUUCCAAGUCUCCAGCCGAGAAGUUUUCCUCACUCAGGAAAUUAAGGGAACACUACCCCAACCUACAUGCUCCACUCACAAAGCUUCAACAAAAGAAAAUUCAAAGAACUUAGCGAAGAAGGCUUUGAUGUAUUUAACACAAUACGUUGAAAUGAAGGAAAGCUUAUUUAUUGAUAUCAUCGAUAAGCUACAAAUAUGUACAUAUACAUAAGUCAAAAUAAACAAACAAGAGGGAGCCUUCACAAAGGUUGCUUAGGAGAAGUCUCAGCAGUCGGUAGAGCCCCAGAAAGAGAAGGCACCGGAGGGGGAUCAUUCGGAGCCUCAGUACUGGACAGAACCCUAGAAGGAGGAGGCAUAAGAGGUUGAUCAUUUGGUGCUUCAUUACGCGGUACAGCCCCAGAAGACGAAGGCAAUAAAUGCCUUUGGAACAAACCCACAAAUCUCUGAUGAUCAAGUAAAACCUGACCAUCAGAUUCCUUCAUCUGGUCAAGCUUCCUCUUCAUGUUUGUAGCAUAGUCAUGUGCGAGCCGGUGCAACUGUUUAUUCUCAUGCUUGAGCCCUCUAAUCUCCUGUUUGAGACUCAUCACUUCAGCCGCCAAUGAUUCAACUUGGCGGGUUCGAGCAAAUAGGUGUUGGGCCAUAUUAGACACAGAACCUGCACACUGAACACUGAGAGCCAGAGAAUCCUUAACAGCUAACUCAUCAGACCGUUUGGAAAGUAGUCUGUUAUCUUUGGGAGUGAGAAGGUUCCUGGCCACCACCGCAGCGGUCAUAUCAUUCUUCAUCACGGAAUCCCCAACGGUAAGAGGACCAGUAGGGGAGACGAAGGAUGGGCGCCAUAUGUUGUCUGGAGAAGGCGGGGCUUCCUCUUCAACAAGGUUCAAGUCAAAACGACGGUCGGAGGGGCCAGACAUUUUCAAAUGUGUUGAAGAGAGAAGAGGUCGGACAAAUCAAGAUCUUAGAAGUGUAAGAAUGGAGCUUCUACUGGUGGAGAUUCAAGUGUGCUUUGGAACUUAAUGUCAGCCCCUAUAAAAAUCUGCACUCAACGGAGCUUCAGAAAUCGAAGAGGCGCCUGCUCAGAAAUCGAAGAGGCGUUUGCUUUCUCAAAAGCAAGGCUGCUCAGAUACCACGAGGGUCGAUCUCAGAAAUCGAAGAGGCGUUUGCUUUCUCAAAAGCUGGGCAGCGCAAAGACCACGAAGGCCGAUCUCAGAAAUCGAAGAGGCGCUCAAAAGUUGGGCUGCUCAGAGACCACGAGGGCCGAUCUCAGAAAUCGAAGAGGCACCUACUUUUCCAGCCUUGUCAGUACCUGUCACACACACACUCAGCUUUGCGAAAAUUAUGGGGAUUCGGUCGAAGACUUCUGGUGAAGUAGAAAGCACAUGAGUCUUACUGUUCAAUCACCCACUUCCCACACGCAACAGUAGCUCAUGGGUACCACAUAUAACUUUUCCAAAGUUCUCUGCCAAAGUUGAACACGUGAAGUUUGCAGCUCCCACUACAUCGCUCUGAUCAAGAAGGGUAAAAGAAUAGCAAAGAAACAACACUAACAAAGUUUAGACACAUAAAUUUUGAUGGUCGAGCUACCAUAUUAUUACCCACAAGGGUAAAGGAACAGUACCACUGCUGGAUAAUUGGAAAGUCCCUGUGUGUCAACCUCUGUGCUUCGUGGCAAGGUAGACUAUCAAACAUGCCCAACCUUUACUCACAUUCGAGAAAACACUCCCAACAAGAUUGCUUGCUCCAAAAUCGAAGAGGCACCGUCCUUCGAAUCUCGAGAGCCAGACUCCCAACAUGACUACUUUCUCAAAAAUCGAAGAGGGUAAAGGAACAGUACCAUUGCUGGAUAAUUUGAAAGUCCCUGUGUGUCAACCUCUGUGCUUCGUGGCAAGGUAGACUAGCAAACAUGCCCAACCUUUACUCACAUUCGAGAAAACACUCCCAACAAGAUUGCUUGCUCCAAAAUCGAAGAAGCAUCGCCCUCCGAAUCUCGAGAGCCACUCCCAACAUGACUACUUUCUCAAAAAUCGAAGAGACAUCGCUCUCCGAAUCUCGAGAGCCAGACCCCCAGCAUGAUUGCUUUCUCAAAAAUCGAAGAGGCACCGUUCUCCGAAUCUCGAGAGCCAGAUCCCCGAUAGGAUUGCUUGUUCGAAAACCGAAGAGGCAACACUUUCCCAAUUUCAAGAGCCGGAUCUCCUUGGAUAAAGCUAUCUGUAAUCUUCACUCGCAACAUUAGCUUUCCAGCUACCACAGACCACUUUUUCAAAGUGAUCUGACAACGUUAAAACAUGUGAAGCUGGCAGCUUCCACUACCGUGCUAUGACCAAGUAGGGUAAAGGAAUAGCAUUACUACUUGUUGUUAAGGAGACUCCUAUAUAUGUCGACCUCCAUCCCCAACGGAUAGGCAGACCUGCAAAAAUGCUCAACUCUUCCUCAUAUCUGAGAGGGCACUCCCAACGAAGCCUUUCGAAAUAUUCAGCUUUCUUUCCCCCCGAUAAUACCUCUGCAAACAAGCUAUACUAGAGCAAGAAUAUCUCAUAUCAUCAGGGUUAAAAGCAAGAGUAUCCCAUAUCAUGCUUUUUCCUUGUCUUUUUCUUUGGCCUUGUUCUUACCUGCAAGACAAGAAGAAAGAGAGCAAUCAGUCAGUACUUGGAAUCAAGCUUCCAGCCAGGAACUGACUGCCUGGAACCCCUUACCUGAUUACUUACCUGACAUUGUUCUCGAGUACUCAUCUUCAACAUCUUAUGCUUCCAGGGAAGAUACCGCAUCUGCCUGAGGAACAGAUAGGGCAAGGGAGAAGGAUAUAAGGAAGCAUGUGGAGACAAGCGUAACAGCACACGUGCCGAUACAUCCAUUACUCUGUCAAAGCAAAAGUAUCCCAUAUCAGUAGGGUCGAACGUACUCUAGAUUUGAUGGACUUGUUUUGACCCUCAAAUUCUUCAGUCGGCCUUAUACUCUGGAGGAAACCAGAAAUUUCUCCAGCUCAGUGCAAGAAUAAGCUUGUGGAAAGUUACUUCUUCAAAAGCAAAAGUAUCACAUAUCAUCUCUUCUCAUUUUCUUCUCUUUAUCCUUCAUGCUGCCUGCAAGAUAGGGAGAUUGUGAACAAUCAGCUGGAGCUAUGAUUGCUUACCUUGUCUGUCACCUCUUUCAGCAGAUCCCCUAGCUCGGCGAUUUGGGGGACUCCUACUACAUGGUUUGUAUCGCGCUUGACCAAGCCUGAAACUACAAGUAAGCUUCAAGUGAAAUUGAUACAUUACCUUGUGCAUCUCCACCAGUUAAAGAUACUACCCCUGGAUGGAGGAAGAGUACUUCCAGAGAAGAUGCCCCAUCUACCUAUGAGACAGAUAAGGCACGUCAAGACGAUACCACACUCUGAUACUUAGAAGUUUCGUGAUUACGAGAUCAUUCUCCCACAAUAUUUCCUAAUGUCAUUUGUACUAAAUCAUUCACUUGUACUCACUAAAGGAGAGCUUGAACCUAUGUACUUGUGUAAACCCUUCACAAUUAAUGAGAACUCCUCUAUUCCGUGGACGUAGCCAAUCUGGGUGAACCACGUACAUCUUGUGUUUGCUUUCCUAUCUCUAUCCAUUUAUAUACUUAUCCAUACUAAUGACCGGAGCAAUCUAGCGAAGAUCACAAAAAGCGACCGUUUUCGCUACCUAAGAUCUAUCGUGCAAGAGAACGGAGAAUUAGAUGGAGAUCUCAACCAUAGAAUACAAGCUGGAUAGAUGAAGUGUAAGAGUGCAUCCGACGUGUUGUGUGACCGUCAUAGGUCACUGAAGCUCAAGGGAAAAUUUUAUAGGACGACAAUAAGGCCAGCGAUGUUGUAUGGCACAGAAUGUUGGGCGGUGAAGCAUCAAUACGUACACAAAAAUGGGUGUGGCGGAGAUGAGGAUGCUUCGUGGGAUGUGUGGGCACACGAGAAAGGAUAAGAUUGGGAAUGAGUAUAUCCGAGGUAAAGUAGGAGUAGCCGAAAUUGAAGGAAAGAUGAGAGAAAAUCGGUUCCGGUGAUUUGGACAUGUGCAAAGAAGGCCUACUGACGCUCCGGUUCGAAGAUGUGACUACUGGACAGAGGUUCAGGGCCGAAGGGGUAGAGGAAGACUUAGAAAACCUUUGGAAGAGACUCUAAGAAAAGACUUAGAGUACUUGGAUCUAAUGGAGGACAUGACACAAAACCGAGCGCAAUGACGUUCUAGGAUUCAUAUAGCCGACCCCACUUAGUGGGAAAAGGCUUUGUUGUUGUUGUUGUUGUUGUUGGGGUUUUGCAGGGAGUACUAAUGUACUGAUUUUCUGGGAUUUUUUUUGUCCUUGCAGGAUUUUUGGUCUUUGAAAUGGGUAUGUGUUGUUUUUAAUGUUUCAGUUCUAGCGUUUUCCGUUCUUCGUUGCUUCGUGAUUCUCAUUUUUCAGUGUUGGGUGAUGGAAAUUUGUUAAAGUAGUUGGUAGUUUUUUGAGAAAGUUGGCAUUUUUAGUUAUAUUUUCUGUUUAAUCCUAAAUGUUUUGAAAACUCAUAAUUUUUUUGUUCUGGGAUUUAAAAGCAUCUUUUCCAGAUUGGUUACAAGGGUUAUGUUCUCUUCAAUUGGUUCACCUAAUUUUGAUUAGUUUUAAGUUUUGUCCUUUAAGUUUGUCUUUUAAGUUUUGUUCUUUAAGUUUUGUCUUUUAAGUUUUGUUCUCUAAGUUUUGUCUUUUAAGUUUUGUCUUCUGUGCUGUAAUGAGAGAUUUCCGUUGGCCUUUCGGAUUUUGGCAUGGGAAAGUUCACUUAUUUGCAAGGUUCUAAAAAACGCUAGGCGUUAGUUGGGCGGUGGGCUAGCGCCUAGCGGCUAGGCGGCUAGGCGGGAUCUAGGCGGGAUCUAGGCGGGCGCCUAGGCGGCCUAGGCGGAUUUAGGUAAAUUUCUUAUAUAUUUUAUGAAUUAAUUAAAUUUACUAUAUCAAAUGUAAAUAAUUAUUAACUAAUAUGUUAUUUCUUAUAGAAGAACAUACAUAGUGAAUGUUUUAUGUACAUAUAUAAUAUAUUUGUCUAGGAAAAAAAAAUAUUAUCUAAAUAAUUUUUAUAACAUAUAUAUAUAUAUAUAUAUAUAUAUAUAUAUAUCCCAAACUUUUAAAAAUAUAAAUAGCAUUGGGAGAGGGGCGUAGGGUUUCUAAAAGCACACUCAGAAAUAGAGCAUAUUUUAGUCUUUAUUUUAGAAUCCUAAGGAGCACCCUACUCGGAUGCACGACAUGUGUGCAAAUCUGGAGAUUCUUGCUGUAUCGGAUACACCAAUGCUUAGUCAAAAUUUCCUGCUAGGGUUUAUGGUGGACAUGUGUGUGUGGUCUUCAUUAUUAAACCCAUUAGCACCUCACCUUUUCACAUCACCCGUCCAUCACCUUGGGUGGUUUUGAUAAUUAAAACCAUCAACAUCCAUGGUUUUGAUAAUUAGAACUACCAACUUUUCCUUGGAUUUGAGAAUCUGAGAUCCCAUUCAUCGCCAUCAAAUAUUGAAAUGUUUCAUUGUUCAUCUCUUUCUCCCUCUUCUCACUCUCUAUUCCCUCAUCUUCACAGAGAUGAGUUACAGAAAUUCUCCGGUAAUCUCUCUCUCUCUCUCUUCGUAAUCGACGAGCUCCUCGACUUGAAGUCGCAGCCAAGUUAUGAAGAAUCGAGAUGCGAGAGCAAGUGGAGAGUGGAGACUCUGGAAAUUGGGAGUGACGAUCGACGACGAUGAGUCGAUGACCCAGGAAACCUCUUGAAGUUGCAGCAGGUGAGUGCACUGCAGUUGAGGAAGAAGAGACGAAGAGACUUAGUUUCUGAAAUUAGGGUAGCUGCAAGGCACGGGAACUUAAAAACAAAAAAACAAAAAGAAAACCGCCUAGCUCCGCCAGCCGCCUAGCCUGCCUAGGCGCCUCCUAGCCCGCCUAGGUGCCGCUUAGCCACCGCCUAGAGCCCAGCCGUUUUUUCCCACCGUUUUGCACAAAAACGCCUUGGCCACCCUCCGCCUAGCGCCUAGGCGGCCGCCUAGGCCGUUUUUUAGAACACUGCUUAUUUGUCUAAUUAGAUUGUGGAUGCCUUCGAUUCUUUAUUUAAUUGUUCUGUUUGCGUUCGGGUGUGAUGAUCUAAAUUUCAUAUGUUUGGAAUUAUUUACUUAACACCAAUUUGUUACAUUCAGAUCUCCACCCCACAUUUCACUAGUUCAAAUUCCAUAGAAGUUGGUUAUUGCAGAUUGCGUCUACAAUUAGAUCAGAGAUCAACUACUCUUUUGUUAUCCUGCAGAAGAUUGCUUUUGGGAAGGAUCUGAAGUAGUUUCUCUCUGUAUGUUUAUUCCCAUGUAGCUCUGUCUUUUCUAAUUGAUGGUGUUGAUAUUACACUGUAAUUCAUGAUGAUGAUUUAAUUGUUUAUUGAUUUGUAAUUGUUUGUGAAUAAUGUGGCAUAUAUGAAUUGCAAUCUGUGUUUGUAUGAAAGGGAUGGCAUAUUAUGUUGCUGACUUAAUUGUUUAUGUUUUUCAUAUUUGCGAAUGGUGUUAUGAUCAAUUAGGUGAUUGCUGACCUGUGACUUUGUUUGGAGCUCAAAUUUUGUGAGCAUUACAUUGGAUUGUUUUGAUGUUGUUUUGGUUGACAAUGCAGGGAUAGGAGAAACAAAGAGGAUGACACUUAUAACUGCCAUUCCCCAUCGGCCGUCUUCAAAUUUGGAUCACAAGAAGGGAGCAACAUAGGUGUUUUCCUUCUUUAUUUAGAUAUGGUUAGUGUAAAUAAUUGGACAAAAGAGCCAAACAAACCCUGUUCUCUCAAAUGGAGUUGAUGAUGUGGUCGACGGCCACCAGCCCCAACUCAAGAGUUUGGCCUUCAUAUAAUUGGAUUGUAGUAUAAUUUUAUUUUUGUUCAUUUCUUUUUUCCUUUAUAUAAGUGCAGGUGUUGUGAUGUUUUGAAUAAAGGGUGAUGAAAGGUGGUUCACACUUCCUCCUUACUUAAAGCAAGUGGAGAUGACGGUUUGUAUAAAAAGAAAAACUUGCCACGUACUUCAAUUUUCUAUUUUAUUAAUUAUUGUUUGGUUUUCCAAAUGUUGUAUUCACAAAGAGAGACCAAUUAUGUCUUUGAGAAACAAGUUUCUUUGUCUACAUUGCGAGAAUUUGCAGUUUGCAACUUUCAUUGGUUAUUAUAUUUGAUUGAGUUAAACUUGGAUUUCUGGAUUCUGACUUUUUCGUUUGUUUCUUUGUUGCAGAGUUGGCUUCAUUUCAUUCCAGGAACUCUCUAAAUAGGGCCAAGAACUCACUAAAUAGGUAGUCAAGAGGAAUUCAGUUUUGCCUUCAAUUUUUGCCUUCUGUUUACAUUCUUCCUGGAUGCACUCUCACCGCUUCUCUCGCUUACCACUUUUUUCUCACUCACCGCUUCAUCUCUUCUGUUGCUUACAAGGUCGUGUCAUAUAUUUUUUAAUUUUGUGGUUUAAUUUAUUGAAUAUUUGAAAAAAGAGAUAAAAUUAUAAGAUACUAUAUAAGAUACUAUAUAGUAUCUUAUAAAUAAAUGAAUCACAAAUGAUACUAUAGUUGUUAAAAAAUCCCAUUACUCAAAACUCCAAUUCCCUCCCAUUACUGAAAGCUCCAAUUCCAUCAAAACCGAGAUGGUAAAAGUACAAACUGGCUAGUUUCCACCAAAAAAAAAAGUACAAACUGGUUACAAAAAUAUGUUUUGUCCCAUCCAAUUGACGAAAAGAGAUAAAAUUUUCAAUUUACAAUUACUGAUAUGAUGUUUGUUUUGAAAAUCAUUAAGGUGAAUGGAGAGAUUUACAACCAUGAAGAGCUGAGGAGCCGUUUGCCAAAUCAGAUUUAUAAGGUCUCAUCAAUUAUGAAUAAACGACUUUUCAUUCCCAAUGACCUUUAUCGUUUUUCUUAAUGGGUUAGCUGAACAUGAGGUAGAUGCUGACUUUAUCAAAUAUGAGAAUGUUUUAGGAUUUCAUUCUAAUUUUUUGGCUGUUUGAUUACUUUGCUUUUCGUAAUUUGUUUUGCUUAUCGUCAAUUGGAUGGGACAAAACAUAUUUUUGUAACCAGUUUGUACUUUUUUUUUUGGUGGAAACUAGCCAGUUUGUACUUUUACCAUCUCGGUUUUGAUGGAAUUGGAGCUUUCAGUAAUGGGAGGGAAUUGGAGUUUUGAGUAAUGGGAUUUUUUAACAACUAUAGUAUCAUUUGUGAUUCAUUUAUUUAUAAGAUACUAUAUAAGAAACUGUUAUUAGCACUCUAAAAAACUCAUUCUACACUCGCGACAAGUGUAUUUUUCUUUUUAAUUAUGGAAAGUUUGAAGGGCAAAAUGAGAAUUUUGGAGUGCCAAUAACAAUUCCCUAUUAUAUAUAGCUCUACUGGGAAGGCUACUGUAUAUGUCUUCAUCCUGUUAAAUUGUAUAUGGCUCUUGAUGUCGGCUGAAUUAAAUCAAAAUGAAAACCAAGCUGAUCUUACCAGCCGAUAUCACUUAUCACUUGCUUAUUUAAAUUAUUUGAAGAUGCGUAUGUGGAUUGGUGAUUUUGUUGGAUUCACUUAGCUCAAAUAUAUGUUAUCUGAGUCGCUACAUUUGAGAAUGUGAUUCUGUUCCUACCACCAUUUUGCCCACUUUUUGUGGAAAUUAUUCAUUCCUGUUGUGAAUAAUACAUUCAUCCCCGGCAACGAAGUGCGGGCACAUUUUAUAGUUUAAAUUAAAUCACACAAUGGGUCAUCAAUAAUGACAAACUCGUCAUUUAUGCGAGUCAAACAUGAGGCCACCUACCUACUAGUUUAGUGGAAUACCACAAAGUGACAUGUUGAUACCUUUAAGUCUCAUAUAAUGGAUUGCAGAAUUAGGAUAUACCUAGACUAAUUUAGUCAGUGCGUGAACCCGAACAAUUAACAAGGGUUUUAUUCUUGCUUGAAUGUUUGUUAUAUGUUCCUAGUUUGACAAGGCAAUUAUAUUUCCGAUUACAAAAGUUAUUAAUUUAGUCGAGAAUUGACGCACCUGAAAUGGUGUGAGGAAAACAUGUAGACACAUCAACCGCAGUCCACUGUCCUGGGCAUCUAUCUUCCCCGAAACGAAGCUCAAAGCCAUACAUGAGGGCAUUGUGUAUGUCUUUAUAAGAGAAGUUGCUGUAGUCUUCAACGUAGCCGGCAGCCAAACUCAUCCACUCUACACUGCAACCCUCAUCCAAAUCCCAUGCUUCCAACCUGCCCCCGACAUAGUCAGCGACCAUGACAUAGCUAUACGUUUUUGGUUGACUCGAAGAAGAAGAAGAAGUAUUAUUCAAGCAUGGAGCAGUGUCCACGUACAGAGAAGAAUUCGAUGGAUUCGAACACUUCAAGUAAUAUAUAGAUAGAGAAUUGAUGUCAUAGGUGGGCCAAUAUGGAGAAUUGAUGUCCUCGGUGGUGGGCGGAAUAUUUUGAGACAUGGAAGAGCAAUUGUUGUUGUCAAGCCCAGGAUCUAGAACUCGGAUUGUAUUGUUAAUGUAGUUGAUUGCCUGGACAUAGUAUUUUCCGGAAGAAGGUACGUCUAGUACAGUAAUGUUGCUCUCACAGUACAGAGUAUACAUUAUGUUGCCACAGUACUUUGGAUCAUCGUUCAGUCGAAAAGGAUGGCUUAUGUAGUGGAUAUGGCCGCAGGAUGAAGUGCAGGACUUGGCACUACUGUUGUCAGCGUUACAAGUUUCACUGCAAAAGCAAAGAAGAAGAAAGGCUAAACUUAAGGUGAAGGACCUGCUUCCACUAAUUUCCAUUGAUCUGAGAGAGAGAGAGAGAGAGAGAGAGAGAGAGAGAGAGGGUACUAUAGCUUGAACACCAAGGAGUUAUAUAAUAUGGGAGGGGUUAAAGCGCUUCGCUUAAAGUUGCAGUAAGCCCGGCAAAUAUCCUAGGGAAAAGUCGGUCAAUGGUGUCCUAUAGAGAAAAGUCGGCCUUGGUGUUUGACACGGUCACUCACUCUCUCUCUCUCUCUCUCUCUCUCUCUCACAUUGACGAGGGACACUGUAAUUAACAAAAAAAUUGUUCUUCAGAGAUAGAUUUUGAAAUUCUUAUUUUAUAUAAAAAAACACCUAAUAUUAAUCAUUCAAAUGAAAUUCCUAAAAUUAAGUAUAAAUAAUACAUAAUAAAAACUGAACACAUACAAUCAACGGUCACGAUCAUGAAAUCCUUCGGAUCCUCAGAAAAAAAUCCGACGAUGAUCUUUUUCUGUGUAAAAUAAUUUGAGGGUAUAAUACUGGAUGUGCGAUUAAACCGAAGAACCCACCCACCUCCAUCUUCUCCGACCAACUUGAACCCAGCCACUACUACAUGUCAUCCCGACAACCCACUCUCAGCUUCCCAAACCGCCAUUUUUCACCCAUUCACCUACCACUGCCAUUAUUCAUUCAAUCAACCCAAAACACGAGAGCCACCCCCAUCUCACCAGUCGAACAGAUGCAGCCACCCACCCAUUUAAUCCCAGUCCAAAAUCAAACCCUCUCCUAAACCCACCCCAGAAUCCAAUAAUUUCAAAAAAUGGCUGAUUAUAUCAUUUCAAGAACCUCACAAUUCCAAAAACUAAAAACCCACUUCAAAGAUGUAAUAUUUUUCUCUCUUCCUCUUUUUGGGUUUUUUUUUCUUUUUUUUUAUCAAUUCUCUUCUGGGUUUUUGUUUACAGUGUAAAAUCAACACUAAUUUACUAAUUUUGCUUUGAUUUCAAACACUAUUGAGGCGUGAUAACCUGUUGCAAGCUCAGCCAUGGCGGCUACUGCGAAAUCUAACGGAAAAACCAUCACAGACUCUGCCAUUUCAUCCAAGGUUCCGACAAUAGCAAAACGAAUAGCUGUCGCAGAUUUCUUCCAACAUCAAUCACUACGCGAAAUUAAUUGUCAAUGAAGACGAUCCCAUUCCCCUUCGAAAUCUGCUGGGGAAAGAGACCUUCUUUCAGAUCUGCUCUGAGACCGGUUUAUGCGAGAGAGUGGUGAGCCUGACGACAGAGAGAAAUAAGGGCAGGAUUGGAAAAUUGGAAAGUUCAUUUAUUGGUUACUGUUUAUCCGUGUUUCUUCGAAAUAAGCUGCUUUUUCCAGCUUUGGGUUUCAGUGUUUUUUAACCCAUAAUUUUGAAAGAAAAAAAACUGAUUUUAAAUGUUUAUCAAACACUUAAAAUGUUCCAAUCUUUUUUCAUACCUACUUUUUAUUAAAAGUUAAGCUAAACAAAAAUCAAGAUUAAGUUUACUACUCUGAAGUUUCUUGCUUUUCAACAUUUCAUACAUUGAAUUUUUCUCAUCCAGUGUCAUAUCUAAGGUGGGAAUUGUGGGACACUUUUAUACAUCCGUUAGAUUUUAUGUGAAUUGCGUGGCACUUUUAUACAUCCGUUAAAUUUUUUGUGAGAACCUUCGCUGACCCACGAUGCGGCAUGCAUGUGGACAUUAAAAAAAUUCAAAAAAUUCAAAAAAUUUUAAAAUUUUAAAAUUUAAAAUUCAAAAAUACUAAAAACCUAAACUUUUCAUAAUAUUGAAAGACUGAAUCUUUUCACAGUCAGCCAAAUUUUCUUCAAAUUUUAAUUAGAUGAAAUAAUGAAUCUUGAACAAAGCAAAACAAAACGUAAUAUUGAGAGAUUCAGUCAUUGAAGUGGACGUGGAUGUUGGGUACUCAAUAGUCCAAGAAUGAAAACUCUCAUAUCAGUUUCUAUCCAAAAUUUUGGAAUUAUGUGUGUUGCAACGAUUGUCCAAAGGAUUAUUCUUCUUUUAUUAAAUUUCCAUGAAAAAUGAGCAUGGAGCACAAAAGUUGAACGAAUGAUUAUUCUUCUUUUAUUAAAUUUCCAUGGAAAAUGAGCAUGGGGCACAAAAGUUGAACGAAUGAAAUUUCAACGAUUUGAAAAGGGAUUGUGAGUUUGACAUGUCAUUUUUCUUCCUCUAAUGCAAUCAUGUUUAUUAAAAGACAAAAAUAAAUAUGACUUUACAUAAGGAGAGAGAAGGAGUAGUUUUCUUUGAAAAAAUCAACCAUUUAUUGAAGAGGAUGUGGAUGUUGAUUGAUGCGUCGUGAAUACGAAAAAAAGGACCUUGAAAGGAGUUGAGACAUUCAUUAAAAGCUAGAAGAAAAAAAAGUUAAAAGUGUUUUAGAAAAAAAGCAAGAAAGCCUCAUUUUCAAAGUUGUGGUCAUUGCACAAUACUUGAUUAGAAGAAAACUCAUAGUAUUGUAUUUACAAUUUCAAGUCUUUAUGGGGAACGAGAGAGCAAGUUUUCCAAUUGGAAUAUGAUAUGAAAUUUCUACAUAACUAUAUAUGACAAUGAAAGAAGUCUAAGUUUCUAAAUGGAAGGGCUUCCAAUUGAUGUGAGUUUGUUGAGAAAUUAGUGAACAACAGAACAAGUUGCUUCUCCUUUGGCCUUCUAACAUGAUAUCACAGAAAACAAGUUGUUACUAAUAAAUGUAUCUGAUUGGUGGACUUAGACGUGCGCGGUACGAUUUUUGAUAACUAGAGAAGAUGGGCAGUGUCAUGACAAAAUUUAUCCAAGUAGACCCAAAGGAAUGACUUAGGAACUUCAUAUGCAGUGGGAUAAAAUCUUAAGCUAAUUUCCUUACCUAUCUUAUAGGCAUUAAGUAAAAUGUAUAUGCAUAUUUCUAGACACACCAAUUUACUUAAUAUUAACUUCUUUCAAAUACCCAUUUGCAGAAACGCAAAGCUCUCUUGCAUGCUUGUUGUAAUGCUUAUGUAGUGCGUAUCCUAUAUCUUAUAUAUAUAUCUUACUUUUUGUGAUCCAUUUUUUCAUCACUAUGCCAAACGAAUAGCAAAACGAAUAGCUGUCGCAGAUUUCUUCCAACAUCAAUCACCACGCGAAAUUAAUUGUCAAUGAAGACGAUCCCAUUCCCCUUCGAAAUCUGCUGGGGGAAAGAGGCCUUCUUUCCGAUCUGCUCUGAGACCGGUUUAUGCGAGAGUGGUGAGCCUGACGACAAAGAGAAAGAAGGGCAGGAUUGGAAAAUUGGAAAGUUUAUUGGUUACUGUUUAUCCGUGUUUCUUCGAAAUAAGCUGCUUUUUCCAGCUUUGGGUUUUCAGUUUUUUUUACCCAUAAUUUUGAAAGAAAAAAAACUGAUUUGAAAUGUUUAUCAAACACUUAAAAUGUUCCAAUCUUUUUUCAUACCUACUUUUUAUUAAAAGUUAAGCUAAACAAAAACCAGGAUUAAGUUUACUACUCUGAAGUUUUUUGCUUUUCAACAUUUCAUACAUUGAAUUUUUCUCAUCCAGUGUCAUAUCUAAGGUGGGAAUUGUGAGACACUUUUAUACAUCUGUUAGAUUUUAUGUGAAUUGUGGGGCACUUUUAUACAUCCGUUAGAUUUUUUGUGAGAACCUUCGCUGACCCACGAUGCGGCAUGCAUGUGGACAUUGAAAAAAUUCAAAAAAAAUCGAAAAUUUUAAAAUUUUAAAAUUUAAAAUUCAAAAAUACUAAAAACCUAAACUUUUCAUAAUAUUGAGAGACUGAAUCUUUUCACAGUCGGCCAAAUUUUCUUCGAAUUUUAAUUAGAUGAAAAUAAUGAAUCUUGAACAAAGCAAAACAAAACGUAAUAUUGAGAGAUUCAGUCAUUGAAGUGGACGUGGAUGUUGGGUACUCAAUAGUCCAAGAAUGAAAACUCUCAUAUCAGUUUCUAUCCAAAAUUUUGGAAUUAUGUGUGUUGUAACGAUUGUCCAAAGGAUUAUUCUUCUUUUAUUAAAUUUCCAUGAAAAAUGAGCAUGGAACACAAAAGUUGAACGAAUGAUUAUUCUUCUUUUAUUAAAUUUCCAUGGAAAAUGAGCAUGGGGCACAAAAGUUGAACGAAUGAAAUUUCAACGAUUUGAAAAGGGAUUGUGAGUUUGACACGUCAUUUUUCUUCCUCUAAUGCAAUCAUGUUUAUUAAAAGACAAAAAUAAAUAUGACUUUACAUAAGGAGAGAGAAAUAGUAGUUUUCUUUGAAAAAAUCAACCAUUUAUUGAAGAGGAUGUGGAUGUUGAUUGAUGCGUCGUGAAUACGAAAAAAAAAGACCUUGAAAAGAGAUGAGACAUUCAUUAAAAGCUAGAAAAAAAAAAGUUAAAAGUGUUUUAGAAAAAAGCAAGAAAGCCUCAUUUUCAAAGUAGUGGUCAUUGCACAAUACUUGAUUAGAAGAAAACUCAUAGUAUUGUAUUUACAAUUUCAAGUCUUUAUGGGGAACGAGAGUGCAAGUUUUCCAAUUGGAAUAUGAUAUGAAAUUUCUACAUAACUAUAUAUGACAAUGAAAGAAGUCUAAGUUUCUAAGUGGUAGGGCUUCCAAUUGAUGUGAGUUUGUUGAGAAAUGAAGAUGAAGAUGAAUAUUGAUGUUGAUGUUAGUGAACAACAGAACAAGUUGCUUCUCCUUUGGCCUUCUAACAUGAUAUCACGGAAAACAAGUUGUUGCUAAUAAAUGUAUCUGAUUGGUGGACUUAGACGUGCACGGUACGAUUUUUGAUAACUAGAAAAGAUGGACAGUGUCAUGACAAAAUUUAUCCAAGUAGACCCAAAGGAAAGACUUAGGAACUUCAUAUGCAGUGGGAUAAAAUCUUAAGCUAAUUUCCUUACCUAUUUUAUAGUAUUAAGUAAAAUGUAUAUGUAUAUUUCUAGAUGCUGACACACCAAUGUACUUACUAUUAACUCCUUUCAAAUACCCAUUCGCAGAAACGCAAAUCUCUCUUGCAUGCUUGUUGUAAUGCUCAUGUAGUGCGUAUCUAAUAUCUUAUGUGUAUAAUUUUUUGUGAUCCAUUUUUUCAUCACUAUGCCAAAAUCCCUUUAGAAUUUGCAAUUUAUCCAUUUGGUUAUGGUAAAAAAAAAAACUCGGAAUUUCAUUUAAACUCGAAAAUCUAGAAUUGGGAAAGCAAUUUUCCCUUGUUCGGCAACUUGUAGCGAUAGCAAAGGCAAAUUGUACCGGAAAAAAGUGGAAAUUGGGGAUGAAGAUCCAAUUUUAAUUUCGUCAAAAUAAGUGUAAUUUCACAAUUCCAACAACGUUGAGAAUCACAAAUGCAUUGUGGGGAAAUCUUGCGACCACCAAACUUUACGAUUAGAGCGCCAAAUUUCAUGAUAAAACGUAAUAAGGGUUUAGGACUGCAUCGUUCGCUCUGUUAACUCUCCAAUCUUCGACGGGAUUUUCAACUCGUGCAUCAUUUUUUGCUUUGUUCUAGGUCAAAGCCUACUCUUUUCUUUCUUGAAUUAUUUUAGCUUUGCGGGUAUACUCUUUAGGCCAAUUGUGAAUUUUGCUAGUUAUUUUUAUUUUCUGAUGGUCAUAUGUUUGUUUUUUUUUUCUUCCAAUUGAGCUGUGUAUUGGUUGGAUCAGUAACUUUUUUUUUGGAUUUUUAUUUUUAUUUUUAUGGAUUUUGGUGUUAGUUCCUUGUUAUAGAUGUAUAGAUGUUGUGGAGCAAAAAAUAAUCUCAAAAAUCGUGGAGGUGACACACGGAUUUUUGGACAAGAAUGACAAAAUUAUCCUCGAAGCACAUCAUGAUUCCCACGUGCAUGCAACGGACAAUAACGGCUCAAUCAUGGAAGAGUCAAAGGUGAUCAAUAUGGUAUUUAUUCAAAUCCCUCUCAUCACUCCUCAUCAAUCCCUUUUUGAUUUUAUUCAAAAGGUAACUCCCAAAACUUCCUAUUUAAUUUAGGGAUCAUUGUCAUGUUAAUUGCAAGAUAUUAUUUCACAAAAUAUCUUGUAAUUAUUCUUCAAUUACCACCAUGUAUGGCCGGCCACUCCUCACCCUAUGGGCCGGUCACUCCUCACCCUAUGGGUCGGCCACUCCCUAUAAAUAGCCCUAUUAUUCCACUAAUAAGGAAGCCAUUUGCUACCCACAAACUCCUAAACACAUUCUUUCAGAAUUCUAACUUUGGCAUUGGAGAUUCUUAGGCCAAAUCCCCCCUCCCAUUCAUCGUGGGCGCAUAAGGCUUUUGGCCUUAGUCUUAGGUAUUAUUAUUUUGCAGGUGCAUUUUCGUCAAAGACGAAGAUGGUGGAAAUUUGGAUCCACAAAUUGGUGUUUUCAUUGAGAGUUUGAUUCACAAGCUCGAAGAAGACUCUCGCAUUCAAAGUUUCACAUUUCUCAUUCAUAAGUAAAUUUUUCAUACGUUCUUAUUCCUAGAAUUUUUUUAAAUCUUUGAAUAGACGUAGGAGAGAAAUACAAUGGCUAGAAAUUUAGAAACCACGACGAACGAAACUUCCUACGUUCAAAGAUCCAGAUCAAAUGAUGGAAAUUGCGAUGUAGCCCCACCACGACGAUCCACGAAGCUCAACGUAGUGGCAAAAUGAGUAACUUGGCCACCACGGAGUACCACCACCACCAUAGCCAAGGCAACCCAUGUUGCAGUGGGGAGUGGGACAACUCCAUGGCAGCAAGGCCACGAAGCAACAACAGAUGCCAUCUUGCAGUAAUGAGCCCAAGCCUGUGUCACAAGGUAGUCAACCCAGCGCUAGGUAACCUAGAUCUAGUAGGCCCACGACGUUGCCAUAGUAGCUGAGGCCUAAAGCAAGGCCCAAGCAGCUGCGACUGCGGCAAAUGGAGCAACACAACACUGGCGGGGCCAAUGCACCCUUGGCCUAAUGCCAAGCAGGCUAAAUCGCACCACACCCACUAUUCAAACUAACCCUAAGUUGAGUAAGUAGCAUUGAAGGUUGUCAACCGCAAGGCGUUGAAGUACGAAUAAAGUUACACACCCCGCACAUGACUUGGCCCACUUCCGCGGCCCAACUUGCUCGCAAGGUCCACCUAGUGAUCCCGACCAGUCGAAGGCCAGUUCAAUCAUCCCAUCUUCAGAUUUCUGGACUGACGAUUGAAUCGGGGGUAUUUUCACCCCGAUUUUCUACAGAUUUGACAUAUCUCAACACAAAUCUCGCACUUGGAGUCCAUUGCACUUCCAUUACUCAAGGAGACGCAUACCAUUUAAGAUCUUCCAUCCCAAAUGGCGAACAACACUUGUCUUGACAAGUCAUAGAGUUGACAUGCACUUUUGCGCAGUAGACGACCUUAGUGAAUCAGCUUUUGCAACGCACAAAGAUGCAGUAUGCCCCAGACGAUGUGUCCCGAAGCAGGACAAGUAUAGACGACGAUUCUCUCCAGCAGCGUCCCAACAAGCAGCCGCUCGACUAGCCACGAACCGAGCAUUCUGGCAGUGUACACUCCCGUCUAGGUCCUCAAGAAAGCAUAUACUCUCAUCUUAGCGCGCGGAUGAGCGUGCACUCCUGGUUAGGCCUACGGACGAGCAUACAUUCACGGUUGGGACCAUACUCUUAUAAUUAACAUGGACAACCUGCUAGACGAAGUGUUCAUUCGCGGCUAGGCUCGCAAAGAGCAUUUUCCACCUCAUAUUGGAGUAAGCAGCACAGAAGACGAAGAUAAGCAGUCAAUUAAUCUGGCUCAAAUUCAAUCGGCCACCUGUAAGUAACUAGCUCGCCUGCCAAGAACGUACCAUAUGCAAUGUAGCCACGACAUAGACUAGCUGAGCACAACGAUGAGCAACCUAGACUAACAGGUUACGACUGGGGGUAGCCAGAAGCUUCACUGCCCCAAUAUAGGUAAAUUUAGAAAGAAGUUGAGAGGCUUCUGACAGAACGAUUGUGCGAUUUCCAACGCAAUGAAGCUACUGACAAGGCGCUUAAACGAUACACGACCAACAUAAACGGGUCACCUUUUAUUGACAAGAUUGAGCAGACAGAACCAUCCUACAUACACUGGCGGAUACAAAUAUUACUUCUAUUUUAACAUACGCAUCAACUCAGCCUAAUGGCGUGUCGAGGGCAAAUGGGUUCCAGAAUGGCACACUAACCCAACCACCAAGAACCAGGGCCAAAUCUUAUUUUCAUCACUCCACACGAUUCAAUGCUUGAGCAUCACAUCACCAGUAAUAGAGCACCGCAGACCUAAUGGUCCAAUUCCUCCUGAUGCACACAAGCUCACCCCAGCUCCACGCUCAAAGCCGUGCCUACCUGCUCCACAACACUCAGCCACCCUUGAUUUGUCACCAUGGCUCACAGUUAUGCCAAUUUUGCACCACAGCUCCCAGCCGUGCUAAUCUUGCCAUGCGGCUUUUAACUACGUUAACCAAGCCCACGAUACUUCAUACUUCAAAACAUCCAAUGACGAAGUAGAACAUGAGGCUCUACUAGCAGCCCCUGCUAGUGAAAGGCUUUGCGGUGAAGAGGCUUCCAAUCCAUUCAAAUUCUCAGUUGACCACCUGUUGGGUUUUACGGCUCAAAAUUAGGAUGAUGCAAAAAAAAUUGUGUUACCUAUUUGGUUUUGGUGUCGUAUUUGGGUUUGGAUUUUGACCUCUUAGUUGGUUUCCUUGGUGGAGAGAUUUUGUUAAUUACCUAUUUGAUUAGGAUUUGGAUUUACUUCCUAUUAAGAUUCUUAUUGUAACCUAAGUCUUAUGCACUAUAAAUAGGACCUCAGGGUUAGUGUAUUUUGUGUGGCUCAUUCGUGUGGCAAUUUGGUGAGAGUCAAUUUGUGAGUUUGUGAGUUAGAGAGCAAUUUGGGAGAAUCUUCUCCGUUAGUUUUGGGUUCUCUACUCGUUUGGUUUAGGGUUUGUAAUUUGUGGGAUUUGGAUUGUGAGAGUUUAAACACUAUUUUGUAAUCUCCGUUUGUUUAGUGAAAUUUCUUGUCAUGCUUCGCUCGUGGACUUAGAUUUUACACCGAACCACAUAAAUCUCUUGUGUUAGUUUGAGAUUGUUUGUUUUAGUUUUCACCUACAACGUUGAUAUCGGUACUUUGCUAUAAUUUGCUUUCCUUUGCUCAUAAAAGUACGACAAGUGGUAUCAGAGCCCAGCUUUCGGCUUGGGCUUUUCUUGGCAAUCAAUAUGAAGCCUUCUGUGUCGUCGGUGAAAGUUGAUAUUGAAAAGUUCGAUGGCAAUGACUUUGGUAUUUGGCAAUUGAAGAUGCGUGCUUUGUUAAUUCAACAAGAGCUUUUAAAAACGCUAAAGGGUGUGAAGGCUUUCCUGAAUUCGUGGACUGAUGAAGAAAAACAAAGAAGUUAUGGAGCGGGCACUUGGAACAAUCCUGCUGACUUUAUCGAAUGAAGUCUUGCGUCAAGUUGGUAGCAUCAAAUCUGCACCGAAGUUGUGGCUAAAAUUGGAGAGUUUGUAUAUGACCAAAUCCCUUGCUAAAUGGUUGUAUUUGAAGAAAAGUUUGCGUACUCUUCGUAUGGAUGAAGGUACGUCAAUUCAUAAGACCAAAUCCUUAUUGCUGCCAAAAGUCCUCAACAGUUCCAAGGGAGAUGGGUAAGAGUUCGUAAUAGUGAGAGAUUGAAUCUUUUCACACUUGGCCAAAUUUUAAUUUUAAUUAGAUGAAACAAUGAAUCUUGAACAAAGCAAAACAAAAUUUAAUACUGAAAGAUUGAGUCAUUGAAGUGGACGUGGAUGUUGGGUACUUAACAGUCCAAGAAUGAAAACUCUCAUAUCAGUUUUUAUCCAAAAUUUUGGAAUUAUGUGAGUAUUGCAACGAUUGUCCGAAUGAUUAUUCUUCUUUUAUUAAAUUUCCAUGGAAAAUGAGCAUGGGGCACAAAAGUUGAACGAAUGAAAUUUCAAUGAUCUGCAAAGGGAUUGUGAGUUUGACAUGCCAUUUUUCUUCCUUUUAUGCAAUCAUGUUUAUUAAAAGACAAAAAUAAAUAUGACUUUACAUAAGCAGAGAGAAAGAGUAUUUUUCUUUGAAAAAAUCAACUAUUUAUUGAAGAGGAUGUGGAUGUUGAUUGAUGCGCCGUGUGAAUAGGAAAAAAAUGACCUUGAAGGGAGACAAGACAUUCAUUAGAAGCUAAAAAAAAGUUAUAGUGAUUUAGAAAAAAGAAAUUUUAACGAAAUAUUUCCGGUAUUGUUCACUCUUUACGAAAAACCACAUUUUUACAUUUCCUGGCUACUAUUCACUACACCUUUAUUUAUCAUUUUUCAUUAAAACUAAAUUUGUUUUUGAACUUUUCGUUAGUUUCCUUUAGAAAAAAGCAAGAAAGCCUCAUUUUCAAAGUGGUAGUCAUUGAAACAAUACUUGAUUAGAAGAAAAGUCAUAGUAUUGUAUUUACAAUCUCAAGUCUUGAGGGGUAACGAGAGUGCAAGUUUCUAAUUGGAAUAUAAUAUGAAAUUUCUACAUAACAAUAUAUGACAAAGAAAGAAGUCUAAGUUUCUAAGUGGAAGGGCUUCCAAUUGAUGUGAGUUUGUUGAGAAAUGAAGAUGAAGAUGAAUAUUGUUGUUGAUGUGAGUUAGUGAACAACAGAACAAGUUGCUUCUCCUUUGGCCUCUAACAUGAUAUUACCGGAAAACAAGUUGUUACUAGUAAAUGUAACUGACUGGUGAACUAAGACAUGCGGUACGAUUUUUGAUAACUAGAGAAGAUGAAUAGUGUCGUGACAAAAUUUAUCCAAGUAGACCCAAGGGAAAGACUUAGGAACUUCAUAUGCAGUGGGAUAAAAUCUUAAGCUAAUUUCCUUUUUAAUCUUAUAGUCAUUAUGUAAAAUGUAUAUGCAUAUUUCUAGAUACAUACACACCAAUGUACAUAAUAUUAACUCCUUUUAAGUAGUCAUUUGCAAAUCCCUCUUGAGUGCUCUUUGGAAUGCUCAUGCGGUGCCGUUCUAAUCUCUUAUAUAUAACUUUUUGUGAUCUGUUUUUUCAUCAAUAUGCCAAAAUCCCUUUAGAAUUUGCAACUUAUCUUUUUGGUUACGGUAAAAAAAAACUCGGAAUUUCAUUUAAACUCGAAAAUCUAGGGAUGUGAAAGCAAUUUUCUCUUGUUCGACAACAUUUAGCGAGAGCAAAGGCAAAUUGUACAGGAAAAAGUUAGAAAUUGGGGAUGAAGAUUCCCAAUUUUAAUUUCGUCUAAAUAAGUGUAAUUUCACAAUUCUAACUACGAUGAGAAUCACAAAUAUAUUGCAGGGAAAUCUUGCAACAGCCAAACUUUACGAUUAGGGUGCCAAAUUUCGUGAUAAAACCUAAUAAGGGUUUAGGGCUGCAUUGUUCACUCUGUUAACUCUCCAAAUCUUCGACGGAUUUUCGGCUCGUGCAUCAUCUUCUUGCUUUGUUCUAGGUCAACGCCUCUACUCUCUUCUUUCUUGAAUUAUUUUAGCUUUUUAGGUAGGCUCUUUAUGGCUGUUGUGAAUUUUGCUAGUUAUUUUUAUUUUCUGAUAGUCAUUUGUUUGUUGUGCGUUUUUCCUUCCAAUUGAAUUGUGUAUUGGUUGGAUCUGUAACAUUUAUUUUUUAUUUUAUUUUAUGGAUUUUGGUGUUAGUUCUUUGUCAUGGAUGUUGUCCCUUUGAAGGUUAACAAUAGCCAAGACUAAACAUGAUGAUAUUGUUAAUUACUUUCUCAUGAUACUAAUGCCAUAUUGUUCUCUCUUUUGCACUUACAAGUGAAGAGAAAUAUCCUAGACCCUAACUGGAUAUGUUAUUGUCAUGGUCAUGCAUUGGUAUGGUAACAAUAUGUUUGGAUAAGGAAAAUAAACUUAGAAUUUGACAAAAGAUAGAAUUUAUAAAUUGAUACAAUCAAUUCCUUUGUUUAGAUUCAUAAACAUAGAAAUUUAAACUUUCCGUGUGAGAAAAAACUUGGAAUUUGGGACCUUCAAUUCUCAUGUUUAAAUUUUAUGUAAAUAGGUGUCAUUUCUAAAUUUCAGCAAGUGAGAAUUUAAAAAUAACAAACAUGUAUUCAAAUUUCAUUCCUCUUUUAGGUUAACCAAACAAGAAAUUUUAUAAAUUCUAGAAAAUAAAAUUUCGUUAUUUCAAUUUCUGUUAUUUUAAAAUUAGUAAUCUUAAAUUUUCCCAUCCAAACAAAGAGUUUCCUUGUCAUAGAACUUUCAAUUGGGAUCAAGGAAGACAAUCUUUUCACAACUGAUUAUUCUCACCAAAUUUUAUUAUUAUUUUAAAGCAGAUCAAUACCAAACUUCAAAAGCAAAGUAGGAAGGCUAAAAUUAAGGUGAAGAACCUACUUCCACUAAUUACCAUGGGAGGGGGAGAGAGAGAGAGAGAGAGAGAGAGAGAGAGAGAGAGAGAGAACCAAGCGAGAGAGAAGAGAGAGAAAACACCAAGUAGUAUUAUAAUAUAGGUGGGGUUAAAUCACCUUUCGUGAAGUUGCGGUAAGAGCAGCUCCAGCGGGAGGUCCAGCUUGAUGGACCGGUGAGAUUUCCUACCCAAUAGCCCCAGCUCCUUGCUCCAGCCCAUGCGGGCGAUUGGGCUGAGGGGGUGCCCGAGUGAGAGGCCUGACUCGAAUCGGUAGCCUGAGAGCUUGAGGCCAAAUGAUGCAUGGACGUCAGCCACGUUAUAAGAAGGAAGCAUAAACUAUGAAUAAUGAUAGAGAUUUAGAUUUUGGUGUGUGAUUUCAUCGGAUGGAUGGUGGGUUAUAUGGAGGAAAAAAAAAAGAUUAGGUUGUAGAUAAUGCCACGUGGCAUGCCGUCAUUCGUUAAAAAUCUGAUCGAAAUCUAUCAUCAAAGAUUUUAAACAGAUUAUGACACGUGACGCAACGUGAUUGGUUAAAAAUCUUAUCAGAAAUCUAUCCUUAACGAUUCUGAAAAGGUAACGAGAUGGGGCACGACGGCAUUGGAUAAAAAUCUUAUCGAAAUCUAUCACCAAAAAUUAUCUUUUUGGAUAAUGACACGUGGUGCAACGAGAACGAUUAAAAAUCUUAUCCGAAAUUACAAAUAGAAUUAUUUUGUAUUAUUUUAUAAAAUAAAAAUACUAAUAUUUUAUUGCCUAUUGACAUGACUAUUCAAUUAUGGGUGUGGAGAUGCAGAAGAUAAUUAUUAUUAAUUAAAGGUAAUUAUUGUUCAUUGGAGGGGAUUGAAUAUGAAGUUGCAGUAGAAGGCCUUUGUCACAGCAAUAGGCAGUUACUGUUCUAAGGACUUCUAUCCUAGAACAGAGACAAAAACACCAAGUAGUAUUAUAAUAUAGGUGGGGUUAAAUCACCUUCCGUGAAGUUGCUGUAUGGACUUCUAUCCUAGAGAAAAGUCGGUCAAUGGUGUUUGACACAGUCAGUCAACGACAAAGACAGAAUUGUGUAACCAUAAUUCUCUCUCUAUCUCUUUUUCAUUAACGGAGGACAGUGUAUAAUUACUACGUAUAUAUCUCUGCUCAAUUAUUGAAAAGAAAAAUCCAUGUGCAUUAUUUUUAUUAUUAUUAUCUCAGAAAUGCAGAAAUUGAUUAUCUCUUCCUUCUGCAUAUUGAUACUGGUUUUCUUCAAACUAGUUGAAGCAAGCCAAUAUGUGUGCGCGAAAUCCAACUGUAGCAAUGAUCAAGGCCCGGCUAAUUUCCUUAGGAGGGAGAGAGAGAGAGGGGAGAGAGAACCAAGUGAGCGAGCAGAGAGAGAAAACACCAAGUAGUAUUCUAAUGUUGGUGGGGUUAAGUCACCUUCCAUGAAGUUGCAGUAAGGACUUCUAUCCCAGAGAAAAGUCAGUAAAUGAUGUUGACACAGUCCGUCAACGACAAAGACAGAAUUGUGUAACCAUAAUUCUCUCUCUAUCUCUUUUUCAUUAACGGAGGACAGUGUAUAAUUACUACGUAUAUAUCUCUGCUCAAUUAUUGAAAAGAAAAAUCCAUGUGCAUUAUUUUUAUUAUUAUUAUCUCAGAAAUGCAGAAAUUGAUCAUCUCUUCCUUCUGCAUAUUGAUACUGGUUUUCUUCAAACUAGUUGAAGCAAGCCAAUAUGUGUGCGCGAAAUCCAACUGUAGCAAUGAUCAAGGCCCGGCUAUCCAUUUCCCAUUGAACAUCAGGCGCACACAUCAUUGUGGAAAUUCUGGGCUUGAAUGCAAUGGGAGAUAUGAGCAGCAAAUACUAAUAAAAUUAUUUGUCAAAGACACAGAUUACAAGCGUCAGGAAAUCCAAGUCUAUUCCCCAAGUAACUGCCUGCUGCUAAAGCUUGUUGAAAUCCCAAACAUGCCACCCUCUCCCUUCGUGCCAGUAGUCGAUUACAUGAUUAAUUUCAUAAACGUUACCUUAUUCAGUUGUCCUACUUCUGUUGCAAUACGAGAUACGUAUGGUUGUCAAGUCCCCUGCCUUGGCGACCGUGGCAAGAGAACUUAUGCCAUUGAUUCUGGGGUUUAUUUUGAAACUCUCUUCCAGAAUCUAGAAUCCUGUACAAAAAUGUAUGAUGUUUUAUCAGUUCCAAUAGCCGAUGAAUAUUAUGUUUUUCGUUUCAAAUGGUCUAUACCAAAUUGCAGAAAAUGUGGAGAGGGAAAGAAGUGUGAAUGGCAGAACAAUGAAAUUAAAUGUCUUCCCUGGAGGAAACCAAGUAAGGAUAACAUAUGUAUUCAUUGCUAGUUUUAAACAUCUUUACAUUUAUGUCUUAGUAAUUAUUAUUUGAAGGAUGUUGUCCAAUCCAUUUUUACUAGGAAUAUUACCUGACAGUCUCGUUUAAAUUCGCAAUGAUCUUCUACAGGCAACACAUGGAAAAAAGUGGUUACAGGUGGAAUCCUGUGUGCUUUGCUUCUUGUUCUACUGACGAUUGCAGCAUAUCGGGUAUAUAGCGCUGAUAGAAAGGAGAAAGAGAGUCGAUUAAGAAUUGAAAGAUUCUUGGAGGACUACAAAGCACUCAAACCAAGCAGGUAUUCGUACGCAGAUAUUAAGAGGAUUACAAAUCAAUUCAAGGACAAGUUGGGCGAAGGAGCCUAUGGAACUGUCUUCAAAGGAAUGCUCUCUUCUGAAUUCUUCAUUGCUGUCAAAGUCCUCAACAGUUCCAAGGGAGAUGGGGAAGAGUUCGUAAAUGAAGUGCGAACGAUGGGUCAUAUCCACCACGUAAACGUGGCUCGCUUGGUUGGAUUUUGUGCUGAUGGAUUUGUACGAGCUCUUGUUUACGAGUUCUUCCCCAAUGGUUCCCUGCAGGAUUUCAUUUCAUCUGCAGAUAGUAAGAAUUCAUUUCUUGGUUGGGAUAAGCUACAAGAUAUUGCCCUAGGCAUAGCCAAAGGAAUUGAAUAUCUUCACCAGGGAUGCGAUCUACGAAUCCUGCAUUUCGACAUCAAACCCCAUAAUGUUUUGCUAGACCAAAACUUCACUCCAAAAAUUUCUGAUUUUGGUUUGGCCAAGUUAUGUUCCAAGGAUCAAAGCUUGGUGUCCAUGACUACAGCAAGGGGGACCAUGGGCUACAUUGCACCUGAAGUGUUCUCCAGGAAUUUCGGAAAUGUGUCGUACAAGGCAGAUGUUUAUAGCUUUGGAAUGCUACUGCUUGAGAUGGUAGGAGGAAGGAAGAAUAUUGGUUCAAUUACGGAUAACACUACAAAUGAAAUUUACUAUCCACAGUGGAUUUAUAAUCUUCUAGAGGAAGGGGAUGACCUACGAAUCCACAUUGGGGAAGAAGGAGAUGGUAAAAUUCCAAAGAAACUUGCAAUUAUAGGGCUAUGGUGUAUCCAGUGGCACCCGUCGGAUCGUCCUUCCAUGAAAAUAGUGGUUCAGAUGUUAGAAGGAGGAGGAGAAAGCUUGAGUAUGCCGCCUAAUCCCUUUGUGCCUACUGGUUCUACAACUAGGAAUGCAAGACACCUAGAGCUAGAAGCUAUUGCUGAAUUAGAGUAAAAUGUAUAUGCAGAUAUGUAGACGUAUAGAUAUAGUAAUAUUUAUAUUGAAUAAGAGGCCGUUUGAUAACCAUUUCGUUUUCAGCUUUUAAUUUUUAUUUUUCACUUUUUUGAAAACUAAAAACUAAAAUCUUGUUUGGUAAAUACUUUUAGUUAAAAAAAAAUGAAGACUGAGAACUAAAAUGUGAAAGCUCAAAGGAAGUAGAUUAAAAGUAGUUACCAAACAAACCGGAAUCUCAAUAAAUAAAAAAGAUUGAAUUGCACAAUGCAAUCCAAACCAAUCAAAACAUUUAAAAUAGCAAAAAAAAAUUAAAAUUCUAGUUGAUUAGAUUCUAAACAUAGUAAAAAUGAACAGAUCCGAUGAAAAAAACAAAAAAUUCUCAGAUAAAAAUAGGGAUAAAGUAAAAUAUUUAUAAAUAGCUCUUUGUCUCUUAUGCCAUCAAUUAUUUCUAUAGUAUAUACACGUUUUUGGAAAAAUUAGGUUCCCAUCCCUUAUUUUCAUAUUACAUUGAUUGAAAUCUUAUUAUUUUUCUAUUUUAGAUCAAGGUCCCUUGACUUAUUCUAUGUCAUCAUUUUAGUAUUUAAAAUAUUACACGUUAUCAUAAACGAAAUCUCAUCCCUUUCUGCAUUUAAGGCAAAAUAAACUAUAUGAGUAAGUUUAAAACAAGGAAAAUCCAUUUGAACUCCUCCAUUCUUCUUCUUCUCUUAUAAACAUCUGGAAUCUACAACACCCCAAACCCAAUUUUCUCCAUUUUUUCUCCUUUCCUGAAUUGAUCCAAUGCAUAUAUGUUGAAUAAACCUAUUGUGAUUAAAAUACAAAUUAGCAUCAAUGGUUUUAUUGGCUUGUGAGAUUUGUGUGGCAUAGGCAAGGCAAUGCAGGCAUCGUUUUCUCAAGGAAUCUGGUUGAUUCAAACAUGCAGAGACUGUAGAGUGAGUGGGCUAUGUGAAAACUGUACCAUUCUGAAGUCAUUUUCUUUUGUUCUUUAUAUUUUUUUUUCUUUUUCUUUUAUUAUUAUAUAUUAGUCUUGGUUAUUCAAUGCCUGGUUGGCUACACUUAUAUCCAUGGGUACAUUUUUAAUCUACAUGUUUCGUUCUAAUAUAUCUAUUGCUAUAAUAUGUUUUGGUUGGUUCAAAUUUGUUUUACAUAAAUAUAUGGGUACAAAGUUUUUGGAGAAUAUUAUGUAAAUGGUUUUUAAGGUUGCUGCAUUUUACGUACCCACAUAUGCAUGUCUAUAAAACAAUGUGGUAUGAUGUACAUUCUUUUCUUUGAGUUUUUAAAUGUACCCAUGAGUUUUUUUGUAAAUUCGGUAUGUACCCAUAUGCUAUUUAUGUUAUGGGUACAUACAUUAUUUUUGGUCUAAGUUCAGGGUACAUUGCUUUUGUAUGUAUGAAUUCAAGGGGUACAUUAUUUCCCUUAAUACUACUCAAUAAAAUUCACAAAAUAUGUGUAGUGUGCAUGAUUUUUUAUUGUAGAAAUUGUUUUUUUUUAAGUCUCAUAAUUCAUGAAAUUUGUACAUAUAUGAUCCCAUAAAUUUUUUAAUUUUAUUAAAUUUCUUUUAGACUUGAUCGAUUGAUUGAAUCUCAUCAUACUAGGAUUUUGAAUUACAUAAAUUCUUGGAUUUAAAUCCCUUAAAUGUUGGACUGCAAUCAAUAUUUUAAAUUAUAGUUUUUUAUUUAAGAUAUCAAAAAGAUGACAUGGAAAUAUAGUAAUACUAAAAUGCUGAGGUGUACAAAGUCAAAGGACUUUGAUCAAAAAAUAAAAAACAAUAAGAUUUCAAUCUAACAAUUAAAUUGACUAGGGACCGGAACCAAAAUGACCCUAGAUUUUUAUUGAGUUUAAUCUUAAUCAAAAAAAGACUUCUUGUAUCACAGAAAAUACAAGAACCAUUAUUUGAAUGAAAUAAAAGCUAUGGGAUGGAGAUAUAAAUGGAUCAUUUUAUUCACAAUCGGAUUAUAUUUAUUUGAUACACUAUUGUCAAUAUGAAUGUUGAGAAAAAGACUACAAAAGAAAAAACAAUUUAUAAAUAUAACUAACAAUUCCAAUUUCAAUCAAUUAGACAAUUAGAUAAUACAUCAGUAAACGCGGGGUGACUCAGUGGUUAGAAACGAAUUUUAGGCUCGUAUUCUAUACAAUACGUCUUGGGUUCGAUUCCUGACAAUGGUGAAUCACGCGACGGUAGAUAUAGGGGUGUUGUUGGAAGUUUUGAGACUCAAGUCCUUUAUAUAGAUUUAGUGCUUUAGUUUAGUAAUUAGAAUAUGGGUCAUUUGGAAAUGGAUUGAAGGUUUGGGCCUUAUGGUUGUGUGGAUUAGGCUUGUAUAAUAUAGCCUAAAUACAAUUAAUAUUAAUUAAUCAAGACAAGGGCCUUGGGCCUUACUUGGGGCCUUGGAAUUUAAAAUUAAUCUGAUUCAUUAAUUUUAAUUUUCGGAUUAAGUUUUUAAUUAAUUUAUUAUUAAUUAAAAACGUUUUGAUUAAAAGACACAGCUCUUAGAAAAGAGUUAUGAACCUUCAAAUACACUGAACUGGUAUUUGAAAGGGUGUGAAACAACCUAUAUAUCUGCAAUCCAUGGUAUCCAAAUAAAUCAUCUUUUCUUCUUCCUUUUCUUCCGUACAAACUUUCCAGAGAGAGUAAACACACAAAGCAAUUCGCUAGAAUUCUAUAAUUUAGUGCGGGUUAUAGGAUUAGGUAGUUGUAUCCUGGUCGAGCAGACGUUAUAGAACCACAAGCACAAGAGUGGGACGGAAUUACUGUUCGAAUGACAUAGCUUUUACGUUAGCCUCUACCUUCUGUAAUCAAGUUAGUACCGUUGACAUUCUUAUAUUAAUUUCUGUAUUUAUUGUAUACUUUUCAUUUUGUAUAGCAAGUACCUUUUGUUAAAUAAAAAUUGUGAAUUUCAAGUUCUGUUUAUUUCUGUUAUUCUGUUUAUUUCUGAAUUGUUCUCCAACACCCCUAUAUCUACCGUCGCGUGAUUCACCAUUGUCAGGAAUCGAACCCAAGACGUGUUGUAUAGAAUACGAGCCUAAAAUUUAUUUCUAACCACUGAGUCACCCCGCGUUUGAUUAUAUUUCACUUAGACUUAUCUUGCGGUAUAGCAUGUCAUCCCCGCCCAAGUUUUUCUGUUGGCAUUGAGUUUGGGAUACCAAAACUUGCCAAACAAAGUAGAUUGAUUAGUAAGCGAAGCUAAUUAUUCGACUAAACAUUGUUUAGAAUUUUAAUUAAAAGAAACAAUAUGAAUCUGUUUAUUUUUUUUUUUGACAAACUAUAACGUUAAGGAGUUAAAUUGUUAGUUAUUAAGAGUACAAUGAUAGGUGAGGAUCGAACCUCCACCAGAGUGCAUAGACAUUAUUGGUUCUACAACUGCGGUAAAUCACAUAAAACAAAACGUAAUACUUUGAGGAUGGAAGACACUUCGUGGAUAGCGGGCAAUCAACACUAUCAGUUGCUAUCCAAAACUUGGAAUUAUGUUUAUUGUCCGAAGGAUUUUUCUUCCAUUAAAUUGCUAAGGAAGAUGAGGAUGGGUGGAGUGUCUAAAUGUCAAGGUUGACAAGAACGUGUAUGGUGUUCAGCUUGCGAUUGAGAUUUGUUAGAGUGGCACAACAAACCACAUAAAAUUUUCUAAAUGAUAAGCUUGAGUAUAAUUUUUUAUCACGUAUUUAUCUUUAAAAUCAUUAUAAUUAGAUUUUCUCUUAAUUAAUAUAGACCGUUAGAUUCAUCUAAUGACCCAAGUUUUUUUCCUCUUUUCUUUCCACUCUUUUCCAUUCACCGUGUAGCAGUCGUUCUUCCCCAACUACGUUUCUUAUUUUUCUUCACAAAAAAUUUGUAGAAAAUAUUAAGAAAAGAAAAGUCAUCAAUAUCAGACUCGACCAGGUAAUCGUUCCAACCUUCCCAGCAACUCUCAGUCUUAACUAGGCACCAAAUUUUCUCCGCCACCUAACUCGUCAUUCAUUCAUGGGUGUUUCAAGCUUGGUGAAAAUUGAUAGAGUUCCAUGUGUGUACACGGAUGUGAACAUAUUGGCCACUCUCUAAGAAUGAGUCAUUGGAAAAGUUGAAGGAAAGAUGUAACCGAUGAAAUUAAUGGAUUGGAAUUACAAUGAAGUCUGUGUUGGUUUAUCACAAAGAACCCAGAUACAAAAUUUUAAAAGCAAACAAUUUCAACUUCUCAAAUAUUAUCUAACAAACUUUCAAUGAAAUGUUGCUCAUAAUUGAAAAAAGGUUGACGAAGGACGGAGUUGGGGUUAUUUUAGAUGAGGAAGAGUUAAAAGAAGGAAGCACCAUUUAAUUAAUAAAAGUGAUUGGAGAAAUGGUAAUUCAAUGGUGGGCGUUUUUAAGGUGUGGACCUUGUAUCACACCCUGAUCCCAACAUACAUUGAGGAUCGACACGUGACAUGGGGACAUAGGGGACAAAAAUCUUACAUAAGAUACAGAAUGAAAUACUAUAUAAUAUCCCAAAAUGAAUAUGAUAGUGGGUUCACCCCUAUAAAAUACAUACGAGUUUGUACAUUCACAAAAAAAUAAAAAAAAUAAAAAUAAAUAAAAAUAAAAAACACACACACAACUCUCGCUAGGCCAAGACUUGCCCAUGGUGCUCAAAGGAAAGUCCCAAAAGAAAUAGUACAAUGAAGGAUAAAGGGGUAACCUAAACACUCCAAGUCUCUGAUCUCUGCACUGCUACCCCCACCGGCUCCUCGUAAUCUACUCAGACCUGUCACAUGUACAAACAGUGCCUACAUUGUGGGAAUGGUGCACCAGGCAAACAAAAACCCGGAUAAGCUGCAAAACUCGUGUGAGUGACAAUAAUGCAACGUAUGUGAUAAUCAAGAAAAACAGACCAUCGAUCACAGUUUAUAAAUCUCAAAUAUAACUUCAUACUUAUGAAAUCAUAAUCAAGUCACUGAAAACUUCGAAUGAGUCACCCAGACAUCUAACGACUUUUCUAAAUCAAAUCUCAGAGAUUCCCAAAACUAUCGUUCACAAAUACACUAAAAACUAGGGCUAGAGUGACACAGUUCAGCCAAAGCCUACAUAAGUAACCAAAUAAGAAGUGGCCCCCCAUAGCGGAUUAACCAAGCAGAGCCACUCCUGAGAAAGUAACCAAGUAGGUAGUGACCCCCAUCACGGAUUAACCAAGCAGAGUCACUCCUACGAAACUGUUAGGUAGUGAUCACCCAUUACGGAUUAACCAAGCAUGAUCACCCCUAAGCACGUAUGGCCAUACCUAAGAAAUAAGGAUCGCCCAUCGCGGAUUAACCAAGCACGAUCCAAAAAUAUUAUGGGUCCCCUAUCGCCGAUUAACCAAGCAUGACCAUCCAUGUACCACUGCUACAUGGUGUAAAUUCGGUGUCACCUAACCUCGUGACACUAGGGUAACGGUCCUCUAGUAGCCCUCACGUUUUUCAAACAUUUCAAAUAUAUAAUUUAAAACACAAUUCAUAAACAUUUCGAAUAGGGAAGUCACAUAGUGUUUAAUAAUGUAGGUCAAUGGCAAACUUUAAAAACAAUUAUUUAGCAUAAAACAUAUUUUAGAAAUCCAUGCUGUAUCCACAAAGUAUACUAGCACGGGAGAUUUUCAGGGUAAUAACUCUAUCACAUAUAUUAAAGUCACUCACCUGGAGUCCGCACUAACGCACCCUGGCACGAAUAUCAAGACGUCGCGUACUAUCAUCUGCAACAUCCCACAUCGACCAACGAAGAGGGGGUGAUGUGCCUUCUAUGUACAUGCCCACCUCCAUAGCAUGAGGCAUUUUGGGAGCUCACUGGCUUCAUAUUCCAUCGGAACUCCAAAGUUAAGCAAGUUUGGGCGAGAGUAGUCCCAGGAUAGGUGACCCAUUGGAAAGUUAUUGUGUGAGUCCUAGAAACAAAACCGUGAAGGCGUGGCCCGAGGGGGCCCAAAACGGACAAUAUUGUGCUACGACGGAAUCGAGACUGAGAUGUGACAGAAUGGUAUCAGAGCCACUCUGCCGUGUGGUGCGAGUGUGCCGACGAGGACGUCGGGCCCCUAAGGGGGGUGGAUUGUAACAUCCCACAUCGACCAACGAAGAAGAGGUGAUGUGCCUUAUAUGUACAUGCCCACCUCCAUUUAGCACGAGGUCUUUUGGGAGCUUAUUGGCUUCGGGUUCCAUCGGAAAUCUGAAGUUAAGCGAGUUCAAGCAAGAGCAUUCCCAGGAUGGGUAACCUACUGGGAAGUUCUCGUGUGAGUUCCCAGAAACAAAACUGUGAGAGCGUGGCCAGGGCCCAAAGUGGACAAUAUCGUGUUAUGGCGGAGCCGAGAUUGGGAUGUGACAUUGUCACCUAAGACAAAGUACAGAUCCACAUUUAGAGUUCUUCAAGUAUUCACAUAAUAAAAAAUUUCCAUACGCCCCCUACAACUAAUGAACAGAAAUCGAGACACGUUGACAAAAAGUCAACCGUCGAUCAACGGUAGGGUCCACAACCCUACAUAACUCGAUCCGCAAUAUCCAACCACUGUAUUUGUGAUUCAUAAGUUCAUAAGGUCUUCAAAUCCUACCUACAAUAACAUACUAAACUUUGGUGAUGAUCUAAUGGUCGAAUCAUCAUUUGCUAUAAUGUUCAAAUGACGCAAAUUCAUCAAUCAGAUGUCAAAUAUGGAAUCAGACAUCGAAUUUAGCUUAGGAAUGUCAAGUGGUGUCUCGAGCACGCACCGCCGUGCGCAACAGCUGGCAACCUAGAUUCGUCGGAAAAAUCACCUAAUUCCAAAAUGAAUGUUGUGAGACGUGGAGUAAAUUGUAUACCUGUGAAGAAGCCCAAUUUGGCCGGGAAGUGGCCUGAAAUCACUUUAGACCGUCGGAAACCCUAAAAUAGGUGAAUCUCGAUUCGUCAUCCCCGGUAUUCCACCGUUCUCAAACUUGUUUAGGGUUUGCUCAUGGUCUCAAAAGAAUGCUAAUGAUGGUGGUGAUUGAAAGAGAACGUUUCAGAAAUAGUGAAUCACCAAUGAGGGUUUCACGAAACCGACAUGGGUGUUCCUCGUGGAACCAAGACCAAAUCUCAACGGUUUUGGCUAGAAAUGGAUGCUGGGAUGUCAUGGUGAAGUUUGGUAGUGAUGGGAGGUUGAAGAAAGACAAAAAAAAUCGACAAAAAAAUCGUCGUCGGAGUCGCAAGAAACGAGUUAGAAAAAUGAGUCGUCGGGUCUGAAACGUCGAAGGCUUUUGAGACAACUACUUACUCUCUCUUCUCUGAUUAGUCACUCCACUCACUCUCUCAUUUGAUUGGUCCAGCCUUCCCACAUGGUGGGAGUUCCCUCAUAUAGUAACCCAAAAUUUACUAUUUAAAUCUGGUAUUGAACGUCCGUAACUUUUUCGUUAUGGUUUCGAUUCGCAAACGGUUUUCACCUAUGCGCUCGUAUGAUCGAAUUAUACUCAAAAACAUUAAUUAUGACCUCGAAAAGGUCUACGAGUUUUAAAAGAUUAAUUACAAAAAUUCACACCUUGUAACUAUACGAUUCAAAUCCUAAAAUUAACGGAAUUAAAAUAAACUAAAAAUAAUGUAAACACGAAAUACAGACUUUAAUAAUGAAAUACGUAAUUAAUAGUGGAAUUCCGGGGAUGGGAUUUCACAACUUGCGUCCGGACCUUCAAUGCGGAUCAAAAUCCAAAGGUCGUGAUCUGACGAGCUCAUGCAUAGAACAGAGUUGUUGUGACCCAAUGCAAUUCAAAACUUUUAUGUUUUUUUAUUUACUGGGUACGUUUUUUAUUUACUGGGUACAUUUUUGCAAGACGUUAAAGAAAGCGCUUCUUGGGAGGCAACCCAUGUAUUCAAAAAAGGAAGAUCUAUGAAUCGCUCUACAAUUAGUUUUGCGUUUCUAAAAACCUUCCCUUUUCUGCAUUUCUAUUUUGCCAUGAUUGUCAUUUUUUAUUUUUGUUGUUUAUUUAAUUAUUUUUGGGUGUGGGUUUAUUUUUGAAACAUUGACAGAUAUGCAAGAUAUUCUUACAUUCAUUUUCAUGAAAAAAAGAAAAGGGAACAUUAAGCAGGAAAUUACAAGAGGGAGCCUUCACAAAGGCUGCUUAGGAGAAGUCUCAGUAGUCGGCGGAGCCCCAGAAGAAGGAGGCAGCGGAGGUUGAUCAUUUGGAGCUUCAGUACGCGGUGCAGCCCCAGAAGACGAAUGCAAAUGUUGUUGGAACAAACCCACAAACCGCUGAUGAUCAAGUAAAAUCUGACAAUCAGAUUCCUGCAUCUGGUCAAUCUUCCUCUUCAUGUUUGUAGCAUAAUUAUGUGCGAGCCUGUGCAACUGUUUAUUCUCAUGCUUAAGCCCUCUAAUCUCCUGCUUAAGACUCAUCACUUCAGCCGCCAAUGAUUCAACUUGACGGGUUCGGGCAAAUAGGCGUUGGGCCAUAUUAGACACGGAACGUGCGCACUGCACACUGAGAGCUAGAGAAUCCUUUACAUCCAACUCAUCAGACCGUUUGGCAAGUAGUCUAUUAUCUUUGGGAGUGACAGGGUUCCUGACCACCACCGCAGCUGUCAUAUCAUUCUUCAUCACCGAAUCCCCAACGAUAAGGGGACCAGUAGGGGAUAUGAAGGAUGGGCGCCAUAUGUUGUCUGGAGAAGGCGGGACUGCCUCUUCACCAAGGUUCAAGUCAAAACGACGAUCGGAUGGGCCAAACAUUUUCACAGGUGUUAAAGAAAGAAGAGGUCGGACAAGUCAAGAUCGUAGAAGUGCAAGAUGAGAGUUUUUACAGGCAGAAAUUCAAGUGUGCUUUGAACGUCCUACGUACUUCUAUAAAAAUCAGCACUCGAUGGGAUUUCAGAGAUCGAAGAGGCAAGCUCAGAAAUCGAAGAGGCCAACUAAAAAAAUUAAAGAGGCGCUAGCUUUCUCAAAAGCUGAGCUUGCUCAGAAACCACGGCCAAUCUUCUUUUCCAGAUUUGUCCGCACUUGUCACAUGCAACUCGACGGGAUUUCAGAGAUCGAAGAGGCAAUUCCAGAUAUCGGAUAGGCAUCUGCUUUUGCAGACGUGUCAACAUCUGUCACAUGCAGAGUAAGCUUUGCGAAAAUCACGGGCAGUUUGUGAAGCGCCGAUUCCAACCAUCUGCUUUUGCAGACGUGUCAACAUCUGUCACAUGCAUAGUAAGCUUUGCGGAAAUCACGGGCAGUUUGUCGAAGCACCGAUUCCAACCAUCUGCUUUUCCCGACGUGUCAACAUCUGUCACUUGCAGAGUCAGCUUUACGAAAAUUACGGGCAAUCUGUCGAAGAUCUCUUGUGAAGUUUACUAUUAAAUCAUCCAACGGUUGCUGACAAGAGUGAAAGAAUAGUACCGACUAUUAAUUCCUAUAAAUGUCAUCCUUCACCCUCAAUUGCAAGGCAGACAUACAUAACCCCCUUCUUCUCAGAAAAUGCCUUUCCAACACACCCUCUCGAGUCACUCAGUGUUCCUAAUUCCUUGGGGUACCUCUGCAAACAACUCAUCCAAAGCAAAAGUAUUUCAUAUCAUGAAGGUUGAAAGCAAGAGUAUCUCAUAUCAUGCUUUCUCCCUGUCCUUCUCCUUGUCUUUGUUUUAGGACAAGGAGAAAGAGAGCAAUCAGCCAGCACUUGGUAUCAAUCUUCCGAUCUGGAACCGACUGCCUGGAACCCCUUCCUGAUUGCUUACCUAGCCUUGCUCUCGAGAACUCAUCUUCAUCAUCUUAUGCUUCCUCUUCGUCUACCACAUCUGCCUGGGGAACAGAUAAGGGAAGUGAAAAUGAUACCUCGAAGCAUGUGGAAACAAUUUACCAAUUCAUCCUUAGCUAGGGACAAGGAGAAAAAAAGCAAGAGGUGGGCACUUGGAAAGAUUGAAGAAAGAAACAGACCAACACCUCUACCUCAUGCCUGCCCGCCGUGCAGAAGAAUCAAGCAGAGAAGAAUACAGACUGCACAAUCAAAUCAGGGAACUCUCAUAUUUCUCGCUCAGAAUUCCAAACCAGUUCAAGAUCAACGCUGUGGAAAGUCAACAAGAUCAUCUAUCUCCAAAACCAGAUUUGCGUUCUUAAACUCUACUCUGUCUGGUUUUUACUUUGCUAUACUUGUCAUGUUUAUUCGUUGUUUGUUUGUUUGCUUGUUGUUGUGUGAGUUUAUGUUUAAAACAUUGAGGACAAUGUUUGAUUUAAGUGUGGAGGGAUAACCAUUGUUUUGCAUGAAAUUCGUAGGAGUUUAUCACCCAUUACUUCUAGUGUUGUUCCUUGCUGUUUUAAGUGUUUUAAGCUGUUUUGGAGUGUUUCAGUGUGUUUUGACAUAAAAAUCCGAAAAUCUCAUAAAAAUUUGAAAAAUUGUUUUGAAAAACCAAAAAAGAGUUGUUUUUGUAUGUUUAUUUGUGUUUUAGGGUACCUUCCAACACAAUGAUGAGGAUUUGGUUUUUAAUUACAUGACUGUUAAAGAGAAUUAUAAACAUGGAUGAAAAUUUGAUUUACUCUUUGGUGUAUGCUUGGUUGUGGUUAUAAUUUAUGAAUUCACAUGCAAUCAUAAAGGAAAAAUCAAUUUUGUAACAUGCUUGAAAGAAGGAACUCAAAUGUACGCUACAACCUUGUGAGACUUGAGCCUAGACGUUUAUUUGGAGAGUUAAUAAUGUGCAUUUUUGUUUUCUAAAGUCGUUGUAUGAUCUCAUUAUUCUUUGCUUGGUUGCUACCUAGAAUGCGUUCAUCAUUAUAGAUCCACAUACUAGAACUCAUGCCCGUUCCAUUCAAAGCAUGACAUUAAUUUGCAUAACACAUAUCCAAGAUGAAGUUGUUUAGUGAACCAAAGCCAAAAUAGCCGAACCCACCUUUGUCAUUUGUUUUGUAGGUUUAAACCCCGUUGAGCCUUGUUUAGCCUAUUUUCUUUGUUAAACCACAUCAUCUCUACCUAACCUAGAAUAGGACUAUCCAUACCCUUGUUCUUGAAGUAUAGUGGAGCAUAACUUAGAAAGAAUUCAUUUUGAAACUUAUUGGGGGAAUUUAGAUUUCAAAUUUUUUGUGUGCCAAAGAAAACGGCAAGAGAAAAAAUUCGUGAAAAAAAAGAAAAAAGAAAAGAAAAAUUUGCAAAUUUUCCUGUGUUUAAAAGUAGAUGCCUAAAUUAACCCUUACAUUAAUUUUCCUUGAAUAAUUUCUCAUUCCAUCUAAUUUAGAUCCAUCUUGCUCACUAUUCUUUUUAAAUUUGUGGAUUUUGAAAUUUCAAAUGAGAAUGAAAUUGGAUGAGUUCAAUUUUCGUUUAAUUCUUACAAUUAAUAAGAAAUUCCGUCGAAAACAUUUUGAGUAUUGUUUAAUUUUUCAAUAUUACCGUAUUGUGUCAUUGAAAUAAUUAUCAGAGGAAUUAGGGAAUUCUCUUAAGGAACAACUCAAAAUGUAGUACAUGAUUAAAUAAUUCCUUUGAAUGGUCAACUAUGAUCAACAUAUCUUGUAUCAGAUCUUAGUCAAAUACCUGUUAAGAGUGUAAAUUUCUUGUGUGAAAAUGAGUGUAUCUAGUAAUUUUGGCAUUAGGAUGUUACUACAUUCUCAAAAUGCUGUUUUUUGAUUAAAUGAGCUGUGAGGUACUAAUCAAAUAUGCUCGAGGGUAAGAAUGGCUUAAAUUAUGUGAGUGGUGAUCUGGUUCAUGUUUCAUUAAAAAUCCCUGAGGCAAAUGUUGGAAGAUUUAGGUUAUGUUUUGUUUGUUUCGUUUGUUUUGUUUUGCUCGAGGACUAGCAAAAGCUAAGUGUGGGGAAUUUGAAUUUGAUAGGAGCAUUAUUAUGCGACUGAGUUAGCUUGUUCUCAUGCAUUUAUGUUGUUAUUUCUUAGUUAAUUAUGUAUUUUAAGCUAUUUUCGUGUGUUUGUAGGUCCAUAGGCCUUAUAAAGCAAUAAGGUGCAUUUUGGAGCAGUUUUGGGCUUGGAAUGGAUAGCACAUGCAUGGAGUAAGGUGAUGGACGAAAUUGAAGACUAAAGAGGCUUGGAAUGUGUUAAAAAGAAAGAAUAAUUAAUGACAAAGAGCUCAGCAACCAAACAGGGAACAUGAGUCAAGAUUACCUUAUUUUGAUUUAAUCUUUCCUAAUCUUCAAUGUCCCUAAGUUCCAACAACAUUCCUUGUCUAUUUCAUUCACUCAUUGCCUAGCACCACCCUUGUUCCCUCCAUCAUUCCAAAUUUCUUGCAUCAAUCAUCACUCCACCUUAACCCUUGACUCAUUUCUACACCAUUCCACCUCCCUUUCCUUUCUCUACCAUGUGCACAAUCAUUCAUGUUCCCUACUUGCAUUCAUUGUUGCAACACCACUCCAUUUUACCCCUCAUGCUUUGCAUCAUUACUUCACUUUCACCUUUGAAUCAUUUCAACACCACUUCAUUUUACCCAUGGUUUGCAUCAUUACUUCACUUUCACUUUCACCUUUGCAUCAUUACUUCACUUUCACCUUUGAAUCAUUUCAACACCACUCCAUGUCCCCCUCCAUUGCCUUGCCCUUCCUCUAUAAAAGGAAGUGUGUGUAACAUAAAUUUAGUUCAUAUAUUUUUUUAGAUCAUUCACUCCCAUUUCAAUACAACCUUCAUCCAAACACAUUCAUUCAUCUUCACAUCCAUUCCUCCAUACAAACAAACCUUCAAACACUCACCAACACCUUGUGCCAUAGCAAAGGAAGGAAAGGAAAAUGCUUGGACGUGCGUGCUGUCAACUUGGAUCGUUGGAGCGUUUAGGUGUUUUCUUUCUUUUGUUUCCAAUGUUAAAUUCAUUUUCUGAUUUUGUUGCAAUUAUGAGUGGCUAAAACCCUAUUUAGUUAGGGGGAAGUUUGAAGCCAUGAACAUGCUUGAGAUAUGAAUUGAUUUCUUCCAAUUGUGAUUUGAUAAGUUGUGAUUGCAAUUCAAUUAUCUAUUUUAUUCAUAACUGAUUCUUGUAUGUUUAUUAAGGAUGCAUACUUAAUUUUCAUGCAUGAAUUAGAUGCUAGAAUAUAAAUGAGUUUCACCUAAUCGUUACAAGUUUAUAUUCAUGAGUAGUGAAGGUUGUUUAUCACAAUCUGACACACCCCGUCCCGAAGGAGGGCGUGCUGGCCGUCACGUGAGAGUGACGUAACCAUUUACACAGUUCGGAAGCUUUAAAAAAAAAUUCCAAUUACUAAUAUAACACACCCGAGGGUGAGUCCUACUUUUGUGAAUUCUGUCAGAACACCGUUGGAUUCCUCGUGGCCACCAAAGCUCUGCUAACUUGAACCUGGGGCGCAAAACAAAAGCUUGAACUUGAACCUUUCAGGCGCAAAACAAAAGUUUUUUCGAAAACUUUUCAUUUAAAACAUUUCUAACCCCUCACUGUAAAACCUGUAUACUUUCCCAGAAAAUAGUGUAUAUAUAAACAUAUAUAUAAGCAAAAAUCUCGAAUCUCAAACCUUUAACACUUUUCAGAAAUAUAUAUAUAUAUAUAUAUAUAUAUAUAUAACCAUUUGAAAUCUCAAGACUUGAAUCCCAAAUCUUUAACAUUUUUCAAGAAAAGCAUGCCAUGCCAUAAAUCAAAAAUAUAAAUCAGGUGAAAUAAGGAAUCAAUCGGAGACCCUGCAGUUGGUCCUAUACGAUUAAUUCAAUAGCUCAUUAUCUCACUAAGCCGGAGUCACCACAGUAACCUAUACGGCCCUACUCUGCACAUCACUCAGAACUACGUAAGGUAGUCUAUACGAUGAAAGGUGUAAAAAUACGCUCUAGUGCUUCUCUCAUCAUAUCAUCAGCGCGCAUAACUAAGAUCACCCACUAGUCGGAAUCACGCCUAGUGAUCUAUACGACUAGCAUGUCGGAACCCUCACAUGGUCUGUACGACAUCCACCUACUUGGAUCCAAGGCGAGCGUGCGGUGUGGUGAAUAAAAUAAGCACUAACACCUAGGGUGCAGGUUAUGAGCUUAAAACAUCUUAUCAACAAUCAAUUAAAUGAAUAAAUGAACUCACCUGACUUACCUGUGCCUCCACCGCACCAUGCAACAUGUAUGCAUCAAAUAUCAAUUCGUAUAACUCAUACGCAAUUCACAUUUUUCAAUUAAUUCUAUGCAUGGCAUUUUUAAAACAUAUUUUCAUAUAAAUUCAUUUUAUGGGAAAAAUCAAUAGUAUAAAGGUAAUACAAAAACAAAACUGCCCACUCACCUGGAGUUCGCCCAACAACUCCCUAGCACCACACAUCAAGGCGUCAUGAAGAUUAGUGCCUAGAACAAUAAUCAAACCCAACCUCAGAAAUCAUGCCGAUAGAAUACAUAACUUAUAUAAGACGCGUCCCUACGUAGUUCGAUCCGGAUGAUCUGCAACUCGGAUUUCAAAUCCGUAACUUCCAGAGGUCCACAAUAUACCUCUAGGACAACAUCCUAAAAUUUCAUUACCAUCCAACGGUCGGAUCUCCGUCAAUUUCCAAAACUAAGUGCCGGUUAACAUUCUAUUUUAUGAACUUACAACUCCAAUUCCGGAAGAUCCGUAAAUCGGAUUCCCAAUCCGUAAGUUCCUAUAAUCCUCAAAUAUUACGUAUUACAACGUAUCAACGUUUGGUGACGAUCCAACGGUCGGAUCGUCAAUUCACAUUUUCACCUAACUACGAAUCGUAACCAACUUAGGUUCAAUUACUCAAUUUACGUCCAUCAAUUAUCAAAACUGAACCUAGAGCCUUAAUCACAUGCUAAUAAUGACAUUGGCGGGCCAUUGGCCAUGCGCCGCCGCGCGGGCCGCCGCGGGUGGCGGUUGGCCGCCCCCGGCUCGCCGGAAAAUUCAACUAUUUCCAAAAAUUACCAAAAUUUGCAGAUUUGAAGAUAUCAAUGAGUAGAACAACUUUCAUACCUGUGGCCAAGGCCAAUUUGGCCUGGAAGUGCUUCAAUUUCACCAAAACCGUGAAGAACCCUAGAAUUAGGUGUUUCCAAUUCGACCUUCAAACUUGUUCCAACGCCUCAAUUACCUCUUAGUAUUUGUUCUAGGUCCUAAAGGAAUGCUAAUGGUGUUAGUAAUUGAAAGAAAACAUUUCAAAAUUUCAAGAAUUUAAACAAAAGGGUCGCGGCACCCGUGUGGGUGUUCUUCGCGAAAUCACCAUGAAAUUUAAUGAUUCUUGGGGUGAAACGUGAAGAGGGAAGGCCUAGAUGUUGAUUAGGAGUGGUACCUUGACUCAAUUCGUCGGAAAUUUGGACGAAAAUGGUGAGAACCCGCCGAUUGGAAGUCGCGGGUCGCACGGGUAUACGGGUUGGGAAAACCCAUUUCUUCCUUCUCUCCUCCGCUUCUCGCCCUCUCUCCUUUCCUCCUUUCCUUCCUCUGGUUGGUCAGCUUCUCCCUCUCUCUUCUUCUGAUUCGCCUCUCCUCCUUCUUCUCCGAUUGGGCAGUUUUUGCCCAAUCUCUCUUCUUCUUUCUGUUUUCUGGUUCUUCUCACGCGCACACACACACACAACUUCCUUUUUCUCAUCCCAGCCAUCUAUUUCAUUCAUCAUUAAAUCUGGGUCGUCCAUUUUCAUAAAAGAAUUUCUAUUUUACUAAAAUUAUAAUUCCUUAAAAUCCCAAAUUUCAAACGUUAAUAACUUCUUCGAUAUAACUCCAAAUCACGAACCGUCUACGCCCACGCGUCCGUAACGACGAGUACUACGAGGAUAUGUCAAGAAAACAAAUCUUAGAUGGCACGACACAACGAUUAACCUCGAAUGAUGUGCGUGCCUCAAAGGGCAUUUUUGUAAAAUCCUUUAUGAAAACUUUAAAAAUUCUUAAAAUUAGGGACGGGCUGUCACACAAUCGCGUUAAUUGAAUUCUUGGCAAUUGUAUCAUGCAUUCAUAGUUAUAAUUGUCUCGUCAACACUUAUGAUUUUCAUUGAACGUAAUGAUCUCUGAUUGUAUCUCUAUUAUGCAUUAAUAUAGGGGACUUUUAGAGGAUGAUUUGGGUUGUCGCAUGCAUUCAUCCAAUUCAAUGAGUAAAGGAAAAUCUGAGGGUUAAUUUGUGCAUCACGGUUAAUCUGGGUGUUGAGCAUAAUAGUUUAUUGAAAAGCAAUUGGAAAUCGAUUCAUGUACAAGUGUGUCAUGUGUGAAGAACGGACCUCUAACUAAUCCAUCCAUCAUUUUAUUUCUCAAAUUCAUUUUAUAAUCUGCCUAGUUUUAUAACUUGCUUGUUUAUUUCAAAUUCAUCCAAACCAAAAUCCCCUUUUUACUUUCUUGUUUCAAAGUGUUAAAUUUCUGUUUUGUUUGUGUUUUUGAGUGUUUUGAUUCAAGCCAAAACACUAAAUUCAUCCAAAGUUGAUUUAAAGUCCAAAUCUGACUAGUUUGUGUUUUUAGGCAGUUUUGAGUGUUUUUAAGUUGUUUUGAAUCUUUAGAAUCUGUUUUGAGUCCCUUGAGUCUAUUCAAACAUUUUUAAUUUUGUUUUUAUGUUUUUGAGUCAGUUUAAAGGUUUUAGCAAGCCCUCCUAAUCCCCGGUUUAGAACGAUCCCUACUUGCAUUUAUACUACAAUUUGACAACAAGAGGGUUUAAUUUGAGUGCUUAACUUUCAUCGCAUCAUGUGAGUUCCCAGAAACAAAACUGUGAGGGCGUGGCCAGGGCCCAAAGCGGACAAUAUCGUGUUAUGGCGGAGCCGAGAUUGGGAUGUGACAUUGUCACCUAAGACAAAGUACAUGUCCACAUUUAGAGUUCUUCAAGUAUUCACAUAAUAAAAAAUUUCCAUACGCCCCCUACAACGAAUGAAGAGAAAUCGAGACACGUUGACAAAAAAUCAACCGUCGAUCAACGGUAGGGUCCACAACCCUACAUAACUCGAUCCGCAAGAUCCAACCACUGUAUUUGUGAUUCAUAAGUUCCUAAGGUCCUCAAAUCUUACAUACAAUAACAUACUAAACUUUGGUGACGAUCUAAUGGUCGAAUCAUCAUUUGCUAUAAUGUUCAAAUUACGCAAAUUCGUCAAUCAGAUGUCAAAUAUGGAAUCAGACAUCAAAUUUAGCUUAGAAAGGUCAAGUGGUGUCUCGAGCACGCGCCGCCGUGCGCAACAGCUGGCAACCUAGAUUCGUCGGAAAAAUCACCUAAUUCCAAAUGAAUGUCGUGAGACGUGGAGUAAAUUGUAUACCUGUGAAGAAGCCCAAUUUGGCCGGGAAGUGGCCUGAAAUCACUUUAGACCGUCGGAAACCCUAAAAUAGGUGAAUCUCGAUUCGUCAUCUCCGGUAUUCCACCGUCCUCAAACUUGUUUAGGGUUUGCUCAUGGUCUCAAAAGAAUGCUAAUGAUGGUGGUGAUUGAAAGAGAACGUUUCAGAAAUAGUGAAUCGCCAAUGAGGGUUUCACGAAACCGACAUGGGUGUUCCUCGUGGAACCAAGACCAAAUCUCAAUGGUUUUGGCUAGAAAUGGAUGCUGGGAUGUCGUGGUGAAGUUUGGUAGUGAUGGGAGGUUGAAGAAAGACAAAAAAAUCGACAAAACAACCGUCGUCGGAGUCGCAGGAAACGGGUUAGAAAAAUGAGUCGCCAGGUCUGAAACGUCGAAGGCUUUUGGGACAGCUACUUACUCUCUCUUCUCUGAUUAGUCACUCCACUCACUCUCUCAUUUGAUUGGUCCAGCCUUCCCACAUGGUGGGAGUUCCCUCAUAUAGUAACCCAAAAUUUACUAUUUAAAUCUGGUAUUGAACGUCCGUAACUUUUUCGUUAUGGUUUCGAUUCGCAAACGGUUUUCACCUACGCGCUCAUAUGAUCGAAUUAUACUCGAAAACAUUAAUUAUGACCUCGAAAAGGUCUACGAGUUUUAAAAGAUUAAUUACAAAAAUUCACACCUUGUAACUAUACGAUUCAAAUUCUAAAAUUAACGGAAUUAAAAUAAACUAAAAAUAAUGUAAACACGAAAUACAGACUUUAAUAAUGAAAUACGUAAUUAAUAGUGGAAUUCCGGGGACGGGAUUUCACACCUUGCAUCCGGACCUUCAAUGCGGAUCAAAAUCCAAAGGUCGCGAUCUGACGAGCUCAUGCAUAGAACAGAGUUGUUGUGACCCAAUGCAAUUCAAAACUUUUAUGUUUUUUUAUUUACUGGGUACGUUUUUGUAGGAGGAAAAGGGGAAGUCGAGAGAUUCUUUGCGCAUUAAAGAGGGAAAGAGAGAAAGGGGGAGCUAAGAGGUUCUUCGCGCGUUAAAUUUUUGCUUCUGAUUUUGCAACCUAGAAAUAAAGUAUUUUCUUUAUGGUUUAUGGUUCAAGAAUAUAAUGGAUACAGCCUAAAAAUGUUUCUUUUUUUAUUUUUUACUUUUUUUUUCUUAUGUUGGCUUUUGGUUUAUUUUUAUAAUGCACUAUAUAUUAACUAAAUUUAUAAACAUUUUGUAUCUUUGUUGCAGUCAAAUUAAUCAUAUGGGUCGGCAUGACGAAGUUCGACUGAGACAUACAGAUGUUUUGCAAUCUUAAGUCUAACCUGACACACCCCGACCUCAAUAUCUAGUGGACACCAAAAUUGAGGUGUGAUGGCCAUCAUCCGGAUGGGUGAUGAAACCAUAAUAUGCAUGAAACAUAACUAAAUUAUCAACCAAUAAAAUCUAUUGAAAAAUUUGGCAGAACAUCCCUUAAAAUAGGGAUAUGCCCAAAUUAAAAACACUUGCACAUGAUCAAAAUUAUUCAACACUUCCCCGAAGGGCCACACUUAAUGGGACUUCGACCAUCUAUUACAUGCAUGAGAAUAUGUUCAGAGCAUAAUUACCCAAACACGUCUUAUUAAAAUAUUGAGUAAAUACCAUACAAGAUAGAAUACGUCAGAGCUGUUGCAAAAUACCUCAAUGUCCGAUGUAAUCACUGAUAGAAUUACUGAAUCAUGUAUAGAUGGAAAGCUGAUAAAUACAUGUAAUUUGAGUGGAUACUUACCAGCAGCAUGGAUACAAUAUCAUCCACCGGUCGUAACUAAUGACAAGCUGAGAGUAUAACUGUAGUACCUCUUAUUAGUGCAAUGCAUGAUAUGAAUUCCAUCUCACAUAUAUAUGCAAGCCAUAAUCAAACCAAUAAACAUCCAACAAAAGCCACAAUCCUUUUAACAUUCGACCACAAGAUCAAUUUUCAUAUUUCCCAAACCUAGGUUCCAAAGCAUUGUUUCGAAUUAUUAAUACAAGAAACCACCACCACCUCAAUCAACUCCUAUUCCCAAGUGUAAGCAAUUACUAAAUGCAUCACUUUCGACUCUAGUCUUAAUUAGAUUACUUGGGAUACUCAUUCACACCAUCAGAUCCAAGUACUAUUUUGAUAAACUUUAAAUAGCAUGGUUAAAAUAAAUGAAACACUUUUAGAAAAUAAGUGAAGAUGUUGUUUACAAAUAUAGAUGCAUCUGUAUAUAAAAGCUUUGGCGGUUGAUCCGUAUACACUUCCAAAGAUAUAAGCAAGUUCAUUGGAAUAUACAUGCAUAGUUAAUGUAUUACAGUAUAAUUAAUAAGAAAACAAUUGCAUCCCUUUAAGAAUAUAUAUAUAUAUAUAUAGACACACACACAUACAUACACACAGGCCCUUUAUGCAAAGGAAUUUCCAUUUUUUUUCAAAAAAUGGGGAUUAGUUGUGGGGCCCACGUUGCAUUGAACUUUAACGAUCCGAACAGUCUAUUUUGUAAGUCUCGAUUCAUAUAUCAUCCUUGUAAAAAUUCAAUUCAAUCCGAACCCAUUUGCCUAUUUAAUUAUCAAGAUAAAAUUUUAUUGUUUCUUAUAUAACAAAGUAUUCGUUAAUUUCUUUGAACUCAAUUAGAUAUCUUAAACAUUUCCGAUUUGGUUAAUAUUUUGUAAGGAUGAUCUAUGUGGUGCAACUUGAAAAAUAGACGAUUACGAUCGUUAAAGUUCGAUGUGGUGUAAACCCUACAAUUAAUCUUCAUUUUUAUAAAAGAAUGGGAACCCCUUCCCUUAAAGGUUUCCUAUGUAUAUAUUUGUUCUCCAGACAUAUGCAGAAGGUAAUGUAAAACUAAUGAGAACUUAAAUGGAUAUUCCAUACAUAGGACAAUUCCAUAUAUGCUUUUUCAACAUUUAUAUCGAAAAGCCAAAUUGUUUUGAGGAAAUUAAUUGUAGCAAUGAUCCCUUAACUUUUAUCUUAUUGGAACAAUGGUCUCUCAACUAAAAAUUCAUGACCAUUGGUUCCUUAACACCACACAACGUGUAGUUAUGGUCAUUUUCAUUAACUCCGUCAGAACUUUUGUUAAAACAAGUAAUGUUAGAAGAAUCAUUGCUACAAUUAGGUUAAAGUUGGGGACCAUUGCUCUAAUUAAAUUAAAAUUGAGGGAUCAUUUCUCCAAAUUGCUUAAAGUUCAAGGACCAUUUCUACAAUUUUCUCAUCUAGUUUCCCAUAUUUACCCCAUGAUUCAGCUUCACAUGCAUUGCACAUGACUCAUUUUGACAAAAAAUUUAACAAAAUUGACGAAAAUGACCAUAAAUGCACGUUUUGAAGAGUUAAGAGACCAAUGGUCGUGGAUUUUAGUUGAGGGAUCAUUGCUCCAAUUUGGUUAAAGUUGAGGGAUCAUUGCUACAGUUUUCUCAAAUGUUUCGUAUGCGAAAAUAGGCAUUUGUAAAGUUUGGCUUGUUUAUGGCAUUAUUACUUUAGUCUAAAGUAAGGCUGGGAAUGGCACUGUAGAAAUGAAUAGUGUUCCAAUCCGAAUUUCAGUUUAAUUACAACAAUGCCAUUGCUCUUUGUGUUGCCUUUAGGUGAGCAGCCCGGCUUGCAGUCAGGCCCAAAUGUAUUGGUUUUAGCUGAGAAGCCCGGCCCUUGGUCAGGCCCAAAAUUUUAAAUUACAGUUUUGCCCAUACAAAAUAACAAUCCGAUUGUAUCGGGAAGGACAAUUUUGUCCUUUCAGUUUUGGGUGAGAUAAGGGGUAACAGGGUAAGUUUCAUUUGCUGUCGUUUAAUGAGGGUUUCGGGGAUGAGGGCUCUGUGUGUGUGUGGAUGAGAGAGAGAGAGAGAGAGAGAGAGAGGGAGAUGGCGAUGGAAGGAGAGCGAGGGGGAAGGGAAGGGUUCUCGGCACUGUUGCUGCAUGUGGAUUUCACAUGUGGGAGAGUGGGUAUGGUCAGAGAAAACCAUAUAGGUCAUUGGGAUUUCAGGGAAACGGGGUAGGGGUCAUGAAUGAACUCUGCUGAGAGUGUGGGUACCGGAUCUUGCGCUGCAUGCCUCAAAUCAAAGAUAAGUUCGUUUUUUUAUUGUAUUUUUUGUGGUAGCUUAGCUUUUGGAAUUGUUUAGUAUGUUAGGUCCGAUUUUGGGGGAUUUAUCUUUUUAGAGAGAGAGAUGGACAGGGAGAUAGAGAGAGAGAGAGAGAGAGAGAGGAGGAGGAAGCAUGACUGUGUGCAAUUUUUGGUGUUAAUUAAUGGGUUGGUGCGUAGGGUGAGUGACAGAGUGACAGAGUGAAGGAGGGACGUGUGGGAGGGUAUGAGUUUUCAGUUCUUUCUUUUGAUUCAACAGGUUAUACAUUGUUUGAAAAACCUUUUUUUAUUAUUUUUUUCUCGUUUGCUUUGUUAAAACCAUCAUUUGAAUUUUUGGGUUUCACUGUGUUCAUUUCUCUGCUUCUUCAUAAUUUGCUGGUGUUUGCUUUUCAUCCCUCUAUUGGUAGAUCUUUUUCUCAUUUCUUGGUUCCUUAUGUAUUCUUUGGUACAAAUCUAUUUACUUUUUGGCUGUGUGAUAAUCUUAGCAGGUGAACUAUAUGAACGUUUUUUUUGAAACGAGUUAAGAAGAUCCAGCUGAAAAGAGCAUGCAAGAUAGAGAACUGGUAUGCUGCUCGCCAGGGAAAGGCUGCUGGAGAGGCUGAGACGGAUGCCUCCUUCAAAAACCAGGUCAGUUUCCUGCUACUCGGCGUCUUAAUGUAUCCAAAUUGUUUAUCUUUUGAUGAAAUUAGCUGGCUUUAUUUUCUAUUUUAUUUAUCUGCAUAUUAUUUUGGUUUGUUGAAAUUUUGACUAUAGUCAUUGUGUCACAUGGGCGCCCAGCCCAACCCAAAUUAGUUGAGGAUAUUUAAAUCUUCACCAUGGUAUUAUAGUACUCACUCACAGUUGUGAAUACUAAGGUGCAGGCAUGGCAUGAAGAAGUGGACCGUGCACGCCAAGGUCAGAGGGAUGCAGAGGGCAAACUUUUUUCUUUGGAGGUAAGUAUCCUUUGUUUAUUGCCCAACAGUGUUGUUAUUAUCAAUUUGUAGCUUUGCGUUCUGAAUUUUUUGCUUUGUCAAACAACCUUUUUGAAAUGCUCGAUUUCAAGCCGAAGUCCAAAAAAUGAGAGUUGAGAUGGCUUCCAUGAAGAGGGAUGUAGAGCAUUACUCGCGCCAGGUGAAAUCUGCUUCCUCUCUUUUCGUAUAUCUUCAUAUGAAGAGUUUUACUAAGUUAUAUUGAGAACUAUGUUAUUUAUAGGUUAUAUUUUCCAUUUUGCAAGAACACAUGGAGCUAAGGAAGAGCUAUCGUGAACUCACUGAUCUACUGGUAAUGUCACUCAAACUGCUUUAUUUGUGCAUGCUGCUACUAUGCGCUUGAAUGCAUUUUAUUACUGGCGGGAUGCGAAGAAUGCUAGAUAUAUGUGCUGGAUCGCUUGAUUAGUGUUAGGGUUUUAACAACUAAUUGUUAGCAGCUAGAAGCUCUGGUUAGAUGAAUGCUAAUUUGAUUUUCCUUACAGUACUUGAGUGCCAGUUUCAUAUUGUUUGUUCCCUGCUGGAUACAUGCUGUACAGUUUCAUUUCUGUUUCUUCAUAACUUUCUUGGCCCUGCGAUAUAUGCAUAUUGAGUACAAUGAAUAUCCAUUGUUCUCUAACUGUUGGGCUUUACUAUCUUUGUAGCAGCCUGCCUAACAUUUUUUAGGCUCUACACUCUACCAUCCAAUUUAUGAAAAAUUCAAAGAUUGGACGGUAUUGAUUGCAUAAAUGAAAAAAAUACUAUGAUAUUAGAAAGGUGAAUGUAAUUGUGUUAGAAGAAGCGUCUAGCAUGAUGGGUAAUAUUUUAAGUUUGUAUUUCUAAAAUUUUUUCGUUCUGGAGUAUGAUUUACCUCAAUUGUUUUGUACUUUAAUCUUUACUAAUUUUCAUUGUGGAGUAUGAUUUGCCUCAACUAACAACUUUUCAUUGUUUAACUUUUUCCUCCCUUAGAUAGUUGCAUAUGUUUGAUUUGUUAAUCUGCUUCUUACACAUGUUGUUUCCUAAUGGUGUAGGUGGAUUGCCGGAUGCAUGUGCAGAUUACUUGAAUAGACGAAGCUAAGAAUGACUUAGUAUUAAGUGAGAAAGAAGCUUGGGUCAGUUGGAUUUUGACAUUUGAUUUAUUCAUGUUUUUUUGUUGCUUGCAAUGUUCUCUCAUUGUUUGUUCUGAGAUUCUGUGAUCUUAUUUUUCAUAGGAACUGACAUUGGUUUGCCAUAUAAUGUUUCAGGAACUAAUACAACAACUAAUCACCUUGCUUAGGUCUCAAGACACAUACUUAACAGGUUAACAAACGCUAACCUAUAAACUUAUCUACUAAGCUGGACCAUUAACCUCUGUUUAUAUCCCUGCCACUCAUCUUUUGGCACUUAUCAAUAGCAAAAUCUAGAGUUGUUGAAACCCCAAUUUUAAUGAAUAUUAUUUUUAGUUGAUAAUUAAAAUUAAUUGAUGAUUAAUCUAUUCCAUUGUGCAUUAUUUUAUCGCCAAAUACUUUGAAUAUUCAUUAGCAAAAGAUAUAGGGUUCACUAUUUAAUGAAUAGAAUUUUGAUGGUGGAUUGCAUUUCCUGAGUUAUAAAUGUGGUGAAUCCAUUAUUUACUAGCUGAAUAAUCAUAAUGUUUUGGCCACUUACCUUGAAUUUUGUUCAAAUUGAAGAAGUCACAUGUUUCUUUCUGUUGUUGAGGUAAUCUCUCUGUUGAAAGCUUCUAUUUCUUUUUUCUUUUUCUUUUUUUCAUUUGGGUAGAUUUUUUUUUUAUGGAUUUAUGUAUUUUUUUUCUUCAGAGAAUUCGAAAUGAAAUAAGAAUAGCGGAUUGAGCAUAAACAAAUUGAUGAAAUUUUUAUUUGAGUGUUUGUGUUGGUCCUUUUUUGAUUUGUUGAGGUUUGGAAUUAUUUGAGUUUUUUUGCUGUUAGUACUGUGAAGGAUGCUUGGCAAUCGCGAAAUGGGGGCUACCUCUUUGGAAAGAGAAGUCUCGCUAUCCAACCUCUCAUGAAUUACAAACAGGGUGCUUUCUUGCUGAAAAACCACUGAAUCAGUAGAACUUUCCUCGGUUCUUCAAUUCGAUUCGAAUAAUUUUUUUACCCAGAAAAGCCAGCGUUUCCUGGUGAGUUUUACAGCUUUCUCAAUGUUUUUUUUAUUUUGGAUUUGCAAAUUUGUUUUCUGUUCAAAUUUCCUUUUGUGAUUUUGGAGGUUUUGUUUAUCGAUUCUCUCACUCAUCUCUCAGCUCUCUCCCACUUUUGAGGUACAUGUCGUUGGAUUCCGUUUGCUGCUGUUGAUCUGCAGGUAAAGCUUCAAUUACCAUACAAAGUUUACAUUUUUCAUGAUUUCUUGAAUUUGGGUUUUAAACAAAGGAAAUAUUGCUAGAUUCUUAUCUUAUGUGCAAAUUACUGGCUAUUUGGAUUGGUGCUUGAGAUUUAGAGAAUGUCUCGCAGCUUUAAUUUCUUUUUCCUUCAUUAUUACUGUUUUCAAAAUUUUUAUUGCUGGGUAUUGAUAAUUUGUAGUAUGUGAGGGCUUCAAUAUGUUGGAAUUUUGAAUGGUUAUUGCUUCAUCGGAAUUUGGGUGGUCCAAAUUUUGAAUUAGAAGAAACCCAUUUGAUUAAUAUUUUUGGUGGAUUGGUUCUCUGUGUUUUCUUUGCUAUUUCUCCCCCAGUUGGAAAUUGGAAGCCCCAACUUUGAGCUCAGAGCUUGAAUUUCUCAAUCGUUCGUUUCUCUACACUCUCAUCAGUCACUCUUGAUCCUCUAUCUAAAGAACUGGGUAAUUUUCCAGCUCUAUCAAGUAAUACUCAAUUUAAUUGCUUAAUUGAGGUUUUUUGUUUCUCUUUUUCGCUCUUUCAUCAGUUCAUUGGCUUUGAUGUUGAGCUUAAGUAAAUGGGAGAUCAUUAAUUGGCAUUGUUCAAAAUAUAAUUAUGUGUUUUUGGAUUUGUGAAACGAUUUGCCUAAUGAUGAUAGUGGUUAAAAUAAAUUUUUCGUUAUGAAAGAGAACAUUGUUCUUCAUUUGCCUACGGUUUUAACUACAAAGUUAAACUACUAUGCUUUUGUUCAAUUGAUUGCAACUCAUGCCGCAGUUUGCUUCACAAACCUCUAUGGUUAGCUUCCAUACAGUAUGUUGCAAGUUUGAGGAUAUCUUUACAUCUUAAUUUUUGCUCUCUCUGGUUGCUUCAAGUUUGUAAUUUUACGUGUUACAUUGCUACUUGAUUUGAUUAUAAAAAUGCAAAAGAAAAUCCAUUUUGCUUUUAUUCAACUUAAAUGUAUCCUUUUGUUUGUUCAUAAUUGUGUUGAAUUUAUUCAACUUAAAUGUGUUUUAUUCAUCUGUUUACGCUUAAAACAACUGGUUCCCCUAGCAAUGCGCGGACCUAAUUUCUAGUACAUAUACUAAAAGCCAGCAGAAAAUUACUGUUCAUCAUGGGAGAUAGAGCACUGUUCAUUAACAGUGAAAGGGAAAAAAUGCCCUCGGUUUCUUCUUUACUUCACGUACUGUUUACGAAUUGCUACAGUAUAAAGUCCGUUUUGUCAUUCCUGUCCACGCAUCUUUCAUCGUCCGUUUCUCUUGCUUCGACCGCAUCUUUUUCGCUUUACCUUUCCUCUUCGUUUUUCGCCUUCGCUAGGCUGCAAUUUUCGGAGGUGGAUUGUUUGCCCUUCUAUUUCCAUGCUCUCCCCAUGCCCUCCAUUGAUGUGUGGUCACGGUUAAACUAUGUCAACAUUUUAUAUUAAUUUUUUUAUAGAAAUAAUAAAAUAAAAAGUAAUAGGUAUCCAGGAAAUUUUCGUCAAAAUAUCCAGGAAAUAGGUAUCCAGGAAAUUUGCUUUACCGAUAUUUUAAUAGGUAUCCAGGAAAUUUGCUUUACCGAUAUUUCGCCGAUAUUAUCGGUUUUUUGCUUUACCGAUAUUUUAAUAGGUAUCCAGGAAAUUUUCGUCAAAAUAUCGCGAUAUUAUCGAUAUUAUCGAUAAUAUCGCGAUAUUUUAGAUAAUAUCGAGACAUUUUGGUUUCUCGACAGUCAGUCACAAUCUCGCCGGAGAAUCAGAAUAACUCCGAGCAAGAACAAAACCUGCAACCAAACGGAACAAAAUCAUCACUAUCUUUCAACAAAAAUCACCACUUUAUACCAAAAUCAGUGACAAAAUUACACUAAUCCGAGAAGCAAGGGCUUGAAUUCGAGCAAGAUCUGGAAGAAAACAGUAGAAGCUGAGAAAUCGAGUACCUCACCGGCAGUUACAGUGCUAAAGAUCAUCAUCUUUGGAAGGCCGCGGAUCAGACGGAGCUGAGAGAUCAAUGAGUAAGCAUUUCAUAGAUCGUAUUCGAUGAGCAGCUGAAAGAGAGGAGAGAGAAAGCAGAGAGAGACGCGGACGAGGAGGAUCUCGCUGAUGGGGACGACGAAGGAGAGGUAGAGGUCGCGGCCCGCGGGACAUGGUGACGGGCUCGACGAGGAGGAAGGCGAAGGAGGAGCAGAGGAGAUGGGUGCGUGCGUGCUGCGGUGCAGAGAAGAGAGAUGAGGGAGAUAUGAGAGAGAGAGAGCCGAGAGGGAGACAGAAGAAAAAGAAAAGAAAACAGAAAGAAGAAGAAAAGAAGAAGGGAGUCGCGGGGGAACAAAGAGAGAAAAGAGAAAAGUGGAGGGGCUGCCACGUGGCCACUUCAGAAAGAAAGGGAUCCAAUGUUUUGGAUCCUGAUUGGGUAGUCAAAGAGGACCAAUUUGAUAUAUUAAAAUGUUUAGGGGAUAAUUACACAAAUAUAUCUUUAUAAAUGGGGGUGGGUGUUACAUAUUGCCCUAAAAAACUCCAAGUAAUUACAACAUCGUAUUAGAAUUGUAAUUGAUCCUUGUUAGAUUUGGUUUAGAAAUUCUAUGUAAUUUAGUGAUUGUUUCAUAUUAGAUUUAGAUUUGAAUUUUUUACUCCAUUCAGAUUUUAAAUGAUUAUAAUAGAUUUAAAAAUUUACGAACUUUGAUGAAGUUUAAUAAUUUUUAAAACUUUUAUGUAAAAUUUUAAGUGAAUUCCCUCAAAUUUUCAGGUAGCGAUUUGAGAAUGUUUAAAAUAUUAUGUGAAAUAUUUCUAAUUUUUUCGAGUUUCCCAGCUUUUUAAAAAUCUCUUUGAAUCAAUUUCUAAAUUAAUACAUUUGGAAUGUAUGAAUUUCUUAAAAAUCAUGAUCGAAUACCCCUUAAACUUUAAAGAAUCACUUAAAAUCCUAAUUAAAUGCCCUUAGAUUUUUAAGGAGAAUUAAAAUGUUUAUAAGCCCCAAUUGGAUGUACCGCUUAAUUUAACUAAUUGACACAACACAACAUAACCAGUUAAGAUUACAAAUUAACACAAAAGACGACUUGAUGCGAGGUCAUAUCUACAAAACUUGCCGCAAUAAGCCCCAAUUGGUGUGUUUAAACUUCUUUCAUUAAUUACUACAUAUUUUCUACACUCAUAAUGUUUGUCAGCUCGCUAUAUAAUCAACUUGAUAAUGUUAAAUCCAUCAUGCAAUGCAUUUCCUUCCAAUUUUUUGUGAUAAACUAAUAGAUAAUUGACUAAAUAAACAUCCUGCAAAGUUUCAAUAAAAAUUUUCAAGUUUUUUUUACAAUUUCCGUGAUUUUCAUGUAAUUUUUAUCGGUAUCGAUAUUAUGCCGAUAUUUUUAUCAAUAUUUCCGUGUUUUCGAGUACAUAUUUCCGAUAUUACCGAUUCAUCCGCGAUUUUCUCCCUUUUCGCCAGCCCCUCUUUUGCUCUCAAAUCCUUGCUCUUUCUUUUUCAAACUAGUCUCAGAAGAGAUCCUGGGUUUAUCUAAUCCUUUGUUGUUCGGCGUUUUGUUCUCAUCUUGCGAUCGUCGGGGCAGCAGCUUUAAGGUAAGUUUGUUUUUAAUGAUUUAUCCUCAAUUUACGAUGUCUGGGCUAACAAAUUUAAGAUCUUUAUUUUUCUUUUUGCUGUGGAUCUGCAGGUUUUGACAAGUUUUUUGUGAAAUUGGUGCUGUCAGUGGGUGUUAAUAUCAGGUACCCAUGUUCAGUUUUUCGUUUUGAUUUGAAGGAAUUUCUUGCGCAGAAGAGCUAGGUUUCUUGGUGAGUUCUUCGGGUUGUGCAUAUGGGUAAUUUUCUUUUAGGUAUAACCCUCUGCUUCUGCUGCUCUCUCUCUCUCUCAUCCCUGCCUGCUCCUCUCCAAUUGUUUGCUGUUCUUAAAUAUUGUGUUCAUUGCCUGAUACAAGGAGCUGCAGCAAUCUGUUUUAUCCUACACGGGACAACGAGGCAAUGGCGUGACAACAAGUGAGCUUGGAUAUCCAAAGAAAAAGAACAGUUGGUUCAUCUGCUGGAGUCUGAAGCUCAGAGAAGUGGAGGAAAAUUGCAGGUGUGCGAGAAAUUUUAUUUUGCUGAUAGGACUCCUUAUUUACCGAUGCAUUUUGAAUUAAUUGAAAAGUUGGAUUUGAGUUAACAGCUAUAAAAAUGUAGACAUGAUUGCUGAGAUUAUGCUAUGAAAGUGGAAUAAAAAAAUGGUAGUUUAUAAUAUUGCGUACCAAUUUUUUUCUCUCUUUUUUACCAAAUGAUAAGGGUGGUGGCUCAGGCCGCCCCCCUACGCGUCCCCACUCUUCGACAAGUUGAAAUCAUGGUGAUAGUUUAUGGGUUGCGGUCUUGGGAUUCUGCAAAUAGAAUAAAAAACAGACACUUAACUAUCUUGUUAUUAAGCAUUUCUGCAUCAUUCAGUUGCUCUUGAUUUUCGUCUUUUAAGCGCUCUUAUUUCUGCGAUCUGACUUGAGGAGGGGUUUUAGACCUAUGGUUGUGGGUGUUUUGUCUGACCCCAUUAAAUUGGUUUCCGAGAUUUGUAGACUUGCGAUCGGCGGUCAAACAUUUCGUGAUUCUUGCUUUUUUUCCGACUGGGAUUGACGAAUUUUGGCCGAAUCUGUUUCCUGUUUUCUUCUCUGUUUGAGCGGCCGCUGCCUUUCGGUCGUUGAGCGCCGGCAGUCUUUAGAUCUUUGGCAAAUCAAUUUAAUACAACCGAGGUAUGUUUUAUAACUGCUGUCUUUCAAUUUUUGUUCUGUAUUUUUGUUAAUUUGGAUGAAGCUCUAAUAAUUUUGUUUUGGAUCAGUUGUGGUCCUCUGUUAGGAUUUUCCUGGCUAAGAGGGUAUUUGCAUUUUUGUUGCUUGGUUGGUCGAUCCAGUGUAUUAAAAGCGUGAGGCGUGGGCGAGGCGUCCGAGGGAAGCUCGGCCUAGGCGUGAGGCGUGAGGCGAAGCCUCAUGGGACCUAAAUUUUUUAAUAUAUAUACAUUGAGCGUACACAUAUAUUAUAUUAAAAAUAAGAAGAUUAUUAAUCAAUAAUCACCUUGAGCACACACAUAUAUUAUAAAUAUAUACACACACACAUAUAUAUACAUAUAUUAUAUUAUAUAUGCAUAAAAUAGAGGAUGAAAAACACAAUGAGCACACAUAUAACAAUGCACGCAAACAACACACACAUCCAUUAUAUAAAAAUAAAAAUCAGAAAAAAGGCAUAGAGACAAAAGUGCAAGGAAGAUGUAUGAGACAGUUAAAAUCCUACCCAAAAUUUGGGUUUGGGAGUAAAGAAAAAAAAAAAAAAAAAAAAACUCACUGAGGCGCGCCUAGGCGGCUCCGGCGACGCCUAGGCGGCCUUUCGCCCACUCCAGCAAAACUGAGGCGUUAGCCAUGGAGCCAAGCCUCAAGGGCGCCCUAGGCGCGCCUCGAGGCGAGUUUUUUAAAACAUUGGGUCGAUCACAAAUUUACGAACAGCUGUGGUGGUCCUGUUAGAGCCAAGCCUCAAGGGCGCCCUAGGCGCGCCUCGAGGCGAGUUUUUUAAAACAUUGGGUCGAUCACAGAUUUACGAACAGCUGUGGUGGUCCUGUUAUUUUUUUGGUAUGUUUUUUCUCCUUUUUGGUUUUUUCCCGGUUUGAGCACCCAUUCAUGAAGAAUUAAAAUGUGUUUAUAGUUUUUCAGGAGAGAUUAGAAAAGUGAUUUCAAUUUGGGAAAAUUUAAUGUUGGUUAAAAUUUGUUUAUAAUUUUUGGGAAGGAAUGAGAGGACCCAUUGAAGUAUGUGUUGUGAUUAUUUUUUAUUCAUAUUUUUAACAAAUUGGGCAUGAAUUGGUAGGUUAACUGUGUGUGUUUAUUAUUUGAAUCGGCCAUGUUUGUCUUUCUAUGGUUCUAAAAAAUUUGUAAAGGCUGUUAACUUGGAAGAAAAUGGGAUCGAGGGUGAGGGGAAAACAGCAGAGAAAGCAUGGAAGAGAGAUUUGGGAUUAGGGGUAGGAAAACAGAUGAAAAGAAUAUGAUAGAGGAAUGGGUUCAGUUCAUUUUCACUAUUUUUUUUAACUGAUUUGGAUUUUGUUUGGGUUUGAGGCCAUCAUUGGCGUUAAGACGUUUAUUAUCAGAUCGUGUGUGUUUUUUGCUAACUUUUAUUGGUAAUUUUUAUGUUGUUCUUAUGAUUUUGUGUGGUAGGGUUUCUGAAUUUUAUCGUUGUUCAUUUGGUUUUUUCUGAAUUUUAUCUGAUUUUGUGUGGUGAGUUUACAAAAUAAUACUAAAUAAAUUUAUUUGUAAUUUCGGAUGAUUGUGAUUCAAUCCUACUACAAUUGAAAUUCACAGAAAGAAUGAAAAACCAGAACAAAACUGCAGCACCUAAAAAGUUGUCAUACAAAAAAACAUGGAAUGUAAAAAUAUGUUAAGAAAUCUAGUUCGUUAAUUUCCAGCUGGUAAGCGGCAUUAUGUAACUUUAGUAGUAUAACUAAUUAACUACUUAUCUAGUGGGUUGCACUUCUAUCCUUGAUCUCAGUUGUGGCUGCAAAGUGCAGGCCACCACCAAGUCUCAGUGUUUGUGUAUUAGCAAAACACUUAAAUAAAUUAAAUUCUGAAAUGUAAAUUAUAUUCCUAUAACUUUAAGAUGCACAUAUAGUAUUGUUGAAGUCGAACUGAAAGCACUGACAAUUCCAAGCAACAGAGCAGCAAUUAUUAAGAGCCAAAACUCAUUCCUAGUCUCCUCAUCCUGGUACUCUACUCCGUAAUCUUCGUUCAGCAUCAUUGACUGAAAUUAGGAGAGAAAAAGAAAAGGAAUUUCAGAAAUUGUCUAUGAAGCAAAGGAUACUGCAGUUACUUCAAGACAUGUAAAUUGCAUAUGUAUAAAGUAAUUUUCUACAUAAAGUAACGAGGCAUAACUCUCUCUCUCCUCUUCAAACCCUAAACAGAGCAAAGCCACAAACUUUACAGAGAUUAGAAUGAGAACUGGAAUUAAUAGAACAAUGACUGAAAAGUAACAUACUUGAGGAGUGAAUGAUUUAGUGUUUCCAUCAUCGGAAAGCCGGAGUAAGUCGCUAAGAGAGGUCGCAAACAGCCCAAAGGGACAAACCCAGACCCCCGGCCCCGAUCCAUACCCUUCCCCCUCAAAUCCCGACGGCCCCCAUACUUUUCUCUGACUGUACCCCCUCUCCCACUCAUGAAAUCGAGGAUCUGUAGCAAUGGUACUGAGAUCCCCACUCCUCCCCCUCCCUUUCUCUCUGUCACUCUGUCUCCCUCUCCCUCUGUCUGUCUAUCUUUAUCCCAGAGCGGCAUGGCCUCGCAUCCCUGAAACCCUCACCGAAAGGUGGCAAUUUUGUAAAUAACUUGAAAUCCACCAACAGCAGGGGCAGAGAAUUGAAACAGACAUUUAGGCUCGUUCGAUAACCAUUUAGGCCAAAACUGAGCACACCUAAACCAUUCCUACUCGUGCCAAAUGUUAGCGGGGAAGCAAGAUGAUGACUUUAUUGUUCAAAACCAAAAGAAAAAAAGAGAGAAAACAAAAUAACAAAUCUAAUGGUUGUAGUGUAAAAGCUGAGAACGUAAAUAAACAUGCAGGGAAAAAAAUUGAAGAUACAAAGUAGCUGCAUCAUGAAACACUUGCUCCAAUUAGACGCAAAAAGUGAUGGUGAUGAGAAGAGAGAGAAAAUGCAGUCGUUUUGAUUUUUCUGGCUUUUAAAGGGAGCAGCUUUCUUCGACCACCAAAAAAAGGAAGCUGCUUUUCGUGUGGUUGUGAUUUCCUGAGUGUAUGUGAGCGGGUCUAUGGCACUUGCACUUUUUGUGUCGGUUACGGUAACCGGGCGAGGUGGACACGGCGGCGUGGGACUGAAUUCGGAGAGGUGAGAAAAAUUAAAAACACAAAAAGAAGGUGUUCAUUUUGUCACAUUUUUAUUACUAAAAAUUCAAUAAAGUACAUUCAUUAGUAUGGUAACUUAACUAUUUAAUUCCAUCUCAUUAAACUAAAAAAAACAAUUACAUAAAAAUAAGGGAAACCUUGUCCAGAGAGACCUGAGAGAAAGUGACGACUUCUCCUCUCAUUCCACUCCAUACUUGAUCUCUAAAGUCCAUUUGGCAUGUAAUUGAUGUUCAAUUUCAAAUUUAGUGGUAGCAAUUAGCAAAGCUAAUGAAAGAAUAAAAUAAAAUGAAAGAAAAAGCAUCAUGAAAUAAAUCAAGAUGAAGAAUGAAAUUUUGGCAACUCGCCAUUCUCUUCUUUUAUACAAAAGAUACAUCCUAUUUGUAGUGAAAACAGGUCCCGACAAACCCAGUUAUCGUCAAGAAGUAUUUUGUAUGACUUUAAAAACAUAUUCCGAGAAAUUAUCUCUUGGCUGAGAACAACAACAAAUCUUCAUGCAUAGCUUGUAGAGAAAGACAUCAGGCAUACAAAAGAACACGCAAGCAUAAAAUAAACGACGCAGGGAAAACCAAAAAUACAAUUGGAUACGCUGUCAAAAGAACAUAAAUAAAUGAAAAUUACAAAACAAAGAAGUGAUGAGAAACCAAAGUACCCAUUUCAUAAUCUAAUUGCUUUUUAGUUUGCUUGCCAUUUUUAGUUCUUCAAUUUAGAGAGAAACCAUAAUUCAGCACAUGAAUAAAGUGAAAACAUAAAAGAUAUGUGGGAUAAGCUAACAGCCAUCCCUGAGUAAUGCAUUCACUUCUGAACCCCAAACACACCAAAACAAAAAUUCACACACAUGAACUACAGCUCUGCUAUGUAACAAGAAUUAAAAGCAUCUCAAAACAAAAUGGCAAACUAUAAGAGCAAUGUAAAAGUAAAAUUGCAAGAAAUCUAAUACUUGGAGGGCAAGUACUAAUCAGACGAAAAUGAAAGAUUGAACUACCUCGCGUGGAACUGUGCCUUGGUUUUUUCCCAUGCUUACAGGAAGCUUUGCACUGAGCUCUUAUAGCCCAAAUUUUCUCUGAAGGGAAAAAAACACAAUUUUGAAAUAAGAUUUUCAUAUUAUACCUUAAAGAGAAGAAUUAGACAACAAAAAAGAGAACAAUGAGUACUUUUCAUCAUAUAUUGUUAGAGUAUGUGGUCCUCUAGUCCAAUGGUCCUGCAGCCAUAUUUACUUUAUAACUCUUUCUUUAGUCUAAAAACAUCUUGGAUCUCAAAUUAAUAUGAAUACGGAUUCAUACGCAUGCAUUGCAUUACAAUCACAAUGCAACAUCUCAUUAGAAAUCCCCACACAAAAUUCUUUUAUUGCUACUUUGAUUUUAGUUUAUAUUUUUUCUGAAGCACGAGGGAGCUAAUUUUUUUUUAAAAAUUUUUUAUUCCAAUAAUGUUAUAGGGUUGAAAGGAUAUUAUCAAUUUAAUUGAUUGUAUUUGAUUGGUGGAACUUCUAUAUCUAUAUUUCAGGUUUUCAAAUUCAGCACUGGGAGAGUCAUUCAUAAAAUGUUUGACAGUGAGAUUACCUCCAUGGAUUAUGCUCACAAUGGACAGCUCAUUUUCCGCGGUGAUGGGACAAUAUAUUUCAGUCAUUCGCCAUUCAAUCAAUUCAAACCGAGGAACAAGCAACAUCAAGAAGAGGAUCUGCCAUGUCAGGAUCACUGUCGUCCAAUUAAUACAAAAAAUCUAGAUAAAAACGAUCAAUUUACAUAAAAGCCUUUCAUUUUCUCAGCAACCAAGCAAAAGAAAAUACCUAUCCGUUAAACACUCGAUUUGGGAGUAAACGUUGCUGAAACUGGACUUCAAUCCCCUCAACCGCAACAAUCGAAUCGAGGUGUGCAAGUCAUUGAAAAACUCACCCAAGAUUUCAAAAUCUGCAUAAAGAAAUAAAUAAGCACAUAAAUUAGCCAACCCUGUUAUGAUCCCACAUCGGGUACACAAGAAAUUGUGUAGUGGUACUUAAGUGCAAGGGGUCAUCCCACCUAUUGGACUAGUUUUUUGGAUUGGGCUCUUCCCUUGGGCUUGAGUACCUAACAUUGGUAUCAGAGCCUAGGUUCCCGACGCUGCGAGACUUGGCGAGUGGUGCCGCCUCAUGGUGCCGCCUUGGGAGUAUGGGCUCCCAAGGGUCUUGGAGACGGGCAAGGUAUGAAAUGUCGAUAUUAUCGCGAUAUUUCGCCGAUAAUAUCGGUUUUUUGAGUUACCGAUAUUUUAAUACUUAUCCACUGAGUUUUCGUCAAAAUAUCGCAAUAUUAUCGAUAAUAUCAACAAUAUCGCGAUAUUACCGAUAAUAUCGCGAUAUUUUGGAGAUGUGCGAAUCGGAGAAGAAGGCCGGAGCUUCUACAGCUCCUGCCGACUGUAAAAGAGCACCCUAGACUCCGAUCUAGGUAUCAAAAUGAAAUACAAGACGAGAGGAAUGUUUUUAUAACUUCCGUUUGCCGUGAAACGGUCGAAGGUGUUCGGAAAGUUCGUCGACACCCACGGCCUCGCCAGAGAUGGGUGUGCCUAUUCUCGAGCCGAUUUCGUCCCAAAAACCUUGCAAAAACACGAGAUAGAACUUAAAUUUCACAUCUAAGCUUCAAUCUAGAAUAGAAUGAGGUAAACCCGAAGCUUACCUAACCGGAGAAAUUCAAGAAACUCGCCAGAGGGUUCCUGCGUCGCCGAGUUGCAGAGACGAGAAAGAGAUGGAGAAAGACGAGGUUGCUGAUAACGAUGGGUGUCUUCCUCAAGCAGGUGCGAUGGUGUGCGUGUGUGUAUGUGGGUCUCGGUGCAGAGAGAAAGGAGAGAGAUGAGAGUUUCAAGAAAGAGACGGCGCCAACGAGAGCUAUUUGUUUUUUUUUAUCUUAAAAAGAGAGAGGUCUAAGAGAAAUGGGAAGAGAGGGCCGAGUGAAAUGAAAGGAGGUCCUUGAAUUAUUGAGAGAUAUCUCUGAGAGAGGCCUAGGAUUUCUAAAAGGUAAUUAGAAAUGGGAAAAAUGGGGCACAUCUUAGCCUUUAUUUUGGAAUCCUAAGAAGUUCACCACAUGGAUGCAUGACAUGUGUGCAUGCCAUGUCUGUUGAAUGGGAAAAGUCUGACAUGGAAAGACAAAGAGUCGUUUGGUCCUCUGGGCUCGAGGCAAGAUAGAAAGUGCUAGGGUUUUUUUUUCUGAAAUGAACAUAAGCUGCUAAAUUCGCAUAUAUUAUAGUUGUUGCUAAAGAUUGACACUAGUGCGGACUUGGACGUGUUGGUCAACAUGUCCUCACAAUCCCCAAGUUCUCCGGUUCGAACCCUUACGCCCAUCAAAUUUUUCUUUCUUUUCGAUGCGCUUUUUCCAUGGCUCUAGGUCUUGAUUUCGAAUCCAGGUGAGCCCUUUCCUUUUUCUUUUUUUUUUCUUUUUGUUUUAUUAUUUGUUUAUUUUAAUUUAUUUGUUUCUUUUAUGUUUUUCCUUUCUUUUAGUUUCUUUGUCUUAGGCGUUCGUGUUUAUUAAAGUAGGAUGUAAAAUCAAUUAUCUUAAAAUUAUGUGUUUUUAAAUUUUGGACUUGUUUGUUGGAUACUUUUUUUGCAUUUUAUCAUUAUUUUAUUAUGAAAAUAUGCUAAAAUAUGCUAAAAUAUCACUUAUGUUUUUGUGAAAAUAUGCUAAAAUAUUUAUAUAUAUGGUUUUGUUUUGAAUUCUUUUUGUACUAAUUCAUUAUAUAUAAAUGAUUAUGGUGUGUUUAAACUUCUUUAAUUAAUUACUACAUAUUUUCUAUACUCACAAUGUUUGCUAGCUCGCUAUAUAAUCAACUUAAAUCAGUAAAAUCCAUCAUGCAAUGCAUUUGCUUCCAAUUUUUUGUGAUAAACUAAUAGAUAAUUGAUUAAAUAAACAUCCUGCAAAGUUUCAAUAAAAAUUUCCAAGUUUUUCUUACAAUUUCUGUGGUUUCCAUAUUAUUUUUAUCAAUAUCGAUAAUAUCCCGAUAUUUCCAUCGAUAUUUCCGUGUUUUUGGACUACCGAUAUUUCCGAUAUCAUCGAUAUUUAUACCUUGGCGACGGGGGACUUGCCGACUGGUGCCGCCAUGGACGUUGGGUCUUUCGAAAGGUGGUGUAAUGUUAUGAUCCCACAUCGGCUACACAAGAAAUUGUGUAGUGGUACUUAAGUGCGAGGGGUCCUCCCACCUAUUGGACUAGUCUUUUGAGUUGGGCUCUUCCCUUAGGCUUGAGUACCUAACAAACCCAUAAAUCAAAGAAAUCAAAAUCCACCCAGAAUCAAAGAAAUCAAAAUCCAUCCAAAACCAAAGAAAUCAAAAUCACACACAGAUAUACAAGGUGUACAGUAUUGACAUGCCUUAAAUGAUAUUAUUCACAAGAUUUAUAAAGCUCAUGUUGUAAUACUUGUGCAGAAUCUAUCAUUCACGGCGUCACUUUUGUGCAAGUCGUAAAUAAAAUUAUUCACGAUUUAAACAUUGUGUGUCGUAUUUGACAAUUUAUACUACGCACUUUCUUUUUCUUUUAAAGCUUUGCGUUAUGUCGUAAAGUUGACUUUCUAUAUAUUUGGGUUGUACCUUUUAUGGCGCAAAUAACACGUCGUAAAUAAUGGCUUUUAGCACAGAAGUUUUGUGGUAAAGAAGCCCGCGCACUAAUUCAUUCUCGCGCCUUCUCUUUUUUAUUUAGCCGCUUCUUUUUUUGGUUUUUUUUUUUUUUAAAAUUCCCCUCAAAUCUUAAAAGGGUUUGUAUUUUCUUUGGUAAACUUGAAAGAGAAACAUUGCAAUUGCAUUUUCAUUUACCCAAUAUUAAUUGUCGAGAGCCCACCCCCUUCCCUUCUCUCUGACAUCGUAACUCUCUCCUCUCCAUCGAUCUCGCUCCAUCUGCUCGCCGUCGCUCUAUAUGCUCGUCAUCGCCGUCGAUUCGUCUGCUCGUCGUCACCGUCGCCCAUCUGCUUUCCGUCACCGUCGAAGUGCCCCGCCAUUCAAAAUCUGAAAUCCCCAAUACAGGGUGCUUUGCGGCAUUUCGUUCUCCAAAACUUUAGGUAUGCUCUCAAUCUGUAUCAACCCUAUCCUGUCACCUCUACUUCAAGGUGAACAAUUUAUAGUUUAUAAAUUUUACUUGUGUUAAUAUAUAUUUUUUGGUAAAUGUUAUGGAUAUUUUAUCAAAUCAGAGAGUAAAUUCGUAUUAAGUGAAGAUUGGCAAAGAACAUAUUGUUUUGAAAGGUUGAAUAAUGUUUGCAGAUCACAUAAAUCAGUAGUUGUCAAGUCCAUAAGAGAAGCAAGAAAUCGGAAAGCAAGGCUUCGACUAAAACCAAAUAAUGUCAAAUUAAUUCAAGAUUGGAAGACUUUCCUUGCAAAGUGUAAGCUCAUUUUCAUUUUCUUUCAUUUCUAAGAUUAGUUAUCUUCUUUUGAGUUCAAAAUUGGGUCAGAGAAAUCAAACUGAUAGUAGUUAAAAGUCUAUUUCAACACCAAGCCUUGUCUACACAAGAAUUUGGUGUUAGUUAAACAUGUGUAUGAUUCUAUCUUGAUUGCAUGUUAAUUUAGUUUGAAGAUAGAUUUGGUACAUGCUAGCUAAUUGAUACGUGAUAUGAAUCUUUGGUUUCCUUUUGAUAGGACAAAAGUGAAACAUUCAGAGAGAUGAAGUCUAAGCAACUCCGCACACAUGUAGUCGCAAGGGAUAUGGUAGGUUGGCCGAGGAUUUGGUAAUUACAUUUCAUUCUAGUGCCUUCUUUUCUACAGGACAAGAACAAUUUACUAAUUUUAUUCUGUGUUCUACUGUGUGUUUACUACAUAUAUGUUUCUAUUUUGUAGAAAAGAAAAAGUGUAGACCCUUCUCUAGUUUCUAGAGGUGAUGUUUGGAUUGCAGCACAUACUAAAAAGGGUGGUGGACCAUCCAAUUUGCUUGCUGCAGAGACUAUUGUAAGUAAUUUUUAACCAUUUAUUUCUUCUUGUUUGUUGAUAUGCAAUGACGGAUGAGGUCUUAACUUUGAUGUGCAACGUUAGGAAAAAAAUUAAGCAAUAUGGAAAUGGAUCAUCAUCUGGUUUUCGAGGUGACGUUCUUUCCAAAGUUUUUGGUGCUGAGCGACAUGGUCGUGCAAGAGGAGUUGGAGGUGGUGUUCCUCCUACAAAGCUUGGAAUAUUUUCACAACAAAAAUUGCGUAAUCACCAAAUGGAUGAAAAGGUGCACAAUUUAACUAAUCAGGUCAGAGCACUGACAGAAUUGGUGCAUCUUUUUAUGAAAAAUCAGGUUAGUGAUUUAAUAACAUUGGUAUCAUAUUGAAUAUUUGUGAAAUCAGUUGUAGUGACACAUCAAAUCACAGGGUAAUGAUCUACCAAGUGAGGCAUCUCCUGACACACAGGUUGCAGCUCCUGAGGCACAUGUUGAUACUGUCGCAAGAACUGAAACUCGUCUUUCCCAAUGCGCAACAAAUGAAUCGUGGUGGCGAGGUUGAUACACUUUUUCAAUGAGCCUUCUAACUAUUAAUGCUCAUUGACUCUGUUAAAAGCUCUGCCAUUUUCAAUCUAACUAGACACUAGAAAUGAUCAUUGACUCAGUUAAAAGUUUUGAUGCUUUGGUCCUUUUGCAUAGUUGCGCAUCUACUGAUUUCUAUUUUUUUUCAAAUCCUGCAGGUUAUUUCUGAAAACAUUGAAACAUCGUGGUGUGCCAGAUGGUUUGAUUAUAAGACACCUUCCUUUUGGUCCACCAACUUAUUUAUAACUGCUAAAUGGUACGUAGUGUGAUAAUUUUCAAAUAUUUUGAUAUUAAGACAGGUGUAGGACAACAUAGAAAUUCUUAGGGCCUUCAGCAACAAAAUUAUGAAAAAGUGAGUGAGAUACAAUUAAAAAAAUGAAAGAGAAGGAUCAUGAUUCAUGAUCUAAAGGUUUGAAUAGGGUAGAAAGGAUUUAGUUUCGUUGUUAAAAUCGAUUUGUGAGUCUAUUGUUAUUGUAUUGUCAAUUUGUUUAUUUACUUGAACUUCCUAGUAUCAAUUUGGUUCGAUAUAUCUAGCACCACCAUAGAUAUAUCUAGUAUCAAUUUGGUUAGAUAUUGUCAAUUUGUUAUUUUAUUGUCAACUAUAGAAUGUGCAUCAGUUGUAAAAGGAACAAAACAAUUCAGAUUUUUUGUUUAUGUCCAAACUUAGAAUUGUAUUGUAAUUGACAAUUUCUACUAAUUAAUCCAAGUAUUUGGAGUUUAAUAUGUUUAUGAUCAAUAUUGUUAUCCUUGUAUUGUAUCAGUUUAGAUGUUAUGAAGUGAGGUCUGUCUAAAAAUGAUAUGCUAAAUAUAGAUGUAAAUUACGGCAUCUAAAAUCAGCAAUAAUUGUUGAUGGUAGUCUUUUUUUUACGAUGUAUGCCGUAAUCACCUUCACAAUAUUACGACACUCAACAAAUGCUGUAUCAAAUAUAAAUUACUGCACACUAGUAUGUCGUAAUUGUUUUUCAGUAUUACGACACCCUAUUAACGCUGUAACUAAUACCAAUUAAGGCACGUAGGACAUGCCUUAAGAACAUUUAUGGCGUGUUUUACUUAAAUUAUUCACGACUAUUAGAGUACGUUGUAUUUGUCAAAACAUCUUUUACAACAGGGGCUUUUACUGCUUGGAGGCUCAAGCCGUGAAUUUCCAUUUAUGGCACCCUUUGUGCGCCGUAAAAGGCCAAUUCUAUUGUAGUGAUCCAUGGGUACAUUUUUAAUCUACAUGUUUCGUUUUAAUAUAUCUAUUGCUAUAAUAUGUUUUGGUUGGUUCAAAUUCGUUUUACAUAAAUAUAUGGGUACAAAGUUUUUGGAGAAUAUUAUGUAAAAUGGUUUUUAAGGUUGUUGCAUUUUAUGUACCCACAUAUGCAUGUCUAUAAAACAAUGUGGUAUGAUGUACAUUCUUUUCCUUGAGUUUUUAAAUGUACCCAUGAGUUUUCUUGUAAAUUCGGUAUGUAUCCAUAUGCUAUUUAUGUUAUGGGUACAUACAUUAUUUUUGGUCUAAGUUGGUGGGUACAUUGCUUUUGUAUGUAUGAAUUCAUUGGGUACAUUAUUUCCCUUAAUACUACUCAAUAAAAUUCACAAAAAUGUGCAGUGUGCAUGAAUUUUUAUUGUAGAAAUUGUUUUUUUUUAUUUUUAAUUUUUAAGUCUCAUAAUUCGUGAAUUUUGUACAUAUUGAUCCCAUAAAUUUUUGAAUUUUAUUAAAUUUUUUUUAGACUUGAUCGAUUGAUUGAAUCUCAUAAUAAUCCCUUAAAUGUUCCAAUCAAUAUUUUAAAAUACAGCUUUUUAUUUAAGAUUUCAAAAAGAUGACAUGAAAACAUAGUAAUACUAAAAUUUUGUUUUAAAUUACAUUUGUGUAACAAUCAAUGGUAUGUUAAAACUGGGCAAAAAAAAAAAUGGUAUAUUAAAAAAUUAUAAUUUAUUCUUUUUUUCAUAACUGUCUUCUGCUUAGAUUAAUUUUUUCCAACGUUUCUCUUCGGGAGAAUUAGUUCUUACCAAUAUAUAUGCACAUUAUCUGCUUUUUACCUGGUCUUAACACAUGAUUAAUUACUUUCCUACCUGCUAACGCGUUGACUUGCGCAUCCAAAGUAUUAUCAAAGUCACUGCCACCAAAAAGGUGCCCACUCCACAACCUUUGGUUGAACCAAAGAACAUCACAACAAUAAGGAAAUCGUUAAAUCUAUCUCCGCAACAUUUUUAUUAAUCAUUAGAUAGAUUAAACGAUCCCCCUAUUCAUAUUGUGUUCUUUUGUUGAACCAAACCAUGUCAACAAAAUAUAUCUAUGGUUAAAGCAUCUAGAUUCAAGCUUUUGGAUGUGCAACUUAAACCCCUCAAUGAAUAGCCAAGCAAUUUAUCAUGUGUUUACAGUAGGUCAAAAGAAGAAAGUGUUUGUCUAUAUAUUAAUAGGAACUAAUUCCUCUGAAGAGGAGAGAUGGAAGUGAUGAUAAUAAAAAAAAAAAAAGUCGUAUUCAGUGCACAAGGCUCCCGCUUUACGCAGGGUCUGAGAGAGGUGAAUGUCGGCUAGCCUUACCCCCAUUUUAUGGAGAGGCUGCUCCCAAGUCUCGAACCCGAGACCUACCGCUCAUGGGCGAAGACACUUGCCAUCGCACCAAGUGCGACCUCUAAGGGAUAAGAGAGUAAUCAUGAAAAUUUUGAAAGUGAAAGCAUUGCCUUGGAAUAUAUAUUCUCUUUAGGAAUUCUGUGCCCAACUAAAUUCUAGAUUCUCAAAAUAUGAAAUUAGCAACUUCACCAAACACUUGGACAUGUAACAGGUCACACGUAUGGUACCAACCUUACCAACCUUACCAACCAUCUAUAUACCUAUGUUUUCGAACAUCGUUAGAUAAUUAAAGUACAGUUCACACAGCAUUUCACAUAAAAAUGGCAUCAUACAACACAUGAGAAGUACUUCUUACAGUAGCAGUCUCGUAACAUGACUAUAGUUUUUGUUACUUCUUAAGAAAAAAGAGUUUAAAAUCCUAUUGAAAGAUAAUUGUAGAGACAGAAACCCAAACUAGUUAAUUAGGUUUCUUUACAUCUCAAUAAAAUUGAAGGGAAUGUAUCUAAUAUUAUCUACUAGAGCCUCUACAAUCAUCAUAGAAUCCACAACCCACAUUUUAAUUAAUCGAAAUUCCAUGAACACAAAUAAGCAAAAGUUGAGUGAAGCCUAAGCAAUAUGUGAUCAUUUAGAGAGUCAAACUCCAUCUUUUUAGAAUUAGGGACUUUUCAAUAUGAAAAGGUAACCUCCACAAUCCAAUAUCAUAUGAAAAGGAAAACCCAAGAAAAAUACAGUAUAAUUGUGUGCAAGAGCAACACAAAAAAAGUUGAAGAAUUAGAAAUCAUAAAGAGACUUGAGACGAUUGUUGCUCACUUAGCUAAAGAGCAUUUGCACUUGAGGUCUCGAGUUCGAUUGCCCCCUUUCUUUAGAUCGCUUGAGAGGAAAAACCUACCAUUCUCUAGUCUAAAGAUAUAUGCAUCUUUGACAUGAAUGACUAGAGGGGAAGAAAGUGCAGACAAAUCACACAUACCUUCAAAAAAUUUUAUGGGGUUGGUGAAUGGUGAUUAGGGAUACUGACUUUUAAUAGCCGUUGAUCAGUGUAUAUUGCACACGCCUUCAUCAAUGGCUAGCGUCGGUACAACUGUGAUUGGGAGGGCCUUUUUACGAUAAUAGAUGGGUAAAGGUUUCAUUAGAAGGGGAAUUUUGUUCUGGUUUGCCAUAAUAACUUGAAAUUAAUGGUUUUUUGUAAUCCUUAAGUUAUUGUCAUUUUAGGUUAACUUUGUACCUGGACUCUUUACUGGAGCUAUCAAUUGAAACCCCCAUUUUCUUACCAAAAUAUGAAAAACAAAGAGUCCCAUUUUUACAGCACAGUCCUACUCUAGUUGAAAUCCGAUCGACGGUCAAGAUUUUCUAGUCAUGUGAAAGUAUCACAUAUAUAAAAUUGACUGGAGAAGGCAUGCCACAUUGCCAUGCCCUUGACAGCUUUACUUUGUUUACAAACUUUCUAAAAGAAAGAAAGAAAAAAAUCUAAAAUGGAAGGUGAUAGCGAUUUUACCACUUGUAAAACAAAGGGUUAAACCAUAGAAAAUUCUUGCAAGAGAACAAGUGUUUGUAGUAUAGAAUGGCUCAAGCAAGGUCGAUCUCCUCAGGGACUGAUAUAAACAAUUUACGAGUUUUUAUGUAUUUAACUUAUUUAACUCUAAGAAUUACACUAAUUUAACGAAACUAAAUAUUAUUGGAUGUGACUUAAACAAAUAUCUAAAAUGGGAAUUGGUUUUAGGGAAUAAUGAUUCAACUUAAACAAAACAAGUAAAUGAGGAAAUUCAAGAUAAAAUAAAUGAUUAAGAAAAAUAGAUUGACAAUAUGCUAGAGUUCAACAUUUACCAACAACACUCUUACGUAGCUAUUCCAAUUGCUUAAAUAAUUGAAAACACAUAUGCUUUGAAUGUUGGAUUUUCCUUGUGUAUGUUUUACUUGUGACAUUCAAGCUAAAACGCAUACCACUACAUGCAACUUAUCCAUGACAUUUGAAUUAAAUAUAAACAUGAGUGAUUCAUUAAUCUUGGUGAAAAUCCUUUUGUUAAACCAUAUAAUCCCUAAGAGCAUGAUAUUUACCUUAGGAGAUUACAAUUCUCAAUCACAAGAAGCACAACCAAUUUUAACGUGACAUUCGUUCAAAAUUGCAUCCGAUAACUUUUCUAAGCAUCCUAAUGGUGAUCAAGCAUCAAGGUACAUAGAUAGUUUAAUUCAGUGAUUGAAAAUAUCAAAACAAGCAUGUAACAACACUUAAGCAAUUGAAAAAUAAAACUACGUAUUCAUGUUGCGGCUCAUGGCCUCACUCUAGCAUAAUACUUUAAAUAAUUAAAGCCCAAACAAUUUACCAAAUUUCAUCUCUGUACUCCGCAGAGACGCUAAACGAGACAUAUUUGGUCCAUCUCUGAACAUCUUUUCUUACUGUUCUUACAAUAGAAAGGGCACAAAAUUGACUUACACAGUCUUGCACAAUACUCACUUUGCUUCAACCCAUAUUUCACUUUGUCAAAUCAUACACGUUCCUGCAACAGGUGAACUCAUAUUUAUCUACCACUUCUUGCUAAUUUUAAUUUUUCCAUUCCCAUUUUUACUACAAGUUUUCACAUAAUUUUUUUAUUGCAUUUGUCAAUUCUUUAUACUUUUUAAUUGUAUUUUUUUUUUUGUCUUUUAUGUGUUUUCUAUGUUGGCACAAGGUUACAACAGUAUUAAACAAUUACAGGUCCUCCAGAGGUUUGCUUAUUGCCCUAUUUCAUCAAGCUCGGUAUAAAUAGAUCUUAAUUUUUUACUACAGUUAAAUACAUGGACAUGCCUCCACAAAUACAAAUUAGUUCUUGCUUAAAUACUUUGUGUGUUUACAUAGAAAAUGUUCCCAUCGUCUACCAAAAUCCUCCACACAUGAAAACAAAAAUUCUUACUCAAAAUACUUAUUACAAUACCACCAUAUCUGUUGUUUUUUAUUAAAUUAACACACUGUUUUCAAUUUUAUCUUCAACACAAAAGAAAAUGCUCUUACACAAUGUGUUUGCUUACAUUUUAUAACUUAUCUACCACAUGUUAAUCGCAGUUAUAUAAAUAGGAAAAUACGUGUUCAAUAGAAGUGUGAUGCAUGUCACUUCGUUAACAAUAGUGGAAACUAAACAAUUAAAUAAUUUGUUUCAAUUAGUUAGUACAUUUUAUAAAUUUCUCAAUUAGAACUGUUUCAGUAUAUUUAAUACAUUUUUAAACAACUUUCCAGUUAGUUGCCCAAACUAAUUAUUCCAGCUUAUUCACAGUAUAAUACCAACAAUUUAACAACCAAUGAUACUUCGUUUAACAUAAACUUCAUUUGGAAAAAACAAAAAAAAUCUUUUUCUCUGCUGAAAAAAUCAACAGAUUUAAUGAUGUAGAUCAGUUAUACCAACAAAUUACCAUAGUUUACCCAAUGCUAUACAGGUUUGACUUUUGUUUAUAUUCUUGGAUCUGUUGCUUGGUUGUAUAAUUUGGCUGUGUGUUUUGUUUCAGGACAAUUUGUUCUUCGUUUCUUGAGGCUUCUAUGUGUAGAUUUGAACCGUUUAGCUUUCAAACCGUUUAUACUCAAGGUAAAUAAUUUCGUUUGUUUCUUUUUAACCUUUUUUGUAAGAAUUUUUUAUUUAAUGUUGUGAGAGUUGUGUUUUCUAUAGUAUGGAAAUUGAAUCUUUGUGAUCUUAUAUCGUUAGAUACGUUGCUUGGUUAAUGUGAACACGGAAAAUUCCCGAAACGAAAAAGACAAGAACAACGUGCACAAACAAAUAUUUUGUAUUUGAUGAUUAUUUUGGGUUACAAUCUCUCUCUAAUUUGAUCCUCUGAUUCGAUCUCCGUAAGAUAUUGGUUUGUGGAUGUGCGAUUGAUCCAAGGGCCGUCGAGGCUUGAUCUUGGAUGAACGGUGAUGAACGGAUCUUCAAGGGCUUUUGGGCUUGAUCUUGAAGAAUAGUGAUGAACGGGUCUUCAAGGGCUUUUGGGCUUGAUCUUGAAGGAUGGUUGGAUGUGUGGAUUUGUCGACGUUGUUAAUCCAAAGGGCUGUUGGGGCUUGAUCUUAGGAUGAACGGAUGAUGAACGAAUAACACUUUCUUCAAGGGCCGUCGGGGCUUGAUUUUGAAUUGGUGAAAGUUCUUCAAGGGCCGUCGGGGCUUGAUCUUGAAGGUAGAUGAUUGUUGAUCCAAGGGCUGUCGGGGCUUGAUCUUGGAAGAACGAUGAACGAAGAACGAAGAAGGCUUUCUUGAUUCUUCGGGAACCUGGAUGCUUGAGAGCUUCGGAGUUUCAGAGCUUCAGAGCUUCAAGGUGUAAUAUGAAUUUGGUUCCCUUAAAUGAAUGAAAUUGGCUUCUAUUUAUAGAAUUUUCCAAGGCCUAAUUUUGAAUAUAAUAUUCCAGAUGAAAUAAGUCGUUUCUGCCAAGUGUUGACACGUGUCCUAUUUGAUGACUUUUCCGACUCAUUUCAAUUUUUCGUCGAGUCACACACUACGUGUAAAAUUUAUGUAAUACAUGAGCGUUGAAACUUUGAUUUAUCAGUCAACAUUUAUUUACCAAAAUUUCGAUGUCUACAAAUGCCCCCACUUCAAGGCGCGUCGUAUACAUGUGCUUGUCACGUGUAGGAGAUGCGUUUUGAAGUCCCCUUACUGUAGAUGUCGAUCCAAGGGCCGUCGAGGCUUGAUCUUGAACCGGGCUGGAGAUUUCUUCAAGGGCCGUUGAGGCUUGUUCUCGAACUUUGUUCGAAAUUUCUUCAAGGGCCGUUGAGGCUUGAUUUUGAAUUGGGCUGAAAGUUUCUUCAAGGGCCGUUGAGGCUUGAUCUUGAAUUGGGUUGAAAGUUUCUUCAAAGGCCGUUGAGGCUUGUUCUUGAACCUUGUUUGAAAUUUCUUCAAGGGCCGUCGAGGCUUGAUCUUGAAUUGGGCUGGAAGUUUCUUCAAGGGCCGUCGGGGCUUGAUUCUUGAAGGUGGAUGAUUGUUUAUUCAAGGGCCGUUGAGGCUUGUUCUUGAACCUUGUUUGAAAUUUCUUCAAGGGCCGUCGAGGCUUGAUCUUGAAUUGGGCUGGAAGUUUCUUUAAGGGCCGUCGGGGCUUGAUUCUUGAAGGUGGAUGAUUUUUUCUUCAAGGGCCGUUGAGGCUUGUUCUUGAACCUUGUUUGAAAUUUCUUCAAGGGUCGUCGAGGCUUGAUCUUGAAUUGGGCUGGAAGUUUCUUCAAGGGCCGUCGGGGCUUGAUUCUUGAAGGUGGACUCGAACACAUGGCAAGCAGGCACGAGGUGAAGGUGACGGUCUGUUUCUUUGCUCAAUCUUUCCAAGUGCCGACCGAUUGCUUUUCUUUCUCCUUGUCCCGCAGGCAAGAGCAAGGGUAAAAGAAAAGCAUGCCAUGAGAUAUCUUUGUUUUUGACUCUGAUGAUAUGAGGUACUUCUGCUUUUGAAGAAGUUGCGGAUGAAUCGACACGUGCUUUGUUGUGCUUGUCUCCACAUGCUCAGACUCUUGGCAGAAUGUGAAAGGUGGCAUUUUCUCGAGUUACUCAACUCAGACUCAUUCUGCUGAGUUGACUGUGCGGGCCGCAUUCUUCUCUGCUUGUUUCUUCUGGCAGCCUUGCUCUCGAGUACUCAUCUUUAACAUCUUAUGUUUCUUCUUUGUCUACCACACUGUGGAAGACGAGUACUCGAGAGUAAUACCAUGUAAGCAAUCAGAAAAGGGUUCCAAGCAGUCGGUUCCAGAUCGGAAGAUUGAUACCAAGUGUUGGCUGAUUGCUUUCCUUCUCAUUGUCCUACAGGUUAGAACAAAGACAAGGAAAAGGACACGGAGAAUGCAUGAUAUGAGAUACUCUUGCUUUCUCCCUUCAUGAUAUGAAAUACUUUUGCUUUUCAAGAUUUGUUUGCAGAGGUAUCCUAUGGGAUGAAGAACACUGAGUGAGUUGAGAGGGUUUGUUGGAAAGCCAUUUGUCGGAGAUGACGGAAUGUUAUGUAUGUCUGCCUUGCCAUGGAGCGUGAAGGUCGACAUUUGUAGGAAAUAAUAACUGGUACUGUUCUUUCACUCCUGUCGGCAACCGUUGGAUGAUUGAACAGUAAACUUCACGUGAUUUCCUCAAAGCUUUUUCUGCAUGCGACAAGUGCUGACGAGGCUGAGAGAGACAUGCGAUUGGAAUCGGCGCUUCGACAAACUUUUCCAUGAUUUUCGCAAAGCUGACGAGGCUGAGAAAGACAGAUGGUUUGGAAUCGGCGUUUCGAUAAACUGCCCGUGAUUUCCGCAACGCUGACGAGGCUGAGAAGGACAGAUGGUUUGGAAUCGGCGUUUCGACAAAUUGCCCGUGAUUUCUGCAACGCUGAGUUUGCGUGUGACAGGUGCUGACGAGGCUGAGAAAGCUGACACUUCUUCGAUUUUUGAGAUCAGUCCGUGAUCCUUGAGUAGGCCUAGCUUUGGAGAAAGCAGGCGCUUCAUCGAUCUCUGAACUCGCCUCUUCGAUCUCUGAAAGCCCAUCGCAUGCUGUUUUUUUAUAGAGGUACGCAAGACAUUCAAAGCACACUUGAAUUUCUACCUGUGAAAAAAAACUCCCCUUUUGCAUAUCUGAGAUCUUUAAUUUGCCCGACCUCUUCAUUUUGUUGAACACCUUCGGAAAUGUCUUUCCCAUCUGACCGUCGUCUUGACUUGAAUAUCGAAGAAGAUAUUGACAUGUCUUCUCCAGGCAACAUUUGGCAGCUGUCCUUCGUAUCCUCCAACGAACCUCUUACGGUUGGGGACACUGUGAUGAGGAAUGACGCAACGGCUGCAGUGGUUGCUAGAAAUCUUCUCACUCCUAGGGAUAGUAAGAUGCUUUCCAAGCGGUCCGACGAGAUGGCUGUUCAAGACUCUCUGGCCUUCAGCGUCCAAUGUGCGGGCUCAGUAUCAAACAUGGGCCAACGCCUUCUUGCUCGAUCUCGUCAGGUUGAGUCUUUGAUGGCCGAGGUGGCUAGUCUUCGGCAGGAGAUCAGAGGGCUUAGGCACGAGAAUAAAGAGUUGCAUAUGCUAGCAACUAGUUACUCAACGAGCAUGAAGAAGAAGCUAGACCAACUGCAGGAGUGUGAAGUUCGGGCUCGAAAUGAUCAUCAAAGGUUUAUGGCGUUACUCCCGAGGCAUCUUCUGCCUUCGUCAUCUGGCGCUUCACCAAAUGUUGAGGCUCCGGAAAAUCAAACUCUGGCGCUUCGUCUUUCUGGAGCUUUACCAAGUGUGGAGGCUUCAGUUGAUCCACCUCCGGUGCUUCGUCUUUCUGGAGCUCCGUCGAGUACUGAGGCACCACAUGAUCAUCCUUGAAGAUCCUUUCCUGUAAAUUUGAUUUGACUUUUUUUUUAAGGUAUGUAUAAUGUAAAAUUUCUAGAAAAAUAAAAUGGACUUUAUUUCUCUGAACAUGUUUUUUUUGUUUUUUUUUUUGGCUGUAUAUUUUCUCUUUAAUCAUGGUGCACCCAUUUUCCACAUGGUGCCAGACGGACCAAAGAUCAAACAUUUCCUUUUUUUAUUUUUUUAUUUUUUCUUUAAUCAUGGUGGCAGACGCAUAAACAAUUUCAUUUAUAUUUUUUUUUCUUUUUGCUGGCACAUGGUGCCAGAUGCACCAUUCAUUUAUAUAUAUUAUUAUAUAUGUUUUUUUUAUUUUUUUUUAUUUGCACAUGGUGCCUGAUGCACCACCUCUUUUUUUUUCACGUGGUGCCAGCAUCACUUUGCUCCACCAUCCAUUUUUUUUAUUUUUAUUUUCUGUAUAAAUUUGGGUGAUGGGUAGAGGAUUUUGCAGGCAGGGAGCAAGGAGGCCGAGAAGAUGGUGCUUCGAACUUCAUGACCGGCUAGUCGUUUGACGGCGGUCGUUGAAGUCGUUGGCAGUUGCGAGGCAAAAGACGGAGGAGAAGGUGGAGUAGGUGACCUUGAUGUCGGAUCCAGCUAGAACCCAGAGCACAGCGACUGAGCCCAAUCACCGAGCACAACCGCUGCACACCCGUUGUACUGCCACCGAGCACUGCCACUGCGCAUCUGUUGCACUGCCAAUUGCUGCAAAGGAUUAUGUUUAACGGCGGAGACGCUGCCCUAUUUGCCAUGCUAUGCCGACGUGCUUCACAUAAUUAACCAUCCAGAAUUGUUAAACAUUCCAUCUGGGUUUAUCGCAAAAACAGAAGAAGAAAAAAACCAAGAUCCAUCCAUGCCAAACACCAAUCUGCCAUCUUUUUGGGAUUUGUACGACAUCAUCAGCCAAAACCUGCUUGGUCCGCUCGCAAAUUGUGGGAGAGGAAGAGUUGGCGGAGCAGCUGUAACACUGGAAAAUGGAGGACGUUGACGAGUCCUCCAAGUUGUUCUUGACGUUGGUGCUGGAGAAACCUGCCUCUCUCAUGACUCUGCUGACACUUGGGUCGUCAAGGAUGGGGAUGAUGAGCUGCUCGAGCUCGACUUUGAUGGUUAAGAGCGGCUGCUGCUGCUGCUCGAUGCAGUCUCUUCUCUGAUGGGCUUGGGCUCUCUUGAGGGCGUUGGAGAGAGAGGGCUGCCCGUGGAGGAGAGGGCAUGGAGUUGUUGGGAGAAAUCAGGGCCGGAAUGGAAAAUAUUCCCGAGCUGCAUCAACGAGGAGAUAACACCGCUAAGUUAUUCAUCUGGUUUGCUUUAGUCAAAUGGAUCAAUCCGCGGGUCAUGCUCGCUUGCCAUCAUCAUCCCAGUGCACAGGCAUGUCGGGCACAUGACCUUUCCAGCACCAGAGCAAUUUGGGCACCUCUCAGUUGUGGGCACUCGCAAAGGUUGGUCUGAUGCACUAGAUGCUGAUAUAGGAUUGAUGUUCAAGCACACUCCACUUGCAGAACAUCUAGCACAGGCCAAGUACCCAGUUCCAUGGCAAUAUUUGCACCUUUUCUUCUCUUGCUGCUCAACAUUAUUAGCUUCAAUCAACAUCAAUGCUGAAAUGACACCCACUGCCCCACCGGAGAAGGAUGCCACAAUAGGAUCAACCUGACUUAAUUGUAAAGGCAGAUGCAUGCUACGAAUGAAAUCUUCAUACGAGGUACCUCCUAUACCUAAUUUUAGUUCCAACGAUGGCGCAAUGAGACCCCCAAAUACAAUUACACUAGAUAUCAUAGAUAAGCUUGUGAGGUAGAGCUGCUUCAACGUCUUUGGUGUCAUAUGAGGGAGAAAAGGGAUAGUGGAUGGAAUGUCAGGCAUCUCAUUUGACUCUUCCUCACAAGCCUCAUCCAUAUCUCUCGCCAUCUUUAUCCGUUGCUGCACCCGCAAUCUCCUUAGCUCUUCCAUGAGAAGAAAAAUCUUGUUGUGCCGGCUUCUUAUGUUGUCCUAAAUUUCCUGUAGUUGCAUCUGCACAAAGUCCUGCACCGUCUCCGGCUCUUCUAUGAUACAAAAAGUGCUUGGCGUGUUAUCGCCGGGGAAUGAUUCCUUGGAAGCAGAACAGGAAAUUUGGGGAUGCGGGGAGGUGAAUUUGGACAGAGAGAGACGUCUAGGGAUUCCAUGGGAGGGGGGUUGAGAGUGGUUUUUUGCCGGCGCCUCUAGGGUAGUCGUCGUUGGCUAUUGCUAUAGAGAGGUCAAUGACUUCACCGGAGAUGGCGUUGUUCUGGAGCCCGAGCGUGAGAAGCCGGGUGAGAUUGUCUGGAAAGGGUCCCCAGAGGUUGUUGUCGGCGAGGUCGAGAAGCUUGAGCUUGGUGCAAUUGACGAGAGGAGAAACGGUGUCGUUGAGGCGGUUGUUGUGGAGGUCGAAGAGUGAGCUGGGCGAGAUCAGAGAACCUUGACGAAUUCGGAGCGUUGAGGGUUAUCAACACGAUCCCAUCGACGAAGAAGAAGCAGAAUGGGCCUCUUGCGGGGCCUAUGGCAUCAACCGGUCUUUGGGCUUCUGGGCCAGUAAAUUGGAGAGAAGCCUGGGCUUUUGACUUGCAGAGAGAUUAGGCUCUGGGAGCCGCUUGUAGUAUUGUGGCUAAAGGGGUUGCUUCCUGUGGCCACUUAUAUAUAUAUAUUUUGUAAAUACAUAAAACAUUUAUCUCUUUUUUUUUCUUUUUUUUUUGUACAAAGAAAUUGUAAUAGCAUCAAAACUUUUAAUAAAAUCUUUAUUCCUUAUUUUGGUGUGACUGAACUCAAAUUUUGAAUAUUCGAGUUGCCUACGUACCUCUCCAAAGAAGAGAUCAAGUCGUAACGUAGUUCAAAUGAGUGAUGAAUUUAACAGUGAUUUUGAUGAUGAUUUUGUCGUACACAGUUUAUGCUCUUGCGGGCCAGGAGCUUUGGUUCGUGCAGUUUAGGCUCGUGCGAACAAGGAGUGUUGGUGUUGCCUUUUAUGCUCGUGCAGACCAGGAGCGUUGGUGUUGCCUUUUAUGCUCGUGUAGACCAGGAGCUUUGUGCCAUGCAGUUUAGACUCGUGCAGGCAAGGAGCGUUGGUGUUGCCUUUUAUGCUCGUGCAGACCAGGAGCGUUGGUGUUGCCUUUUAUGCUCGUGCAGACCAGGAGCUUUGUGCCAUGCAGUUUAGACUCGUGCAGGCAAGAAGUGUUGGUGUUGCCUUUUAUGCUCGUGCAGACUAGGAGCUUUGUUGUGCCAUGCAGUUUAGGCUCGUGCAGGCGAUGAGCUUUGGUUCAUGCAGUUUAGGCUCGUGCGAACAAUGAGCAUUGUGCCAUGCAGUUAGGCUCAUGCAGGCGAGGAGCGUUUAUUGGUUCGUCAAGCGAUCCAGGAGAGUCGUUCCUCGCAAUCUUCAUAGCAAGGAGCCUUGACUGAGUGAUUGAAGAAGUCUUUGGGGAAGAAAUCGCGCAUCGUGAUGGGGAUGGACGAUAUUUGUGUCGUCAUUUCAUCAUCUUCAACACUUUCACUUUUCUUUGAAGGUUGACAAGAGCUGCUUUGCCCCAUUUCCGAUUGGCGGACUUGUGGAUGAGACGUAUGCUUCUUCUGCAGUUUCUCUAGAGUGACAUGAGUCAUUCCUUCAACUUCGCUUGGCUCAACUGGCAUGGUUUUGGAGCAUGCCCCCAGCGAUUGAGGUGAAGAUUUUGAGUUGACAAAGCCGGAAGUGACGUCUUCUUCCAUGAUUUCAUCUUCUUUGUCUUCUUGGGCUUGUUGGCGUGAAGAUUGGCCGGCGUAGAUGAUGGUGCGCCUCUUUACCUUCAGUGGUCCUUUUGUGUCGACCUCCCAAGCUGUUUGGCGCUUUAUCCUUGAAUGAAUCAAGCUUCGAACGUCGUCUUUUCCUGCUAGACCGUCGAGCUUUUCUUCCUUUGGCGUUGUCUUCCUAUUUCUAGAAUGCUUCUUGGUUUCUUCAAGUUUUUCCAAAGCCGAUCGUUGGGGAGGAGAGCCAGCCUUGCUGCUUUGUUUCUUAGGUUUUGACAACCUUUCAAAAACAGAGCUUUGGGGUGUUGGCGUGUUAAGCCGUUUGAAGAUGGAAGUUCGGUCUUGCCCACCAAUGCGAUCAAGUGCCGACCUUCUGGGUUUUGAACGAUUCAGCCUAUCGAAGACUGACACUCGAAUAGGAGGUUGAGGCUCCUCUUGAUCUUGUUCAAUCCUCAAGCUGAUGUGUCGAGUGCUAGCAUUUUUUGCUUUACUUGAAAUCUUCACGGGUGCAUUUGGUGUGAAGCCAAGUCUAGCUCUGUUGUUGUCAACUCCGUAAUCAUGCUUUUCCAACUUCUUCUGAGUCUCGGUGAAGUCAUGAUCUUUGUCGUUGAUGGUGUUUGAAACCUUCUUCUCAAGAUUUGAAGAGGAAGCAAAGUCGUACCCAGCCUUUAACAUGAGUUCGUAGGCGUUUGGGUUGAGACCUUCUUCGGUCCUCUUAGUUGGAAUGAAGCUUGGGUUCGCUUUGACGCCAUGAUGCGCCUCCAGACGGUUGAUAAGUCCAACGGUUUGCAAGUUUUUCUCCUCCGCAGUCUUUAUCAGCCUUGCAAUUGUUUCCUUCAUCUGAACUAGUUGUUCUUCAAUAGAGGUAGCGCCGAUGGUCAUGACUUGUUCUUUGUUUGAAGCCAUGAAGUGUGCUUGAAUUUCUUGAACAGAGAAAGAGAUGAGAGGUAGAGAUUGUCCCACUGGGCGUGCCAAUUUGUGAACACGGAAAAUUCCCGAAACGAAAGAGACAAGAACAACGUGCACAAACAAAUAUUUUGUAUUUGAUGAUUAUUUUGGGUUACAAUCUCUCUCUAAUUUGAUCCUCUGAUUCGAUCUCCGUAAGGUAUUGGUUUGUGGAUGUGCGAUUGAUCCAAGGGCCGUCGAGGCUUGAUCUUGGAUGAACGGAUCUUCAAGGGCUUUUGGGCUUAAUCUUGAAGAAUAGUGAUGAACGGGUCUUCAAGGGCUUUUGGGCUUGAUCUUGAAGGAUGGUUGGAUGUGUGGAUUUGUCGACGUUGUUGAUCCAAAGGGCCGUUGGGGCUUGAUCUUAGGAUGAACGGAUGAUGAACGAAUAACACUUUCUUCAAGGGCCGUCGGGGCUUGAUCUUGAAUUGGUGAAAGUUCUUCAAGGGCCGUCGGGACUUGAUCUUGAAGGUAGAUGAUUGUUGAUCCAAGGGCCGUCGGGGCUUGAUCUUGGAAGAACGAUGAACGAAGAACGAAGAAGGCUUUCUUGGUUCUUCGGGAACCUGGAUGCUUGAGAGCUUCGGAGUUUCAGAGCUUCAGAGCUUCAAGGUGUAAUAUGAAUUUGGUUCCCCUAAAUGAAUGAAAUUGGCUUCUAUUUAUAGAAUUUUUCAAGGCCUAAUUUUGAAUAUAAUAUUCCAGAUGAAAUAAGUCGUUUCUGCCAAGUGUUGACACGUGUCUUAUUUGAUGACUUUUCCGACUCAUUUCAAUUUUUCGUCGAGUCACACACUACGUGUAAAAUUUAUGUAAUACAUGAGCGUUGAAACUUUGAUUUAUCAGUCAACAUUUAUUUACCAAAAUUUCGAUGUCUACAGUUAAAUGAUUUGGCUGUGUGCAUUGUUUCAGGACAAUUUGUUCUUCGUUUUUUGGGGCUUCUGUGCGUAGCUUUGAAGUCCUUUGUAGUCAACAUAAAUAAUUUUAUUUUUCUUUGUUUUUAGUCUUCUAUGUAAGAAUUUCUUAGUUAAUAUUCUGAGAAUUAUGUUUACUAUAGUAUGAAAAUUGAAUCUUUGUGAUCUUCGAAGUGUAACGUCAUUGCAACAUGGACGACUGCCAUUAUCGAACAUGAAAAACAUUUUGAUUUCUGUACUCCGUCUAGUAGAAAACUCUCGACUUCUUCAGAAACCACGAGAAACUUAAAACUGAGAAAGCUUCGCGGUCUCCCUUCCAUCUCUGCUACGCGGUCUCUGCUUUGCGAUCUCUGCUUCCUUCGUGAUUUCUUCCUUCCUGAACGACAUCUAUUCGAAUUGAAAACCUUCUGGAGCUCUCUUCCCCAAAUUUCAGCAGCAACUUUGCUCCAGAUCUUUCCAAUUGAAAUUCCUCUCCUUCACAUUUUGCAUAUUGAAUUUCGCAUCAUCAUCAUCUCCCUAGAACCUAGGAGUUCGGUUCGGUUUCGAGUUUUCCGACGGAAAUCCGGCGACAGCGGCCAUCGAGGUUGGUCUGAAACUAUUCCUCAUCACCACAGGUACUUUCUACACCUAUUACAUUUUAGAAAAAGUUUCAUGACUUUGUGGAAUCCAAUUUAACGAUUAGAAAAAUUUUCAUUAAUUUUCUGGGUUCGUGAGUUGGAGGGGGAUUAGAAAUUUUUUCAUUAUUUUUCUGGGUUUGUGGUUUUUUUUUUCCAAAACGUUUUUCCUUUCUACUAAUCCAAGUUCCUUCACAUCAAUCUCUCUGUUUUGUUCUUGAUCUUCCUCGAGUAGAAUACCUCUUCUUGCUCUGGAGCGCGUGGGCAGUCUCUCUAAGGCAGCCCAUGACGUCAUUUUCCGAUUCGACUCGGAGGAGGUUGGCUGCUCUUCUUGGCUGAGCUUCAUGGCUGGCCGAAUUCCCCUAUUCCCUUCCUCUUAUACUUUUUUAUAUUCGUUCACCAAAACAAUAGGAAAACGUCUCCGUCUGUUUGAUUGACGGCGAAAAAAAAAAAGACGGAGAAUAAAAGCCUGACGGAAGCUGAAAGCUUGGACUCUGUUUGUAUUUUUAAUGGAUUUUCAGAACACAGGUCAAGAAUAUUGCGAUUUGAGAAAAAAAGAAAGAACCACGUUGACAUAAUAUAUUCACAAUAGGUGUACAAGGUUCAUAAAGCUUUACUGUGGUUCCAUUUUUUGUUAAUGGAAUUAGCCUUUUGUUUUAGGAAGAACUUGGAACCCCCUCCGUCCAUUCUAUCCCCAAUGGAAUUAACACUUAGAUAGUACUAUGACAAUGUGUCAUUAUUUGAUGCAUACCUGUAUAAAUUUAGGCUAAGUGUUUUAUACACAAAUUGAUACAGAUUAACUAUACAAUGAUAACUAUAUACCGGAGAGCUAACUAUACAAUGAUACAUUCUUAUCUGUUAAUUAUCUUUGGUUACCAGCUAUCCAUGUUGCUGUCAUAUUAAACUACACAACAUCAGUUGUAAUUUAUGUCUUAUUAGUAUCAUCAUUUUUGUUCAUUAUUUCAAUGUCUAACAUAACUCCGCCUAUGUCUUACAUGGCCGGUCCCAAGCCCGGAUAAAGGAGGAGGGGGAGGGCGUCAGGUAGUCGACAGCCGGCACUCCAUGAUCACGUCGAAUCCUUAUGAAAAUGAAUCCAGAACAAAACCCCACUUAGUGGGAAAAGGCUUUGUUGUUGUUGUAUUUCAAUGUCUAACAUGAUGAUCUGGUUUCAAUUUGCUACAGGCAUUAUUUCCAGACAAUAGCUAUGGUUUUGAUUGUAGCGGUGACUGAAAAAUUAUUCCGAAACUAACAUUUGAGGAAUUCAAGGUUUGUUAGUUAAUUUGUACAUCAGAAUACCAUGACAAACUAUGAAGUUGUAAUUGUUGACCUUACAAUGUAUCUUUUUUGGUUUGGAGCAUUAGACUUAUAUGUGUUGCUUUCACCUCAUGAAGGCUAACUCUUUAUUUUAGGCCGUAAGAGUAUAAUUUCUUGGAGAAUCUACAUUGUUGAUAAUUUUUUGAACAAUAUUAUCCCCAAAAUUUCUCCGCAUGUUACCCUCAACGUAGACAUCAUAUAACCAUCAUUGAACUUCUGAACCAAAAAUUUGAGUUUUAUGAUUAUAACUAAACGUCUAUAAACACAUGAUACAGAUUGAGACGAAUGUCAAAUUUAAAAUGGCAUUAAUACAGCUGCAAACUCUGAUUUGCGGGAUUUGAAAUGGAGCAGUUACUUCUUGCUUCACUUCAGCAGCAUAGUCCAGCUUCUAAAUUCAGUUCUCAGGUAUGAGGUUUCUCAGUUACCUCUUUUUUGUAAUAAAACAUUUGAUCAGUACUUGCCAGGAUAUCCAAUUAAUUAGGUCAGUUUUUGUUAGCAGUAAUAAUUUGUUUUUGCAGCUUUAUAUGUGUCUCUGUCUCCAAAUAUGAUGAUCUCUUAAUUUGCUUCUAUAGCUUUUGUAAUAUAAUGAUCUCUUAAUUUUCUUUUGCAUAUCUUCUUUGCUUCCUCUGCUAGCUCUAUAUGAGAUUCCAUCUCCAAAUAAUUAUUCCUUAUUUCCUAUUUUUACCAGAAGCAAAUCAUUGAAUACACAUGGUAAAUUAAAAGGGUUUUAGUUUUUGGAGUAGUUUAAAUUUUUUGUUUGUUAUUGCUUGUAUUGCUGUUAAAUAUUUGAUGGGUAGUUUGAAAUGGGGAACUUGGUUGAUUGAGUAUUAACUUUUAUUAAAUUAAUAUUCUUAUUCAAUAUUGAAUUAAGACUCCUCUUAUUAAAUUAAGACUCUUAAGGCUCUAAUCUAAUGUUCAUGCUCAAUAUCUCCUCUAUCUUUCUACAAUUGGUAAAACUUUUGUAUUAUUAUUCCAAUUUUGGUUACUGGGUUGUGGAAUUUUCCAUUUUUUUUCUGGGUAAUCAAUACUAUAUAUAUGCAUGACAAGUAUAAACAAUAUUUUGGGGCAAAUUUAGUUGUUUAAUUUUUAAUUUUUAUGUGACAGUGAGAUUAUGGUAGGAUUUCGUUUAGAUUCUGCGGCCCAAUGGGAGUCUCUGCUUUGAUAAGAUUGGGGUUGAUGCCAAGAAAGCCAAUAAGCCUACUGUGGACGCCGUAGCCGCCUGGCGCUGUUUUCCAAAAUCCUCUCUCACUUGGUUAAGCAAUUAAGACUUUUUGGUUCAGUUUUUAUUAUGCCCAAUUUUGUAUUUAAACCUUAAAAAAAUUUAAACUGAUAUGGGGAUACUGAAAUAGGCUGCAGAGCUGCCAUCCCUGAAUCAGAAGAUGUUCAGAAGGAAGAAGAAGAACAAGAAGAAAGUCGUGGAAUAUCAAAAGCUUUUAGCUUUGUGAAGGUAUGCUUUUUCCCAACUCACCUCUUGCUUUUGUUGCACUGAAUUGGUAGAUUGGGUUCAAAAAUAUAUAUAUGUGAUUUUUCGUGUAACUAUUUCUUUACAUAAUUACCAAUUGGAGGUGAUUUGAGAUCAUGUAACAUUUCCUCGCUAGAACCGAAGAUUGCCGUCGCUCAGAGCUGCGUUUCAUGAAACAAGUUCAUCUCCUGCCAAUUUUGUGUACCCACCUUUUAUUCAUGAGGGUUGGUGCUUGCUUGCAACACAAUUUGGUGCUAUUAAGUUUUGCGGUUUUACAAUUUGUUCAUGCUUAAACCUCUUUCAAAUUUUCAUUUCUAUGUAAAUCUUGCAGGUAGGACGACACACCUAUCUUGGCAAUGUCGGGAUGUCUAGGCUUGGGUGGAGACGUGGUCUUAUGGAAGAGGUGAAGUAGCUUAGCUCGAUCUCAUUAGCUCUUAUCUGUUCUAUUAUGCUAAGAUCAAUAGUAAAAAGUUCUAUUGAUUUUAUAAUCAAAGAUACAUAUAUUAUAGAAACAGAGGGUAUAUAAUUAAUUUCUUGAUGUAAACAAUUAUAACUUGAGGAACCAUUUAAAGUAUUUUGGUAAUCAGCAUACUUAAACUUAAAUGUGAUAUAUCCGUUUAGUAUUUUUUUUAUACAGUGAUAAUACUUAAGUAUAAUUUACAUCAUAUAUCUUUUGAAGUACAUGAAACUAUGAAGAAAAUGAUAAACCAAAUCCCAUUCCAUCUCUGUUUGCUACUGCACAAUCACAAUCCAAUUCCAACAUGGAAUCCUCAGACGACAUGCCUACUGCAGAACAAGUUUCAUCCUGACUUAACUUAUAUUUAGUCCACGUCCUGUUUAGAUUGUAAUCCUAGUUCUACGUGUGUUUGUAUAGUACUCCUAUAAAUAUCAAUGAACAUCGCUCACUCUAAUUAAGAGUUGAGAUUCUGCAAAUCAUAUUUACUAUCUUUCAUGGUAUCACGAGCCAGCGUCUAACGACAACGGUUCCUAUUAUAAUUUUUUUCUCUUUUGCAGAUCCUAAACUAUGGCAUCUUCUUCCUCCUCCGCUGCUCCCUCCAUCACAAAUUUUCUUACGAUCAAGCUCGACCGCAACAACUACCCUCUUUGGCAUGCUCAGUUUCUUCCCUUGCUGCGCAGCCGCAACUUACUCUCUUAUGUUACUGGCGAAACUCAAUGCCCCUCUUUCUUCUUGAUGACAAUGGUAAAUUCACCGAUAAAGUCAAUCCAUUAUAUAAUGAAUGGAUCCAGACUGACCAGAUGAUCCUAUCUUGGAUUACGAGUUCUCUUACUCCCAAGGUUCUUGCUACGAUCGUCAACAAAAUUGAUUCGGCCUCUGCUUGGUCGUCAAACUCGAAUUAAUCUGAUUGUGAGGGUUUUGUUUUAUAUCAAUAUAUUGCAACAGAAGUCACACUUUGAAGAGUUCAUGCUGCACAGAAAGAUGAUGAAAUGCUACCCGUUGAGUCUAUCAUUGCUCCAUUGGAGACAGAGCUGAAGCUUACUGCAGGAGUUAUACAUUUGUUAUGCAAUAUGACCCCUUUAAUUUUAUUUUAAAACUGAUACAAAAAUACUACAAAAAUUUAUGUAGUAUUUUUGUAUCAGUUUUGAGUGUCUAUUUUGGCUUCCAUAUAUCGUCUGUACAUGUGAGAGGUAUAGUGUUCAAUAUGUAUUUGGUUUCUAUAUUGUUAAUGGAUCCUUUUUUUUUUUUUAAUUUUAAUAUAAUUUUAUUAAGGUAACCAAGUUGCAGGAUGACAUCAGAACACUUGAUCUGCAGGUAAACCUUCAAUUUCCAUAUGAAGUUUGCAUGUUCGUUGUUUCUGGAAUUUGAGUUUUUAUUAUUUCUCAAUUCUAUCACAUAGAUUACGAUUUCACAUAUGUGAUUAUUAAUGGCAAUUAUAUGAUAGAAGAAUUGGGAUUGGAAGAAGAUAUUGAGUUGUUUAUUUAUGGGGAUUAGAAAAUGAUUAUCAUACAAGUGAUAUUUAUUUUUGUGUGGAUUGUUAAUAUAUAAAACUAUAAGCUUUUGAGAUUGGGAGAUAAAACCCACAAAUUCAAAUCAGACAAAAUAAAUAAAAAAUUUAACUGACUUAAAGAUCAAACUCCAAAAGGGUAUUAAAAACAAGGCUUAUUUGAUCCAUUGAGUGUGAAAGUUUUGAGCUUUGAAGAAGCAUAGGAGGAGAGUUGUUAACCAAGCUGCAUUAUCCAUGUAUUAGGAUGUUGAGGGUAGGCAGGAAAAAUACUUUUUGACGCCAUAUCCAGAGGAGCAUAACGACAGGCCUGCAUUUUUGCAGCAAGGACCAAAACAAGUAGAAGUGAAGGCUUGACUGUUUGGGUAUUAAUCCUAAACCUAAUUAUUCUUAUUUAGGUUUAGGAUAAAUGAUUGAGUGUGUCUCGAUGAUUGUAUUACCAUGUUUGAUGAAUGACUUGAGGAGUUGGAAAUGGUUUAUUGCUUAUGUUUUUCUUAGGUGUGUACUUUGGUUAUUUCCGAGCUUUUCACGACUCUUGAUACCUAAUAGAGAAAAUGGAAACCCCAACUUUAAUUUUAUGAAUUGGUUUUGGUGCCUAAAAUGAAAUCUAGCAUAGUGAAAUCUUGCAUAAUGAAAUUAUGACAAAUUUCCCUUCAUCUUUAGAUUUUCAUUUAGUUCAAUUUGUAUGCAAUUUAGGGUUAUUCAAUUCAUGAGUGAUCAAAUUAUGUUUUUAAUUCCUUCUUCUUUUGAUUUACAGUUCAACAUUGUCGUACAAAAUGAAAAAGGUGCCAGUAACAUAGUUAUGGAUUUGGAUGCCUUUAGCGGAAUAAAACUGAAUUUUUUAACUUUGUAUAGUUGUAAACAUAAAAUACUCCAUCAGAUAGACUCAUAGCAUUUGAAAACAAUCCUUGAGGAUGGCAUAACAACAUCUCCAACUUUUGUCAUGUAAUGUAUGAAUGUAAAUAGCACUUUGUAAACAUAUGGAUGUAAUAUAUGUAUAUAAACAGUCUUUAGCAUGUAUAUUUUUCAAAACUUUCUACAUCUUCAACAAUGUUUCAAUGAUUUCUUGAUGUAAACAAUGAUAAUUUGAAGAACCAUUUAAAGUUUUCGGUAAUCAGCAUACUUAAGCUUAAAUGUGAUAUAUCCGUUUAGUAUUUUUUAUACAGUGAUAAUACUCAAGUAUAAUUUACAUCAUAUAUCUUUUGAAGUACAUGAAACUAUGAAGAAAAAACCCUAAUUAAUCUGAUUAUGGGGGUUUUGUUUUAUAUCAAAAUAUUGCAGCAGAAGUCACACUUUGAAGAGUUCACGCUGCACAGAAAGACGAUGAAAUGCUAUCUGUUGAGUCCAUCAUUGCUCCAUUGGAGACAGAGCUGAAGCUUGCUGCAGGUGGUAUACUUUUGUUCUGCAAUAUGACCCCUUUAAUUUUAUUUUAAGACAGAUAGGGUUGAAAAGAAUUUAUGUAGUAUUUUUGUAUCAGUUUUGAAUGUCUAUUUUGACUUCCAUAUUUGGUCUGUACAUGUGAGGUAUAGAGUGUUCAAUAUGUAUUUGGUUUCUAUAUUGUUAAUGGAUCUUUUUUUUUUGUUUUUUAGGUAACCAAGUUGCAGGAUGAAAACAAAACACUUGAUCAGCAGGUAAACCUUCAAUUUCCAUAUGAAGUUUGCAUUUUUGUUGUUUCUGGAAUUUGAGUUUUUUGCAGGAUGAAAACAGAACACUUAAUCUGCAGGUAAACACUUGAUUUGUUAUUUCCAAGCUUUUCACGACUUUCGAUACCCAAUAGAGAAUAUGGAAACCCCAACUUUAAUUUUAUGAAUUUGUUUUGGUGCCUAAAAUGAAAUCUAGCAUAGUGAAAUCUUGCAUAAUGAAAUUAUGACAAAUUUCCCUUCAUCUUUACAUUUUCAUUUAGUUCAAAUCGUAUGGUUUAGGGUUAUUCAAUUCAUGAGUGAUCAAAUUAGGUUUUUAAUUCCUUCUUCUUUUGAUUUUCAGUUCAGCAUUGUCGUAUUUUGGAUGCCUUUAGUGGAAUAAAACUGAAUUUUUUUAACUUUGUAUAGUUGUAAACAUAAAAUACUCCAUGAGAUAGACUCAUAACUUUUGAAAACAAUCUUUGAGGAGGGCAUAACAACAUCUCCAACUUUUGUCAUGUAAUGUAUGAAUGUAAAUAGCACUUUGUAAACAUAUGUAUGUAAUAUAUGUAUAUAAACACCACUCUUUAGCAUAUAUAUUUUUCAAAACUUUCUACAUCUUCAACAAUGUUUCAAGCCCCGCGGCAACGGGCGGGUACACUUGCUAGUAUACAUCUAAAAUUAUAAGACUAAAUCCUUUAGUUCUUGGAUUCAUCUAAGAACUACUUAUUCCAGCAGAUGCUAUGCUUGCACUACUAGAAUUUAUGGCUUGCCCUGUCAACUAUUGCGCGACAGAAGAUUUCGUCGGUUUCACCUUUUUUAACCGACAGAAUAUAAGUUUAGUAGGGCAAAAUCAGUCAACAAACUGGGUUGAUUGAAUAAAUUUACAGGAUGGCUAGAGUUCGUAGGUUAAGACAUCGGUCGUUGGGCAAACAUUUGGAGCGAAGAUGUGAGUGUUUUAACUGACGAAUAAGCUGGUCGUCAUGUAGAUCUUCUUUCCCGACGGACGGUUCAACAGGUAGCUCUUUGGAUAAUAAUUCAUCUUCAAGGGGAACAGGUUGCCCCUCAGAUGAAUGGUUAGAGGCAAUUGUGAGACUAUAAUUUUCUAGGGCCGGAAUAAAAAAUACAUAAACCCUCACCUAUUCUGUCUCUGUAACCAUCCACCAAAUACCCAUUUUUCCCUUUCUAUUUCUCUCCUAGUAAUUUCCCCUGACCGAAUCACACAAUCCAACCAACUCUCUUUAAGCCUCCCUCACUGAUUCCAUGGAUUUCAUGGACUUAUCCCACCCUCUCUCCUUCCUUCUAUAUAUAGCAAGUCCCCUUGCCUCAGUGUCCCUGGCAACAGAAUUUAUGGCGUUUCUUCGUUCUUUCAAUUAUUUGAAAGCUUCCCUGCCCUGCAAUCUUGUAUAAAGGCGUAUGGUGUUUCAUCAGUUCCAUUUGGUGGUCGGGUGGGAAAUGAAAUUAAAACACUGCAUUUCAAAUGCAUUUCAAAUGGUCUAAACCAAAUUGAAUCAAAUGUGAAGCAAAGGGCAAGAGGUGUAGAUUGAAGAACAAUGGCACCAAGAGCGAAAUUGAACUUGUUGACAGGAGGAAACCAAGUAAGGAUAACACGUCUAAAUCUUAUUUUGAAUCCAUUCAGCUCAUGAUGUUUUGAAUGAUGAUGAUCGGUAUACUCUGCUACAUGCUGUGAUUUUUCCGCUUUCAUGUAAUUAACGGCUUAUAUUUGUGGUAACCAUAUUGAUUAAAAAAGGUCGUACCCAGUGCACAAGGCUCCCGCUUUACGCAGGGUCUGAAAGGUGAAUGUCGGCUAGCCUUACCCCCAUUUUAUGGAGAGGCUGCUCCAAAGUCUCAAACCCAAGACCUACCGCUCAUGGGCGAAGACACUUGCCAUCGCACCAAGUGCGAUAUUGAUUAAUUUCGAGAAAUGACAGUCUAAUUUUUGCAACUGUCUUUUGCAGGCAAAACAAAGACGUUUGCAAGGGUGAGUUGUGUAGGAGCUUUGUUUCAUGUCCAAAGGACACUUGAGAAUAAAUGUUUACACUCAUGGAUAAUAUCUAUCUAUUUGCAGGAGUAACCCUGGGUUCAUUUGUUCUGUAACUGCUGGUCAUUGCGGCAUAUCACGCCUAUAGCACUGACAAAAGUAAAAAGAGAAUCGAAUGAAAUUUGAUAAGUUUUCAGCGGACUACAAAGAUCUUAAGCCAAGCAUAUAUUCCCAUGCAGAUAUUAAGAGGUUUACAAAUCAAUUCAAGUACAAGUUGGGCCAAGGAGCAUACGGAACUAUUUUUAAAGGAAUGCUUUUUUCUGAAUGCUUUGUUGCCAUGAAGUACUUAACAAUGGGCCAUAUUCACCAUGUCAAUGUGGUUCACUUGGUUGGUUUUUGUGCUGAUGGAUUUAGAUGAGCUCUGGUUUAUGAGUUCUUUUCCUUUGGUUCACUCCAGGAUUAUAUUUCAUCAGUAGAUAGAUUUCUUUCCUUGGUUGGCAUAAGUUACAAGAUAUUGCUAUCAGCAUAGCCAAAGGAACCAAGGAUGUGAUCUACAAAUCCUCCAUUUCGAUAUCAAACCCCAUAAUGUUUUGCUCAACCAAAAAAUCACGCCAAAAAUCUCUGAUUUUGGUCUGGCCAAGUUAUGUUCCAAGGAUCAAUCGGCGUGACUAAAGCAAGGGGGACUAUGUGACUAAAGCACCCGAAGUGUUUUCCAGGAAUUUCGGAAAUGUGUCUUACAAGGCAGAUGUCUUGAAUGCUGCUGCUUGAGAUGGUAGGAGAAAAGAAGAAUAUUGGUUCAACCAGAGGACACGACAAAUGAAAUCUACUAUCCAAAAUGGAUUUAUAAUCUUCUAGAGGAAGGAAAUGACCAACAGAUCCCUAUUGAGGAAGAAUGUUAUGGUAAGAUUCCAAAGCAACUUGCAAGUUUAGGGCUCUGGUGCAGCCAGUGACACUCAGUGGAUCGGCGGUCCAUGAAAACGGUGGUUCGGAUGUUAGGAGGAGGAGAAAACUUGAUGAUGCAAGCAACCCUAAAAGCCUCAUACAGUUAGAAGCAAUUGCUGAAUUAGAGUAACAUACGUAUAUGUAUACGCACCAACACAAGUCGUUCUUAGAUGAAUCCAAGCCAAACAAUUACAGACAAUAGUUAUUCACUAAAUCACUUUAAGGCAAGAAUUUAAUUAAUAAUACAUUACUGCACUUUCUUAACCAUUUGACUAUCACCUAGCUGACAAUGAACACGUUAGCUCCGCGUUAGAACAUCUUGGGUUCAAUUCAUUGUCUUGAAUAUCACCCACUGUCACAGGCGUCUUUUGGGGGCAUAGAGAAGGCCUGAGAGGCAUUUGCAGACAUUCAACAUCUCCUCCAAGCAUUUUGACAACUUUGGACAUCGAAGGGCGAUCACUUGGUUUCAUUUGAAUACACCACAAGGCGGUUAUAACCAUCUUUCUUAUUACUUUCUUUUCCUCCUCUGUAACAUUGUCCAUUUCCAAGUCAUUUCCUACAAUAUACUGAUCGUAUACCCACAUUGGGAAGUAGAUUUGGCUUGAAUGCUCUACCGUUGGAUUCAAAUUCCUCCUUCUGCUUGCCAUUUCCAUCAACAACAUUCCAAAACUAUAGACAUCUGACUUAUAUGAGACGCCUCCAAUAUUUUUGUAGAACAACUCAGGAGCAAUAUAUCCCAGUGUACCCCGUGCUGCUGUCAAAGAGACAAUGCUAUUAUCUACAUGAUACAAUUUUGCAAGCCCAAAGUCAGAAACCUUUGCUUUAAAGUUCUCAUCAAGAAGGAUGUUAUGAGGCUUGAUGUCGAAAUGUAGAAUUUGCAUUUCGCAACCUUGGUGUAGAUAUUCGAUCCCUUGAGCCACUCCAAGAGAAAUCUCGUACAUGUUCUUGAUAGUUAAGGGGACACUUCCUUCUUUGGAAUAAAUGUAUUUAUCAAGAGAACCAUUAGGCAUGAAGUCAUAGACUAGAGCGCGUUUUGAUCCCUCAACAUAGUAUCCAACAAGUUGCACCACAUUGGCAUGGUGAAUCCUUCCGAUUGUAGCUAAUUCGCUAAUGAAAUCUUGGCCAUCAGCUUUGGGCUUGGCCAAAACUUUAACUGCUACAAAUCGACCACUGCGUAGCUUUCCCUUAAAUACAGAGCCAAAGCCACCUUUGCCCAACUUGUCCUUAAACUUGCGAGUCAUUUUCUUGACGUCCGAGUAAGAGUACCUUAUAGGCAUGAAGUUGUUAUUGCAUUGCAGAAAAUCUUCUAUUGUGCUAUACAUUGAUAAAUGUCUUCUGCGCCAUGUGUAGAUUAGAAAUGCAGUCACAAUUGGAACUCCAAAAACAAAUCUGGCUAGGAAAAAUAACCCUACAUGCAUUGACAUUAAUAUGUUAGAUCCACUGCGUACUACUUUUUCUUCCCUUUCUUUCCAAAUUACUUUGUCUUUGAUGUAAUUAAAGAGAGAAUGGGAAAUGUACAUAUGUUGAUAAUACAAUCUCGUCUUAGUCCUUACCGAUGCAUAUGAGUAUAAACCAUACACGUACUGCAACAAAAUCAAUCGACUAUGAGUUUGAAAAGUGCAUAAAGUGAAAAAAAAAUAAAAAAAAUCAAAGGGUGCCUUUAUUGACAUCCAAAUUUUAGUUAGUUUUACUCAACUAAAAAAUUUUUGUCAUCAAACUUUUUAAUUUGCCGUCGAAAUUGAGUUCACCCAACCCACAAAGCAGCAACUACCACUCACCAAAAAAACCAACAACACACAGCCACCAGUACCAUUCACCAAUAGAAAGAGAAGGAACACACAGACCCACCAAGGAGCCGGCAUCGACGCGUCUACGAGGGAGGGACCGGAGGGUGGUGUAGUUUUGUUGGGCGCGCGGUAGUGGUUUUGUCUGUUCAUUUUCUCUUUGUUUUGGUAGGUGGAGGCUGGUGUGGAUUUGGGCGAACUUAAAAAUGAGGGGAAACUAUGAAGUUUGACAAAAUGUUUUAGUUAGGUGAACUUCACUAAAAUUUGGGUGCCGAUAAAGAUACCCAAAAUCAAAAGACUAGAUGGACUAAUUAAAUGAAGCUCUUACCCAUAUAUAACGAUGGACGCAACUUGCCAGCUGCUGCAGUACAUACCACGGAAAAGUGAGCAAAGACAUACAGUUACUAGGUUUAAGAAGUACAGAUAGAGCACACAAAAAAUAAAAGAAGCUUUUGGGAAGAAACUUCUUACGCAAAUAGAUUUUUUUCAUGACCUACAGUAAAAAAAUGUCAAGAAGAAUACACAACAUUAGCAAUAGCUCACCCAGUCUUCAAAAUUUAAAAAAUCAAGUUUGUCGAUCGAAAACUUGUAAAUAAAACAAAAAGAGGACCCCUUACCGAUUUGUUGCCAUAGAUAUUGAAAGAAACCUACAAGAACAAAGAAAGAACAAGACCACAUGCAUUAGAAUAACAAGUGUGAGGUGUAUAAGCCGUUAGAAAAUAAAUUUAAAAUUCUAGUGCUGUCAAUACAUUGAUAAUAUAUAUAUAUAUAUAUAUAUAUAUAUAUAUAUGUAUGUAUGUAUUAUUUUUUCUGAAAAUUUAACUUUUCCCGUCCAAACUCAUUUUUCUAGUCUCUAGCCCAACAUAUAAUAUUUAUCUGAAUAAAACCAAAUGAUUAGGAUCCAACUAAGAAACUUACCAAAUUAAGUUUGUGUGUCCAUUUUUAUAUUUUUUGGAUCCCUAAUAUACCCCAUCUAAGCCAGUAUGGAAAGGUCUUGUAAUUUUGCUUUAAGUGAUUACGUGCAUUGAAUUUGGCAAGGUCUUAUAGCCAUGAAAUAUGGUUCUAGAUGGAGGAAUUAAUUUGGAAUUUUUUUUAAUUUCGACAACAAAUUUCAAUUUGAAUAUACCUAAUUUAGUGUUUAUUUUCAACAAUAAAUGUGCCUACUUUUUAAAUUUGUAACAAAAUUAAUUUACCUACUUUUUAUGGUAUUAGUGACACACCCUGUCCCGAAGGAGGGCAUGCUGGCCGUCACGAGAGAGUGACGUAACCAUUUGCACAGUACGGAAGCUUUAAGAUACAAUUUAUAAGUUGAUACACCCGAAGGUGAGUCCUAAUUUUUGUCCAAUCUGUCAGAACACCGUCAAAUUCCUCGUAGUCACCACACCUUUGUGAUUCCUGAACCUGGAGGGGCGCAAAACCAAAAUUGAGUGGGUCAGUAAAACAAUUCUUUUCCAAAUCCAAACAUUUCUCAAAACGUUGUAACCCUCUCCGUAAAACUUGUAUACUUUCCCAGAAAUGUAAAAUAUAAAUAUACAUAUAUAUUCUCAAACUUCAUUUUUACUAUCUCAACAUUUUUCUUUAUCAAACAUGCCAUGCCAUGUCUAAUUCAACAGUUAAGUAUGGAUGCAUCAACAAUAAUCAUAUCAGGUGCAAGAAAGUAAUCAACCGGAGGCCCUCUAAUAGCCCUGUACGGUUGAACCUAGAGCUCAAAAUCUAUCACUCUCACUCUGCCGGGAGUCACCUCUGUGACCUGUCCGGCCUUCUGCACACAAGUUACGCUCUAGUGCUUUCUCAUCAAUCAUCUGUGCACAUAAUCUAAGGUCACCCACCAGUCGAAAUCUCACUAACACUCUUCGACUGGCCCGUCGCACCCACUCCGCGUGGACUGUGCGACCAGCAUCUACUUGGAUCCAAGGCGAGCGUGCGAUGCGGUGAAUACUAUAAGCACUAAACCAUGGUGCAGGAUUUGAGCUCAAUAUAUAUCAACAUCAUCAUAACAGUACUUAAAUACUCACCUGAUACUCACCUGUGCGUCCGCCGCACCAAUUCAUACAUAUGCAUCAUAUUUCAAUUCAUAUCAUUUCAUGCAUGGCAAUUCGAUUCACAUUUCUAUAUACAUUUCAUAUACUUCUAUGCAUGACCUUUCAAUUCACGUUUUCAUAUAAUUCUAUAUACCUUUCAUUUAAAACAUAAUUUCAUUCUAAUUCAAUUUCUGGGAAAACGUCAAGUAUAUAUAUACGGAAAACAAAACUGCCCACUCACCUGGAGUUCGUCCAACAACUCCCUAGCACCACACAUCAAGGCGUCAUGACGAUCGCCGUCUAGAACAGUAAUCAAAUCCAGCCUCAGAAUUCAUAUCGAUAGAACAUAUAACUUAUAUAAAAUAUGUCACUACGUAGAUCGAUCCGGAAGAUCUGCCACUCAGAUUUUAAAUCCAUAACUUCCAGAGGUCCACAAUAUAUCUCUAGGAUAACAUCCUAAAAUUUCAUUACCAUCCAACGGUCGGAUCUCCGUCAAUUUCCAAAACUAAGUGACGGUUAACAUUUUAUUUUAUGAACUUACAAUUCUAAUUCCGGAAGAUCCGUAACUCGGAUUCCCAAUCCGUAAGUUCCAAUAAUCCUCAAAUAUUACGUAUUACAACGUAUCAAAGUUUGGUAACGAUCCAACGGUCGGAUCAUCAAUUCACAUUUUCACCUAAUGCGAAAACUAUAAAACGUUAUUCGAACACCUAACCAACAAUCCUUAAUAACUUUCUCAUACGGUGUUCAAUUUGGGUAUAUGAAUAUACCACAGUGAUCUACUCAUUAAAAUAAUUUUUUACUGUAGCACGCGCCCCCACGCGCCAAGGAAGGCACGGACCUACGCGCCCCCACGCGCACCUUCUUCUUCCUUGGGUCGCCGGACUGGUUUUUCCGGCGGCCGUUUUUCAAAUUGCCAUAACUUUGUCAUUUCUCAACGAAAUCAAGUGAUUCAAAAACGAAAGUUGUAGCCCUUGAAGAGACAAAGAGAAUGGUACCUUGCACAACACCUAGUUCGCCGUGGUUUGGCCGGAAACUGCUUCGAAAGCCUCGGAGGUCGCCAGAAACUGGGUAUUUUUCAAAUCAGUAUAACUUCUUCAAUACUCAACGAAAUUGAGUGAAACAAAAAGGAAAGUUGUAGUACUUGACGAGACGAAGAGAUUGAUACCUACCUCGACUCCUAACUCACCGGAUAUUCGCCGGAAAAUGCCUCGAAAGCUCCGGCCAAACUUUGAACUUGUCGAUCUCCGUGUUCUUACAUCCAAAAACUUCCAACGAAGCACUCCGAGCUUCCUUGGGACCUCACUAAGCUCGCUAUGAUCUUGUUUUAGCCUAAAACGUAGUCAUUUAGAAGAUCAUGAACAAUACCAUUUCACGGGAACUUUGAAACUAGGGUUUUCCGAAGCAAAACUUACCUGAAAUGGAUACCAUCGUGAUCGUGGAGGUUCCAGGAGUUUGAUGGUGGUCUUAACUCUGUCGUUGGUGGAAGUUUAAGGUUGUUUUGUGGUUGGUUUGUUCGAACGGAGAAGAAGAGUGACAGAGAGAGUGAGAGAGUCGUGAGGGAAGAGAGAGAGAGACAGCAUGCAGAAAAUAGGGAGAGGAUUGAGGGGUGUGGGGAUCCCACGUGGUCCUUUUCCAAUCCCCAACUCCAAACCAUAAAAUUUUAACCUAAAAAUCUAAGUUCAAUCCUUAAUAAAUUCCAUUUUAUUUUCAAAACUUAGGAACCUAGAUAAUUAUCAACUUGAGCUUCACAUACUUAGUAUUUCUUAAGGGCAAUUUCGUUCAUUCACAGCCACGAAUGUAAUAUUUUGGAACGGGCUGUGACAAUUAGUAUACAUAAAUGUAGAAUAUAUGUCCGUAUAUAUUUGAUCCAAUUAGUAUUAGGGAGAAUGACAAGUCAUCCAAGUCUGCUACUGUUAAUAAUUCUGUUACUGUAAAUUAACUGAUUGUAUUAGUUGUGAUUAGUUAAGAUAGUUAUAAAGUAGUUAGGGGUAUCUAUGUAAAUAGCCAAAGGCUAUAUAUAUUCCUACACAAUGUGUAAAGUUCUCAGUCAAGUAAAUACAAUCAAGAAAACUUACUGUUGAAGUUUUCUGUUUCUACAUGGUAUCACGCCAUUCCGCUUCACAGCUUCGAUCUUUCUCUUCGCUUGCUGCAUCGAUCGACUCUUGAUCGAUUUUUCUUCUCUGAUCUUCUCUUCGCUUGCUGCAUCGAUCGACUCAUGAUCGAUUUUUCUUCUCUGAUCGUCACUUCUUCCCUUCCGAUCUUGUAGUAUUUUCUUGAUUUCUGUCAGUAAUGGCGGCUCAAUCGACUGGUUCAUCUUCUCCGGUCAUCUCCCCCUCGAGCCCAAACCCUAAUUUUCUCUGGAAACCCUAAUUCCUCUGGAAAUCCGAGUCCUCUGACUUCCUACACUUCUCUCUCACAAUUCAUAACAUCGGCAGCAUGGUGCCGAUCAAGCUCAAAAGAUCCAAUUACCUACCAUGGCGCGCCCUGUUUGGCCCGAUUUUCCGGCGAUACAAGCUUCUUGGAGUAAUCGAUGGUACUGACGUCUGUCCAUCGCCAUUUCUGCCUGAUCGUAGCAUCAAUCCUGCUUUUGAGGACUGGUAUGAGAAAGAUCAAAAUCUUUUUGAUCUGGUUGAAUUCCACACUUUCUGAGGAAAUCAUCCCGUUCACGGUUGGGGUUUCAUCCUCUCGAGAACUUUGGGUAAAGCUUGAACAGCGCUUUGGUGGAAUUUCAGAGGCUCAUAUCCAUCAGUUGCGAUCGCGCCUUCAAUCUGUUCAGAAAGGAUCGCGUUCUAUCUCUGACUAUCUUCAAGAACUCAAGGAAAUUUCAGAUUCUCUGCAAGCUGCUGGUGCUUCUGUCUCUGAUCGAGAUCUUAUCGCCGCCACACUACAUGGCUUGCCUGAUGAAUUUGAGUCUUUCAUCGACUGUAUCAUGCUCCGAUUGUCCUCUACCUCUCUGAUGAACUUCAUGGCCUCCUUCUCACAAAGGAAUUGUCUAUGGCCAGACGCAAAACUGUCAGUUCAUCUCCUGUCCCUGAAUCUUUUCAGGCUUUCUCGGUGCAGUCUCAGCCUCAUCUCCUUCCUACUCCAUCUGCUUUUGCUGCUCAGAAUCUCCCUCUUCAAUCUGCAUCUCGGUUCAACUCUAAUCGUGGCAGGAACACUAAGGGCCAGUUCUUUUCCAAUCGAGGUCAUCGAGGUAAUCGUGGUAAUUUUCCUAAUAAACCGUGGCAAUCGAGGUUAUCAAGGAUUUCGCAGCAAUCAAGGCUCUUCUCACUUCAAAGUGCUUUGUCAAAUCUGUGGUUCUACCAGUCAUGAGGCUAUUGACUGCUUUGAUCGUAUGAAUCCUGACAUCUUGUGGUCGUAUUCCUCCAGCUAAGCUUGCUGCCAUGUGUGCCACAACAUUCUGCUAAACCAUCUCAGCCUUGGUUAAUUGAUUCAGGGGCAACCUCUCAUAUCACUAAUGAUGUUGCUAACCUCACCUCUCCUACUCCCUACACUGGCGAGGAUUAAAGUGUAUAUUGGAGAUGGUAAAGGUUUAUCCAUCCUCAAUGUUGGUUCAUCUACUCUGCACACCUCUCAUAAUUCUUUUCAAUUGCGAAAUGUUUUACAUGUUCCCCACAUAACCCAUAAUCUUAUCUGCUUAUCAGUUUUGUUAAUGAUAAUAAUUGUUCAUUGACACUUGACCCUUAUGGAUCCUAUGUCAAGGAUCGUAUUUCGGGGAAGAUGCUUUUACGGGGACCGGUUAGAGAUGGCUUCUAUCCUCUUCAAAGUUCCAGCAAUCUUCAUCCUCUUUCACAUACCGCUUUACUUAGUAUUAAAGCUCCAGUUACAAUUUGGCACAAGCGUUUGGGUCACCCUUCCUCCUCCAUUUUUAGAAGGCUCCUUUCAUCCAAUAAUCUUGCUUUACAAGGCAAGUCUACUGUGGACUUUUUCUGUUCGGAUUGUGCUCUUGCCAAGAAUCAUAAGCUUCCAUUUAAAGCUGCUACUUCAUCAUCAACUCACAGCCUUCAACUACUGCACUGUGAUCUGUGGGGACCUGCCUCAAUCACAUCAAGUAGUGGUUUUCAAUAUUAUUUGCUCAUUGUUGAUGACUAUAGCAAAUAUAGUUGGUUCUUUCCUUUGAAAUCUAAGUCAGAUGUAUUUUCUACAUUUGUUGUCUUCAAAUCAUAUGUAGAAAAUUCACUUGGAAAUAAAAUAAAGGUUCUGCGUUCAGAUUCAGGGGGUGAAUUUACUAGUCACUCUUUUGCAUCAUAUCUCAGCAAACAUGGCAUUCUUCAUCAGUUCAGUUGUCCCCACACCCCUGAGCAAAAUGGUUGUGCAGAAAGAAAGCACAGGCACCUUGUUGAAAACAGCUCGCACUUUGCUUCUUGCAUUCUCAUGUCCCUCAUAUUUUCUGGGUUGAAGCAUUCUCCACUGCUAUCUAUCUUAUUAAUCGCCUUCCUAUUUCUGGCAUUUCACAGUCCCCUUGGCAGUUGCUAUUUCACAACCAUCCAGACUACUCUAAGCUCAAAGUAUUUGGUUGCCAAUGCUUUCCUUGGCUCAAACCUUACUUUCAUAGCAAAUUGGAUCCCAAGAGCAAAAAGUGUGUUUUCUUGGGGUAUAGUCUUCAACACAAAGGCUAUAGGUGCCUUGAUCCUAUCACCAAUCGCAUCUACAUCUCUCGUCAUGUCUGUAUUCGAUGAAAGUACUUAUCCAUUUCAGUUGUCCCACAUUCAACACUCUUUUCCUGUUCCAAGUCCUCCAUCUUCCUCACCAACAAUUUCUUCCUCUCUGGAUCUUCAUUUUUUAGCAAACACAUUCCUCCUGUUUUCAGUCAGCCAUCUACAUCACCAUUAUGUGCUUCUGUGCCUGUUCCUAUUUCUUCAUCUUCAUCUUCCCCUGCACCUGUCUCAGUUGGCUCUUCUUUCCAGUUUUGUUCCUCCUUCAGCACAUUCAUCUUUCUCCCAAAAUCAACAGAGUCAUCCUCCUGCCCCUGUUAAUUCUCAUCCAAUGAUUACUAGAUCCAAGGCUGGUAUACUCACGUCGAGAGCCUGUGCAGCAACUAAGCACCCACUUCCGGUUGAUAUGGAUUAUGUUCCUACAACAUACUUGCAAGCUUCUAAGCAUGCUCAUUGGAGGCAAGCUAUGCAAGAUGAAUUUAAUGCCUUGCUAACCACUGGUUACUUUGGUCUCUUGUUCCUUCUCACCAUUCUCAAAACUUAGUGGGCUGCAAGUGGGUUUUCCGGAUUAAGAAGAAGCCCGAUGGCACUGUUGACAGAUAUAAAGCCCGGCUUGUGGCCAAGGGUUUUCAUCAACAAGAAGGUAUUGACUUUUCAAGAAAACCUUCAGUCCAGUUGCCAAACCGGUUACAAUUCGGAUCCUUCUUACCCUUUGCUGUGCAAUAUAAUUGGUUUCUCAAUCAAUUGGACAUUAGUAAUGCCUUUCUUCAUGGAGACUUAAAGAGAGGAUGUCUACAUGCAACAACCCCCUGGUUUUGUUGAUCCCUUUACCCUACAUUUUGUAAGUUGAGGAAAUCGUUGUAUGGUCUCAAACAAGCUCCUCGAGCUUGGUUUGAUAAACUGUUCCAAGCUCUUCCUCUCUUGGAUUCACCCAAUCAUCCUCAGAUGCUUCUUUAUUUGUUCUCAAUGGUCCUCAGUUUAGUCAUUGUCCUUGUCUAUGUUGAUGACAUUCUUGUCACCGGACCCUAUCCUUACCUCUGUCAACACUUCAUUCAGCAACUUGGGGCUCAAUUUCCAGUAAAAGACCUUGGUCCUCUUCAUUAUUUCUUGGGAUUAGAAGUACAUCGAUCUUCCCAGGGUAUAUUUCUCCAUCAAACAAAGUACUUAUUGGAUCUUCUCAAGAAAACAAAUAUGGAGGGUGCAAAACCUUGUUGUACUCCCCUUGGCUCUAAGAAAUUAGAUCACAGUGGCCCUCUUCUGUCCAAUCCUACUGAAUAUCGCUCCAUUGUUGGUGGUUUACAAUAUCUUACUUGGACUAGACCCGACCUUGCUUUUGCUGUGAACCAAAUCUGCCAAUUCAUGCAUGCUCCCAGGGAACAACAUCUCCAGGCAGCAAAAAGGGUUCUCAGAUUUCUCAAAGGCUCUAUCUCACAUGGUGUGUGGUUCACUAAAGGCCCUGUCCAUCUUUCUGCCUACUCGGAUGCCGACUGGGCUGGUUGCACAAUUGACAGGAGAUCAACCACUGGUUAUUGUGUAUUUUUGGGUUCCAAUCUUAUCAGCUGGAGUGCCAAGAAGCAAAGUACUGUUGCCAAGGUCCUCUACAGAGGCUGAAUAUCGCUCCUUAGCUCACACAGCUGCUGAGAUAACUUGGGUUUGCAGAUUCUCAAAGAUCUGCACUAUCCUCUCUCUUACAUUCCCUACUUUUGGUGUGACAACAUAUCAGCAAUAUCUUUAGCAUCUAAUCCUGUCUUUCAUGCUCGAACAAAGCAUGUUGAGAUCGAUUAUCNGAAGUUUUCUGUUUUCUACAUGGUAUCACGCCAUUCCGCUUCACAGCUUCGAUCUUUCUCUUCGCUUGCUGCAUCGAUCGACUCUUGAUCGAUUUUUCUUCUCUGAUCUUCUCUUCGCUUGCUGCAUCGAUCGACUCAUGAUCGAUUUUUCUUCUCUGAUCGUCACUUCUUCCCUUCCGAUCUUGUAGUAUUUCUUGAUUUCUGUCAGUAAUGGCGGCUCAAUCGACUGGUUCAUCUUCUCCGGUCAUCUCCCCCUCGAGCCCAAACCCUAAUUUCUCUGGAAACCCUAAUUCCUCUGGAAAUCCGAGUCCUCUGGACUUCCUACACUUCUCUCACAAUUCAUAACAUCGGCAGCAUGGUGCCGAUCAAGCUCAAAAGAUCCAAUUACCUACCAUGGCGCGGCCCUGUUUGGCCCGAUUUUCCGGCGAUACAAGCUUCUUGGAGUAAUCGAUGGUACUGACGUCUGUCCAUCGCCAUUUCUGCCUGAUCGUAGCAUCAAUCCUGCUUUUGAGGACUGGUAUGAGAAAGAUCAAAAUCUUUUGAUCUGGUUGAAUUCCACACUUUCUGAGGAAAUCAUCCCGUUCACGGUUGGGGUUUCAUCCUCUCGAGAACUUUGGGUAAAGCUUGAACACAGCGCUUUGGUGGAAUUUCAGAGGCUCAUAUCCAUCAGUUGCGAUCGCGCCUUCAAUCUGUUCAGAAAGGAUCGCGUUCUAUCUCUGACUAUCUUCAAGAACUCAAGGAAAUUUCAGAUUCUCUGCAAGCUGCUGGUGCUUCUGUCUCUGAUCGAGAUCUUAUCGCCGCCACACUACAUGGCUUGCCUGAUGAAUUUGAGUCUUUCAUCGACUGUAUCAUGCUCCGAUUGUCCUCUACCUCUCUUGAUGAACUUCAUGGCCUCCUUCUCACAAAGGAAUUGUCUAUGGCCAGACGCAAAAACUGUCAGUUCAUCUUCCUGUCCCUGAAUCUUUUCAGGCUUUCUCGGUGCAGUCUCAGCCUCAUCUCCUUCCUACUCCAUCUGCUUUUGCUGCUCAGAAUCUCCCUCUUCAAUCUGCAUCUCGGUUCAACUCUAAUCGUGGCAGGAACACUAAGGGCCAGUUCUUUUCCAAUCGAGGUCAUCGAGGUAAUCGUGGUAAUUUUCCUAAUAACCGUGGCAAUCGAGGUUAUCAAGGAUUUCGCAGCAAUCAAGGCUCUUCUCACUUCAAAGUGCUUUGUCAAAUCUGUGGUUCUACCAGUCAUGAGGCUAUUGACUGCUUUGAUCGUAUGAAUCCUGACAUCUGUGGUCGUAUUCCUCCAGCUAAGCUUGCUGCCAUGUGUGCACAACAUUCUGCUAAACCAUCUCAGCCUUGGUUAAUUGAUUCAGGGGCAACCUCUCAUAUCACUAAUGAUGUUGCUAACCUCACCUCUCCUACUCCCUACACUGGCGAGGAUAAAGUGUAUAUUGGAGAUGGUAAAGGUUUAUCCAUCCUCAAUGUUGGUUCAUCUACUCUGCACACCUCUCAUAAUUCUUUUCAAUUGCGAAAUGUUUUACAUGUUCCCCACAUAACCCAUAAUCUCUUAUCUGCUUAUCAGUUUGUUAAUGAUAAUAAUUGUUCAUUGACACUUGACCCUUAUGGAUCCUAUGUCAAGGAUCGUAUUUCGGGGAAGAUGCUUUUACGGGGACCGGUUAGAGAUGGCUUCUAUCCUCUUCAAAGUUCCAGCAAUCUUCAUCCUCUUUCACAUACCGCUUUACUUAGUAUUAAAGCUCCAGUUACAAUUUGGCACAAGCGUUUGGGUCACCCUUCCUCCUCCAUUUUUAGAAGGCUCCUUUCAUCCAAUAAUCUUGCUUUACAAGGCAAGUCUACUGUGGACUUUUUCUGUUCGGAUUGUGCUCUUGCCAAGAAUCAUAAGCUUCCAUUUAAAGCUGCUACUUCAUCAUCAACUCACAGCCUUCAACUACUGCACUGUGAUCUGUGGGGACCUGCCUCAAUCACAUCAAGUAGUGGUUUUCAAUAUUUAUUUGCUCAUUGUUGAUGACUAUAGCAAAUAUAGUUGGUUCUUUCCUUUGAAAUCUAAGUCAGAUGUAUUUUCUACAUUUGUUGUCUUCAAAUCAUAUGUAGAAAAUUCACUUGGAAAUAAAAUAAAGGUUCUGCGUUCAGAUUCAGGGGGUGAAUUUACUAGUCACUCUUUUGCAUCAUAUCUCAGCAAACAUGGCAUUCUUCAUCAGUUCAGUUGUCCCCACACCCCUGAGCAAAAUGGUUGUGCAGAAAGAAAGCACAGGCACCUUGUUGAAACAGCUCGCACUUUGCUUCUUGCAUCUCAUGUCCCUCAUAUUUUCUGGGUUGAAGCAUUCUCCACUGCUAUCUAUCUUAUUAAUCGCCUUCCUAUUUCUGGCAUUUCACAGUCCCCUUGGCAGUUGCUAUUUCACAACCAUCCAGACUACUCUAAGCUCAAAGUAUUUGGUUGCCAAUGCUUUCCUUGGCUCAAACCUUACUUUCAUAGCAAAUUGGAUCCCAAGAGCAAAAAGUGUGUUUUCUUGGGGUAUAGUCUUCAACACAAAGGCUAUAGGUGCCUUGAUCCUAUCACCAAUCGCAUCUACAUCUCUCGUCAUGUUGUAUUCGAUGAAAGUACUUAUCCAUUUCAGUUGUCCCACAUUCAACACUCUUUUCCUGUUCCAAGUCCUCCAUCUUCCUCACCAACAAUUUCUUCCUCUCUGGAUCUUCAUUUUAGCAAACACAUUCCUCCUGUUUUCAGUCAGCCAUCUACAUCACCAUUAUGUGCUUCUGUGCCUGUUCCUAUUUCUUCAUCUUCAUCUUCCCCUGCACCUGUCUCAGUUGGCUCUUCUUCCAGUUUUGUUCCUCCUUCAGCACAUUCAUCUUUCUCCCAAAAUCAACAGAGUCAUCCUCCUGCCCCUGUUAAUUCUCAUCCAAUGAUUACUAGAUCCAAGGCUGGUAUACUCACGUCGAGAGCCUGUGCAGCAACUAAGCACCCACUUCCGGUUGAUAUGGAUUAUGUUCCUACAACAUACUUUGCAAGCUUCUAAAGCAUGCUCAUUGGAGGCAAGCUAUGCAAGAUGAAUUUAAUGCCUUGCUAACCACUGGUUACUUGGUCUCUUGUUCCUUCUCACCAUUCUCAAAACUUAGUGGGCUGCAAGUGGGUUUUCCGGAUUAAGAAGAAGCCCGAUGGCACUGUUGACAGAUAUAAAGCCCGGCUUGUGGCCAAGGGUUUUCAUCAACAAGAAGGUAUUGACUUUCAAGAAAACCUUCAGUCCAGUUGCCAAACCGGUUACAAUUCGGAUCCUUCUUACCCUUGCUGUGCAAUAUAAUUGGUUUCUCAAUCAAUUGGACAUUAGUAAUGCCUUUCUUCAUGGAGACUUAAAGGAGGAUGUCUACAUGCAACAACCCCCUGGUUUUGUUGAUCCCUUACACCCUACAUCUGUUUGUAAGUUGAGGAAAUCGUUGUAUGGUCUCAAACAAGCUCCUCGAGCUUGGUUUGAUAAACUGUUCCAAGCUCUUCACUCUCUUGGAUUCACCCAAUCAUCCUCAGAUGCUUCUUUAUUUGUUCUCAAUGGUCCUCAGUUUAGUCAUUGUCCUUGUCUAUGUUGAUGACAUUCUUGUCACCGGACCCUAUCCUUACCUCUGUCAACACUUCAUUCAGCAACUUGGGGCUCAAUUUCCAGUAAAAGACCUUGGUCCUCUUCAUUAUUUCUUGGGAUUAGAAGUACAUCGAUCUUCCCAGGGUAUAUUUCUCCAUCAAACAAAGUACUUAUUGGAUCUUCUCAAGAAAACAAAUAUGGAGGGUGCAAAACCUUGUUGUACUCCCCUUGGCUCUAAGAAAUUAGAUCACAGUGGCCCUCUUCUGUCCAAUCCUACUGAAUAUCGCUCCAUUGUUGGUGGUUUACAAUAUCUUACUUGGACUAGACCCGACCUUUGCUUUUGCUGUGAACCAAAUCUGCCAAUUCAUGCAUGCUCCCAGGGAACAACAUCUCCAGGCAGCAAAAAGGGUUCUCAGAUUUCUCAAAGGCUCUAUCUCACAUGGUGUGUGGUUCACUAAAGGCCCUGUCCAUCUUUCUGCCUACUCGGAUGCCGACUGGGCUGGUUGCACAAUUGACAGGAGAUCAACCACUGGUUAUUGUGUAUUUUUGGGUUCCAAUCUUAUCAGCUGGAGUGCCAAGAAGCAAAGUACUGUUGCAAGGUCCUCUACAGAGGCUGAAUAUCGCUCCUUAGCUCACACAGCUGCUGAGAUAACUUGGGUUUGCAAGAUUCUCAAAGAUCUGCACUAUCCUCUCUCUACAUUCCCUACUCUUUGGUGUGACAACAUAUCAGCAAUAUCUUUAGCAUCUAAUCCUGUCUUUCAUGCUCGAACAAAGCAUGUUGAGAUCGAUUAUCACUAUAUUAGAGAAUUGGUUUUGGCUCAACUUCUCAAAGUCAAGUUCAUCUGCAGUGAAGACCAAUUAGCUGAUCUUCACACCAAGUCUCUGUCUAAAACCAGAUUUAAUUAUCUGUGUUCCAAGCUUCCCAUUGGUCUCAUUUCUGAUCCCCCUUCUCGCUUGAGGGGGUGUAUUAGGGAGAAUGACAAGUCAUCCAAGUCUGCUACUGUUAAUAAUUCUGUUACUGUAAAUUAACUGAUUGUAUUAGUUGUGAUUAGUUAAGAUAGUUAUAAAGUAGUUAGGGGUAUCUAUGUAAAUAGCCAAAGGCUAUAUAUAUUCCUACACAAUGUGUAAAGUUCUCAGUCAAGUAAAUACAAUCAAGAAAACUUACUGUUGAAGUUUUCUGUUUCUACAGGUUUUGGAUUGGAGGAGUUGACACAAAAUUAUAAAUAUAUUAAACAAAUUUAUCUAUUCUAAAGUUGGAGGGAAAUUGGCCUGUACAUUGCUACAGUAAUUUUUUUUUACCCAAUUUCACGUUAUUUACAACAAAGCUAUCAGAUUUGGGUUGGGUUGGAGGGUAAUUUGUUAAAAGUUAGGAGGGUAAUUUUGUGCAUAGGGUUUAGGUGCCCUCCUAUACAUGACCCUUGAUUUUACUUUAUUUACACCACUGCCAUCAAAUAUGUGGCUGAAUUGGAGGGUAUUAUUAAAAGUUAGGAGGGUAGUUUGUUCAAGGGGUGAGGGCGACAUUCGCAGACAGAGAGCGAUGGGAGCCAUGGCCAUUGCACAGAGAGAAAGGGAGUGAUGGGGGAAAUUACAGACAGAAAAGGAAGGGAUGGGGGGGAUUUGAUGGAUGGUCACAGAGAGAGAUUGGGUGAGGGAUGUGAGAGGAGAUUACAGAGAGAUAAAUAAAAGGGAGGGAUCGGGGGAUGUGAGGGAUGGUCAGGGAGAGAAAUAGUGAGGGAGGGAGGGAUGGGGGGGCUGAUUUUCGGUUCCUCCUUCCAGAUUUGUUCCGUAAAAACCUGUUGGGUAGAAUUCAAUUUCCUCCCCCUUUCCCCUGAACGAAAAAUUCGAAACCUACAACUCAAAACUCACUCAUUUGUCGUCCCUCCUUGGCUUUCCGCUUUACUCAUCUCCCGGUGGUUCUCUCUCCAUACGAUUCCAUUUCGGUGAGUUCUUCGUUGCCCUCAUGAUUUCCCACUUUUAUUUUUGGGGCGUCCUUAGUCGUCGUUUUUAUCUGGGUUUACUGCAUUGUUGCUUUUAGUUUCUGGAUUUUUAUUUUUUUGGCACUUGGAUGAAUCGUGGUUAAUAAUUUCACAUCAUGGGAUUUUCGCACUUCUGAUGGAAUUGAGCGCGGGGAUUCGGGGUGGGGUUUUACUGAUAAUUUGUCUUCAUUCAAACGAAGGGUUAAAAUUUAUGAGUAUUAACAAAUUUUGUAAAUUAUUCUUAUACAUUUUAUUGAGGGAUCUAAUCGAUUUCUUUCUGUAGUGGGAUUGAAAUUGGGGCUUUGUGGUACUCUCUCUCGCUCACUCUCUCUCCUAUGUGUAUGAAUUGAGUUCUGCAGUGAGUUUGCAGGUGGGCGCGUUCACUAACUAAGCUUUCAAGGGAACCGAUCAACGGUUUGCUUGCUGGGGGAAUUCGGAGACUACCAGUGUAUGAUUUAGUUAUCAUUAAUUUUUUUACUUAAUUUUAUCCAUAUAUAAUAUGUGGGUAAAUUUAGAGGUCGCACUUGGUGCGAUGGCAAGUUCCUUCGCCCAUGAGCGGUAGGUCUCGGGUUCGAGACUUGGGAGCAGCCUCUCCAUAAAUGGGGGUAAGGCUAGCCGACAUUUACCUCUCCCAGACCCUGCGUAAAGCGGGAGCCUUGUGCACUGGGUACGAUCUUUUAUAAUAUGUGGGUAAAUUUAUACUAAACAAUUGUGAUAAGCCAAUAUGCUAUACGACUUUGAAAGCAUUGAUUUUGUGUUUAGUUUGCAUUUUUGCAUUGUGAAUGUUGAAUUUUGUGUUUAAUUUGGAUUUUUGUGUUUGAAUUUGUAGCAUGAUCUUCCGCUGCAGCAUCCAAAUUUUGCAUUUGUAAAUUGUCAAAGAAAAACGAAGUAUGAGGAAAUUAUAGGAGAUUGUGUCGGCUUUGGCCAUGAAGGGUAUCAGCAGCUUGUUCCCCCAUACAGGUGAUUAAUCGCAGUCUGUUCUAUUUGGAUGAGAAAGUGAUUGAAAAAUAUGAUUUUUUAUUUGUUGGUUGAUUUUGUAUAACUCCGCCGUGUAAGUUUAUCUUACAUUGCCGGUCCCAAGCCCGGAUAAAGGAGGAGGGGGAGGGCGUCAGGUAGUCGACAGCUGGCACUCCAUGAUCACGUCGAAUCCUUAUGAAAAUGAAUCCAGAACGAAAUCGCGCUAAAGCUAGGGCGUCACCCAUAAGUGGCGCGCUGUGUGGCCCGAGCACAGUGAUAAGUGAGCAAGGGUCGUUGUAUCUCCAUCGGCACCCGGAUGCAGUGUUAAAUGAGCAAGGGGCUAUAGAAACUUCUUUUCGAACGACUCCACUCAAAGUUGUUUGGGAGCAUAUGCUCCUAUCAACUUUACACGGGACACACAAAAGAAGUACUUUGAUCCUAUUAGACGGGGAAGGGUGAAGAAGCUAGGACAGAAGGGUAGAGUUCAAGAGAGCAAAAUGCGUUUAGGAACGUGGAAUAUAGGAACCUUGAACGGGAAAAUCUAUGGAAGUAGUAGAAGUUAUGGUGAGGAGAAGGAUAAAUAUUAUGUGCCUACAAGAAACUAAGUGGGUUGGUCGUAAGGCAAAGGAUCUAGAAAACUCAGGGUUUAAACUAUGGUAUUCGGGCACAAAUAGAACGAGAAACGGUGUUGGCAUCAUCGUGGACAAGACCUUGACACAAGAUGUUGUAGAUGUCAAGAGGGUAGGAGAUAGAAUCAUGGCAAUCAAGAUUGUAAUAGGACAAGAACUUAUCAAUGUGAUUAGUGCGUACGCACCUCAAGUAGGGUUGGAUACGAGUUCGAAGGAGAAAUUUUGGGAAGACCUUGGAGACUUGGUGCAAGGAAUUGCUCAGACGGAGAAGUUAUUUAUAGGAGGAGAUUUAAAUGGACACGUGGGCAGGGAGACAGGCAACUAUGGAGGUUUUCAUGGUGGCCAUGGUUUUGGGGAGAGAAACGAGGAUGGGGAAGCUAUCUUGGAUUUUGCAAUGGCAUAUGAUCUCUUCUUAGCCAACACCUUCUUUAAGAAGAGAGAAGAACAUGUGAUCACCUACAAGAGUGGGUCGUCAAAAACACAAAUAGAUUUUCUUCUAAUGAGGAAAGGGGAUCGUAUAACUUGUAAGGAUUGCAAAGUUAUACCAGGAGAGAGCGUGGCUAAUCAACAUCGCUUGUUGGUGAUGGAUGUACAUAUCAAAAGAGUGAGAAAAAAGAACAAGACUUGGAAGUGCCCAAGGACUAGAUGGUGGAAUCUAAAAGAAGAAAAACAAGCCAUUUUCAAAGAGAAAGUAAUCACCCAGUGUGUGUGGGAUAGAGAGGGGGAAGCUAACCAAAUGUGGGAUUCCAUGGCUAGUUGUAUCCGAAAAGUAGCAAAAGAGGUAUUAGGAGAGUCCAAGGGCUUUGCCCCACACCAAAAGGAAUCUUGGUGGUGGAAUGAGGAGGUACAAACAAAGGUGAAGGCUAAGAAGGAAUGUUGUAAAGCCUUAUACAAGGAUAGGACCGAUGAAAAUGGUGAAAGGUAUAGAAAAGCGAAGCAAGAGGCGAAGAAAGCUGUGAGAGAAGCUAAGUUAGCGGCUUAUGACGAUAUGUAUAAGCGACUAGAUACCAAAGAAGGAGAGUUGGAUAUCUAUAAACUAGCUAGAGCAAGGGAAAAGAAGACAAGGGACCUAAACCAAGUGAGGUGCAUCAAGGAUGAGGAUGGAAAGGUUCUUGCUACAGAGAACGCGGUUAAAGACAGAUGGAAAGGUUAUUUUCAUAAUCUUUUCAAUGAAGGACAUGAAAGGAGUGCUUCUUUAGGGGAGUUGAGUAACUCAGAAGAGUGUAGAAACUACUCUUUUUAUCGUAGAAUCCGGAAGGAAGAAGUGGUUGUAGCUUUGAAGAAGAUGAAGCAUAGAAAAGCAGUAGGCCCAGACGAUAUACCAAUCGAAGUGUGGAAAGUUUUGGGAGAGACAGGUAUAACAUGGCUCACUGACCUUUUCAAUAGGAUUUUGAAAACGAAGAAGAUGCCAAAUGAGUGGCGAACGAGCACUUUGGUGCCUAUCUACAAGAAUAAGGGCGAUGUACAAAAUUGCAUGAACUAUAGGGGUAUUAAGCUAAUGAGUCAUACAAUGAAGCUCUGGGAGAGAGUCAUUGAGCAUAGAUUGAGGCAAGAGACACGGGUUUCGGACAACCAAUUCGGGUUCAUGCCAGGGCGCUCAACCAUGGAGGCAAUCUAUCUCUUACGAAGAUUGAUGGAAAGAUAUAGAGAUGGGAAAAAGGAUUUACACAUGGUCUUUAUAGAUUUGGAAAAAGCGUAUGAUAGGGUCCCAAGAGACAUUCUUUGGAGGAUUUUAGAGAAGAAAGGAGUACGAGUAGCAUAUAUCCAAGCUAUACAGGAUAUGUAUGAAGGAGCAAAGACUGCCGUAAGAACUCAUGAAGGACAAACCGAAAGCUUUCCCAUAACUGUAGGAUUACAUCAAGGCUCAUCCUUAAGUCCUUACCUUUUUGCGUUGGUAAUGGAUGAGUUAACAGGACAUAUUCAAGAUGAUAUUCCUUGGUGUAUGCUUUUCGCAGACGAUAUAGUGUUGAUAGAUGAAACUCAGGAAGGGGUAAAUGCAAAGCUUAACCUUUGGAGAGAAGUGUUGGAAUCUAAAGGUCUUCGCCUAAGCCGAUCAAAGACAGAAUAUAUGGAGUGCAAGUUCAGUGCAAAUGGAGGCCAAAACGAGUUAGGGGUGAGGAUCGGAGAUCAAGAAAAUACCAAAGAGCGACCGUUUUCGUUACCUAGGAUCUAUCUUGCAAAAGAACGGAGAAUUAGAUGGAGAUCUCAACCAUAGAAUACAAGCUGGAUGGAUGAAGUGGAAGAGUGCAUCCGGCGUGUUGUGUGACCGCCGUAUGCCACUGAAGCUCAAGGGAAAAUUUUAUAGGACGGCAAUAAGGCCGGCGAUGCUGUAUGGCACAGAAUGUUGGGCGGUGAAGCAUCAACACGUACACAAAAUGGGUGUAGCGGAGAUGAGGAUGCUUCGUUGGAUGUGUGGGCACACGAGAAAGGAUAAGAUUAGGAAUGAGGAUAUCCGGGGUAAAGUAGGAGUAGCCGAAAUUGAAGGAAAGAUGAGAGAAAAUCGGUUACGGUGGUUUGGACAUGUGCAAAGAAGGCCUACUGACGCUCCGAUUAGAAGAUGCGACUAUGGGACAGAGGUUCAGGGCCGAAGGGGUAGAGGAAGACCUAGGAAAACUUUGGAAGAGACCCUAAGAAAAGACUUAGAGUACUUGGAUCUAACGGAGGACAUGACACAGGACAGAACACAAUGGCGUUCUAAGAUUCAUAUAGCCGAUCCCACUCAGUGACUUGGAUUUUCCAAGUCUCCAACCGAGAAGUUUUCCUCACUCGGGAAAUUAAGGGAACACUACCUCAACCUACAUGCUCCACUCACAAAGCUUCAACAUACAAGCUUCAACAAAAGAAAAUUCAAAGAACUUAGCGAAGAAGGCUUUGGUGUAUUUAACACAAUACGUUGAAAUGAAGGAAAGCUUAUUUAUUGAUAUCCCCGAUAAGUUACAAAUAUGUACAUAUACUUGAGUCAAAAUAAACAAACAAGAGGGAGCCUUCACAAAGGUUGCUUAGGAGAAGUCUCAGCAGUCGGUAGAGCCCCAGAAAGAGAAGGCACCGGAGGGGGAUCAUUCGGAGCCUCAGUACUGGACAGAACCCUAGAAGGAGGAGGCAUCAGAGGUUGAUCAUUUGGAGCUUCAUUACGCGGUACAGCCCCAGAAGACGAAGGCAAUAAAUGCCUUUGGAACAAACCCACAAAUCUCUGAUGAUCAAGUAAAACCUGACCAUCAGAUUCCUUCAUCUGGUCAAGCUUCCUCUUCAUGUUUGUAGCAUAGUCAUGUGCGAGCCGGUGCAACUGUUUAUUCUCAUGCUUGAGCCCUCUAAUCUCCUGUUUGAGACUCAUCACUUCAGCCGCCAAUGAUUCAACUUGGCGGGUUCGAGCAAAUAGGCGUUGGGCCAUAUUAGACACAGAACCUGCACACUGAACACUGAGAGCCAGAGAAUCCUUAACAGCCAACUCAUCAGACCGUUUGGAAAGUAGUCUGUUAUCUUUGGGAGUGAGAAGGUUCCUGGCCACUACCGCAGCGGUCAUAUCAUUCUUCAUCACGGAAUCCCCAACGGUAAGAGGACCAGUAGGGGAGACGAAGGAUGGGCGCCAUAUGUUGUCUGGAGAAGGCGGGGCUGCCUCUUCAACAAGGUUCAAGUCAAAACGACGGUCGGAGGGGCCAGACAUUUUCAAAGGUGUUGAAGAGAGAAGAGGUCGGACAAAUCAAGAUCUUAGAAGUGCAAGAAUGGAGCUUCUACUGGUGGAUAUUCAAGUGUGCUUUGGAACUUAAUGUCAGCCCCUAUAAAAAUCUGCACUCGACGAAGCUUCAGAAAUCGAAGAGGCGCCUGCUCAGAAAUCGAAGAGGCGUUUGCUUUCUCAAAAGCUGGGCUGCUCAGAGACCACGAGGGUCGAUCUCAGAAAUCGAAGAGGCGUUUGCUUUCUCAAAAGCUGGGCUGCUCAAAGACCACGAAGGCCGAUCUCAGAAAUCGAAGAGGCUUGCUUUCUCAAAAGCUGGGCUGCUCAGAGACCACGAGGGCCGAUCUCAGAAAUCGAAGAGGCACCUACUUUUCCAGCCUUGUCAGCACCUGUCACACGCACACUCAGCUUUGCGGAAAUUAUGGGCAUUCUGUCGAAGAUUUCUGGCGAAGUAGAAAGCACAUGAAUCGUACUGUUCAAUCACCCACUUCCCACACGCAACAGUAGCUCAUGGGUACCACAGAUAACUUUGCCAAAGUUCUCUGACAAAGUUGAGACACGUGAAGCUUGCAGCUCCCACUACAUCGCUCUGACCAAGAAGGGUAAAAGAAUUAGCAAAGAAACAACACUAACAAAGUUUAGACACAUAAAUUUUGAAGGUCUAGCUACCAUAUUAUUACCCACAAGGGUAAAGGAACAGUACCACUGCUGGAUAAUUGGAAAGUCCCGGUGUGUCAACCUCUGUGCUUCGUGGCAAGGUAGACUAGCAAACAUGCCCAACCUUUACUCACAUUCGAGAAAACACUCCCAACAAGAUUGCUUGCUCCAAAAUCGAAGAGGCACCGCCCUCCGAAUCUCGAGAGCCAGACUCCCAACAUGAUUACUUUCUCAAAAAUCGAAGAGAGGGUAAAGGAACAGUACCACUGCUGGAUAAUUGGAAAGUCCCUGUGUGUCAACCUCUGUGCUUCGUGGCAAGGUAGACUAGCAAACAUGCCCAACCUUUACUCACAUUCGAGAAAACACUCCCAACAAGAUUGCUUGCUCCAAAAUCGAAGAGGCACCGCCCCUCCGAAUCUCGAGAGCCAGACUCCCAACAUGAUUACUUUCUCAAAAAUCGAAGAGAGGGUAAAGGAACAGUACCACUGCUGGAUAAUUGGAAAGUCCCUGUGUGUCAACCUCUGUGCUUCGUGGCAAGGUAGACUAGCAAACAUGCCCAACCUUUACUCACAUUCGAGAAAACACUCCCAACAAGAUUGCUUGCUCCAAAAUCGAAGAGGCACCGCCCUCCGAAUCUCGAGAGCCAGACUCCCAACAUGAUUACUUUCUCAAAAAAUCGAAGAGACACCGCUCUCCGAAUCUCGAGAGCCAGACCCCCAGCAGGAUUGCUUUCUCAAAAAUCGAAGAGGCAUCGUUCUCCGAAUCUCGAGAGCCAGAUCCCCGACAGGAUUGCUUGUUCGAAAACCGAAGAGGCACCACUUUCCCAACUUCAAGAGCUGGAUCUCCUUGGAUAAAGCUUGUCUGUAAUCUUCACACGCAACAUCAGCUUUCCAGAUACCACAGACCACUUUUUCAAAGUGCUCUGACAGAGUUAAAACAUGUGAAGCUGGCAGCUCCCACUACCGUGCUAUGACCAAGCAGGGUAAAGGAAUAGCAUUAUUACUUGAUGUUAGGGAGACUCCUAUAUAUGUCGACCUCCAUCCCCAACGGACAGGCAGACCUGCAAAAAUGCUCAACCCUUCCUCUUAUCUGAGAGGGCACUCCCAACGAAGCCUUUCGAAAUAUUCAGCUUUCUUUCCCCCCGAUAAUACCUCUGUAAACAAGCUAUACUAGAGCAAGAAUAUCUCAUAUCAUCAGGGUUAAAAGCAAGAGUAUCCCAUAUCAUGCUUUUUCCCUGUCUUUUCCUUUGGCCUUGUUCUUACCUGCAAGACAAGGAGAAAGAGAGCAAUCAGUCAGCACUUGGAAUCAAGCUUCCAGCCAGGAACUGACUGCCUGGAACCCCUUACCUGAUUACUUACCUGGCAUUGCUCUCGAGUACUCAUCUUCAACAUCUUAUGCUUCCAGGGAAGAUACCGCAUCUGCCUGAGGAACAGAUAGGGCAAGUGAGAAGGAUACAAGGAAGCAUGUGGAGACAAGCGUAACAGCACACGUGCCGAUACAUCCAUUACUCUGUCAAAAGCAAAAGUAUCCCAUAUCAGCAGGGUCGAACGUACUCUAGAUUUGAUGGACUUGUUUUGACCCUCAAAUUCUUCAGUCGGCCUUAUACUCUGGAGGAAACCAGAAAACCCUCCAGCCCAGUUCAAGAAUAAGCCUGUGGAAAGUUACUUCUUCAAAAGCAAAAGUAUCCCAUAUCAUCUCUUCUCAUUUUUCUUCUCUUUAUCCUUCAUGCUGCCUGCAAGAUAGGGAGAAUGUGAACAAUCAGCCGGAGCUCUGAUUGCUUACCUUGUCUGUCACCUCUUUCAGCAGAUCCCCUAGCUCGGCGACUUGGGGGACUCCUACUACAUGGUUUGUAUCGCGCUUGACCAAGCCUGAAACUACAAGUAAGCUUCAAGUGACAAUUGAUACAUUACCUUGUGCAUCUCCACCAGUUACAGAUACCACCCCUGGAUGGAGGAAGAGUACUUCCAGAGAAGAUGCCACAUCUACCUAUGAGACAGAUAAGGAAAGUCAAGACGAUACCACACUCCGGUACUUAGAAGUUUCGUGGUUACGAGAUCAUUCUCCCACAAUAUUUCCUAAUGUCAUUUGUACUAAAUCAUUCACUUGUACUCACUAAAGGAGAGCUUGAACCUAUGUACUUGUGUAAACCCUUCACAAUUAAUGAGAACUCCUCUAUUCCGUGGACGUAGCCAAUCUGGGUGAACCACGUACAUCUUGUGUUUGCUUUCCUAUCUCUAUCCAUUUAUAUACUUAUCCACACACUAAUGACCGGAGCAAUCUAGCGAAGAUCACAAAAAAGUGACCGUUUUCGCUACCUAGGAUCUAUCUUGCAAGAGAACGGAGAAUUAGAUGGAGAUCUCAACCAUAGAAUACAAGCUGGAUGGAUGAAGUGUAAGAGUGCAUCCGGCGUGUUGUGUGACCGUCGUAGGCCACUGAAGCUCAAGGGAAAAUUUUAUAGGACGGCAAUAAGGCCAGCGAUGUUGUAUGGCACAGAAUGUUGGGCGGUGAAGCAUCAACACGUACACAAAAUGGGUGUAGCGGAGAUGAGGAUGCUUCGUGGGAUGUAUGGGCACACGAGAAAUGAUAAGAUUGGGAAUGAGGAUAUCCGAGGUAAAGUAGGAGUAGCCAAAAUUGAAGGAAAUAUGAGAGAAAAUCGGUUCUGGUGGUUUGGACAUAUGCAAAGAAGGCCUACUGACGCUCCGGUUCGAAAAUGUGACUACUGGACAGAGGUUCAGGACCGAAGGGGUAGAGGAAGACCUAGAAAAACUUUGGAAGAGACCCUAAGAAAAGACUUGAGUACUUGGAUCUAACGGAGGACAUGACACAAAACCGAGCGCAAUGGCGUUCUAGGAUUCAUAUAGCCGACCCCACUUAGUGGGAAAAGGCUUUGUUGUUGUUGUUGUUGGUUGAUUUUGUAUGGACGAUGUAUUAAUUUUUUUUUUUUUUUGGGAUUUUGUGUAUUGGGUAUUGUGUAGAACCAGCAAUGCAGGAUCUGAUCAGUCACGCCCGAAAAGGGGUUUGUUUCUCAAAUCACAUUAAUUAAUUAGAUUAUUAAUGUGCGUUGGAAGGCUCUUCAAUAUGAUUUCUAAUUUCUCCUUUCCAGCAUUCUCUUUUUGGUUUUUGGAGUAUGUAUGUGAUUUGUAUUUGAUUAUAGAAUAAAAAUUAAUAAAACACGAGAUGCAGCAAUUAAUUUGCAUCCUUAUGACAACACAUAUAUGAAAGUGCAUUCAAUUUCAAUGUGCGAAUGUGUGACAGGACAGGAUGUGCCUGCCUGCUGGUGGUGGUAUGCUUGCUGUUGUUUCUUGCGUUGUUAAUUUUUUGUGUGUUGAUUUGAUUAACAAUUCAAGCGUAUCUUAUUUUUUUUGUGUUGGUUAGCAGCCAGUUUUAUGGCCCCGAUCUAGUGAUGCUUCUCAGUGACUGGUAAUUGCAGUUCAUUGCCACCAGUUGGUCAGCUACCUGCUCUGAAAGAGCUCUACGUAGAAGGGAUGAAAGUUGUUAAGAGUGUUGGUGUUGAGUUGUACGGGGGAAAUCAACCAUUUCAAUGUUUAGAGAAGGUAAAGUUUCGGGAGAUGCCAGAGUGGGAGGAAUGGCAGCCUAGUCCAAGUGGAUGUGAAAGUCCAGACUUUCCUCAUCUUAAGGAGCUGAGGUUAUCCGAAUGUCCGAAGCUGAGAGGAAACUUGCCCACUCAUCUUCCCUCCUUGAAAACACUUUAUGUGAACAAGUGUGAGGUUCUACAUAAAAACAGGGCCAGUAAUACCCUGAACGUGGAAUCCUUACGAGGAUCUCUUGAAAAACUGACAAUAAAUGGAUGCCCGGGUCUCUCAUUGUUACUAGAGUCGAUGGAGACGCUGCCGUCGCUUCAGAAGCUUGAUAUUGAUAGUGUUGGUGGGAAAGAGUUGUUGGUGCAAAUGGUGCACAACAGCAAUCGUCUUCAAAGUUUUGACUUUAUAUAAAUGUUCCUCACCCUUGUCGUUCCCUACAAAUGGUCUGCCCACCACGCUGACGUCACCGAGCAUAACAGAUUGCAAGAAAUUAGAAUUCCUAUCACGUGAGAUGAUGGCCAAAUUGACUUCCCUUCAGUCUUUGCGUCUAUCCAACAGCUGUGAAUGCAAAGGCUUGAGUAAUUUUUGUGAGUCUGCUGUUUGGUUUUUUUUUCUUCAUUUUAGAGAUUUUUCUACUGUUUGGUUUUUGGGUUUUGUCUAAUUUUUGUGGUCUGCUUUAUAGAUUGUUCUCUUUGGAAGCUUCUUUCCAGCCUUGACCUUCUUCUUGCCUGGUGCCUUCUCAUUGAGUAUUGGAGGAGCAUUAAAACACAGGUGUGUGUGUUUUGUCGAUGUAAGAGAUGAACGACAUAAAAACAUCCGUCUUUGUAUUUUUUUGUGCUUUUUCUAACCCAUCAAUUUCUUUUGAGUCAACCAAAUAGUCCCAAAUUGCAACUUAUGUUGUGAGGUAUUAUUGUCUAAAAUUAAGUAUGCAUGUAUAUUUUAUGUUUGUGCGCGCGCACACCUCCGCAUGGUGUUAAUCUCUGUGGGUCAUCUAUGUAUAUGUAGACAUAUCUAUAUGUGUAUGUGUGGAAUGCAACAUAUCGGAUUUAGGUUAUACUGUGCAUAGUUUUAUUGCCUGUUAUUAUCUACGAUAUCACUAUGCCAUUUCUAUGCAGGCUCUGAAAGUUAUCCAUGAGCUUUAUAAGCACUUACCAUAAUUUAAGCAGUCUGUUUUGGGUUCUUUUUCAUUAGGUCAUUAGCUACAGAUUAAUGGAGAAACGAGGACCAUGCAACUGAUUUGGGUUCUUUUUCUAAUUUUCUGAUUUUGGGGUUUUGCAGGGAGUACUGAUGUACUGAUUUUCUGGGAUUUUUUUUGUCCUUGCAGGAUUUUUGGUCUUUGGAAUGGGUAUGUGUUGUUUUUAACGUUUCAGUUCUAGCUUGUUCCGUUCUUCGUUGCUUCGUGAUUCUCAUUUUUUAGUGUUGGGUGAUGGAAAUUUGUUCAAGUAGUUGGUAGUUUUUUUAGAAAGUUGGCAUUUUUAGUUAUAUUUUCUGUUUAAUCCUAAAUGUUAGACUGGAAAAUCAUUGAAAUGACGGUUUUUUAAAAACUCAUAAUUUUUUUGUUCUGGGAGUUAAAAGCAUCUUUUCCAGAUUGGUUAUAAGGGUUAUGUUCUCUUCAAUUGGUUCACCUAAUUUUGAUUAGUUUUAAGUUUUGUCCUUUUAAGUUUUGUCUUUUAAGUUUUGUUCUUUAAGUUGUCUUUUAAGUUUGUUCUCUAAGUUUUGUCUUUUAAGUUUUAUCUUCUGUGCUGUAAUGAGAGAUUUCUGUUGGCCUUUCGGAUUUUGGCAUGGGAAAGUUCACUUAUUUGUCUAAUUAGAUUGUGUAUGCCUUCGAUUCUUUAUUUAAUUGUUCUGUUUGUGUUCAGGUGUGAUGAUCUAAAUUUCAUAUGUUUGGAAUUAUUCACUUAACACCAAUUUGUUACAUUCAGAUCUCCACCCCACAUUUCACUAGUUCAAAUUCCAUAGAAGUCGGUUACUGCAGAUUGCGUCUACAAUUAGAUCAGAGAUCAACUGCUCUUUUGUUAUCCUGCAGAAGAUUGCUUUUGGGAAGGAUCUGAAGUAGUUUCUUUCUGUAAGUUUAUUCCCAUGUAGCUCUGUCUUUUCUAAUUGAUGGUGUUGAUAUUACACUGUAAUUCAUGAUGAUGAUUUAAUUGUUUAUUGAUUUGUAAUUGUUUGUGAAUAAUGUGGCAUAUAUGACUUGCAAUAUGUGUUUGUAUGAAAGGGAUGACAUAUUAUGUUGCUGACUUAAUUGUUUAUGUUUUUCAUAUUUGCGAAUGGUGUUAUGAUCAAUUAGGUGAUUGCUGACCUGUGACUUUGUUUGGAGCUCAAAUUUUGUGAGCAUUACAUUGGAUUGUUUUGAUGUUGUUUUGGUUGACAAUGCAGGGAUAGGAGAAACAAAGAGGAUGACACUUAUAACUGCCCUUCCCCAUCGGCCGUCUUCAAAUUUGGAUCACAAGAAGGGAGCAACAUAGGUGUUUUCCUUCUUCAUUUAGAUAUGGUUAGUGUAAAUAAUUGGACAAAAGAGCCAAACAAACCCUGUUCUCUCAAAUGGAGUCGAUGAUGUGGUCGAUGGCCACCAGCCCCAACUCAAGAGUUUGGCCUUCAUAUAAUUGGAUUGUAGUAUAAUUUUAUUUUGGUUCAUUUCUUUUUUCCUUUAUAUAAGUGCAGGUGUUGUGAUGUUUUGAAUAAAGGGUGAUGAAAGGUGGUUCACACACUUCCUCCUUACUUAAAGCAAGUGGAGAUGAUGGGUUGUAUAAAAAGAAAAACUUGCCAGGUACUUCGAUUUUCUAUUUUAUUAAUUAUUGUUUGGUUUUCCAAAUGUUGUAUUCACAAAGAGAGACCAAUGAUGUCUUUGAGAAACAAGUUUCUUUGUCUACAUUGCGAGAAUUUGCAGUUUGCAACUUUCAUUGGUUAUUAUAUUUGAUUGAGUUAAACUUGGAUUUCUGGAUUUUGACUUUUUCGUUUGUUUCUUUGUUGUAGAGUUGGCUUCAUUUCAUUCCAGUAACUCUAUUCCAGUAACUCUCUAAAAUAGGGCCAAGAACUCACUAAAUAGGUAGUCAAGAGGAAUUCAGUUUUGCCUUCAAUUUUUGCCUUCUGUUUACAUUCUUCCUGGAUGCACUCUCACCGCUUCUCUCGCUUACCACUUUUGUCUCACUCACCGCUUCAUCUCUUCUGUUGCUUACAAGGUCGUGUCAUAUAUUUUUUUAAUUUUUGUGUGUUUAAUUUAUUGAAUAUUUGAAAAAAGAGAUAAAAUUUUCAAUUUACAAUUACUGAUAUGAUGUUUGUUUUGAAAAUCAUUAAGGUGAAUGGAGAGAUUUACAACCAUGAAGAGCUGAGGAGCCGUUUGCCAAAUCAGAUUUAUAAGGUCUCAUCAAUUAUAAAUAAACGACUUUUCAUUCCCAAUGACCUUUAUCGUUUUUCUUAAUGGGUUAGCUGAACAUGAGGUAGAUGCUGACUUUAUAAAAUAUGAGAAUGUUUUAGGAUUUCAUUCUAAUUUUUUGGCUGUUUGAUUACUUUGCUUUUCGUAAUUUGUUUUGCUUAUCGUCAAUUGGAUGGGACAACAUAUUUUUGUAACCAGUUUGUACUUUUUUUUUUUGUGGAAACUAACCAGUAUGUACUUUUACCAUCUCGGUUUUGAUGGAAUUGGAGCUUUCAGUAAUGGGUUCUGAGGGAAUUGGAGUUUUGAGUAAUGGGUUUUUUAACAACUAUAGUAUCAUUUGUGAUUCUUUUAUUUAUAAGAUAUUAUAUAGGAAACUGUUAUUAGCACUCUAAUAAUCUUAUUCUACACUCGCGACAAGUGUAUUUUUCUUUCUAAUUAUGGAAAGUUUGGAGUGCAAAAUGAGAAUUUUGGAGUGCCAAUAACAAUUCCCUAUUAUAUAUAGCUCUACUAAGAAGGCGACUGUAUAUGUCUUCAUCCUGUUAAAUUGUAUAUGGCUCUUGAUGUCGGCUGAAUUAAAUCAAAAUGAAAACCAAGCUGCUGAUCUUACCAGCCCAUAUCACUUAUCACUUAUUUAAAUUAUUUGAAGAUGCAUACGUGGAUUGGUGAUUUUGUUGGAUUCACUUAGCUCAAAUAUAUGUUAUCUGAGUCGCUACAUUUGAGAAUGUGAUUCUGUUCCUACCACCAUUUUGCCCACUUUUUGUGGAAAUUAUUCAUUCCUGUUGUGAAUAAUAUCCCCGGCAGCGAAGUGCGGGCGCAUUUUCUAGUUUAAGUUAAAUCACACAAUGGGUCAUCAAUAAUGACAAACUCGUCAUUUAUGCGAGUCAAACAUGAGACCACCUACCUACUAGUUUAGUGGAAUACCACAAGUGACAUGUUGAUACCUUUAAAUCUCAUAUAAUGGAUUGCAGAAUUAGGAUAUACCUAGUCUAAUUUAGUCAGUGCGUGAACCCGAACAAUUAACCAGGGUUUUAUUCUUGCUUGAAUGUUUGUAAUAUGUUCCUAGUUUGACAAGGCAAUUAUAUUUCCGACUACAAAAGUUAUUAAUUUAGUCGAGAAUUGACGCACCUGAAAUGGUGUGAGGAAAACAUGUAGACACAUCAGACGCGGUCCAUCCUGAGCAUUGUGUAUUAAGGAUAAAGCUCAAAGCCAUACAUGAGGGCAUUGUGUAUGUCUUUAUAAGAGAAGUUGCUGUAGUCCUCAACGUGGCCGGCAGCCAAACUCAUCCACUCUACACUGCAACCCUCAUCCAAAUCCCAUGCUUCCAACCUGCCCCCGACAUAGUCAUCGACCAUGACAUAGCUAUACGUUUUUGGUUGACUCGAAGAAGAAGAAGAAGAAGAAGUAUUAUUCAAGCAUGGAGCAGUGUCCACGUACAGAGAAGAAUUCGAUGGAUUCGAACACUUCAAGUAAUAUAUAGAUAGAGAAUUGAUGUCAUAGGUGGGCCAAUAUAGAGAAUCGAUGUCCUCGAUGGGCGGAAUAUUUUGAGACAUGGAAGAGCAAUUGUUGUUGUCAAGCCCAGGAUCUAGAAGUCGGAUUGUUUUGUUAAUGUAGUUGAUUGCCUGGACAUAGUAUUUUCCGGAAGAAGGUAGGUCUAGUACUGUAAUGUUGCUCUCACAGGACAGAGUAAACCUUACGUCGCCACAGUACUUUGGAUCAUCGUUCAGUCGAAAAGGAUGGCUUAUGUUGUGGAUAUGGCCGCAGGAUGAAGUGCAGGACUUGGCACUACUGUUGUCAGCGUUACAAGUUUCACUGCAAAAGCAAAGAAGAAGAAAGGCUAAACUUAAGGUGAAGGACCUGGUUCCACUGAUUUCCAUUGCUCUGAGAGAGAGAGAGAGAGAGAGAGGGCACUAUAGCUUAAACACCAAGGAGUUAUAUAAUAUGGGAGGGGUUAAAGCACCUCGCUUAAAGUUGCAGUAAGCCCGUCAAAUAUCCUAGGGAAAAGUCGGUCAAUGCUGUCCUAUAGAGAAAAGUCGGCCUUGAUGUUUGACACGGUCACACUCUCUCUCUCUCUCUCUCUCUCUCUCAUUGACGAGGGACACUGUAAUUGAAAAAAAAAAUUGUUAUUCAGAGAUAGAUCUUGAAAUUCUUAUUUUAUAUAAAAAAAAGGGGUAUUUAGAUUUUAGGACCUAUAUAAGAUAAUUUUUAGAUUAUAAGGUUUCAAAAUCUUAUUUUAGUCCCUAAUUUAAUAUUCAUCGCCACAUCAUAUUAUAAGAUACCUCUAUUACCUACCAUAUUUACAAACUUUGCCAUUUAAAUUGUCAACCUAUUCUAUAAUUAAGGCUUAAAUAUAUUCCGUUAAUAAACCAUUCGUCAAUAAGAUAAAUCCAACUAUGGUAAAUUAUACUAAUUUAUACUUGCUGACAAACAAAUUAAGUCUAUAGUAAUUUUAGGUCAGUCACCUUAAGAAGUCGAAGAUGAAAAAAUCAAAUACAAAACAAUAGGUUAAAAAAAUUAAAUAAUAACCCUUAAUAUAUAUAUAUAUAUAUAUAUAUAUAUAUAUCACAAAAAAAAAGUAUAACAACUCCUUAUUGUCUAUAUAUAGGAAUUGCAUAAGUGUCGGUACAUAUGUGUAGGUACAUACAUGCACAUAGGUACGGAAGUAUCGGUAUGGAAGUGCCGGUACAUACGUACACAUAGGUACGAAAAUAUUGAUACGUUAGCAUCGGUACAAAAGUAUCGGUGCGGAAGUGUCGAUACUUAUGUACAUAUAUAUAGGUACGCAAAUAUUGAUACAUAAACAUCAAAAGAAAAAAUCGGUAGAUUCGAUGUAUGAGAAGGUAAAAAUAAAUCAUCAACACUAGAAAAAAAUGAUAAAAGUAAAUCAUGCACUAUUAGAUGCAUAAGAAGAAGAAAUAUUAGAUGUGGAUGGUGGCCCUAGCCCUCUCUUCUAACACGGUUGAAGAUAAUUUUUUGGGUUGGACAAAAAGUUUCAUUUUUAAGGAGAACCAUUUAUGUUAGCAAUAAAACUGAAAAGUUAUAAAUAAAAUAAAUAUAAGACAUUAUAAUUCACUCAAGGAUAAUAUAGGAAGAAAAAAAUUACAUAAAAGGAAUUAACUCUGACAUUAAAUAUAAAUGCUGACUUGGACAUAAGUCAAAGGACUAUAAUUAGUUUUUUAUCUUGGUUAAGGUUUUAGUCUAAAGAUAAUCUUUUUCAAGGAUUAAUAUCUAGUUUCCUAUAAAAAAAAACACCUAAUAUUAAUCAUUCAAAUGAAAUUGUUAAAAUUAAGUAUAAAUAAUACAUAAUGAAAACUGAACACAUACAAUCAACGGUCACGACCAUGAAAUCCUCCGGAUCCUCAGAAAAAAAUCCGACGAUGAUCUUUUUCUGUGUAAAAUAAUUUGAGGGUAUAAUACUGGAUGUGCGAUUAAACCGAAGAACCCACCCACCUCCAUCUUCUCUGACCAACUUGAACCCAGCCACUACUACAUGUCAUCCCGACAACCCACUCUCAGCUUCCCAAACCGCCAUUUUUCACCCAAUGGAACAUUUAAAGAAAAAAUCCAUCUGCAAAUCGAAAACCACCGAAAAAAAUUAAAUCAGAUACAUUGGAAAAAACGCAAAACUCAAUGGAACAACACUGGCGUGGAAGAGAAAAAAAGCAGAAGGUGAGAAUGGAGAGAAAGAAGCGAACGGAAAGAAAAAGCAAAGAAGAGGUUGGAAACGGAACAACAGAAGAACAAUAGAAGAACAGAAAUGGGUAUGGGAAACGGAACAACAGAACAAAAAGCAGGCGGUGUAUAGAGCAAGAAAAGCAAACCUCACGAUGACCAACACGUGCUAAGAGAGGCCCCGGUUCACUGUGUAUCACAUUUUUUAAUAUUUUUUUUGGUCUUCCCACCGGCUAUACAUGGGAUUCCAAAAUUAAGAAGGUAUAAAUUUUUAUUGUUUCUUGUGCCACAAACCAUGUGGCCCAGUCUUAAUCACAUUUUUUAAAUAUUUUUUUUGCUCUUCCCAUCAGCAGUACAUGGGUUAAAAAAAUUAGGAAAGUAUAAAUUUUUAUUGUUUGUUGUGUCACAAACCACGUUGCCCGGUUUUAAUCACAUUUUUUUAAUAUUUUUUUGUCUGCCCACCAGCUAGGUUUAAAGAAUUAAAAAAGGACUAAAAGAAAGACUCCACAGAUGGAGGAACAUGGGAAUAGAAAGGGCAAAUUUGGGAUUUUACUGUACAAAAAAGACAAAAAGUAACUGCUGAAGACUAACUUGAGGGGCAUUUUGGUCUGCACACUGCCCUAGAACAGUAACCAUCGGAUUGGGUUUUAGUAUAUAUAGAAUAUGUUUAGAUAAGGACAAUAAACUUAGAAUUUUGCCAAAAGUCAGAAUUUAUAAAUUGAUACAAUCAAUUCAUUUGUUUGGAUUCAUAAACAUAGAAAUUUAGACUUUCCGCGUGAGAAAAAACUUGGAAUUUGGGACCUUCAAUUCUCAUGUUUAAAUUUCAUGUAAAUAGGUGUCAUUUAUAAAUUUCAGUAAGUGAGAGUUUAAAAAUAACAAACAUGUAUUCAAAUUUCAUUCCUCCUUUGGUUAACCAAAAAAGAAAAUUUAUAAAUUCUAGAAAAUAAAAUUUCUUUAUUUUAAUUUCUGUUAUUUUAAAAUUCUUAGGGCUUGUUUGGUAUUCUACUUGAAUCCAACUUUUUAAACUAAAAAAUAAUUUUCAAGUUUUAGGCCUUAAAAACUUAUUUGGUAGAACUAUUUAAAAAAACUGAACUUAAGACUAACUAAAAAAUAUAAUAUAUUAUCUAAAAACACAAAAAAUGAGUUUUUAGAAUUUUUAAACUUAAAUUCACUCAUUUCUUUUCUCUCCCUCCUCCCCUCUCACUCCAAAUCUCUCUCUCUCUCUCUCUUUUCUUCUUUCUCUCUCCCCUUCUCUUUUUUUUAACCUUUUUUUGUCUCUCAUCUAAUCCGCUCUCUUCAUUUUCUCGGUUCUUUCUCUCACUCAUAUUCCUCUCUAUCUCCUCCAAUUCUCUCUCUUCAUUCUUUUUCAACCAAUAAUUUCUUACUUUUUUCCUCUUCUCUCCUCUUGAUUCUCUCUCUUCAUUCUUUUUCAACCAAUCAUUUUUUACUUUUUUUCCUUCUCUCCUCUUUCUCCCUCGACUUCCUCUUUUUGGAUCUCUUUGUUCAGUUUGAGCUGUAAGAUUUAAAAUUAUUUUAAAUCGUAUACCAAACAAGUUUUUGAGUCUUAAAGAAAAUUGUUUUUCAAAAAAUGUUCUUAAGAAAUGUUUUGAGAAAUGAUAAAAAAUUUCAAAUAAGAUACCAAACAAGCCCUUAAUAAUCUUAAAUUUUCCCAUCCAAACAAAAAAUUUUCUUGUCAUAGAACUUUCAAUUGGAAUCAAAGAAGACAAUCUUUUCACAACUAAUUAUUCUCACCAAAAGCAAUUUUUAUUUUAAAGCAAUCAAUACCAAACUGCAAAAGCAAAGUAGGAAGGCUAAAAUUAAGGUGAAGAACCUGCUUCCACUAAUUUCCUUAGGAGGGAGAGAGAGAGGGGGAGAGAGAACCAAGCGAGCGAGCAGAGAGAGAAAACACCAAGUAGUAUUCUAAUGUUGGUGGGGUUAAGUCACCUUCCGUGAAGUUGCAGUAAGGACUUCUAUCCCAGAGAAAAGUCAGUAAAUGAUGUUGACACAGUCAACGACAAAGACAGAAUUGUGUAACCAUAAUUCUCUCUCUAUCUCUUUUUCAUUAUCGGAUGACAGUGUAACACUACUACGUAUAUAUCUCUGCUCAAUUAUUGAAAAGAAAAAUCCAUGUGCAUUAUUUUUAUUAUUAUUAUCUCAGAAAUGCAGAAAUUGAUCAUCUCUUCCUUUUGCAUAUUGAUACUGGUUUUCUUCAAACUAGUUGAAGCAAGUCAAUAUGUGUGCGCGAAAUCCAACUGUAGCAAUGAUCAAAGCGGGGCUAUCCAUUUCCCAUUAAACAUCAGGCGCACACAUCAUUGUGGUAAUUCUGGGCUUGAAUGCAAUGGGAGAUAUGAACAGCAAAUACUAAUAAAAUUAUUUGUCAAAGACAUAGAUUACAAGCGUCAGGAAAUCCAAGUCUAUUCCCCAAGUAACUGCCUGCUGCUAAAGCAUGUUGAAAUCCCAAACAUGCCACCCUCUCCCUUCAACGUGUCAGUCGAUGACUACAUGAGUAACCUUACCUUAUUCAGUUGUCCUACUUCUUUUGCAAGACGAGAUACGGAUGUGUAUCAAGUCCCCUGCCUCGGCGACCGUGGCAAGAGAACUUAUGCCAUUUAUUCUGAUUAUGGUUUUAGAACUCUCUUCCGGAAUCUACAAUCUUGUACAAAAAUGUAUGAUGUUUUAUCAGUUCCAAUACCCUCUGAAUAUUAUGUUCUUCGUUUCAAAUGGUCUAUACCAAAUUGCAGAAAAUGUGGAGAGGGAAAGAGGUGUGAAUGGCAGAACAAUGAAAUUAAAUGUAUUCAAUGGAGGAAACCAAGUAAGGAUAACAUAUGUAUUCAUUGCUAGUUUUAAACAUCUUUACAUUUGUUUCUCAGUAAUUAUUGUUUAAAACAUGUCCAAUCCAUUUUUACUAUGAAUAUUAACUGACAGUCUCAUUUGAAUUUGCCUUUAUCUUUUACAGGCAACACAUGGAAAUUAGUGGUCACAGGGGGAAUCCUGGGUUCUUUGCUUCUUGUUCUACUGAUGAUUGCAGCAUAUCGGGUAUAUAGCGUUGAUAGAAAGAAAAAAGAGAUUCGAUUACGAAUUGAAAGAUUCUUGGAGGAUUACAAAGCACUCAAACCAAGCAGAUACUCGUACGCAGAUAUUAAGAGGAUUACAAAUCAAUUCAAGGACAAGUUGGGCAAAGGAGCCUAUGGAACUGUCUUCAAAGGAAUGCUCUCUUCUGAAUUCUUUAUUGCUGUCAAAGUCCUCAACAGUUCCAAGGGAGAUGGGGAAGAGUUCGUAAAUGAAGUGCGAACGAUGGGUCAUAUCCACCACGUAAACGUGGCUCGCUUGGUUGGAUUUUGUGCUGAUGGAUUUGUACAAGCUCUUGUUUACGAGUUCUUCCCCAUUGGUUCCCUGCAGGAUUUCAUUUCAUCUGCAGAUAGUAAGAAUUCAUUUCUUGGUUGGGAUAAGCUGCAAGAUAUUGCCCUAGGCAUAGCCAAAGGAAUUGAAUAUCUUCACCAGGGAUGCGAUCUACGAAUCCUGCAUUUCGACAUCAAACCCCAUAAUGUUUUGCUAGACCAAAACUUCACUCCAAAAAUUUCUGAUUUUGGUAUGGCCAAGUUAUGUUCCAAGGAUCAAAGCUUGGUGUCCAUGACUACAGCUAGGGGGACCAUGGGCUACAUUGCACCUGAAGUGUUCUCCAGGAAUUUCGGAAAUGUGUCUUACAAGGCAGAUGUCUAUAGCUUUGGAAUGCUGCUGCUUGAGAUGGUAGGAGGAAGGAAGAAUAUUGGUUCAAUCACGGAUAACACUACAAAUGAAAUUUACUAUCCACAGUGGAUUUAUAAUCUUCUAGGGGAAGGGGAUGACCUACGAAUCCACAUUGGGGAAGAAGGAGACGGUAAAAUUUCAAAGAAACUUGCAAUUAUAGGGCUAUGGUGUAUCCAGUGGCACCCGUCGGAUCGUCCUUCCAUGAAAAUAGCGGUUCAGAUGUUAGAAGGAGGAG